This 199446-nucleotide long non-coding RNA is filed under the name Sorghum bicolor (sorghum). RNAcentral's name for it is "long non-coding RNA (SBIC_LNC017555)". The stretch from base 141264 to 141370 matches the Rfam family "Plant small nucleolar RNA R71". Lineage: Eukaryota; Viridiplantae; Streptophyta; Magnoliopsida; Poales; Poaceae. The record is from RNAcentral.
ACAUAUAAACCGGCCAGAACGGUGCACAGAGCGGGAUAAAGGGGCACGCGUAAUCAUCAUCAAGCUACCAGGAUAGGACAGCUCGAGACCACGCCGGUGCGGAGGCCUCGAGUAGGUCAGCGCGCCAUACCUCUAUCGACCCCUACUCCGACACCUAUACAUGUACCCUAGGCCCCUCCUUGGAACUAUAAAAGGGGGGAAAACACCGACACAACUGAUUCAGCAUGUUUAGUCCCUUGAUCUUUGAUCCCCACACUCCUAGUCAUAUGAGCUAAAAUGUUGCACAUUUAAUCUUUGGGAAGAUAUAAUGAAAAAGGCAUAUAUAUAGAUAGAUUAUCUUUCCAUUAGGUUGAGCGAUCUGAUCCGGCAAAUGUUUUAAAUGCUACACUCAUGAACUUAUCAUUCAUCAACUUUGUCUUGCUCACCAUGCUUAAGGUUAGAGAAGAACAAAUACACUUUUGGUUCUGUUGGUGUUUUCCACCAACAGGGCCCAUGCACUUGAUCUCUGCCUUGUCUCUAUGAGCAGGUACACUACGAGCACAAACACACAGAGCAAGAUACUGCCAACACCACACUUCGAACUACUGGGCAAACCAAGAACAUGGGUGACACCGUAUUAAGAGGUGCAGACGUCAAGGUCCACACCUGAAUCAAAUGACGCACCUGAAGAAUGAACACAGUGAGAAGUCUUGUUCAGAAGACUUAAAACAUUGAAUUCUCGCCGAAAGGUAAAAUCGGUAGUUAUCCAUAUUUAUCCUUUCUGCAUUCCCUUUUCCCUUUAAAUAUUUACUUUCCUUAAAUAGAUUAUUAGUUAAUCAUGCUAUUUGAAAAGAAAAUAAAAAUGUUAAAAAAUACUAAAUCCCCAUGUGAGUAUGCUCGUGGCAUGAAACCCAUAAGUACAUUCACUGUGGUGGCGUAAAAAUAAAAUAAAUAUAUUCAUGUCCUAUAGAAAUGAAAAUAUAAAAAUAAAUUUAUGAUCCUACCAAAGAGAGUAAUAUUUAUUAGAGGAAGCUCAACAUGAUAAAAGCAAAGAGAUUUAUGCUAACACUUAACCAGUUCCACAAAGCUUUGUUGUCUAUUUGAGCUCCACAGAAUUCAAGGAUCAAAGAAGACUAGCAGACGGAGGACAUUCUAAUCGCUGUCAGGGUGCUGCCGACAUUCAAAUACACCUCCGCCACCUGCUAGCUACAUCAAAAGAAAUUACGUCAAAACCUAGCUUGGGGGAGAGCACCCCCAUUUAUCCAGCUAAGUGUUUCUACUCGCGUUAAUACUUUACUCAAAUAAUAAAAAGAUGCAUAAUCAUAAAAACCCAAAUAAAGAAUUUGUGCUUAUAUAUAUAUUUAUAUCUAUGCUUAGUUUGCUAAAUAAAUAAAUAAAUAAAGUUUGCUAUGAACCCUCAUGAUAAGCUCUCACAUGGAAAUGAGGAAUAGUUGCUCUGCCAUGACUAGUUCUCAAAAUUGAAAUCUCUCUCAAGUUUAGGCAUUACUGUUAUGAAUUAAGAUUUGCUCUAAACCUGAACUUGUGAGAAGAGUACUUGAUCUAAAGUCUAAGUCGUAAGGUUGAGCUGCUGUUUAUCUGUUCCUAGAGAUGCUAGAAUUUUGGAGAAUUUUAUCUUUGAAAAUCUUUAAAAUGUUGCAUGAUGUGUUCAUGUAUGAUGAGAGUUUAAAAUCCUACCACAGCCAUAUAUACAUGCUUAUUAGACUAUGAACCAUACAUUUACUUUUUACUACUUAUGAGCAUUGAGUGUGGUCAAGCUGUAUAGACCCUUAGGAGCUUGUCAUGCGGUUAUAAUCAAGAUUCACUUGCACGUCCACUCAUACAUGCUGCUUCUACUCCGGGAGUAUGCAUGCACAUACAUCCACUCAUUUCCAUCUCCAGAUUCACCCAAAAUUAUUCUACUCCUAUCCGGGAGAGAAUAGCCAAAAAUAUUAUCCCAUUCUUGUUUUUCCCUGUGAAAUAAAUGCUUGAGCUAUUUUGGUUACUACCACUUGCUACAUUAUUCCAGGAGGGUGAGUGCUCUGAAAAAAAAGAAGAAAAAUACGAGGAAAUAAAAAAGGGCAAGUGCUCGGAACCUCGAAAGAAAAAAGAAAAAGUGAGACGAGAGCUAAAAAUGGACAAGUGUCUGACAGUAGAAUUAGGGGUACAAGAUACCCACCUGAGAGAAAAGAAAAAGAAAAUAUAUAGCAUCUCAUUCCUCUCAAAAACCUUCGAAGUGCAAGAAAGGUAUGUAUCCCCUCAAAAGAGCAAAAGUAGAGUUAGACUUUCACCAUUAUUUUCACCAUUAUCACCAUCAUCACCAUACACCAUUCAUCCGCCACACAUGCACAUCUUGGUUUGACUUAUUGACUUGUUUCUCUGGAUCCAUUGUUUGACUAUGCAAUAAAUGUCUUGUAAGUAUGUAUUAGCUGUCUCCCACCUAUGAGCUCCAGAUAUCAAACCUUAUUAGAGUAGGGUGAGAGAGAAGGCAAUAUCUCUAUGCCUCAUACCAAAAAUAUCACAUGCUUUGAGAGAAGGCGUAUAUUAUCACUGCCUUGGUAAGGAUCCAGAAAUACCACAAAAGAGAGACUAGAGAGAGUCAUACAAGGAAUCUCUGAGUUUUAUUUGAAAAUCUGCAAAAACUCCAGAGCUAUAGUUGAUCAAAGAACAAGAGACAUGGUGCUUGACUUGACCGUUCUAUCUUUUAACUGCUCAAGACACAAGUGACGGUUGCAAGCCCCAUGGUGGAAGGUAAUAUGAGUAAGUUUAAAUCUUAACAGUUUACCCUAACCUAGAGAUGAGAUAUUGUUUAAAUGCAUGUGUACCGUUAAGGCAUAAAACCACUGUAGAAACUCUUGAGUCCAUCCUUGCUCAGGGACGAGCAAGAGGUAAACUUGGGGGAGAUGUUGACGGUCCUUAAGUACCAAAUAUAAUCAUCAAAUAAACAAAGAAAAGGAUCCAAAUACAACCAACAUCUAAACUGAGAGUUUUAUCUGACAGAAUUCCACGAGUUUUGUUGUUUGUCUAUUUCUGCAGGGGGUUAUUAGGAAAUAAGGAAGAAAGGCCCACACGUCAGGUUUACAUAGAGAUAUUAACGUGCCGCGCAAUUUUCUAUCAUCUAGAAGACUCCAGAAGCCACAGGAACGAACGGGAGGCCGAGCGAGCUCGGGGGUAGGGCACCCGCCCACCCCCCUUGGGUGCCCGCCCAGCUACAGAGUCCAAUCAGGACUCUCUUCGGGGAUUACGCUCCACCGACCUAAAGGAUCAAGAAUAACCGUUCAAUCAAUGUCGGUUUGAUCCGACGGCCCAGAUUCACAUGAGGGGACUAUAUAACCAGACCCCCAGGCCCCUAGAGGAGGCACCCCUUGAUCAUUAUUCAUUAUUCAUAGACAGAGCAAAAGCUAGGGUUUAGAGAUGAGAGCUCUCCUCUCUUCUCUAAACUAGAGUAGAUCUAGAUAGUAGCGAGAUGGAGAGCGAAGGAGGAUUAGAGGAGAGGCCGGCCUGUCGGUUCUUCCUCCGGUUGUACUUCGUCAUGAUCAAGCUCUAAUCAAGCUUGCUCAUGGGAUGACUCUGGUAAUCUACUUCUAAUUCAUUAUGCAAUUACUAAUCAUUUAUGUUCUGGUUCACAACUCUUUUGAGUACUUCUAAUCUAUAGGACCCUAUAGGUUAGAGUUGUAGUAUAGGUGUAAGUGUGGUGCUUAGACCUAGAUUACUUGUGUAUAUCCCUUGUCUAGCUGGAUCGUGUGGUAGGCUGUGUAGGUGAUAGUUACGUUGGUCCUCUGUAGUCCACCUCUCGUUAGCAGGAUGGGUAGGGUUUAUCGGCCUAAGGAUAAGCAUCCUUUGUGGUGUACUCUUAUCACGUGGUUCGUCCCAGACAUAGACAUACCCCUUUGAAGUAGAGAAACCAUAGUUAUCCUCUCUAUUCUGCUACCAUCGCCCAUAUACUAGAAUUGCUCUAUUCUCUAUUCCCAUAUUAUCACUCAUUGUUAUCCUACAUUUAAUAUUGUUCUUAUUCAAUUCUACCAUCUUUCCUAUUUACACUUAUCUAUCUAUCUUGGUUAAGUUAGAGCGUAGUUGGUUCUCCCGUUUCCCUAUGGAUACUAUAAAACCUUUAACCGAGUAAAAGCUUCAACAGUAUCCGUGCGCUUGCGGAUUAUCUGUGUGCGUAUAAAUACCAUAGUACACUCUAGUGCCAUGCUGGGGAUGACAACCUAGUAUUCAAGUGGUGUUAGCGAGUGUCAACAGCAGGUACAACCUCAGAGUAGACACCGACAGGUCGGGCUUCCUCCGAUUUACACCUCCACUCUAUCUCUCUCAAUCUAGUAGAUCUAGUCUACUCUCACAUUGGAUGCUAAGCCCUAAGUCUAUUUAGAGGAGAGGUUGUCCUUCGAGGGCACCUCUCAACUCUAUGGUGAACUUGUUCUCCUCCAGGGGCCAGGGGGUCUGCUUAUAUAGUCCCCUCAAGUGAAUCUGGGCUGUCGGAUCAAACCGACAUUGAUUGAACGGGUAUCUUUGAUCCUUUAGGUCGGUGGAGCGUAAUCCAUGAGACGGGUCCUGAUUUGACUCUGCACCAGGGCGGGCGCCCUAGGGGGGAGGGGGGCACCCUACCCCCAGGCCCGAUCACCUUCCCGUUCGUUCCCGUGGCUUCUGGAGUCUUCUAGAUGAUAGAAAAUUGUGCGGCACGUUAAUAUCUCUAUGUAAACCCGACAUGUGGGCCUUUCUUCCAUAUUUCCUGAUAACCCCCUGUAGAAAUAGACAAACACCAAAACUCGUGGAAUUUUGUCAGAUAAAACCCUAAGUUUGGGUGUUGGUUGCAUUUGGAUCCUUUUCUUUAUUUAUUUGAUGAUUAUAUUUGGUACUUAAGGACCGUCAACAACUCCCCCAAGCUUACCUCUUGCUCGUCCCUGAGCAAAGAUAGACUCAAAAGUUUCUGUAGUGGUUUCAUGCCUUAAAAGUACACAUGCGUUCAAGCAAGAUCGCAACCGUCACUUGUGUCUUGAGCAGUUAAAAGAUAGAACAGUCUAGUCAAGCGCCAUGUCUCUUGUUAUUUAUCAGCUAUAGCUCUGGAGUUUUUGCAGAUUUUCAAAUAAAACUCAGAGAUUCCUUGUAUGACUCUCUCAAAUCUCUCUUUUGUGGUAUUUCUGGAUCCUUUCCAAGACAGUAAUGGUUUAUGCCUUCUCUCAAAGUAUGUGGUAUUUUUGGUAUGAGGCAUAGUGACAUUGCCUUCUCUCUCAUCCUACUCUAAUAAGGUUUUGAUAUCUGGAGCUCAUAGGUGGGAGACAGCUAAAACAUACUUAUAAGACAUUUAUUGCAUAGUCAAACCAUGGAUCCAGAAGAACAAGUCAAUAAGUCAAAUCAAGAUGUGCAUGUGUGGUGAGUGAAUGGUGUAUGGUGAUAACAAUGGUGAAAGUCUAAUUCUACUUUUGCUGUUUUAAAGGGAUACAUACCUUUCUUGCUCUUUUGAAACUUUUUGAGGAGAAUGAGAUGCUCUAUAUUUUCUUUUUCUUUCCUCUCAGGUGGGUAUCUUGUACCCUAUUGGUAUUUCUUAGUGAUGCAGCCAAUUAGCCGCAAGCGCACGGAAGUACCGUUGUAGCACUUCACCCGGUGGUAUUCAGGGUAUCGAGAUUUCACAGGGAAUGGAGGUCUUUUGAGACUUAAACUAAGUGUACCCUAGAGUAAAGUGAGAGGAAUGACUUAGGUAGUGAGGUUCUCCUAAUGGUAGAAGUUUUGUGCAAGGCAACGUGCUUUUCUAAUCUUACUUCGGGCACCAGAGCGUACCUGGUCUGCCAGGUAAUACCGUCGUGUAGCUCUACACCGUAUCCGGACGUGGGGGAAACUAAGGACAAACAAGGCUAUCACCACCUGCUGCCGACCCCUCAACCGUGGGAUACGAGGCAAACGAGGGUAACCUCUAACCUAGACACCACGUCUACGUUAUUAGCUACUACUCUAGCGUUGCGCAGGUCCUCCCGCCAGCCAGCAAAAGUCCCUCUACUAGAGUAUCUACCGAGAGAUAGACAAUGAACCCGCAAGAUUAUAAGUACACGAUAACGAUUACUCAAUAACUUCUUAGAACCAAAGAAGAAUACAACCUUUUCUUACCCCAAUAUGGUAUUCCAGGUUGUAGAGGUACAGCUCGGGAAGCGGGCAGCACUUCGGCCCUUCCGCCCAGUGCAACUAGGGGAACGGACCGGGUGCUUCCUACUUCUCUUACUCUACACUCUAACUCACUAUCCUAUUCUAUUCCUAACUAGAAGCUAAGGAUAUGAGUGGAAGCUCCGCCUCUCUACUACUACUCUUGUAUCUCUCUUUAUUCUUGUGGACUUGAAGCUUGAAUGGAUUGAAUGAUGAUGAAUGAGAGGCCCUCUCCCCCUCCUUAUAUAGGUGUGGAAGGUCGGUUUGGGAGGGGAUAAACUGCAAAAUGCAGCCGGGAACCGCGCUUCGGGCUUUGCAUGCACCGCCUCUGCAAAAGGCGGUGGGGAGCUGGGCCAGGCCGGGGUCGGCCGACCCUAGGGGCGGCCGCCCCCUGGCUGGCUCCGUUGGCCCAGGCCCAAAGCCCAGACGAUGCUCCUCAGCCUUCUGAGUUUGAAUCCAAUUGCAUUUCGAUGCACUUCUGUAUUUGAAUUAAAUGUGCCUUCAAUUCUUUAAUUUUGGCGGCUCAAACCCUAGUGUCCUGCAUACACAUGUGUUCACCAAAACUGUGGAAUUUGGUUAGCAUAAAAAGCCCUAUUUCUAAUGUUUGGUGAUAUUUUAUAGAGUUUGUAUUCAUGUUGGCGGUAUGAAAAGUGUAUUUUAAGAAACGCCAACAAACUCCCCAACACUUAGCCCUUUGCUCGUCCUCGAGUAAAGCUUAUGUUUUUGGGCUAAGAUGGUUCCACUUCUCCUGAUAAUGAACCUGCAUACAAACUAUUCCAAGCCUCACCUGAACUUAUGAGCAUUCAGAGUGUCUACCAAAACAUCUUGAGUAAUUGAAAAAUGGAACAGUUAGGAUUCAAAUCUUCUUACUCAACUUUGCUCAAAACUUGGGUUUUUACCUUUUUGAAUAAAAAUAGUCUUGCUCUUUAGAUGAUACUCUCAAAUCACUCGAGAAUGUUUCUGGUUCCUUACCAAGGUAAAAGUACCUCUUGAUUUGUCCUACCUCUAUAAGCUGUAUUUGGAGUUUUGGGUAUGGACUAAAGAGAAUGCAUACUUACCUUGUAUGUAUUGUCGAGUCAAAUCUCGGAUCCAAGAAGAGAAGUGUCAUACCCUUAGAUCAAGAUGUGCAAGUGUGUGGUAUAUGGAAUAAACAACUCUGUUGGUUGAUAUGAUCUCAUCAAGUAUUUCUAGACAUGGCUAUCAUAACUCUUUUAUUUUCUUGUGAGCCUUCAUGUGCUCAUGUUUUUUUUUUGUAUAUUUAGGACUUUCAUGUGUCCUAUGUUUUUUUUCAGGUGGGUAUUUUUAUGCCCCUAAUUCUAUGGCGGGCACUUGCCCAUUUUUUUUCUUCUCUUUUAUAUAUAUAUAUAUUUUUGCAUAGCCCAUGUCUUUAUCUAAGAUGCACUAGAGAGAUCAUUCUUUAAAACAUGGAGUGUUUGUAUGGUGGACAUGUAAGGCAUGUUUUUGGGCACUCCCAGUGUAGAAGCGGCAUAUAUAUGUAUCUGGAGUGUACGUGAUCUUGAUCUUGAGAGCAUGAUAAAUCUCUUAACAAGGGUCAACAAGACUUGACACAACUCAAAACAAAUAAGUAGCUAUUUGUAGAAUUUUUAUCAAGAGUAAUAUAUUUGGCCUUGGUAGGUAAUUAUCUAUCAUUAAAGAGUAGACUUUUUGCAAUUUAAAUUUUAUCAAAUAAAUCCCCAAGUUCAUUGCAUAAGUGAGCAAGUUUCAAAUCAUCCUACUAUAUCGCAAAUCUCAAUUACUUAGAAGCAAUGGGGUCCUUAUAAAAAGUUGCUCAUAAAUGGUAGGCUUUUGGCGAGGAAUAAAGAGUAUGCAUGUUUAAUUUCAAAGGCAGAAAGGAAAUGGAGUAUUCAUUUAUUUUUUUAUCUUUUUAUUUUAUUAGCAAUAUUUUUAUCAUAUAAAUCAGAUUUAAAUUGUCAUAGUAGGAAUAAAAAAUAAUUCUGAAAUUUUUUUCUAUGUAAGAUUACCUUGAUGACGAUUCCUCCCCCACGCUUGUUUUUGUACCUGUUCUUUGAUUUUUCUCAAGUAGACAAAAAUAAUACAAAACCAAGUGGAGACAAAAUAAUUCGAACAAAGGACUUCUUUAUUAUUCAAUAUAUGCCGAAACAUUGAUUACAAAGUAAAUGAAGGAAAUCUAAAUAAAAGGGAAAAUAAAUUACUCGGCUAAGCAAAAUUAAACUAGAUGCGGUUUGUGUCUAGAACAUGCUCUACACCCGCACCCCGAGCCACCUUGACAAGCCGGUUGGUUAGACCGAAUUGUACAACGACUAAGUCGUCCUUAAGCUCUAUAUAUUUCAGGCGGAUGUUAGCUAGUUCGCCUUUAAGCUCUUCCACGACACCACGUAGUGACCGCACAGAAGUCCUAAGCGCGGCGAUAGUGCGCGCGCUUUUCUGCUUUGACUCAUUAUCUGAAUCAUUAAGAAAUCCGUGUGGCUGCCACCUAAGGAUGGGAUUUUCGCGCUUGCAUUUUGGGACGCGAGGGGCAGCAGAAGGCAGAUUAGAGUCACUUGGCAGCCGGUUUGAUCGCCCCCCUGUAGCGGGGUUUGCGCGUUUGAUACGCAAGGGGGCGGACGAUGUGGUCGCGGCUGUCUUAGGCGAGGGCGCAGGUGCGGGUGGCGCGAGCGGCGGCUUACGCAUGAGGCCCUUCCCGCAUCCUCCACCGGGUUUUCUAAUUCCCACCACGGUGUAGGACGGGUUGGAGCGCGCAGUGGAUCCCGAAGACAGGAACCUAUAGUCUAAACUGCCCGAAGGCCUUACAACAUAUGGAUCUACAGGCGCCUUCUUCUUGUUCACCGUCGUCGGCGGCGCAUCGUCGCGCGCCGUCUUCCUCGGUGCUGCCGUCUUGUGCGCCGCCAGCCUCGUGCGAGCCGUGUAACGCAGGCUCGUUCCUUCGCUCGUGAUGCUUGAUGGGGGCAUGAUGGCAAGAGGGUACGUCAGCAUCUCUUCUUCUUCCAUACCGAACGCCUCCCUCAUGUUCGCCUCGGAGAAUUCUCCUUCGGCGUCAAAGGAUCCUCCCAACUCCACGAACAGCGCUAGCGCGUGGCUGCCCAUUCCCUAAGCGCUACUCUUGAUAGAGGUGGUUUGUGAAGAUGUAAACUUGGAAAGCACUAAUGGCUAUGGCUUAGAGAGGGGUUAGGGGGUGUUUAAAUAGGAAGAAGGCCCUCCCUGGCGAGAUCACGAUCGGCAAAUUUGAAUUUGCAUGCAGAUAAGGAUAGGGAUGACGAAGAGAUAGACGCUGGAAAAGAUCGGGCCGCAGACGUGUCAGGCCAGGGGCGGCCGACACCUAGGCACGUCCGUUGGCCCUGAAUUUUGGCGUGCGCACUCGUCCCACUUUUCAAAACUUGAAUCUGCCUACGUUUUGCUACGCUUCCUAGAUGUUUUUAGAGAAACAAGGGUUUUAUUGAAAGGUAAAAGCUAAAAACUAAAGAUCCUUUUUAGAAAUCAUAUUUUUAUUUUUGGUAAUUCAAAACUAAGCAGAAUGAAUUGAAAUAUUUUAUUUAUAUUAUUAUUAUUAUUAUUAUAUUUUUUUUACAAUUUAAACCCAAUUAAUCAAAUGUAUUGUUUCAAUUUCCUUUUCAAAAUUGGGUUCCAUGAAAACUUUUAAGCGUUGACCAUUUACCUUAGUGAUAUUACCUUCCUCAUCUUCUAUGGUGAUCGCGCCAUGCUCGGAGGUCUCGAUGACGGUGUAUGGUCCUUUCCACUUACUCCGAAGUUUUCCUGCACCGAAAAGUCGUACCUAGUUGAAGAGUAGAACGCGGUCGCCUUUUCUAAACUCCUUGGGUUUGAUUCGGUGAUCGUGCCAUUUCUUUGUUCUUUCCUUGUAUAUCUUGGCACUGUGGUAAGCUUUUUCUCGGCAUUCUUCAAGCUCAGCUAUCUGUUUCUGUCGGUUCCUGCCAGCUAGCUUGAAGUCCAUAUUCCAGUUCUUGAUCGCCCAGUAAGCUCAGUGCUCGAGCUCAACCAGGAGAUGGCAUGCUUUGCCAUAUACCAUCUGGAAUGGUGACAUGCCUAUGGGGGUUUUAUAGGCCGUCCGAUAUGCCCAGAGGGCAUCUGGUGACUUGCUCUUCCAACCCUUCCCCAUUUCGUUGACUGUUUUCUGCACGAUGUUCUUGAUUUGCUUGUUUGAGGUUUCCGCUUGACCGCUUGUUUGAGGGUGGUACGGGGUAGCUAUGUUGUGCUUUGCUCCAAGCUCACGCAGGAAGUUUCUGAAUGUUCUGUCAAUGAAGUGUGAUCCUCCAUCACUCACAACCAUCCUGGGUGUUCCGAACCGAGGAAAGAUCACUUCAUGAAACAUCUUCCGUGCGUGCUUUGCGUCAGCAGCUCGGCAUGGUAGAGCUUCUACCCACUUGGACACAUAGUCCACAGCAACCAGGAUAUACUCGCAAUCUUGGGACUUCUGGAAUGGACCCAUGAAGUUAAUGCCCCAUACAUCAAAUACUUCGACCGGUAGGUUGUAAUGGAGGGGCAUUUCAUUGCGAGCAGUGAUGUUGCCUUGAAACUGACACUUCUGGCAUCUUCGGAUGAAGUCCUUCGUGUCCUCAUACAUCGUCGGCCAGAAGAAUCCGCACUGCCAGAUUUUGGCUUGAGUGCGGAAGGCUCCAUAGUGGCCUCUGUACGGUGCAGAGUGACAUUGUUCGAUGAUUUUCUCUCCUUCGGUUGCUGGUACACACCUCCUCAAAAGCCCGUCGGAACAGACCCGAUACAAGUAUGGGUUGUCCCAAAGGUGUCGGCGGCUCUCAACUUGCAGCUUCUUCCUGCUUUCGCCUGGUGGUACGUAACUAGUGACCAUGUAGUUGACGAUGGUGGCGUACCACGGGUUCAGGUCAGUCACUCUUAACAGCAUGUCGCCGCGCAUGAAGUCAUUAAUGGGUAGUUCCUGCAUGUUAGUGACUUGCAUACGCGAAAGAUGGUCUGCCACAGUAUUUUCUGUACCCUUUUUAUCUUUUAUUUCUAAAUCAAAUUCUUGUAACAGCAAGAUCCAUCUUAUGAGGCGAGGUUUUGCAUCUCUCUUAGUGAGAAGGUAUUUUAGAGCAGCAUGAUCAGUAUAAACAAUUAUUUUUGCUCCCACUAAGUAAGAUCUGAAUUUAUCAAUAGCGAAAACUACGGCAAGGAGCUUUUUUUCUGUGGUAGCAUAAUUUAACUGAGCUCCUGUCAUAGUUUUGCUAGCAUAAGCAAUUGCAUGAUGCUGUUUAUCUUUUGUUUGACCUAAGACUGCCCCGACAGCAAUGUCACUAGCAUCACACAUCAUCACAAACGGUAGCGACCAACCCGGGGGUUGGAUGAUUGGUGCUGAGAUGAGUGCCUUCUUUAAAGUAUGAAAGGCAGUGAGACACUCAUCAGUGAACUCAAAGGGUGUUUCUUUGGCUAAAAGAUUUGUAAGAGGCCUUGCAAUUUGUGAAAUGUUUUUUAUAAACCUUCUAUAGAAACCAGCGUGGCCUAAGAAACUUCAGAUCCCUUUUACGUUCACUGGAGGAGGUAGACCCUCUAUUACUUCAAUUUUGGCCUUGUCUACCUCGAUUCCCCUCUCGGAAACUAGGUGUCCGAGAACGAUGCCUUCUCUGACCAUGAAAUGGCACUUUUCCCAAUUAAGUACCAGGUCUUUAUCACGGCAUCUUUGCAACACUUUGUCUAAGUUUUCAAGACAAUGAUCAAAAGUUUUUCCAUAGACUGAAAAAUCGUCCAUGAAAACUUCCAUAAUUUCCUCGAUCAUGUCAGAAAAGAUAGACAUCAUGCACCUUUGAAAGGAGGUGGGUGCAUUGCAUAGUCCGAAGGACAUGCGUCGAUAAGCAAACGUUCCAUAUGGGCAUGUGAACGUGGUUUUGAUUUGAUCAUCGGGGUGGAUAGGGAUCUGAUGAUAACCCGAAUACCCGUCAAGAAAACAAAAGAAAGAAUGUUUCGCCAACCGCUCUAACAUUUCGUCAAUGAAGGGUGUUGGGUAUUCUUAACAUCAUUACCAAAAGUAGACUAAGUUCUCUAAAUCUAGUAACGGUGCCAAAAAUGCCAAACCUAUCCCUCACACCACUUAAGCCAAGUUGUCAUCCCCAGCAUGAUAUAAGAGACGCGGUAUUGAAAUAUGCAAUUGCUCUUCUAAAUAAAUAAUGAAUGGGAUCUGCAAGCGCACAGAUUAAUACCGAUGUAGCAUUUUAACCGGGAAGUAUUCCAGGUAUCGUUAUUUAUAUUUUUACCACUGGGAAGGGAUUAGCAAUCAUCAAUAUUGAUUACAGAAUAGAAUAUGAGAUUGAGCAUCUAUCAUUGCAUGUAUAAUUGAGAACAUUAUAUCUAACUCUUCAUACAGGGAUAAGUGUCACAUAAAAGAUAUAUGAAAUAAUGAAUAGUGACAAGGAUAAUUAAUCAGAUCUAGCCACAUAAUAAAUAUCAUAAGCACCUCAAUUAGAUACUCUAGAAAGUCAUUAGCAUGGUAUUAGAACGAACUACAAGAAUAUUCCCUAAGUUAUUCUCAACUAUAUAGUCUAGCAUAUCAUAGUUAGUGCAAGCAUACUUAGCAAUCAUUGCGAGACAAGACUACGCCCAUGCAUAGUGAUAUUAGCAAGGAAUAUGAGAAACAUAGCAAUCACUCCCCUGUAAUAAUGUUGCUCUGCCAGCCCAAUACACGAGAGGGGGGACUAUAUAAGAAUCAAUGAAGCUGUCACUAUCACGAACCACCCCACGAUCUGGUAUAUUGGGACAAUCGCAGAUAAAUACGGUAUAAGCACCACGCCUACACAAUAUCUAUCAUUUACCCAUGGAUCCGAUGGAUAAACGCUAUACGAUCCUAAGCAUGUAUAUAGAUCCAAUCUAACUAAGCCAAGUACAUAACUAUGAUAAACUAAGAACAAUAUAAUCUUGAAUAUAAGCAAGUAGAGCAAAGUCAUAAGCAAUAUAUUGAAGUAGAACAAAGUCAUAUUCAUAAUAUUGAAGAACAAAGAUAAUUAGAAAGCAAUUAGAAGCACAAUUAGAGAAUUACCAAGAAUCCUCUUGACAGAUCCGGAAACCAAUCGAAGAUUGACUCCUUCUAGUUCUAAUCCUAUGUAGCUAUGCUAAUCUAGAUAUCUAAUUGAUGUGGUGGCUCUAAUCUUGAUCAGAGGCUUCUUCUCCCUUGAUGAACAAUGAAUUAGGGUUGAGAGGCUCUCUCCUAUAGGGGCCAGGGGGUCUGGUUUUAUAGUCCCUUCAAGUGAAUAUGGGCCCUUGGAUCAAACCGACAUAGAUUGUAUGGUUUAGAUUCAUCCUUUAGGUCGGUGGAGAUCUCCCGCGAAGCAGAGUCCUGAUUGGACUCAGGAGGUGGGCGGGCGCCCUGACCAACUGGGCGGCCGCCCAGGGUCUGGCCCCGUUUCGCCUCCGCUUCGGUCUCGUGGCUUCUGGAGUCUUCUAGAUGUAAGAUAAUUGCGCGGCACGUUAAUAUCUCUAUGUAAUCCCGACGUGUGGGCCUUUCUUCCGUAUUUCCUGAUAACCCCCUGCAAAAAUUGACAAACACCAAAACUCGUGGAAUUCUGUCAGAUGAAACCCUAAAUCUAGAUGUUGAUUUCAUUUGGAUCCUUUUCUUUAUUUAUUUGAUAAUUAAAUUUGAUACUUAAGGACCGUCAACAAACUCCCCCAAGCUUACCUCUUGCUCGUCCCUGAGCAAGAAUAGACUCAGCUAUGGAUCAUAAGUUAUUGCAAUAUAUUAAAAAUUGGUGANNNNNNNNNNNNNNNNNNNNNNNNNNNNNNNNNNNNNNNNNNNNNNNNNNNNNNNNNNNNNNNNNNNNNNNNNNNNNNNNNNNNNNNNNNNNNNNNNNNNUAGUGCAAUAUGUUUAAAAAUCGAUGGUUGUUGACGGUCCUUAAGUAUCAAAUUUAAUUAUCAAAUAAAUAAAGAAAAGGAUCCAAAUAAAAUUAAGAUCUAGACUUAGGGUUUUAUCUGACAGAAUUCCACGAGUUUUGGUGUUUGUCUAUUUCUGCAGGGGGUUAUCAGGAAAUAAGGAAGAAAGGCCCACAUGUCAGGAUUACGUAAAGAUAUUAACGUGCUGCGCAAUUAUCUUACAUCUAGAAGACUCCAGAAGCCACGAGACCGAAGCGGAGGCGAAACGGGGCCAGACCCUGGGCGGCCGCCCAGUUGGUCAGGGCGCCCGCCCACCUCCUGAGUCCAAUCAGGACUCUGCUUUGCGGGAGAUCUCCACCGACCUAAAGGAUGAAUCUAAACCAUACAAUCUAUGUCGGUUUGAUCCAAGGGCCCAUAUUCACUUGAAGGGACUAUAAAACCAGACCCCCUGGCCCCUGGAGGAGAGAGCCUCUCAACCCUAAUUCAUUGUUCCAUCAAGGGAGAAGAAGCCUCUGAUCAAGAUUAGAGCCACCACAUCAAUUAGAUAUCUAGAUUAGCAUAGCUACAUAGGAUUAGAACUAGAAGGAGUCAAUCUUCGAUUGGUUUCCGGAUCUGUCAAGAGGAUUUCUUGGUAAUUCUCUAAUUGUGCUUCUAAUUGCUUUCUAAUUAUCUUUGUUCUUCAAUAUUAUGAAUAUGACUUUGUUCUACUUCAAUAUAUUGCUUAUGACUUUGCUCUACUUGCUUAUAUUCAAGAUUAUAUUGUUCUUAGUUUAUCAUAGAUAUGUACUUGGCUUAGUUAGAUUGGAUCUAUAUACAUGCUUAGGAUCGUAUAGCGUUUAUCCAUCGGAUCCAUGGGUAAAUGAUAGAUAUUGUGUAGGCGUGGUGCUUAUACCGUAUUUAUCUGCGAUUGUACCCAAUAUGCCAGAUCGUGGGGUGGUUCGUGAUAGUGACAGCUUCAUUGAUUCUUAUAUAGUCCCCCUCUCGUGAAUUGGGCUGGCAGAGCAACAUUAUUACAGGGGAGUGAUUGCUAUGUUUCUCAUGUUCCUUGCUAAUAUCACUAUGCAUGGGCGUAGUCUUGUCUCGCAAUGAUUGCUAAGUAUGCUUGCACUAACUAUGAUAUGCUAGACUAUAUAGUUGAGAAUAACUUAGGGAAUAUUCUUGUAGUUCAUUCUAAUACCAUGCUAAUGACUUUCUAGAGUAUCUAAUUGAGGUGCUUAUCAUAUUUAUUAUGUGGCUAGAUCAGAUUAGUUAUCCUUGUCACUAUUAUUACUUCAUAUAUCUUUUAUGUGACACUUAUCCCUGUAUGAAGAGUUAGAUAUAAUGUUCUCAAUUAUACAUGCAAUGAUAGAUGCUCAAUCUCAUAUUCUAUUCUGUAAUCAAUAGUGAUGAUUGCUAAUCCCUUCCCAGUGGUAAAAAUAUAAAUAACGAUACCUGGAAUACUUCCCGGUUAAAAUGCUAUAUCGGUAUUAAUCUGUGCGCUUGCAGAUCCAAUUCAUUAUUUAUUUAGAAGAGCAAUUGCAUAUUUCAAUACCGCGUCUCUUAUAUCAUGCUGGGGAUGACAACUUGGCUUAAGUGGUGUGAGGGAUAGGUUUGGCAUUUUUGGCACCGUUACUAGAUUUAGAGAACUUAGUCUACUUUUGGUAAUGAUGUUAAGAAUACCCAACAAGCAUUUUUGGCGUCGUUGCCUGGGAAGGUUGAUUACUAAUCAGGAAUGGAAUAAAAGAUUUUGAGUUAUCAUUCGCAUCACUAAUAUGAUUGAGCUUAUCUAUUCUCUCAUACAGUUUUACCCCGAUAUUUUUCUAUUUUAUCUUAUGCAGGGGAAUGUAUGAAUAGAAGACAUCUUCCAGGAAAUUUUGUUGAUAAUCCCGAAGCAUUAUUCAAGAAGACGCGAGCCAAGCUAAAGAAAUCAUCAACACUUUAGCAAGAAGCUUCAUCCAAUCAAGAAGAUCACCGGAACUUGUCUUCAGAGUUCGAGGCCAUGGCGAACAAAUCAAUCCGCGAGUUCUCAGCUCCCACUACGGACAACAUCCGCACUGGACCUGCUGCAGAGAUCGAUGGCAACUUUGAGCUCAAGCCGGGACUUAUCAACAUGGUGCAAUCCAACCAGUUCUGUGGGAAGGCACACGAAGACGCUAGUGCUCAUUUACAACACUUCCUGGAGAUUUGCAACACAUUCACCAUAGCAGGAGUUUCCAAAGACGCUAUACUACUUCGCCUCUUCCCAUUCUCACUGUUAGGAAGAGCGAAGCAGUGGUUCUACGCUACAAAGGAGAAGAAUACUACGUGGGUUCUCUGCUCAACAAACUUCCUGGCUAAGUUCUUUCCCAUGGGCAAGACCAAUGCUCUCCGUGGGAAGAUUACAAGUUUUCAGCAACAAAAUGAUGAAUGUGUUCCAGAAGCAUGGGAGCGCUUUCAAGACUACAUCCUAGAAUGUCCCCAUCAUGGAUUGGAGAGUUGGCUACUGAUACAGACAUUCUAUCAUGGGCUCAGCAACAGUGCCCGAGAGACCAUGGAUGCUGCAGCUGGAGGAGCAUUCUUAUCACUUACUAUACUACAAGCCACAGCUCUUGUGGAGAAGAUGGCGUCCAACCAAAGCUGGAAUGAAGAGAGGACCCAGACACGCAAGAGAGGUGGAGGUAUGCAUCAGCUGAAGGAGGUAGACAUGCUGUCUGCAAAGCUAGACCUGCUCAUGAAGAAGCUCGACGAUAGAGCUGGAGACAAGAAAGAAGUUAUGCACAUCUACGACUCUCACAUGACUUGUGAGGAGUGUGGAGACACUGGACACUCAGGCAACCACUGCCCUGAGAUGCUUGAGGAUGUGAACUACAUCAUCAACAACAACAACAACUACUACAACCGUCCUCAACAAAAUCAAGGUAGGAAUCAACAGAGGCUUAACUACUCAGGUAAUUAUCAAGGUAACAAUUCUUACAACAAUAAUAAUAAUUUUCCAACUUUGAGAGAGUUAGUGACUAAUCAAGGAAAGCUAAUGGAUAACCUAUCUAAGAAAUUGGCAUCUAAUGAUAAAAUGCUAGAAAAUAUAAAUAAUAGAAUGGAUAAUUUUUCUACUGCCAUCAAGAAUCAAAUUAGCUUUAAUAAAAUGAUUGAAUCUGAGUUAAAUCAAAUAGCUGCUGCUGUUCCUACUACUAACCCCGGUAUACCAUCACAACCGGAAGGAUUAGAAUCUGCAAAUCUUGUAGACGUGUUUGAUGCAGGUAAUUUGAGUAACCCCGUCACUGAAUUCUCUACUGACCGUCUGCCGGUCAAGAGAGGCGAUCCAGGACGCCCCGUCAUCCCGAUCUCCAUCGGCAUGGUGGACGUUCCAGAAGCACUCUGUGACUUUGGCUCUAGCGUCAACAUUAUACCCAGGGUACUCUAUGAAAAAUGCUUUACAUAUCCUUUAUUAGAAAUAACCAUGUGUUUGCAGUUUGCAGAUCAGACGAUAACUUUUCCAAAAGGAAUAGUGAGGAACCUUUGUGUCCGAGUUGGUACUUUAUAUGCCCCAGCAGACUUCGUAGUGGUUGAGACCGGAAAUGAUGAGAGAGCACCUAUCAUCCUAGGAAGGCCAUUUUUGAACACCACGGGAGCUAUCAUCUACGCUAGUGCUGCCAAGAUCAGUUUCUACGUCAAAGGGAAGAAGGAGACAUUUUUCUUCAAGAACAAGACUACACAAAUUCCAGAUCAAUCCAGACGUGAAUCAGGGAAGAGGACCAACAGGAGGAACAGGAACAAGCAAGUAUGGACCGAGUCAGCUAAGAUGGUCACUGUAGUCCAUGGAGGCCAAGAUCACCAACUUAAGUCACCGUUUUUGACCAAGAAGGAUGACCCAGGAAUGCCAAGCAUCUACUGCUCCAUAAAUGGAUAUAACUUCUACAAGACGAUUUGCGACACCGGAUCGGGCGUCAACAUAAUGGCCGCAGUCACUUAUCGGCUCUUGUUCGGGACCAUGCCACUAAGACCAACAUACAUUCAGCUCCAGAUGGCAGAUCAGACAUUUCGAGAAGUUCAAGGAAUAGUAUCUGAUGUCCCAGUCAAAAUAGACGAUCACCUUGUCUACACAGACUUUCAAAUUGUUGACAUGGGACAAGACGAGUAUGAUCCACCCAUCAUCCUUGGAAGACCGUUCCUCAGCACCAUUAAAGCAAUUAUCUACAUUGGAACCGGAGAAGUCCAUAUGCACUUCCCCUCAGAGAAGGUACGCCAUUAUUUUACUGACCCUAACUAUAUCAUUGAAGAAUCUAAGCAGGUCAGAAAGAGACGCAACCGCAACCAGAGGAGGCAGAUCAUCAAGGACGGAUGGGCAGACUAUGAAGGAGAAGUUGUAAGGUCAGAAGACGUAGAGUUUAAACAGAAUUAUCCAGAGGAGAUUGAAGCACCGAGUCAGGUAUGGAAAAUGAAGAUAACUAUACAUGAAGAGGAGGCGCUACCGGAAGUACCGACUUCGCCACCCAACGAACCUCAGGACGAUUAAGAAGUUGGAGAGUCCCGUUCGGAGGACUUAAAAACACAGAACGCCCUGCCAAGAGGUAAACUUGGUAGUUACCCUUUCCCUUUCAAUUAUUUCAAUUAUUUCAAAUAGUUUACUUAGUUAAUUAUGUUCGUGCUAUCCUAAAAAGAAAAUAAAAAUGUAAAAAACAGUAAGCCCCAUAUGAGUAGACGAGUGGCAUAAAACACAUAAGUACAUUCACUGUGGUGGCAUAAAAAUAAAAUAAAUAUUUUUUUCUGCUUUAUAAAAACAAAAAUAUAAAAACAGGGAGUAACAAUUAUUAAGGAGUCUCAACAUAAUAAAGGCUAGAUAUUUAUGCUAACACUUAAUCAGUUCCACAAACUUUGUUGUCUAUUUGAGCUCCACAGAAUUUAAGAAUCAAGAAGACUCGCAGAUGGAGGACAUUCUAAUCACUGUCAGAAUGCUGCUUACUUUCAAAUACACCUCUGCCACCUGCUGGCUACAUCAAGAGAAAUUACGUCAAAAUUCAGCUUGGGGGAGAGCACCCCCAUUUACCUCGAUAAGUAUUUCUAUCUAUCUUUAUACUUAUAUUAUUUUAGAAUAUUAAAAUACAUAUAAACUAUGGGAAAACCAAAUAAAGAUUUUAUGCUUAUAUAUAUCUUUUGCUUAGUGUGUUUAAUAAAUAAAUAAAGUGGCUAUGCUAAUCUAUAUCUAAACAAAAACUUAAGCAUGGAUAUGAUAAAUAGUUGCUCUGCCUAAUUUGCAAAUUUUAAGUUCUCUCUCAAGUUUAGAUAUAACUGUUAUAAUUUAAAGCUUGCCCUAGACCUAAACUUGUGGGAUGAAAACUUGAUCUGAAGUCUAAGUUGUUAACGGAUACGAUAUAGGAAGGUUGAGCUGCUGUUUAUCUGUUCCUAGAGAUGCUAGAAUUCUGGAGAAUUUUAUCUUUGAAAAUCUUUAAAAUGUUGCAUGAUGAGUUCCUGUAUGAUGAGAGCUUAAAUUCCUACCACAGCCAUAUAUACAUGCUUGCUAGACUUUGAGCCACACAUUUAUUAUUUACUGCUUAUGAGCAUUGAGUGUGGUCAAGCUGUGUAGACCCUUAGGAGCUUGUCAUGUGGUUAAAUCAAGAUUUCACUUGCACGUUCACUCAUAUAUGCUACUUCUACUCCGGAAGUACCAUCCACAUAUAUCCAUCCAUUUCCAUCUCCAGAAUCACCCAAAAAUAUUUUGCUCCUAAUCUGGGAGAGAAUAACCAAAAAUAUUUCUGUUUCCCCUUAUGAAAUAAAUGCUCAAGUUAUCUUAUUACUACCACUUGCUAUAUUAUCUCAAGAGAUGAGUGCUCUAAAAAAAAGAAGAAAAUAAAAAAAAUAUACGAGGAAAUAAAAAGGAGCAAGUGCUCGGAACCUCGAAAGAAAAGAAAGAGUGAGACGAGAGGUAAAAAUGGACAAGUGUCCGACAGUAGAAUUAGGGGUGCAAGAUACCCACCUAAGAGACAAGAAAAAGAAGAGCAUCUCAUUCUCCUCAUAAAGUUUCAAAAGCAAGGAAGGUAUGUAUCCCCUCAAAGAGCAAAGUAGAAUUAGACUUCCACCACCAUUGUUUUCACCAUUGUUAUCACCAUCAUCACCAUACACCAUUCAUUCGCCACACAUGCACAUCUUGAUUUGGCUUAUUGACUUGUUACUUUGGAUCCAUGGUUUGACUAUGCAAUAAAUGUCUUGUAAGUAUGUAUACUUUAUCUCCCACCUAUGAGCUCCAGAUAUUAAAGCCUUAUUAGAGUAGGGUGAGAGAGAAGGCAAUGUCACUACGCCUUAUACCACAAAUACUACAUAUCUUGAGAGAAGGCAUAUACCGUCAAUGCCUUGGUAAGGAUCCAAAAAUACCACAAAAGAGAGACCUGAGAGAAUCAUACAAGGAAUCUCUGAGUUUUAUUUGAAAAUCUGCAAAAACCCCAGAGCUAUAGCUGAUCAAGAAUAAGAGACAUGGCACUUGGCUAGACUGUUCUAUCUUUUAACCACUCAAGACGGAAGUGACAGUUACAAGUCCCAUGGUGAAGGUAAAGUAAGUAAGUUUUAAGUCUUGACAGUUUACUCUAACUCAGAGAUGAGAUCUUAUUUAAAAAGCAUGUGUACCGUCAAUUUUUUUUAAUAAUAUUGCAACAAAUUAUGAUCCAUAGCUAAGUCUAUCCUUGCUCAGGGACGAGCAAGAGGUAAGCUUGGGGGAGUUUGUUGAUGGUCCUUAAGUAUCAAAUUUAAUUAUCAAAUAAACAAAGAAAAGGAUCCAAAUGAAAUUAAGAUCUAGACUUAGGGUUUUAUCUGACAGAAUUCCACGAGUUUUGGUGUUUGUCUAUUUCUGCUGGGGGUUAUCAGGAAAUGUGGAAGAAAGGCCCACAUGUCAGGAUUACGUAAAGAUAUUAACGUGCUGCGCAAUUAUCUUACAUCUAGAAGACUCCAGAAGCCACGAGACCGAAGCGGAGGCGAAACGGGGCCAGACCCUGGGCGGCCGCCCAAUUGGUCAGGGCGCCCGCCCACCUCCUGAGUCCAAUCAAGACUCUGCUUUGCGGGAGAUCUCCACCGACCUAAAGGAUGAAUCUAAACCAUACAAUCUAUGUCGGUUUGAUCCAAGGGCCCAUAUUCACUUGAAGGGACUAUAAAACCAGACCCCCUAGCCCCUGGAGGAGAGAGCCUGUCAACCCUAAUUCAUUGUUCCAUCAAGGGAGAAGAAGCCUCUGAUCAAGAUUAGAGCCACCACAUCAAUUAGAUAUCUAGAUUAGCAUAGCUACAUAGGAUUAGAACUAGAAGGAGUCAAUCUUCGAUUGAUUUCCGGAUCUGUCAAGAGGAUUUCUUUGUAAUUCUCUAAUUGUGCUUCUAAUUGCUUUCUAAUUAUCUUUGUUCUUCAAUAUUAUGAAUAUGACUUUGUUCUACUUCAAUAUAUUGCUUAUGACUUUGCUCUACUUGCUUAUAUUCAAGAUUAUAUUGUUCUUAGUUUAUCAUAGUUAUGUACUUGGCUUAGUUAGAUUGGAUCUAUAUACAUGCUUAGGAUCGUAUAGCGUUUAUCCAUCGGAUCCAUGGGUAAAUGAUAGAUAUUGUGUAGGCGUGGUGCUUAUACCGUAUUUAUCUGCGAUUGUACCCAAUAUGCCACAUCGUGGGGUGGUUCGUGAUAGUGAUAGCUUCAUUGAUUCUUAUAUAGUCCCCCUCUCAUGUAUUGGGCUGGCAGAGCAACAUUAUUACAGGGGAGUGAUUGCUAUGUUUCUCAUAUUCCUUGCUAAUAUCACUAUGCAUGGGCGUAGUCUUGUCUCGCAAUGAUUGCUAAGUAUGCUUGCACUAACUAUGAUAUGCUAGACUAUAUAGUUGAGAAUAACUUAGGGAAUAUUCUUGUAGUUCGUUCUAAUACCAUGCUAAUGACUUUCUAGAGUAUCUAAUUGAGGUGCUUAUCAUAUUUAUUAUGUGGCUAGAUCAGAUUAGUUAUCCUUGUCACUAUUAUUACUUCAUAUAUCUUUUAUGUGACACUUAUCCCUGUAUGAAGAGUUAGAUAUAAUGUUCUCAAUUAUACAUGCAAUGAUAGAUGCUCAAUCUCAUAUUCUAUUCUGUAAUCAAUAGUGAUGAUUGCUAAUCCCUUCCCAGUGGUAAAAAUAUAAAUAACGAUACCUGGAAUACUUCCCGGUUAAAAUGCUACAUCGGUAUUAAUCUGUGCGCUUGCAGAUCCAAUUCAUUAUUUAUUUAGAAGAGCAAUGGCAUAUUUCAAUACCGCGUCUCUUAUAUCAUGCUGGGGAUGACAACUUGGCUUAAGUGGUGUGAGGGAUAGGUUUGGCAUUUUUGGCACCGUUACUAGAUUUAGAGAACUUAGUUUACUUUUGGUAAUGAUGUUAAGAAUACCCAACAACGGUACACAUGCUUUUUAAAUAAGAUCUCAUCUCUAAGCUAGAGUAAACUGUCAAGACUGAAAACUUACUUACUUUACGUUCACCAUGGGACUUGUAACUGUCACUUCUGUCUUGAGAGGUUAAAAGAUAGAACAGUCUAGUCAAGUGCCAUGUCUCUUAUUCUUGAUCAGCUAUAGCUCUGGUGUUUUUGCAGAUUUUCAAAUAAAACUUAGAGAUUCCUUGUAUGACUCUCUCAGGUCUCUCUUUUGUGGUAUUUCUGGAUCCUUACCAAGGCAGUGAUGGUAUAUGCCUUCUCUCAAGAUAUGUGGUAUUUGUGGUAUAAGGCAUAGUGACAUUGCCUUCUCUCUCAACCUACUCUAAUAAGGCUUUAAUAUCUGGAGCUCAUAGGUGGGAAAUAAAGUAUACAUACUUACAAGACAUGUAUUGCAUAGUCAAGCCAUGGAUCCAAAGAAACAAGCCAAUGAGUUUAAUCAAGAUGUGCAUGUGUGGUGAAUGAAUGAUGUAUGGUGGUGAUGGUGAUAACAAUGAUGGUGGAAGUCUAAUUCUACUUUGCUCUUUGAGGGGAUACAUACCUUCCUUGCUUUUUUUGAAACUUUAUGAGGAGAAUGAGAUGCUCUUCUUUUUCUUUUCUCUCAGGUGGGUAUCUUGCACCCCUAAUUCUACCGUUGGACACUUGUCCAUUUUUACCUCUCGUCUAACUCUCUCUUUUCUUUCGAGGUUCCGAGCACUUGCUCCUUUUUAUUUCCUCGUAUUUCUCUCUUUCUUUUUUUAGAGCAUUCAUCUCUUGAGACAAUAUAGCAAGUGGUAGUAACAAGAUAACUUGAGCAUUUAUUUCACAAGGGAAAAACAAAAAUAUUUUUGGUUAUUCUCUCCUGGAUUAGGAGUAGAAUAUUUUUAGGUGGUUCUGGAGAUGGAAAUGGAUGGAUAUAUGUGGAUGGUACUUCUGGAGUAGAAGUAGCAUAUAUGAGUGAACGUGCAAGUGAAAUCUUGAUUUAACCACAUGACAAGUUCCUAAGGGUCUACACAACUUGACCACACUCAAUGUGUACCUCAAAGUCUAGCAAGCAUGUAUAUAUGGCUGUGGUAGGAAUUUAAACUCUCAUCAUACAGGAACUCAUCAUGUAACAUUUUAAAGAUUUUCAAAGAUAAAAUUCUCCAGAAUUCUAGCAUCUCUAGGAACAGAUAAACAACAGCUCAACCUUUCCAUAUCGUAUCCGUUAACAACUUAGACUUCAGAUCAAGUUUUCAUCCCACAAGUUUAGGUCUAGAGCAAGCUUUAAAUUAUAACAGUUAUUUCUAAACUUGAGAGAGAACUUAAAAUGUGCAAAUUAGACAGAGCAACUUUAUUUAUUUAUUAAACACACUAAGCAAAAGAUAUAUAAAUAAGCAUAAAAUAUUUAUUUGGUUUUUUCAUAGUUAUGUAUAUUUAUAUUCUAAGAUAAUAUGAGUAUAAAGAUAGAUAGAUAGAAAUACUUAUCGAGAUAAAUGGGGGUGCUCUCCCCCAAGCUGAAUUUUGACGUAAUUUCUCUUGAUGUAGCUAGCAAGUGGCAGAGGUGUAUUUGAAAGUAAGCAGCAUUCUGACAGCGAUUAGAAUGUCCUCCGUCUGCUAGUCUUCUUGACUCUUAAAUUCUGUGGAGCUCAAAUAGACAACAAAGCUUGUGGAACUGAUUAAGUGUUAGCAUAAAUAUCUAGCCUUUAUCAUCUUGAGACUCCUUAAUAAUUAUUACUCCCUCUUUUUAUAUUUUUUUUAUUUUAUAAAGCAGAAAAAUAUUUAUUUUAUUUUUAUGCCACCACAGUGAAUGUACUUAUGGGUUUUAUGCCACUUGUAUACUCACAUGGGGCUUACUGUUUUUUUUUCAUAUUUUAUUUUCUUUUUAAGAUAGUACGAACAUGAUUAACUAAGUAAACUAGUUUAAACAAUUUGAAAGGGAAAAGAUAACUACCAAGUUUACCUCUUGGCAAGGCGUUCGGUGUUUUUAAGUCCUCCGAACGGGACUCUCCAUUUUCUUUAAUCGUACUGAGGUUCGUCGGGUGGCGUAGUCGGUACUUCCGGCAGCGCCUCCUCUUCAUGUAUAGUUAUCUUCAUUUUCCACACCUGACUUGGUGCUUCAGUCUCUUCAUUUUCCACACCCUAAACCCUAAACUCUACAUCUUCUGACCUUACAACUUCUCCUUCAUAGUCUGCCCAUCCGUCCUUGAUGAUCUGCCUCCUCUGGUUGCGGUUGUGUCGCUUUCUGACCUGCUUAGAUUCUUCAACGAUAUAGUUAGGAUCAGUAAAAUAACGGCGUACCUUCUCUGAGGUGAAGUGCAUAUGGACUUCUCCAGUUCCAAUGUAGAUAAUUGCUUUAACGGUGCUGAGGAACGGUCUUCCAAGGAUGAUGGGUGGAUCGUACUCAUCUUCUCCCAUGUCAAUAACCUGAAAGUCUGUGUAGACAAAGUGAUCGUCUAUUUUGAUUGGGACAUCAGUUACUAUUCCUUUAACUUCUCGAAAUGUCUGAUCUGCCAUCUGGAGCUGAAUGUAUGUUGGUCUUAGUGGCAUGGUUCCGAACAAGAGCCGAUAGGUGACUGCGGCCAUUAUGUUGACGCCCGAUCCGGUGUCACAAUUCGUAUUGUAGAAGUUGUAUCCAUUUAUGGAGCAGUAAAUGCUUGGCAUUCCUGGGUCGUCCUUCUUGGUCAAAAGCGGUGACUUAAGUUGGUGAUCUUGGCCUCCAUGAACUACAGUGACCAUCUUAGCUGACUCGGUCCACACUUUCUUGUUCCUGUUCCUCCUGUUGGUCCUCUUCCUUGAUUCAUGUCUGGAUUGAUCUGGAAUUUGUGUAGUCUUGUUCUUGAAGAAAAAUGUCUCCUUCUUCCCUUUGACGUAGAAACUGAUCUUAGCAGCACUAGCGUAGAUGAUAGCUCUCAUGGUAUUCAAGAAUGGCCUCCCUAAGAUGAUAGGUGCUCUCUCAUCAUUUCCGGUCUCUACCACUACGAAGUCUGCUGGGGCAUAUAAGGUACCAACUCGGACACAAAGGUUCUUCACUAUUCCUUUUGGAACGGUUAUCGUCUGAUCUGCAAACUGCAAACACAUGGUUGUUUCUAAUAAAGGAUAUGAAAAGAAUUUUUCAUAGAGUACCCUGGGUAUAAUGUUGACACUGGAGCCAAAGUCGCAGAGUGCUUCUGGAACGUCCACCAUGCCGAUAGAGAUCGGGAUGACGGGGCGUCCUGGAUCGUCUCUCUUGACCAGCAGAAGGUCAGUAGAGAAUUCAUUGACGGGGUUACUCCAAUUACCUGCAUCAAACGUGUCUACAAGAUUUGCAGAUUCUAAUCCUUCCGGUUGUGAUGGUAUACCGGGGUUAGUAGUAGGAACAGCAGCAGCUAUUUGAUUUAACUGAGAUUCAAUCAUUUUAUUAACGCUAAUUUGAUUCUUGAUGGCAGUAGAGAAAUUAUCCAUUCUAUUAUUUAUAUUUUCUAGUAUGUUAUCAUUAGAUGCCAAUUUCUUAGAUAGGUUAUCCAUUAACUUUCCUUGAUUAGACACUAACUCUCUCAAAGGUGGAAAAUUAUUAUUAUUGUUGUAAGAAUUGUUACCUUGAUAAUUAGCUGAGUAGUUAGGCCUCUGUUGAUUCCAACCUUGAUUUUGUUGAGGACGGUUGUAGUAGUUGUUGUUGUUGUUGAUGUAGUUCACAUCCUCAAGUAUCUUAGGGCAGUGGUUGCCUGAGUGUCCAGUAUCUCCACACUCCUCACAAGUCAUGUGAGAGUCGUAGAUGUGCAUAACUUCUUUCUUAUCUCCAGCUCUAUCGUCGAGUUUCUUCAUGAGCAGGUCUAGCUUUGCAGACAGCAUGUCUACCUCCUUCAGCUGAUGCAUACCUCCACCUCUCUUGCGUGUCUGGGUCCUCUCUUCAUUCCAGCUUUGAUUGGACGCCAUCUUCUCCACAAGAGCUGUGGCUUGUGGUAUAGUAAGUGAUAAAAAUGCUCCUCCAGCUGCAGCAUCCAUGGUCUCUCGGGCACUGUUGCCGAGCCCAUGAUAAAACGUCUGCAUCAAUAGCCAACUUUCCAUUCCAUGAUGGGGACAUUCUAGGAUGUAGUCUUGAAAGCGCUCCCAUGCUUCUGGAACAGAUUCAUCAUUUUGUUGCUGAAAACUCGUAAUCUUCCCACGGAGAGCAUUGGUCUUGCACACAGGAAAGAACUUAGCCAGGAAGUUUGUUGAGCAGAGUGCCCACGUAGUAUUCUUCUCCUUUGUAGCGUAGAACCACUGCUUCGCUCUUCCUAACAAUGAGAAUGGGAAGAGGCGAAGUAGUAUAGCAUCUUUGAAAACUCCUGAUAUGGUGAAUGUGUUGCAAAUCUCCAGGAAGUGUUGUAAAUGAGCACUAGCAUCUUCGUGUGCCUUCCCACAGAACUGGUUGGAUUGCACCAUGUUGAUAAGUCCAGGUUUGAGCUCAAAGUUGCCAUCGAUCUCUGCAGCAGGUCCAGUGCGGAUGUUGUCCGUAGUGGGAGCUGAGAACUCGCGGAUUAAUUUGUUUGCCAUGGCUUCGAACUCUGAAGACAAGUUCCGGUGAUCUCCUUGAUUGGAUGAAGCUUCUUGCUGAAGUGUUGAUGAUUUCUUUAGCUUGGCUCUCGUCUUCUUGAAUAAUGCUUCGGGAUUGUCAACAAAAUUUCCUGGAAGAUGUCUUCUAUUCAUACAUUCCCCUGCAUAAGAUGAAAUAGGAAAAUAUCGGGGUAAAACUGUAUGAGAGAAUAGAUAAGCUCAAUCAUAUUAGUGAUGCGAAUGAUAACUCAAAAUCUUUUAUUCCAUUCCUGAUUAGUAAUCAACCUUCCCCGGCAACGGCGCCAAAAAUGCUUGUUGGGUAUUCUUAACAUCAUUACCAAAAGUAGACUAAGUUCUCUAAAUCUAGUAACGGUGCCAAAAAUGCCAAACCUAUCCCUCACACCACUUAAGCCAAGUUGUCAUCCCCAGCAUGAUAUAAGAGACGCGGUAUUGAAAUAUGCAAUUGCUCUUCUAAAUAAAUAAUGAAUGGGAUCUGCAAGCGCACAGAUUAAUACCGAUGUAGCAUUUUAACCGGGAAGUAUUCCAGGUAUUGUUAUUUAUAUUUUUACCACUGGGAAGGGAUUAGCAAUCAUCAAUAUUGAUUACAGAAUAGAAUAUGAGAUUGAGCAUCUAUCAUUGCAUGUAUAAUUGAGAACAUUAUAUCUAACUCUUCAUACAGGGAUAAGUGUCACAUAAAAGAUAUAUGAAAUAAUGAAUAGUGACAAGGAUAAUUAAUCUGAUCUAGCCACAUAAUAAAUAUGAUAAGCACCUCAAUUAGAUACUCUAGAAAGUCAUUAGCAUGGUAUUAGAACGAACUACAAGAAUAUUCCCUAAGUUAUUCUCAACUAUAUAGUCUAGCAUAUCAUAGUUAGUGCAAGCAUACUUAGCAAUCAUUGCGAGACAAGACUACGCCCAUGCAUAGUGAUAUUAGCAAGGAAUAUGAGAAACAUAGCAAUCACUCCCCUGUAAUAAUGUUGCUCUGCCAGCCCAAUACACGAGAGGGAGACUAUAUAAGAAUCAAUGAAGCUGUCACUAUCACGAACCACCCCACGAUCUGGCAUAUUGGGUACAAUCGCAGAUAAAUACGGUAUAAGCACCACGCCUACACAAUAUCUAUCAUUUACCCAUGGAUCCGAUGGAUAAACGCUAUACGAUCCUAAGCAUGUAUAUAGAUCCAAUCUAACUAAGCCAAGUACAUUACUAUGAUAAACUAAGAACAAUAUAAUCUUGAAUAUAAGCAAGUAGAGCAAAGUCAUAAGCAAUAUAUUGAAGUAGAACAAAGUCAUAUUCAUAAUAUUGAAGAACAAAGAUAAUUAGAAAGCAAUUAGAAGCACAAUUAGAGAAUUACCAAGAAUCCUCUUGACAGAUCCGGAAACCAAUCGAAGAUUGACUCGUUCUAGUUCUAAUCCUAUGUAGCUAUGCUAAUCUAGAUAUCUAAUUGAUGUGGUGGCUCUAAUCUUGAUCAGAGGCUUCUUCUCCCUUGAUGAACAAUGAAUUAGGGUUGAGAGGCUCUCUCCUCCAGGGGCCAGGGGGUCUAGUUUUAUAGUCCCUUCAAGUGAAUAUGGGCCGUUGGAUCAAACCGACAUAGAUUGUAUGGUUUAGAUUCAUCCUUUAGGUCGGUGGAGAUCUCCCGCGAAGCAGAGUCCUGAUUGGACUCCCAGAGGGGGCGGGCGCCCAGGGCAGGAGGGCGGGCGCCCUGCCUCUGGCCCCGUUUCGCCUCCGCUUCGGUCUCGUGGCUUCUGGAGUCUUCUAGAUGUAAGAUAAUUGCGCGGCACGUUAAUAUCUCUAUGUAAUCCCGACGUGUGGGCCUUUCUUCCGUAUUUCCUGAUAACCCCUUGCAGAAAUAGACAAACACCAAAACUCGUGGAAUUCUGUCAAAUAAAACCCUAAAUCUAGAUGUUGAUUUCAUUUGGAUCCUUUUCUUUAUUUAUUUGAUAAUUAAAUUUGAUACUUAAGGACCGUCAACAAAGGGUAGUGGGAAAUGAUCUUUCUUUGUUGCCUUGUUAAGUUUUCUAUAAUCGAUACACAUUCUCCACCCUGUCUGUGGUCGUUGGGGGAUUAACUCAUCUUUAUCAUUUGUAACGACCGUCAUGCCUCCCUUCUUUGGAACCACUUGGACGGGACUGACCCAGUCAAUGUGUGGUACGUGAUAAAUAAUCCCGGCGUGAAAAAGUUUGAGAACUUCCUUUUUCACGACUUCACGCAUCGUGUUGUUCAGCCUACGUUGGGGUUCACGAGAAGAUGUAAGCUCAGGGUCCAUAGGUAUGUGUCGGUGUUUUUCCCCCGGGGGUCACACCAACUAGUAAAUUUGUAUGCGUGCUCCCUUUUCCAGAUGGUGAUGCAAAAAGACACAAAGAUUUAUCCCGGUUCGGGCAAGAGAAGGCCCUACGUCUAGCGGGGGGCGGAGAGUUUGUAUUAUUCUGCACCUAAGUGCUUGUACAGGGGUGAAUACAAGCGUGGUAUGGACAGAGAUGGGGUGAGUUCGCUCUACUACGUGUGUGUUGUAUGUUGUGGUCUAUUGUCCCCCGUAUCCGUUCUCGGGCCCCCCUUUUAUAGUUCCAAGGAGGGGCCUAGGGUACAUGUAUAGGCAUCGAAGUAGGGGUCGAUAGAGGCAUGGCGCGCUGACCUACUCGAGGCUUCCGUACCGGCGUGGUCUCGAGCCGUCCUGUCUUGGUAGCUUGAUGAUGAUUACGCGUGCCCCUGUAUCCCGCUCUGUGCGGCGUCCUGGGCCGGUUUAUAUGUUGCAUGCUUGUACGUCGUGGCAGCAUCUGCGUCGGAGUGGUUGAAGCGCUGUCACUCGUCACCUGACCCUUUCCCAGGAAGGAAGCUUGCCUACUCGAGGGUCGGAUGCCGUGUAACGGCUUGCUAGCCAGAGCGCUGACCUUGGGCGUCUCGAGGGGGUCUUGAAUAGAUGUUCCGACCCUGCUUCCUGCGUUCUGUCAUGCUCUGGAUUGUUUGGUGGGAAAGACUGCAAAAAGAAUGACGGGAUGGGUGCCUGUUCCCUAUCACGCUUCCCGUGACUGGCGUGUUAGGUGAGAACACGACAGGCGCAUUAAAUGCCCCGAUUCCCGUGCCCGCGUCAGGCGGCGGGCGGCGUCCUUGCGCUCGACGCCUUUCGAUUCACUCGAGCCUGUUUCCGUAUUCGACGGUAGCCGGUGCUCGAGCCGUGAUCGAUUCACUCGACACCCUUUCCGUCUUUGAGGUUGCGGUCGUCAAGGACCGUACGUGUGACCGGAUAGAGCAUCGAGUUGGAGGCCUCGACUUUCGUACGGGCAAUCUCGUCAUGUACACCAGUUAGGGUACCCCUUACUAAUAUCCUCGACAGUAUGCGAUGUGUGUAGAGUGUUGGGCUUAUUCCCUUGAGGUCUUGCAAGGAAUACCCAAAGGUUGUGCUAUGUUUUUCUAAGACGGCAAUGAGUUUGUUCGACUCCUCAUCAGAUAGCUUAUCACAAAUAAUAACGGGAGUUUCUUUGUUGCCGUUUAGAAAGGCAUAACGUAGCACAGCGGGCAAGGGUUGAAGCUCAACUGGAGGUUUUGGUGGCGUUUCAUCCUCGGGGAGUUCUAUGGUUUCUCCUAGCUCGUCCUCUUCUCGAAUGAAGCUUUCGGCGUCUUUAUCUAAAGACGAUUCGGGUGUUUCAAAAGGUGAAACAGGCAUCACCUCCUUGGGCGAAGGUAGGUCGGGUCGAGAGUAGGUCACUGAGUUUUUAGCUCGAGUGAUUGGAAUGGAAAAAGUGUCUCUUCCCAGUUUUAUGUUCAUUCCCCUAUAGCUGGCAGUUCAUGGGUUAAAAGCUCUAUAGGGUGGCCUAUAAGGAUGUCAAAACUUUUAAUGUCAAAGACAUAAAAGUCAAGACUCGUUCUGAUGUUAUCAAGUCGUACAUGGGUUUGGUGGAGAAGCCCACAACUUUUCAAUUCCUUACGCGGGGCUACCCUGAGAGUUUUCUCUGUCUGGGUCAGUGGUUCAGACCCUAGAUGGGUGUGCAUAAAAGAUUUCGACAUUAAAUUGGCCCCGACAAGUGGAUUAUACAAUGCUUCUUGCCAGCUACGCCAAAUUUUGCACUUGAAUGGACGAAGAUGGAGUAUUAAUCUGAAGUGGAUCAGAAGAUAACUCCGUUUCUUUGCUCCAUUCCUGACUCAUGAUAACUGAGAGUUCAUUAAUUGAAUGUUUUAUAAAAAUCCUCAUCUAGUUGAUCAUUAGCAGUGGCAACUUGCGGCUUUCUUUGAGAUGAGUACUUCGAGGUGUUUCCGAAAUCUUUAAAAAGAUCAUCCUCGAAGAAUGGGAGAUCUGAAGGUUGAAAAUCUUCCUUCGGGGGUCCCGAUAUGGUAGGAGAUGUCUCUAUAAGUGUAUUGUCAGUGGAGGCUAUUGAGACUUCCUCUAUUUCAGGUUCGGGCUCUACGCGGAGGGGUUCUAGCGGAGGAGUGUUCUCUAGAAUGAGGUCUAUUAAGGCUUCUCCUUCUGCUGUGGUCUUGUGGUUAAACGACCCUCCGGCAGCUAUGUCUAAUUGUUGGGCAGACUCCUUGUGUAGCCCUAGCCAGAAAUGUUGUAACAACACUUGUCUAGGGAUUGACAUGUCUGGGCCAGAACGGGUAAGAAUUAAAAAUCUAUCCCAGGUUGCACCUAUGGUUUCCUUCUCUUGUUGUUGGAAGCUGAGAAUCUCUUGUCGUAGGGCAGCGACACGAGAUAUAGGGAAGAACGUGAGACAGAAUCUGUUCCUCAAUUCUUCCCAAUCUCCUUUCACCUUUCCUACGUUAUGGACGUACCAUUGUUUCGCCUUCUCUUCAAGAGAAAAGGGAAACAAUUUCCACCUAAGGGUUUCUUGCAACAUACCCGAAAUUGUCAGGCAUGCACAGAGUUGCUCAAACUCCCUUAAAUGAUGAUAUGGAUUUUCAUAAUCUAGGCCUGAGAAGGUUUGUUCCCGAACCAUGGCUAUAAAGCCAGGACAGAGCUCAUAACUUGAAGCUGUGAUUGGCUUUGACGAUUAUGGUGGUUCUACGAGCUCGCCCUUAGGAGCAGAGAGUUGGGAGAUGAUACACGGGCAACUAGGUUCGACUCAAAAACGACAGCCGUUCCCCGGCAACGGCGCCAGAAAUGCUUGUUGGUAUUUCUUAGCGAUGCAGCCAAUUAUCUGCAAGCGCACGGAAGUACCGUUGUAGCACUUCACCCGGUGGUAUUCAGGGUGUCGAGAUUUCACAGGGAAUGGAGGUGUUUUGAGACUUAAACUAAGUGUACCCUAGAGUAAAGUGAGAGGGAUGAUAUAACAAAUCCAAAUUUUUGAAUUUCAAAUUUAGUUUAAAUUUGAUUUAAUUUUGGCUCAAUUUGAAUUUUUGGGAAAUAUUAAAUAAUUUACAAAAUUAAUUAAAAUAAAAUAUAAGGUAGAAACGUGUUUGAUUUUUUUUGCAUUCAUGCUGCUGCAUAAUUUUGCUUGAUUUUAUUUAUUUUUGCUGAUGCUUGUUUUGUUUUGUUUUGGAGCAAGAAAAUUUUAAAAGAAAAAAAAGAAAAAUGGGCAGCGCCUCCCCCCCCCCCUUCUCCCAGCAGCGGCCCAGCCGCAGAGCCCGCGGCGCCCCCUGCCCCUGCCCCCGCCUGGGCCGACUAUCGGCCCAGCACCCCGCGCCCCUGCGCGCCCAAGUGGGCCGCGGCCCAGCCGCACGGCAGCAGCGCCCCUGCCCCUGCUCUCUCUGCCGCCCGCUGACUGGUGGGCCCCGCAGGUGGGACCCACCUGUCAUCACCCACCUCCGGCCGAGACGGACUCGGGGGCGCACCACCGCCCCGGUUUCCGCGCUUGGCGNNNNNNNNNNNNNNNNNNNNNNNNNNNNNNNNNNNNNNNNNNNNNNNNNNNNNNNNNNNNNNNNNNNNNNNNNNNNNNNNNNNNNNNNNNNNNNNNNNNNNNNNNNNNNNNNNNNNNNNNNNNNNNNNNNNNNNNNNNNNNNNNNNNNNNNNNNNNNNNNNNNNNNNNNNNNNNNNNNNNNNNNNNNNNNNNNNNNNNNNNNNNNNNNNNNNNNNNNNNNNNNNNNNNNNNNNNNNNNNNNNNNNNNNNNNNNNNNNNNNNNNNNNNNNNNNNNNNNNNNNNNNNNNNNNNNNNNNNNNNNNNNNNNNNNNNNNNNNNNNNNNNNNNNNNNNNNNNNNNNNNNNNNNNNNNNNNNNNNNNNNNNNNNNNNNNNNNNNNNNNNNNNNNNNNNNNNNNNNNNNNGCCCCGUCGAGCUCCCCGGCCGCGGCCAUGGCGCGCCGCCGCGGCCCAGCCCCGCCUGCUCGCCUCGCCAAGGGCGCGGUCCACCGUGGACCGCGACCCCAGUGCCCGCACGGCCGGUCCACUGGACCGGGUCCACGCCGCCCCCGCCCCUCCCCCGGUAUAUCAUGAACUGGUGUACCGUCCCCCUCCUCCCGGUCCACAGCGCCGCCAUGGACCGGGUCAUUCACGCGCUGCCACGUGGCCAGGCCGGCCACGGUCCCCGCGAGCCCCUGCGUUUUUGCAAAAACCCCCCCGGCUUUCCUUAAAAUCAACCCGCACUCCACCCAGUUAUAGAUUUAUUUAAAUUGAGCCCCUGGUUUUUGCAGUAUAGCCCCCAUAGCCGUUGGUUUUUAUAUAUUUAAUCCAAAAUGAGUUUUAAUUCAGUUUUAAUUAUUUUUAAUUACGAAAAAUAGUUCAGUAUAUCUGCAGAAAUGCCAUUCAACUUGUUUUAGCCAUAACUUUUGCAUCGUAACUCCGAUUUAGGUGAUUGUGGUCGCUAUGGUUUCGUUUCAUCGAGUAGAAUACAGUAGUGCAGUUGCUUUAUGCUUUCGCAUGCUUUGGUGUACUGUUUCUGAUUAAGUUUGUUUGCUUGCAUGUGUUGUUCCUAUGAUUGAUGAUUGUCGCGUUUAGCCAACGAGACAUUCGUGAAGGAAGAGGUACAGGAUCCCGCUGAGUUCGAGCAACCCGACUUCGAUCAAGGCAAGUGCAGACACCGUUUGAUCAUUUUGAACCUACUCAUUAAUGUCAUUUACUUUAUAUGCAUGUGUCCAAUGAAUGCAAACCCUAAGGACAUGACUAGCUUUAUUUAUUAUUCCUUGCUCACCUGGGGUUAUGUAUUUGGGUAGACUAGGCUAUACUAGGUUUGCUUAGCUGCUCUACUCAUCUUAUACACAUGCCUAAACAAGUAUUAGUCUCUACUCAACUUGAUGCUUAAAUUGUGCUGAAUCUUUGGUCACUGCGGUGAUGGCGAUGUUGGAUGCUUAUGAGCAUCGUGAUGAUGGUGGUGACAGGGGGAGCGGGUACCGUUGGUGGUCCCGUUUGCCGGGCGUACCCGUCUCUGCUCUCCGUAAGGACUUAGUCAGGGAGCGGCCCCCUGGGACUUACAGUGCAGCUCCAAGCUAUAUGGCUCUGGCUUGACUAAUUAGCAGGACCUCCACUAGUAGGGUGUUACUUUCCGGGUAGGCGUGAGGAAGUAACUUGGGUAAUGAAUAUUAAGUUGUCGGUUGAUCGGUACGCCAUGGCUAUGGGUAUCGACUGCCGAGCGCCCCGGCAAAAACUUGCGAGUGGCAUCCUAUUAGUUGGACCCUGUGAAAGGUCUCGUAGUGAGACCCUACCUGCUCACCUUGGAAGUGUUUUGGGGAGUCGCGACCCCGGGCAAAUGGGAAUCAUGACUUGGAGUGAACGUGCACACAUCUGCAGAGUGUAAAACUGAUAUAUCAGCCGUGCUCACGGUCACGAGCGGCCCAGACCCUCACUUGAUGAGCAAAUUGGAUUCACUGGUUACUUAGACAUGGACCUUGGCGAGGUUGCUACCUUGUGAUUUUGGCGGAAUGGCUAUUCCGUGUUGGCAGGAUUGCUAUCCUGUGUUAAUAAUUGGGGUGAAUCCCUGGAUUACUAUAAUAAUUAGGAUAGUCUUCUAAAAGAUGUUAAUUACUACUUACACUAAAUAAGGGUUGGGUUUAUGCUACUCAUAAUUAGUAAUAGGUUGUUCUAAUAAUAGUCAUAACUAAAAGUGUUCAACUAAAAUGCUACCGCAGUCAAACCAAGUCAGCUUUACCUUGUUUUAAGCCUUGCAUGUCAUUACUUUCCGUCUGUGCUUGCUGAGUUCGACAUGAGCUCACCCUUGCUAUAAUCAUUAAAGGUUGCUCGGACGAUCAGGAGUACAAUUGUGAUUUCCCUGAGGACUACCCUGAGUCUCCCGGUUGUUAGGCUCGUGUGGUUCUACCGUCGACCUUCCUGUGGCAAGGUGGUCCUGCUACGUCGGCGUUUAGUUUUCCCUUUAUUUAUGGAACAGUUUAGUUUAUGUUUCCCCUCCGCACUUUGAUAAACAUUUGGCUUGUAAUAAUGGUACUUUUACUCUCAUUUAUGUAAUUCGUUUGAACACUGUGUUUUGUACCAUUGAUGAUGUCGGUCCAUGUGUGUGAAUUUGAGAUCCUGGCGCACAUGUGAUUUGACACCCGAAUGCUCUCUUACAUCCGGGUGUGACAGAAGUGGUACCAAAGCCGUGUUGACCGUAGGAUCACGUAGCCUAGUUAGAAACAGCCGUUUAGAUUGUCCCUUUUGGGUGGAAUACACCAUUGGAUCUAUUAACUACCUUACUAACCUGUCUCAUUAGACUUUAUCUAUUGGCCUUAUCUACUUACUUUUACUAACAGCUAGGUUUAUUCACUUACUUCCUGCAUUUAUUACCUUGUUAUCAUUUAUUGCUUUCUAUUUCUCAUAUUGCAUUUAUAUUCUUGUUUCAACUUUUACUACUUGUUAUUUGAACCUUUCUUUUCUACCUUGUCAUUUAUUAUCAUUCUACUCAUAUUACCUUCUUGUUCCUUGUUUUUCAUUUAUUACUUGAGUUAUGUUUUAUUUCUGUCUUGACAAUAAAUUUCAUUACCUUGUUUUCACUUUAUACCUUCAUUACUUGCUUUUAUAUCUUACCAUAAAUACCAACAAAGUUCAUAUUGUCCAUCCAUUGUAUAAUCUUGGUUCAUCUUCAUUACACAUACACUUUUACCUUCAUUUAUGUUAUUCAUUUACCUAUCAUUGUCAUGAUCUAUUAACCGUUUCCUGCAUGUCUAUGAUCUUAUGCAUAAGUAGAUGACUCGCCACCUGACCUGCCGCAAGAGCGUUAUUCGUUUCCGCCCCGUUCAAGCUGUGGAGUUCUCGUUGACUGGUCGCGUGGAUAACAUCGUGUUCCAGCCUAACCAGCAUCUUGAUGACGGUGCUAACCUCCAAGACGCGGAACCCUAUGAAGGACAGCAACCACCUCAAGCUCUGGUGGUGCAUGGAAGGGCGCCUUGCUGGGCACCUGGAGGAGAUGAUCCCUUCGGUGAUGAUGACAUGGAUGAUGAUGAUGAGGAUGAUGAUGAUGAGGAUGCACCUGGAGGACCCGGAGGACCCGGUGGACCUGGAGGACCUGGAGGUCAAGAUGGACUUUUUGCUGCUGAUGAUGGGUGGAUUGUGACAGUCUGCACCAGGGAUGGUGGAGAGUGUUUCUUCCACAGCGAGCUGAAGCGUCUCCUUGACCAGCAGCUGGGACAUGGCAUGUUCUCAGUGGAGUACCGCAGUGAGCACUGGAGUCACCCAGACUACCCGGCGUACUGGAAGGUCUGGGCACACGUCGGCAGGCCUAACCCGACGUUGAGGGCACUGAGGAUCAUGUCCAUACAUGAGGCUGUGGCUGAGAGGUCUACCCAGAUGGCGGGCAUUAAUGAUGCUGCUCGCCAGGCUUUCUACGCAUACCGUGAUCACUUCUUCGAGGAGAUCAGCCAGGAUGAGCGUCGCUACUACCCUCGCCGUCGCCGUGGAGAGUUGGCGAUGACUAUUGCUUCCACCACUGAUGAGCAAGACCCCCGCGUGCACAGGACUGUCAAGCUGGUGGCGGUCACUAACACCGAGCUCAACAGUUCACUAGUGGAGAUGAAGCAAGUCAGGAAGGAGCUGGACGACGCCAGGAAGAGGAUAGCGCAGCUGGAGGCUCAGAUCACUGGAGUGCCACCGCCGUCACCUAAGUGGCCUGCUUUCUCUCCGCCUUGUGAAGAUCCAGCCUAUGGAGAUGCCAGCGCUCGUACUACUAUAGAAUAGGAGCUAUUCCCAGUUUAGUAAUAAAUAGUGCCACGCUUAGAACGUUAGCACGAUCUUAGUUAUGUGAGUCUAUUGCUUAGUGGUUUGCUUAGUGUGCUUUGCUUGGUCUGUGUGAGAACUUGAUUUAUUAUUGUGUUAAUGGUGUGAUUUGGUUCUUUGUAAUGAGUGCGAUGAGUUGUGGGUUAUGUCCACAACGCAUCAAGAACAAGAUUAAGUAUUAAGUUUAUUUGAGAUAGUUAGUUUGGGUUAUCAUCGGUCUCCUUUAUUUGUGCUUUAUCAUAUUUCAUAAUCGCUUUAUCUUAUCAGUCUUACUUUAUCAUGAUCAGUUCAGUAUCUAUAUAUUACAUCUGUUGUGAGUACUGUGUUUAUCAACUGAGAAAGGAAAGUGAAUAUCAGCUGGUUCAUACUGUGAGGAAAGAUUUUCACAUUGCAGUUUACAUUACAGCUCAGGUUUACACAUAUGAACUACAUCUGAUUUUAUUAUAUUAUUUCUAUACAUCAGAUGCCUGUCCACACCAGGAGCAACACCAAUGGUGGAAACAACGGGCAGUCCAACAACAACAACAAUGAUCACAGCGGGACUAAUGCCAACCCUCCUCCUCCUGGGAAUCAGCCCAUGACCAUAGAGCAGUUGAUGACUAUGCAGACUCAACUGAUGCAAGGGAUGGCUCAUAUUAUGAACCACAUGCAGCAGAACCAAAACCAGAAUCAGAACCAACAUCAAGGAGGUAACAACGCGUUUGCCCCACCUAGGGACAAGCGUGGAGAGUUCAUGAAGGGACGUCCACCGUUCUUCUCUCACUCAGCUGAUCCUAUGCAAGCUGAGGAUUGGCUUAAAGCUGUGGAGAAGCAGCUGGUUAUUGCUCAGUGCAAUGACAGGGAGAAGGUUCUGUAUGGCUCUGGGCAGCUUCAGGGAGCCGCACAGGACUGGUGGGAUUCAUAUUGCUUUGCACAUCAGGACCCGGAUACUAUCACUUGGGAUGAGUUCAAGGUCGCCUUCAAGACUCAUCAUGUGCCUGCUGGAUUGGUGAAGUUGAAGAAGAAGGAGUUUCUGUCUCUGAAGCAGGGCUCCAUGACAGUUUGUGAGUACCGUGACAAGUUCACUCAGUUGUCGCGGUAUUGCCCCAAUGAAGUGGAGAAUGAUGAAGACAAGCAAGAUCACUUUCUGGAAGGUUUGAAUGAUGGUCUGUCCUACAUGAUGUCGAAUGUCAAGUACGCCAGUUUUCAGGAGAUGGUGGACAGGGCAUUGGUGCUUGAGAGCAAGCGCCGUAAGAUGGAGGACAAGAAGAGGAAGUAUAACUCCUCUCAGCAGCAGGCUGGUGCCAGUCGUCCCCGCUACAACAACCAGCAGGGCCCUCAGUCUCGCCCCGCAUAUCAGUCUGGUAACCAAGGACAGCAACAGAAUGUCAGGUACAGCAACCAGAGUCAGCAGACGAGCCAGCGCUACAACAACAACCAAGUGCAGCGCCCCGCUAGUCAGGCGCCUCGCCAGAAUGCCCCAGCACCAUCAGGCUCUCGCCAGAACUCCAACACUGUCCCAAUGAAGCCCAAUGUCAACCCCGCCCCCACUAGAAAUACCUGCUUCAAGUGUGGUCAGCCUGGACACUACGCGAAUGCUUGCCCCCAGAGGCAGAAGAAUAACAACAACAAUGGAAGGGUGAAUCAUGUGAAGCUGGAAACUGCUGAGGAGGCUCCAGAUGUGGUAGUUGGUAUGUUUCUUGUCAACUCUUGCCCAACUACUGUUUUGUUUGAUACUGGAGCAUCACAUACUUUUAUAAGUGCACAAUUUGUUGAGAAACAUAGUAUAGCCACCUGUACCAUGCAAAACACCAUGCUAGUUAAAUCACCUGGGGGAAAGAUGCAUACUAAUACUUUGUGUCUGGGAAUGAGCAUUAAAAUAAGGGGGGUAGAUUUUCCUGUCAAUCCCAUUGUGUUGGGUUCAGAAGGUUUAGAUAUGAUAUUGGGAAUGAGAUGGUUGUCCAAGUUUAAGGGUACUAUUCAGUGUGCUGAGAAGACAGUGGCUCUAACAGCACCUAGUGGGAACAGAAUUGAGGUCAGAGUUUCUAUGUCACCUAGCAGUGAAGGAACAGUUUACCAUGUGAGCAGUGGGUCAGUAGAAGACAUUCGAGUUGUGAAAGAGUUCCCUGAUGUGUUCCCAGAGGAUUUGCCAGGUAUGCCACCUGAACGUGAGAUUGAAUUUGUUAUUGAUUUAUUACCUGGUACUGCACCCAUAUCUAAGAGACCUUAUAGAAUGGCUGUUAAUGAGUUAGAAGAACUUAAGAAACAACUAAGGGAGUUACAGUCUAAGGGGUAUAUCCGUCCUAGUUCCUCACCUUGGGGAGCUCCAGUUAUCUUUGUAGAGAAGAAGGAUGGGACACAGAGGAUGUGUGUAGACUAUAGAUCUUUGAAUGAGGUCACAAUUAAGAAUAAAUACCCGUUGCCUAGAAUAGAGGACCUAUUUGACCAGUUGAAAGGAGCUUGUGUGUUUUCCAAGAUAGAUCUGAGGUCAGGAUAUCACCAGUUGAGGAUUAAACCCAGUGAUAUUCCAAAGACUGCUUUCACCACCAGAUAUGGACUUUAUGAAUAUACAGUUAUGUCUUUUGGAUUGACUAAUGCCCCAGCUUACUUUAUGUAUCUGAUGAAUAAAGUUUUUAUGGAGUAUUUGGAUAAGUUUGUGGUAGUCUUUAUUGAUGAUAUCUUGAUCUACUCCAAGAAUGAGGAAGAACAUGAGGAACACCUAAGACUUGUGUUGCAGAAAUUGAGGGAACAUCAGCUCUAUGCCAAGUUGAGUAAAUGUGACUUCUGGUUGAAGGAAGUGUCUUUUCUUGGUCAUGUCAUUUCAAAUGGUGGAGUUGCUGUUAGUCCGAAGAAUGUGGCAGAUGUUCUUAAGUGGAGUCCACCUCAGACUGUUGGGGAGAUCAGAAGUUUUCUUGGAAUGGCCGGUUACUAUCGGAGAUUCAUUGAGGGAUUUUCCAGUAUUGCCAAGCCCAUGACUGCUUUGUUAGAGAAGGGUAAGCCAUUCAAGUGGAAUGAACAGUGUCAGGCUGGUUUUGAGGAAUUGAAGAAGAGGUUGACUACUGCACCAAUUUUGACUUUGCCAGAUGUGACUAAAAGCUUUUCUAUCUAUUGUGAUGCUUCCAAGCAAGGUUUGGGAUGUGUACUGAUGCAAGAGGGAAAGGUGAUUGCCUAUGCAUCUAGACAGUUGAAGAAACACGAGGUGAAUUAUCCAACUCAUGAUCUUGAGUUAGCAGCUGUGGUCCAUUCACUGAAGAUCUGGAGACACUAUAUUCUGGGUCAUAAGUGUGAUAUCUACACGGAUCACAAGAGUCUGAAAUACAUCUUCACUCAGAAUGACUUAAACUUGAGACAGAGAAGAUGGUUAGAGUUGAUCAAGGACUAUGAACUGGAGAUUCAUUACCACCCUGGCAAAGCUAAUGUAGUUGCUGACGCUCUGAGUAGAAAGAGUCAAGUGAAUAUGAUGGAAGCCACGGAGUUACCGAUGGAACUACUGGCAGAAUUUGAGUAUCUCAAUUUGGGGUUUGUUGCUAAUACCCAAGGUACUUCCAUGGACAUAGAACCAACUCUUGAGCAAGAGAUCAGAAAAGGUCAGAAAGAGGAUGAAGAGAUCAAAAAGAUACUUAAGCUGAUAGAGGAAGGUAGAGCACCUGGAUUCAAAGUUGAUCAAGAAGGGAUUGUUUGGCACAAGGACCGAUUGUGUGUCCCUAAUAUUCAGAGUAUUAAGGAUGUGAUACUGAAGGAGUGCCAUGAAUCUGCUUACUCUAUUCAUCCAGGAGGUACUAAGAUGUAUCAGGACUUGAAGCAAAACUAUUGGUGGCCUGGUAUGAAGAAAGAUAUUGGUGAAUAUGUGGCAUUGUGUGACACCUGUCAGAGAGUGAAAGCGGAACAUCAGAGGCCAGCAGGGUUGUUGCAACUGUUGAAGAUACCUGAGUGGGAGUGGGAUGAGAUCAGCAUGGACUUCAUAGUGGGAUUGCCGAAAACUCAACGAGGUUAUGACUCAAUAUGGGUUGUAGUAGAUCGAUUGACCAAGGUAGCUCAUUUCAUACCGGUCAGAACUAACUACCGUGGAGAUCAGUUAGCAGAAAAGUAUAUGGAACGGAUUGUGUGUCUGCAUGGAGUUCCUAAGAGGAUUGUGUCUGAUAGAGGUACACAGUUUACAUCAAAGUUUUGGGAGAAGCUACAUGAUGCUUUGGGAACCGAGCUCAGAUUCAGUACUGUUUAUCACCCUCAGUCCGAUGGUCAGACAGAGAGAGUCAACCAGAUAGUAGAGGAUAUGCUCAGGUCUUGUGCUUUACAGUAUGGGGAUAGUUGGGAUGCUAGUUUGCCCUACGCUGAGUUCUCCUAUAACAACAGUUAUCAGACUAGUCUUAAGAUGACUCCUUUUGAAGCCUUGUAUGGAAGGAAGUGUAGGACUCCAUUGUUCUGGAACCAGACUGGUGAAAGGCAAGUGUUCGGCCCUGAUUCAUUGAGAAUAGCCGAAGAAAGGGUUCAGUUCAUCCGACAGACUCUGAAGGCAGCUCAGUCUAGACAGAAGAGUUAUGCUGAUGUGAGACGAAGGGAACUUGUAUUUCAGGCAGGUGAUUAUGUAUACCUGAAAGUGUCUCCGAUGAGGGGUCUAAAGAGGUUCAAUGUCAAGGGAAAGCUAGCUCCAAGAUAUGUUGGUCCUUUCAAGAUCUUGGAAAGAAAAGGAGAAGUGGCUUAUGAGCUUGAAUUGCCUGCCAGCUUAUCCAAUGUGCACAAUGUCUUCCAUGUCUCCCAAUUCAAGAAAUGUUUGAGAGUGCCUAAGGAACAGUUGCCACUAGAGGAACUGGAUCUACAGGAGGAUCUAACUUAUGAAGAGAGCCCUAUCAAAGUCCUGGACACAGCAGAGAGAAUUACCAGGAGUAAAACUAACAGGAUGUGUAAAGUACAAUGGAAACACCAUUCCGAGGAAGAAGCAACCUGGGAAAGAGAAGAUGAUCUAAUAUCCAAAUACCCUCAGUUAUUCCUGGUUCAUCCUAAUCUCGGGGACGAGAUUCUUUUAAGGGGGGUAGGUUUAUAACACUCCAAAUUUUUGAAUUUCAAAUUUAGUUUAAAUUUGAUUUAAUUUUGGCUCAAUUUGAAUUUUUGGGAAAUAUUAAAUAAUUUACAAAAUUAAUUAAAAUAAAAUAUAAGGUAGAAACGUGUUUGAUUUUUUUUGCAUUCAUGCUGCUGCAUAAUUUUGCUUGAUUUUAUUUAUUUUUGCUGAUGCUUGUUUUGUUUUGUUUUGGAGCAAGAAAAUUUUAAAAGAAAAAAAAAGAAAAAUGGGCAGCGCCUCCCCCCCUUCUCCCAGCAGCGGCCCAGCCGCACAGCCCGCGGCGCCCCCUGCCCCUGCCCCCGCCUGGGCCGACUAUCGGCCCAGCACCCCGCGCCCCUGCGCGCCCAAGUGGGCCGCGGCCCAGCCGCACGGCAGCAGCGCCCCUGCCCCUGCUCUCUCUGCCACCCGCUGACUGGUGGGCCCCGCAGGUGGGACCCACCUGUCAUCACCCACCUCCGGCCGAGACGGACUCGGGGCGCAACCACCGCCCCGGUUUCCGCGCUUGGCGCCUCUAUCCGAACCGUGCGCGCCUCCCAAUGAUCACCGCCGCCUAUUUAAGUGCCCCCGCGUCCGCGUUCGCGACCCCCUAGAACCCUAGCCGCCUCAAAACACGUCGCAAAGCCCCUGCUCGAGCUCGAUCUCGCCGGACUCGCGCCGCUGCCGUCGUGCUUCCCAUCGCCGUCGUCUUUUCGCCAAGGUGAGGACCGCCGCGAGUGCGCAAGGUCGCGACGAGCUCGAAGACGCCCUCGGCACGCCCCCUCUCCCUCCCGUGCACGCGCCCUCGCUCACCUGAAUUAGCCGCCGCCGCCGCAUAGCGCCGCCGCGUGGCCCGUGCACUCCGGCCAUGCCCAGCCGCCGCCGUCGCGCGCAGCCCGCCCACGCGCUCCGCGUGCUUCCCCGCGCCGCGUAUCGCCGCCCCGUCGAGCUCCCCGGCCGCGGCCAUGGCGCGCCGCCGCGGCCCAGCCCCGCCUGCUCGCCUCGCCAAGGGCGCGGUCCACCGUGGACCGCGACCCCAGCGCCCGCACGGCCGGUCCACUGGACCGGGUCCACGCCGCCCCCGCACCUCACCCGGUCCACCAUGGACCGGUGGACCGCCCCCCCUCCUCCCGGUCCACAGCGCCGCCAUGGACCGGGCCAUUCACGCGCUGCCACGUGGCCAGGCCGGCCACGGUCCCCGCGAGCCCCUGCGUUUUUGCAAAAACCCCCCCGGCUUUCCUUAAAAUCAACCCGCACUCCACCCAGUUAUAGAUUUAUUUAAAUUGAGCCCCUGGUUUUUGCAGUAUAGCCCCCAUAGCCGUUGGUUUUUAUAUAUUUAAUCCAAAAUGAGUUUUAAUUCAGUUUUAAUUAGUUUUAAUUACGAAAAAUAGUUCAGUAUAUCUGCAGAAAUGCCAUUCAACUUGUUUUAGCCAUAACUUUUGCAUCGUAACUCCGAUUUAGGUGAUUCUGGUCGCUAUGGUUUCGUUUCAUCGAGUAGAAUACAGUAGUGCAGUUGCUUUAUGCUUUCGCAUGCUUUGGUGUACUGUUUCUGAUUAAGUUUGUUUGCUUGCAUGUGUUGUUCCUAUGAUUGAUGAUUGUCGCGUUUAGCCAACGAGACGUUCGUGAAGGAAGAGGUACAGGAUCCCGCUGAGUUCGAGCAACCCGACUUCGAUCAAGGCAAGUGCAGACACCGUUUGAUCAUUUUGAACCUACUCAUUAAUGUCAUUUACUUUAUAUGCAUGUGUCCAAUGAAUGCAAACCCUAAGGACAUGACUAGCUUUAUUUAUUAUUCCUUGCUCACCUGGGGUUAUGUAUUUGGGUAGACUAGGCUAUACUAGGUUUGCUUAGCUGCUCUACUCAUCUUAUACACAUGCCUAAACAAGUAUUAGUCUCUACUCAACUUGAUGCUUAAAUUGUGCUGAAUCUUUGGUCACUGCGGUGAUGGCGAUGUUGGAUGCUUAUGAGCAUCGUGAUGAUGGUGGUGACAGGGGGAGCGGGUACCGUUGGUGGUCCGGUUUGCCGGGCGUACCCGUCUCUGCUCUCCGUAAGGACUUAGUCAGGGAGCGGCCCCCUGGGACUUACAGUGCAGCUCCAAGCUAUAUGGCUCUGGCUUGACUAAUUAGCAGGACCUCCACUAGUAGGGUGUUACUUUCCGGGUAGGCGUGAGGAAGUAACUUGGGUAAUGAAUAUUAAGUUGUCGGUUGAUCGGUACGCCAUGGCUAUGGGUAUCGACUGCCGAGCGCCCCGGCAAAAACUUGCGAGUGGCAUCCUAUUAGUUGGACCCUGUGAAAGGUCUCGUAGUGAGACCCUGCCUGCUCACCUUGGAAGUGUUUUGGGGAGUCGCGACCCCGGGCAAAUAGGAAUCACGACUUGGAGUGAACGUGCACACCUCUGCAGAGUGUAAAACUGAUAUAUCAGCCGUGCUCACGGUCACGAGCGGCCCAGACCCUCACUUGAUGAGCAAAUUGGAUUCACUAGUUACUUGGACAUGGACCUUGGCGAGGUUGCUACCUCGUGAUUUUGGCGGAAUGGCUAUUCCGUGUUGGCAGGAUUGCUAUCCUGUGUUAAUAAUUGGGGUGAAUCCCUGGAUUACUAUAAUAAUUAGGAUAGUCUUCUAAAAGAUGUUAAUUACUACUUACACUAAAUAAGGGUUGGGUUUAUGCUACUCAUAAUUAGUAAUAGGUUGUUCUAAUAAUAGUCAUAACUAAAAGUGUUCAACUAAAAUGCUACCGCAGUCAAACCAAGUCAGCUUUACCUUGUUUUAAGCCUUGCAUGUCAUUACUUUCCGUCUGUGCUUGCUGAGUUCGACAUGAGCUCACCCUUGCUAUAAUCAUUAAAGGUUGCUCGGACGAUCAGGAGUACAAUUGUGAUUUCCCUGAGGACUACCCUGAGUCUCCCGGUUGUUAGGCUCGUGUGGUUCUACCGUCGACCUUCCUGUGGCAAGGUGGUCCUGCUACGUCGGCGUUUAGUUUUCCCUUUAUUUAUGGAACAGUUUAGUUUAUGUUUCCCCUCCGCACUUUGAUAAACAUUUGGCUUGUAAUAAUGGUACUUUUACUCUCAUUUAUGUAAUUCGUUUGAACACUGUGUUUUGUACCAUUGAUGAUGUCGGUCCAUGUGUGUGAAUUUGAGAUCCUGGCGCACAUGUGAUUUGACACCCGAAUGCUCUCUUACAUCCGGGUGUGACAGAUUUCUUAGGUAGUGAGGUUCUCCUAAUGGAAGAAGUUUUGUGCAAGGCAACGUGCUUUUCUAAUCUUACUUCAGGCACCGGAGCGUACCUGGUCUGCCAGGUAAUACCGGCGUGUAGCUCUACGCCGUAUCCGGACAUGGGGGAAACUAAGGACAAACAGGGCUGUCACCACCUGCUGCCGACCCCUCAACCGUGGGAUACGAGGCAAACGAGGGUAACCUCUAACCUAGACACCACGUCUACGUUAUUAGCUACUACUCUAGCGUUGCACAGGUCCUCCCGCCAGCCAGCAAGAGUCCCUCUACUAGAGUAUCUACCGAGAGAUAGACAAUGAACCCGCAAGAUUAUAAGAACACGAUAACGAUUACUCAAUAACUUCUUAGAACAAAAGAAGAAAACAACCUUUUCUUAGCCCAAUAUGGUAUUCCAGGUUGUAGAGAUACAGCUCAGGAAGCGGGCAGCACUUCGGCCCUUCCGCCAGUGCAACUAGGGGAACGGACCGGGUGCUUGCUACUUCUCUUACUCUACACUCUAACUCACUCUCCUAUUCUAUUCCUAACUAGAGGCUAAGGAUAUGAGUGGAAGCUCCGCCUCUCUAUUACUACUCUUGUAUCUCUCUUUAUUCUUGUGGACUUGAAGCUUGAAUGGAUUGAAUGAUGAUGAAUGAGAGGCCCUCUCCCCCUCCUUAUAUAGGUGUGGAAGGUCGGUUUGGGAGGGGGUAAACUGCAAAAUGCAGUCGGGAACCGCGCUAGGGCUUCGCAAGCACCGCCUCUGCAAAAGGCGGUGGGGAGCUGGUGAAAGUUCCUUGUUUGGUUUUGGUAAUUGAGUGACAACUUAGGUGGACUAAUAGUGUUUAUGUGAGAUACACAGGAGAUUAGUCCACAGGUGAUGAUGUGAUUGCACAUGAGACAUGACAUGGAGUCAUGUGACCAAGGUGGAGAAGAUCAAGAUGAGGCUUGGCUUGAUGGACCGGUCGCAAGAGUGAAGGGCAAGUCGGAGGCUUUGAAGCGAGGGACCGCGUGUGACGGUGAAGCUUGAGCAAGACUUGGCGCCGAUGGAACGAGGCAACGGUGAAGAGCAAGUGAGGUCAAGAUCGAUGAACCAAUACGGUCACGUGAUGAUAUGAAGUGGAUCAUAUCAUUUGGUGAUUGGUUGGUGCAUGUGUUGCAUCAACAUUGGAGGAGAUGGAAUGGAAAGCGCAAGGCAAAGGUACAACCUAGGGAUUUUCCAUUUCACCGGUCAUAGGUGUGUAGAGAAGUUUAUGACCGGAUUUAGGAUAGAUGGCCGUACUAUCAAGAGGGGCAAACUUGUUUGCAUAUCGGUCAUCUAGUGCCACUUGAGCGAUCUAACUUUGCAUACGUGUUAGGAUCGAGUGGCGUGGCAUGUUGAGAGGCUAACCUCUUUGGGAAAAUGUUUGUGAAAAUGCUAACACACUUGCACAUGGUGGUGUACACUUGGUGGUGUUCGGCGCUUUUGAGAAAAUUAAGUGUAUAUUUUCUAUUGCACCGGUGGGAAAUUUUGGAGAAGUCACGGGAGUGUUUUUCACUGAGAAACACUCACCGGACGCUCUGCGCGGAGGCACCGGACGCUGGCCUUUAGCGUCCGAUGUGCUGUCGGGUGUAGCAAAGUGCACCGGACGCGCCGGAGAGAGUCCGGUGCUCAGCGUCCGGUGUGCGGGCUGUUUGGCGACCCUCUCUACGCAUGAGUCCGGUGAGCACCGGACGCUCAGGGUGCGUCCGAUGGCUUGCGUCCGGUGACCGUGCGACUUUGCGGAGCUCUCUGCGCAUGCGUCCGGUGUGCACCGGACGCGUCCGGUGUGACGCAGUAGAGCGUCCGGUGGUGCUGUGCAGGCACGCGUGCGCAGUAGCCGUUGGCGACAAUGGUCGUUUUCAAACGGCUAGUGACACGUGGCUGACGCCUGAGCACCGGACGCUAGGUGUUGAGCGUCCGAUGGCUCCCUGUGAUCGUCCGGUGCCCACGUGUUUUGCCCAGUGAAGGGGUAACGGCUAGUUUAGCCCUUGGGGCUAUAAAUAGAAGUUGUGGCCAGCCUUGGCUGGUGCUGAGCACCCUUGGGACUUAGUGUCCAUGCUUGGGGAGUGCUAGGAAAGCCUCUAACUCACUUGUGCUUGCAAGAGUGCGAAUCAAUAGCGAGUGAGUGAUUCUAGUGUGUUGCAUUGAGAGAUUGCAUCGAGUGGCACUAGGUGUUCGUAUUGCAAGCCGGUGGUGCUUGUUACUCUUGGAGGUUGCCACCUCCUAGACGGCUUGGUGGCUUGUGACUCCGUCGAAGCACGCAAGGAGAUUGUGCGGUGCUCCGAAGAAGACAUUGUGAGGGGUAUGGUGCUCACCCCGCAGGGAUCGCGAAGAGCAACUCUAGUUGAGCGAGAUGUGAAUAGCAACAAGUGGUCCGGCCAGGUCAAGUGCUAGAGCUUGUGGUAAGCACUCCACGUGGGAGAGUGUGACUUGCGGGUCACCACUAGCAAGAGGACCGGCGGCAACCUUGGAGCUCGUCUCAACGGGGACGUAGCUUGGUGGCAACCAAGUGAACCUCGGGAGAAAAUCAUCGUGUCAACAUUGUUCUUCCCGUUGGUUUGCAAGUCCCUAACACAAGCUUGUUCUUACGUUCAUAUACUUGUGCUUGUGUAGUUGCUCUUGUAAUUAGUUAGCUUGUGUAGCUUGCUAGUUACCUUCUUGCUUGUGUAGCUAGAACUAGUUCCCUUGCGUGACUAAUUUGGUUUGUGUAACCUUGUUAGUCACAUUGCUUAGUUUGUGUAGCUAAGUAAGUUGCGCUCUCUAAUUUGGCAUUAGUUGCCUUGUUAUUGAGCUUGCUAGUGAGCUUAGGCUUUGUGCGCUUUGCCUCACUAGUUUGAGUAGGAGCUCCCCCGGUUUGCAAAGUACUAGUUGCAUAGGUUUGUGUGAUCUUGCUCCUAGAAUUGGUUAGGUGAGCUCUUGCUAAGGUAGCACCUUGGUUGCUUGUUUAGGAUCUUUUCAAGGUGCUAGAGAACUUAGAUAGAGGGGUGUAGUCUUGGCUAGACCGAUAGUUUUAAUUCCGCAUUUGUUUUCGGUUAGCCGGCGUAAUAACUUUUAGAAAGGACUAUUCACCCCCCUCUAGUCCGCCAUCUCGACCCUUCAGCUGGGCCAGGCCGGGGUCGGUCGACCCUAGGGGGCGGCCGCCCCCUGGCUGGCUCCUUUGGCCCAGGCCCAAAGCCCAGACGAUGCUCCUCAGCCUUCUGAGUUUGAAUCCAAUAGCAUUUCGAUGCACUUCUGUAUUUGAAUUAAAUGUGCCUUCAAUUCUUUGAAUUUGGCAGCUCAAACCCUAGUGUCCUGUAUACACAUGUGUUCACAAAAACUGUGGCAUUUGGUUAGCAUAAAAAGCCCUAUUUCUAAUGUUUGGUGAUAUUUUAUAGAGUUUGUAUGCAUGUUGGCGGUAUGAAAAGUGUAUUUUAAGAAACGCCAACAUACCCCUAAUUCUAUUGUCGUACACUUGUCCAUUUUUACCUCUCGUCUCACUUUUUCUUUUCUUCAAGGUUCCGGGCACUUGCCCCUUUUUAUUUCCUCGUAUCCUCUUCAUUUUUUAGAGCACUCAUCUCCUUAAAUAAUAUAGCAAGUGGUAGUAACCAAGAUAACUCGAGCAUUUAUUUCACAUGGGAAAACAGGGAUAGGAAAAAGUUUUUUGGCUAUUCUCUCCUUGAUAGGAGUAGAAUAAUUUUGGGUGAAUCUGGAGAUGGAAAUGAGUGGAUGUUUGUGGAUGCGUACUUUCAGAGUAGAAGUAGCAUGUAUGAGUGAACGUGCAAGUGAAUCUUGAUUUUGACCACAUGACAAGCUCCUAAGGGUCUACACAGCUUGACCACACUCAAUGCUCAUAAGCAGUAAAAAGUAAAUGUAUGGUUUAUAGUCUAGCAAGCAUGUAUAUAUGGCUGUGGUAGGAAUUUAAACUUUCAUCAUACAGGAACUCAUCAUGUGUUAUUUGAAAGAUUUUCAAAGAUAAAAUUCUCCAGAAUUCUAGCAUCUCAAGGAACAGAUAAACAGCAGCUCAACCUGCCCAUAUCAUAACCGUUAAGGACUUAGACUUCAGAUCAAGUACUCUUCCCACAAGUUUAGGUUUAGAGUAGGUUUAAAUAUAACAGUUAUGCCUAAACUUAAGAGAGAGCUCAAACUUGAAAACUAGGUACAUGGCAGAGCAACUAUUUAUCAUAUCCAUGUAAGAGUUUAUCAUGAGGGUUCAUAGCAAACUUUAUUUAUUUAUUUAGCAAACUAAGCAAAGAUAUAAGCACAAAAUUUUUAUUUGGGUUUCUAUGAUUAUGCAUCUCUUUUUUUAUUAUUUGAGUAAAGCAUAAACACGAGUAGAAACACUUAGCUAGAUAAAAGGGGGUGCUCUCCCCCAAGCUGGAUUUUGACGUAACUUCUUCUGAUGUAGCUAGCAGGUGGCAGAGGUGUAUUUGAAUGUCAGCAGCACCCUGACAGCGAUUAGGAUGUCCUCCGUCUGCUAGUCUUCUUUGAUCCUUGAAUUCUAUGGAGCUCAAAUAGACAACAAAGCUUUGUGGAACUGGUUAAGUGUUAGCAUAAAUAUCUAGCCUUUAUCAUGUUGAGCCUCCUCAAUAAAUGUUACUCUCUUUAGUAGGAUCAUAAAUUUAUUUUUAUAUUUUUAUUUUUCUUUUCAAGAUUGUAUGAACCUGAUUAACUAAGCAAACUAUUUUAAAUAGUUGAAAGGAAAAAGGAUAAAUACCAAGUUUACCUCUUGGCAAGGCAUUCGGUGUUUUUAAGUCCUCCGAACGGGACUCUCUAUUUUCUCAGUCGUCCUGGGAUUCGCUGGAUGGCGUAGUCGGUGGUUUCGGCGGCGCCUCUUCUUCGUGUAUAACUAUCUUCUCUCUCCACACCUGACUUGGUGCUACUAUCUCCUCAGGACAGUUCUGUUCAAGCUGUAUGUCUUCAGACCUUACCACUUCUCCUUCGUAGUCUGCCCAACCAUCCUUGAUGAUUUGCCUCCUCUGGUUGCGGUUGCGUUGUCUUCUUCUUGUCCUGACCUGCUUAGAGUCUUCAACUAUAUAGUUAGGGUCAGUAAAAUAGCGGCGUACCUUCUCAGAGGGGAAGUGCAUGUGGACUUCUUCAGUUCCAAUGUAGAUGAUUGCUUUAACAGUGCUGAGGAACGAUCUCUCAAGGAUGAUGGGUGGGUCAUACUCGUCUUCUCCCAUGUCAAUAACCUUCAACCUUUCGGAAUGUCUGAUCUGCCAUGUGGAGCUAGGUCAUCCUUUUUGGUCAGAAACUGUGACUUAAGUCGAUGAUCUUGACCUCCUUGAACUGCAGUGACCAUCUUAGCUGACUCGGUCCACAUUUGCUUGUUCCUGUUCCUCCUGUUGGUCCUCUUCCUUGGUUCAUGUCGGGAUUUCUCUGAGAUUUGUGUAGUCUUAUUCUUGAAGGAAAACGUCUUUCCUCCCCUUGAUGUAGAGACUAAUCUUGGCAGCACUGGGGCAUACAAGGUGCCAACUCGGACGCAGAGGUUCUUCAAUAUUUCCUUUGGGAAACUUUAGUGUCUGAUCGACAACCGUGGGCAUAAUGUUGACGCUGUAGCCAAAGUCGUAGAGUUCUUCAGGGAAGUCCACCAUGUUGAUGGAGAUCGGUAUGACGGAGUGUCCUGGAUCACCUCUCUGAGUAGUUAGACCUCUAUUGAUUCCAACCUUGAUUUUGUUGAGGACGGUUGUAGUAGUAGUUGUUGUUGUUGUAGUUGACGAUGUAGUUUACAUCCUUGAGCAUCUCAGGGCAGUGAUUGCCUAAGUAUCUAGUGUCUCCAGUGUGUUUGUGCUCGUAGAUCCAAGCCCUUCACUUGGUGGAGUCUGGGAGUUGUAAAACUCCUUCAGGUUUUGCUCGAAGUGUACCUGCUUAUAGAGGCAAGGCAGAGAUCAAGUGCAUGGGCCCUGUUGGUGAAAAACACCAACAGAACCAAAAGUGUAUUGGUUCUUCUCUAACCUUAAACAUAGUGAGCAAGACAAAGUUGAUGGAUAAUAAGAUCAUGAGUGUAGCGUUUAAAACAUUUGUCAGAUCAGAUCGCUCGACCUAAUGGAAAGAUAAUCUAUCUAUAUUUAUGUUUUGUUUAUAUCUUCCAAAGAUUGAAUGUGCAAUGUUUUAGCUUACUAGGAACAAAGAUUAAAGGACUAAACAUGUUGAAUUAAUUGGGUUGGUUAAUUUGGAGUUACAAAUCAUACAUGUUUGUCUCUUUAUUUUAUGUGAACGCCAGAACCAAGGAGAAGCUUAUAAAAGCGAUAGUCAAGUACCUUAAGAUGUUACCUUACUUGAAGAGUGAUGGUACAGUAUCACCAUGUGGAAGCUUUCCUUUCUUAGCGGUUGUGCAUCGUGUUUGUGGCACCCUCCAUGGAUCAUCUCUUGUGUGCUAUGCCUUCCUUGUGUAAAUUGUUAACCUUCAUGUGUCUCUCUAUUUGUCUCCCAUGUGAGUUUAUCUCAGGACUUCGCAGGUCGAUAUUGAAAGUUUUCCUCCAGGGGUUAGUCCGACAAAAUAUACCAAUGUCUACUGAAGCAGUUUUUAGUUCAGUAACCAAACUAGACUCCAUGUCUAAUCAUAUUAAGGAAGGCUAUUUAAUGUAAGCACCACGCUUAAUUUAAAUGCCAAUGGAAGUAUGUCGAGUACUUGCAAACCAACACUUGCUUGUGAAUAGACAAAGGUAGCAUGACAGCGUUUAUAGAGAUCUACUCAGGUGGAGAUGAAAAAUAAGUUUAGUGUUUAGAAAAAUUGAGCAUGCCUUAAAAGUAGGGACAACCAACAUAGCAACAUGGCAAAGGAUGUUCUUAUGUAAGGUAUUUCUCCCAAGCUUGAAUUUUGCAAAAUUCAAGAUUGGAUGAAUUUAAUUCAAUGUUGCAUGAUGAUUGGUUGGGCAUACCUUGCGCUUGUCAUUCCUCGGAUCUUCUUGCUCCAAUCCUAGAAAGGUUAGUGACACGAAUACCCGAAGGAAUAUUUCUACAAUUAUCUUUAUAUGCUCAAUACAAAAGGCAAUGUUGCAAAUAAUUAAAAGCUCAUGUUACGAUCUGAUAAGUGCUUGUGUUAGGACACUAAGCUCGUCCUUGGGAAACCAUCAAAUUAUGUUGGUAAAGUGGUUUCCCCUCCAACACCAACCUAAGUGUGCCUAUAUCAAGAUCGACUCAACAAUAUCUGCAAUAUUUAUUGUAGACACAUGCAUCGACAACCACCCUUUUAAAGUUUUUAUAAAUAGAAAGGAAGAGGGGAAUGGAGAUGUCAAAUGUGGUAAGGUUGGAGAGACCAAUUGAUUUUGGAGAUGUUUUAUAUGAGCAAGGACUUGGUGAGGUAUUUAUCAAAAAUAACUUCCAUGCUCACUGUUGUUUCUCUCAUUCUCAAACUCCAAGGAUGAUUCUUCAUGAAUGCUUAAAAUUCCUCUAGGAUUGUCUCUCAAGUUUGUUUUAUCCAUCCAUUCAAUGGUGAUAGCACAUGGAUUUUUAAAGCCCUCUAGCCAUUGAUGUUGCUCUUCUCAAUCCUCCUUGUGGUCUUGGUGACUCUUAUGCAUGGGAUGUCUAGAGAGAUUCAUAGGAUCAUCGGGAGGUUCAAGAGAAAGAGCAUAGUAGAAAUUAUUAGGCUCAAGGAUGGGUUUAAAGAUAGGUUCGUAUGAGUCAUCAAAAGUGGGCGUAGAAGGGGAGAAGAUGAGAUUGUCUUCUAAACGGCUUUGCUCUCCUUCUAUUGCAUCACUUAAGAUACCAUCCUUGAGUCUUUCUAGAUGUCCAUCAAAGGGAUUGGAUUUGAGAUGCUUUCUAAGAGAUCUCUUCUUAGGAAGGUUCAGACUAUAUGUUCUCAAAGGUCUCUUAUGAAGCAGUAAGUUUAAGCUCAUCCCAAAAUGAAUUUCCAAAGGUAGAAUUUCUUCUUCUCUUAGAUUAUUUUGGAGCACUACAAGUUUGGGUUGGAUAGCCGAAUCAUGGGAUUGAAAUGUUUGGAAAUCGGCUAUUGAAACUUCCUUUCCUCGUUUGGGAGAUGAUUCCUUCUCUAUCUCUAUGAUUUUUUUAUGAAGACUAGUGCAAGAAGGAUGUCCACAGAUGAAGACAUACCUUGCUUUACUAACAGAUAAAGAAAGAAAAACUCUACCAAAGGUUAUAUGAUUAAGACCAAUGUGAAAAUAUCGAGGAAAACAUGGUCUUGUAGGGCUAGGUUUAAACCAGAAUUUAUAGAAAGAUUAAAAGAUUCCCUAGGUGUAGCUAAAAGUUCAUUAUCUUCUUGAUUAAAAGAUAGGACCUCGGCUAUAGAAAAGGGUUGGUUUUGACCUAUUGCAAUCAACUCCGGACAUAGAUCAUAAUUAGGGGCAAAGAAAGGACUUGUUGACUCUCAUGGUCUAUGGCUAGUCUCCGAAGGUACAAAAAAUUCAAUAAUAGGUGUGGAAUUUGAGUUAUCCAUAAAGAUGGAAAAAUAAAAAGAUAAAAGAAUAAAAGUAUAAAAGUAUAAUACAAGAUAAUAGCAAUACUAAAAGUUAUCUCAGCAAACCGUCUUUCUCCCCGGCAACGAUGCCAAAAAUGCUUGUUGAUAUUUGGUAACGCCAUUAGGAAAUGAUCCGCAAGCGCACGGAUAUCGGUGAGCACUUCACCCGGGAGGUUAUCGAGAGUAUCGUAUUUAUAUUUUUACCACUGGGAGAAAGCGUGCAUCUGACUAACCAAAUUUAUUGCUACUACCAUUUAGGCUACAAAAAAUGUGAUUCAAUGUGAGCGAUGUAUAGAGAAGACUACAACCGUAGUCUCGUUCUAACCUUGGUAAGGAUGAUCUACUGUUCUAUUGGGGAGGCUGACGGAAUCUAGACACCAUAGAGGAUAUUCGACCCGCACCUAUAAACCCUACCCAUCCUGCUAACGAGAUGUGGGCUGCAAAGGUAACUCGGAAAUUUCAUGUUGCUCGCUACUACCACGGUCCAGCUAGUCAGGGGAUAUCUAUGAGUACCCUAGCCCAAACACCACGUUUACGCUAGCAAUGAUUACUCUAAACUCAACCGGAAGAGAUUAAAGUAAACUCGUAAACCAAAGAAUAAUAAAACAAGAACUUACUUGAAUUUAGAAGUCGAAUUACUGAAGAAUCCUAGGAGCAAGCCUCGGGUUAGGAGAACUUGAUCCCGCAGGUAUAACCUCGGAGUAGACACCGACAAGCCGGGCUUCCUUCGAUUUACACCUCCACUCUAUCUCUCUCAAUCUAGUAGAUCUAGUCUACUCUCACAUUGGAUGCUAAGCCCUAAGUCUAUUUAGAGGAGAGGUUAUCCUUCGAGGGCACCUCUCAACUCGAUGAUGAACUUGUUCUCCUCCAGGGGCCAGGGGGUCUGCUUAUAUAGUCCCCUCAAGUGAAUCUGGGCCGUCGGAUCAAACCGACAUUGAUUGAACGGUUAUCCUUGAUCCUUUAGGUCGGUGGAGCGUAAUCCGUGAGACGGGUCCUGAUUAGACUCUGCACCAGGGCGGACGCCCUAGGGGGGAGGGCGAGCGCCCUGCCCACGGGCCCGAUCACCUUCCUAUUCGUUCCCGUGGCUUCUGGAGUCUUCUAGAUGAUAGAAAAUUGUAUGACACGUUAAUAUCUCUAUGUAAACCCGACAUGUGGGCCUUUCUUCCAUAUUUCCUGAUAACUGCAGAAAUAGACAAACACCAAAACUCGUGGAAUUCUGUCAGAUAAAACCCUAAGUCUGGGUGUUAGUUGCAUUUGGAUCUUUUUCUUUAUUUAUUUGAUGAUUAUAUUUGGUACUUAAGGACCGUCAACAGUCACCUUUUCAUCAUUCAAUGAAACUAUAGAAAAUUACAUGCUCUUCACUCAUCAACCUUUUCCAGACUUCUUUGAUUAAUUUGCGGUUGAUGAGCUGGGGUCUAUUUGAGAUGCAAUAAUGUUCACUUAAAAACUUCUUCUCCAAUAGAUUAAGGUUGUUCUUUCCUGCAAAACAUUAAUGGACACAUACCCGAGGGAAUAGCAAGAUUAAAAUACGAGUUUUGUUGUCCAUAUAUUUUUUUUAUUUUCUUCUAUGCUAAUCAAGAUGAUAUAUGGUUUAAGAUUAUUUAGCAUAAAUUGUGUCUUUUGUGUUUUAUGUUGUUGUUGCAAUCUAUCAUGGUUCAAGGAAAAGAUAACUUGUAACAAAAGAUAAAUGGAUAAAUAUUACUACUCACAAGUUGAACUUUUUGUGCAAAGUUAUCAUCUGCCUUAAUUCAUCUCCGGUGUGAACUUAUCACUUGACUUUCCCAGAUUAAUCUAAAUUUUUCUUGUAGGGGUUAGUCUAGCAAAAUAUUCAAAUAUCUACUACAGCAUACUAGCGGCUCAAAAAUCAACUUAGACACCACGUCUAAUUUGAUUAAAGAUGACAUUUUAACCACGUCUAAUUAAAAGCCUUUCAGAGCAAGAUCAUCACUACUAAACUAGGCACCAUACUUUAUUUAAGAGAUAAAUGAAACUACUCCAAACCUAAACAUAUACUAUAGCAAACAAAGGUGACAUGAAAGCAUUAUAGAGAUUUAUUCAGAUAGAGAUAAAAGAGCAUGAUCAUGGUGAGUUUUUUUAUAAUGCUUGUGAGAUGAAUAUAUGAAAUGGAACAAGUUAUGGCUGAGGAAUUUUAAAGUAAAUAGUGUGAAUAUAUGGAUUAAUGUAAACAUGCAAUGGAAUGUAAAAGAUAACUACUCAUAAUUGUUCAAGUCCAUAAGCAAGACUUUCUCACCUUUAUUUGAUCAUACUUACCAUGACUCACAUUUUGAAAUUUGUGAGUGAUGCAACAUCUUUUUUCACAUCACUUGAGAUAUGAAUUGAAAUCCUAUGACGUCGACCUCUUUCUCCAACAUUGGAUUUGUUAUGUUUCUUCUUAUUUUGUCGGGGCAUGCCGGAAGGUCAUAAACCGGUCAUUUAUUACCCUCCAUAAGAUAUAAAAGUAGACAAACAACGGUAAUCCUUCUUGAGCAGGGGUUAAUGGUUAUCUCCAUCACAUAAUUGAGUAUAAGUCUAUCAAUGUUCCAUAAUUGCCUAGCUACCUUCUGCGGCAACAGCACCAAAAAUGCUUGUUGGUAUAAAUUAACUGUACUCCUUUUAAAUAAUAUUUAAGUAAGAUUAUCCGCAAGCGCACAGAUAUCGUAGCAAUGCUACAUUUUACCCGAGGGGUUUUAAAUAUCGUAUCCACAGGGAAGGUCUAUAUGUAGGACUUAUAACUAUAAUUUAUACAAUUGAUUUGAAUGAUAGACCAUAACUAGAUUCCUACUCAUAAUAGGGAUAUGUCACUUGAUAAAAGAUAUAAGAUAAAUAAUGAUCAGUCAUCAUAAAUAGAUAAAUAUCAGAGCUCUUCUAGUCAUAGUAAUAGCUAGCCAUAGGAUAAACUUAGGAAGAAAUAUUAAGGUAAUUCUAUAACUACAUCAAUGAAUAACUCUAAUUAGUGCAAUUACAUCUGGAAAUCAUUGUUAAGUCAGCCCUAUAUCAUAAUCACAUGCAAAGAGGCAUCAACUAAUGAGGGUUUUAAGAUGCAACCGUCACCUCCUUCACGACCGCGCCCAAGCUAGUCCUAUGUACGGGGGGUAGACUACAGAGGAACCAACGCAGCUGUCACCUAUGCGGACUACCACACGACCCGGCACGUCAGGGUGCCCUCGCAAAUAAACAAGAUAUCUAGACACCACGUCUACAUAUUGUCUACCAUCCACCAAUUGAUUGGGUAAACGCUAUACGAGCAAUUACAUGAAUUCAAUAAGAUCAAACCAACUAUCCUAUACAUAUAAUCAAAGUAGACAAUGACUAUGGCAAUUAAGAAUAUAAGAGAAUAAGAACGAUAUUGCCUGAAUUAUAAUAAUGAAUACAAUAAGAGAAAGGUACUAGAGCUAUACCGAACUCCACGCUCCAGACAGGCGCCAGGGGCUUUGGAUCCCGCUGAAGAACUAGAACUCUUCUACUUCUAACCUAACUAGGCUAAAACUAUGAACUAGAGAGGAUCUGAUGAACUAGAGAAGGCUCUUGAUGAAUGGAUCUAUAAAUGACUUGGUGCCUUCACGGAGGGUGGUCUGCCCCUUUAUUUAUAGCCCAGUGGGAUCGACGUGCGCUGCAGGAUCAAACUGACUUAACCAAGGGCCAAGAUGACUCCUUAGGGGGGCCGAAACCCUAACAGGGGGUGCCGGCCGGCGCCAUGGUGGGGAUUGCCGUCCCCACCUAGCGGCCUCUGGCCCUCAGUUUCUUUUGGUGUCUUCUUGAUCCUUCCCACGUCUUGUUUGUGAUAUUGCUAUGGCGGAUAAGUUUCGUGUUUAUUUUGCACUUGAAUCCCUCUUUUUAGCUUUUCUAGAAUUCACUCUGGAAAAUACAGAAUAUGCAAAACUUGUGGAAAUUGUCAGAUAAAACCCUAGACUAGUGUGUUUUCAUGUUUUCCUCCAGAUCUAAAGUUAUAAUAAAAAUUGAUGUUAUCGAUCAUCAACAACGUACAAGGAUCCUCUAAGUCCUAGCACUAGACUGUCACUCUCUGUUGGGCGUCAAGUUGUGCGGCAAGAAGUUAGCAAAGGUAAGAGCUAGUUUAGACACCACGUCUAUGCUAUUCUAACUACUCGGACAUUUAGCUAAAGAACCGAGCACUUCAACAAAGUAAAGCAAUGCACCAGACAAGGAGAGUAAUAAACUUAAAUUACUAAGCCGGAAUAUAAAUACUAGAAAGACUCGGAUGAGAACUUACAAGAAGAGUCGCUUCCGCUGAGGCGCUCCAUAGAGAAGACUCCCGACAGGCCAGGACUCCUCCUUGGAAGCUCCUCACUCCCUUCCCUCUAUUCUCACAACAAAGAUACUAAUGUACUCUUUCUUCCUAAGAUGGCACACUUUCUAAUAAAGGACUAGGGGGUAUUUAUAGGGGAGGUGGAGUAGCCCCUACUCUAGUGCCACGUCAGCGAUCCACGUGACCUCCGCCAUGCACUAUUGGAUCAAACCGACCUUGGAACCGACUUUAGAUGGAUGGUGUGGAUGAUCAUUACGUGGAUAGCAUGCUUGAGUCGAUGGGAGGCCAACCGACCUAGUGGGGCUCCACCAGGGGAUCGACCGAUCCCCCUAUGGAGGGUCGGCCCAGCUAGUGUAGGUUGGGUGGAGUCCCCACCUGUCAUAGAGUGCAGCUCCACUUCUAGUUUUUCCUUUGUCACGUUGGUUCAUUUCCGGUGGGCCCAUUGAUCCAUGUGCUUUCCAUGCUAGACUUCAGAAGGAUGGCUCCUUAGUACCUGAGGGUGGAGAAUAGCUUUAGAGGACUUCUCCUAGGUCAUUGCAAGGUGUCACACCGUGGUCCCACAGGGGAGGGCUCAGCCGAUCCCCCCUGUGUGGGUCUAGGGUGUCAGCCCUUGCUUGUCCUCUUUAGCUUGCUCUGAUGUUGAUGCUCUUGAACUUGUGUUUCUCUGUCAUCUUCAUUCUUUCUCAUUCAUGCUCAUAGAUAUUGGCAAUUUCAUGUUAAAUACCUGCAACCAAAUAAUGUCAUGUACAUGUGGAACCAAGUUAAUUUGCACCUAUGUCACUACUUGUUUGGAUGACAUUUCCCUCAAUUUGGGAAAAAAUGUUGACGGUUCUGCUAGGUAAAAACAUGUCAUAGUUACCGUAAACAACUAGCAGCUUGUGGUUUUCUUCCCGCGUGACGUCGGUGCACGCCGAUGGUGGUGACUGCAGUAAGGGAAGCCAGCAAUGUUCACUUUCCUUGCCACCGUCCUUUCUUUCUGUGUUGCUUUUUCCCUUCUAGGAUUAUGGUUUGGAUCCUUCCAGAUAGGGUCCCUCCAUACUCUGUUGUUUAGGGUUAGGAUUUUUUUAUUCCAACUCAAAGUUCGUUCACACUUUUUUUUCAUGUUCUUUCGAGUUUAAUCCAAAAACAAAAUCAGAUAAACUGCCUUUACUUUUCCCUGUUAGGGUUUGAUGGAUCCGCAUUGGUAGAACUUACAGGACUUCUAGCGGUAGAUUGGCAUCGGGUUGAACUCCUCGGCGUCGCGGACGUUGAGGAUGAAAUGACGACGAGUCGAUGCGGAGGCUGUGACAAAAUCUAGUGGCACUUCCCGUCACUCUGCCCUUGAAAACGGAUUAGGGUUUGGAGAGUAGGGCGUGGUGGCUACCGUCACUACUACAGAACAGGCCUUUGGUCAGUUGAACAAAAUGAACAAUAAUCUCGGCCCAAUCAGCGUCCAGGACAAAAACAUCUCUACACCCGGUUGGUGAGAACAACCGGGACUUAAAGUCCCCUGCCCAACGGCUAUGGUGUCAGAGAUCAGCAGAAGGGACCUUUAGUCUCGGUUGGUAUCCCCAACCGGGAUUAAAGCCUAGCCUUUAGUCCCGGUUGGUAUCCCCAACCGAGAGUAAAGCCCAGCCUUUAGUCCCGGUUGGUAACACCAACCGGGAUUAAAAGUUGUUGUCUUGGUCCGUCUCACCGGCCAGGACUAAUGUUGGACUUUAGUCCCGGUUGUUAAAUGGAACCGGGACAAAAUGUCCUACCCCAUAUUUGAACUCUUCUUCUUCCCCUGGCCGAGCCCAUCGAUCUUCACUCUUUUGUUGUGCACUUCAUUUGCAGUUGCUUGUUCUUGCUCUUAUCUCCAGCUAUUGAUUCAUUUCAUCAUUUCUACGCCGUCAUCGACUUGUUAAGAGGUCACUAGCUUCAUCUUCUCAACAUUUAGCAGCAGCAUAUGUCAUUUCCUAGUGCUAUGUUUGUUGUUUUUUAUUUUAUGGUUUUUUAAGAGGUCAUUAGCUUCAUCGUCUUCUCAACAUCGACGUGUUUUUUUAGAGUAAUAGUGAUACUAUGUUUUUUAUUUUAAUUAGUUUAGAAAAAAUUAAAAACAUAUAAUACUUUAAUUUGCAAUAUUUGACUGAGUUAAUUAGUUAAUUAUAACUAGUAUGCAUAUCACAUUUCAUGAUUAUUUAGAAAAAUAAAGAAUUUUUGUGCUUUUUUAAUUUUGCUUGUUUAGAGAAAUUAGAAAUAGAGAUUUUUAGGUUUUUUGUUACUUUAAUUUCUCUAUUAAAAAUUAGAAACUUAUAUUUCUUUAAAUUUGCAAUUUAUGACAUGGUUAAUUAGUUAAUUAUAACUAGUAUGCAUGUCGCAUUUCAUGAUUAGUUAGAAAAAUAGAGAACUUUUAUGUCUUUUUAAUUUUGCUGGUUUAGAAAAAUUAGAAAUAGAGAAUUUUAGGUUAUUUGUUACUUUAAUUUCUCUAUAAAAAAUUAGAAACUUAUAAUACUUUAUGUUGUAAUGCAGACAAUGACAGGUCAUUGGAUGUACAAUGCCGAUCGCCGCUCCAAAGAAUUCAUUGAUGGUGUGCAUUAUUUCUUAAGAGUGGCCGAGGAAAACAAGCGGGAUGGAUUCAUAUGUUGCCCAUGUGCCUUGUGUUAGAAUUUGAAGAAAUAUUCUAGUUCUAGAAAUAUUCACUCACAUUUGUUGAAGUCGGGUUUUAUGCCAAACUAUAUUUGUUGGACCAAGCAUGGAGAAAACGGGAUAAUGAUGGAAGAAGGUGAAGGAGAACAGUUGGAGCCUGACGACAUUAUUGCUCAAUAUGGUGACUUCGGUGAUACAUUAAUGGGAGAAGCUGAAGAUAAGGCAGGUGCAGAAGGCACACCUGUUGAAGAUGAUGCUCUUGGUGAUGUCAUUCGUGAUGCAUAGAAAGAUUGCGAAAGUGAAAAAGAGAAUACAAAGUUUGACCACAUGUUAGAAGAUCACAAGAAAUUACUAUACCCAUCUGCCCAGGAUGGGCAAAAAAAAUUGGGUACUACACUGGAGUUGUUAAAAUGGAAGGCACAGAAUGGUGUAUCUGAUAAGGCAUUUGGCCAAUUACUGAAGAUCCAAAAAAAGAUGCUGCCGAAGCCUAAUGAACUGCCCACUACUACAUACGAAGCAAAACAGAUCGUCUGUCUUUUGGGAUUAGAAAUCAAGAAGAUACAUGCAUGUCCUAACGACUGCAUCCUAUACUGUGGCAAGGACUACGAGAAUUUAGAUGAAUGCCCCAUAUGUAAAGCAUCACGGUAUAAAAUCAUGCGAGAUGACCCUAGCGAUGUUGAGGGGGAAGAACGUCCCAGAAAAAAAUCCCUGCAAAGGUUAUGUGGUAUGCUCCAAUAAUACCACAUCUGAAACAUCUUUUUAGAAAUAAGGACCAUGCAAAAUUGUUGCGGUGGCACAAAGAAGACCGUAAAGUAGACAACAUGUUGAGACACCCUGCUGAUGGGUCCCUGUGCAGAGCAAUAGACAGGGAAUUUCCAGAGUUUGCAAAAGACGCAAGAAACUUAAGGUUCACUUUAGGUACAGACGAUAUGAAUCCUUUUGGUGAGCAGAGCAGUAGUCAUAGCACUUGGCCUGUUACACUAUGUAUCUACAACCUUCCUCCAUGGUUAUGCAUGAAGCAAAAGUUCAUUAUGAUGUCGGUGCUCAUCCAAAGCCCGAAGCAACCAGGUAAUGACAUUUAUGUCUAUCUAAGACCAUUAAUUGAAGAACUCAUUCUUUUAUGGAGUGAAACAGGUGUUCGUGUGUGGGAUGAGUACAAACAGGAACACUUCGACCUGCGAGCAUUGCUGUUUGUGACAAUCAAUGAUUGGCCUGCUCUAAGUAAUCUUUCAAGGUAGACAAACAAGGGAUAUAAUGCAUGCACACACUGUUUUGAUGACCUUGAUAGUAUAUAUUUGAAAAAAUGCAGAAAGGUCGUGUACCUUGGGUAUCGUCGAUUUCUUUCUAUGAAUCACCCAGUUAGAAAGAAAGGAAAGCAUUUUAAAGGUAAGGCAGACCACCGAUGCAAGCCUCGCAACAGAACUGGAGAAGAUGUAUUUGAGAUGGUUAAGGAUGUGAAAGUAGUUUUUGGUAAGGGAUAAGGCAGCCAACCAGUUCCAAAAGAUGUAGCGGGUCAUGCACCCAUGUGGAAGAAGAAGUCAAUAUUUUUGGAGCUACCCUAUUGGCAAGUCCUAGAGGUCUAGAAUGCGAUCGACUUCAUGCACCUAACAAAGAAUCUUUGUGUGAACCUUCUAGGAUUCAUGGGUGUGUAUGGUAAGCCUAAGGAUUUACUUGAAGCACGAGAAGACUUGCAACGCAUGGAAGAACGAGACAACCUGCAUCCAGAGAAGACAGAUGAUAGGAACCAAUAUUUAAGACCUGCUAGCUACACUCUUAGCAAUGAAGAGAAAGAAAUCAUGUUUGAAUGCUUAAGCAGCAUCAAGGUCCCAUAUGGAUCCUCCUCUAAUAUAAAAGGUAUAAUUAAUGUGCCCGAGAAGAAAUUUCUAAACUUAAAGUUGCAUGACUGCCAUGUGCUUAUGACGCAAUUGCUUCCAGUUACAUUAAGAGGAAUUCUACCUCCACAUGUACGUCUGGCCACCGUAAAGCUAUGUGCAUUCCUCAAUGCAAUUUCUGAGAAGGCAAUCAAUCCACUAGAACUAGCGGCUCUACAGAAUGAUGUGGUUCAAUGUCUUGUCAGGUUUGAGUUAGUGUUCCCUCCAUCCUUCUUUGAUAUCAUGACACACCUCCUAGUUCAUCUCGUCAAGGAGAUCAAAAUUCUUGGUCCUAUGUUCCUACAUAACAUGUUUCCCUUUGAGAGGUUUAUGGGAGUUCUGAAGAAAUAUGUUCACCAAUGUGCUCGGUGAAAGCCCUAGUUUGGUUUUGGAUAAUUGAUGAAACCCUAGUACUAACCUCUAUACUAUGUGUGUGUAGACUUAAUGAGGUUGGUACAUGCCAAGUGAUGGAGCAAGUGAUGAUCAUGAUGAUGAUGGUGAUGACCACAAGAUGAUCAAGUGCUCAACUUGGAAAAGAAGAAACAGAAAUCAAAACCCUGUGGAGAUCAAGGCAAAGGUAUUGCUUAGGGUUUUGGUUUUGGUGAUCAAGACACCAUAGAGGGUGUGAUCACAUUUAGGAUAGAUAGCCAUACUAUAAAGAGGGGAAUUCUUUGGCUAAGUGGUUAUCAAGUGCCACUAGGUGUCAUUGUUCAUGUGCAUGCAUUUAGAAUCUAGAGAGCUAACUUAACUCCUUCAAAGAAAAUGAUUGUGAAAAUGCUAACACACAUGCACACUUGUUGGUAAACACUUUGUGGUGUUGGCACACUUUGAGAAGGAUGUGGAGUUUGAAGGGUAGAGAGAGGAUGGGUUCCUCUCUCCCUCCCGCCAAGCAUAUCUUCUAUUGCACUUUUCGACAGAGGUGGGAUUUGGCGCUUUUCGAGAAAAUUAAGUGCAUAUCUUCUAUUGCGCCAGCGGGAAAAUUUGUAGAAGUCAUGGGAGUGUUUGGCCACUGAGGCGCCGGACGCUGAGUCUGUGCGUCCGGUGUAGUCAGUGCCUGGCCCACCUAGGGUAAGGCACUGGACGUAGACUUGUGCGUUCGGUGCUAUGUGUCCAGUGUGAGGUCCGUUUGCAGACCUCCCUGCGUUUUAGUCUGGUGAGCACCGGACGGUCCGGUGCUCAGCGUCCUGUGCCCUGCGUGUUUGCAGUCCUCCCUGAGUUUAGGACCGAUGCCAACUUAGGAGUGUCUGGUGCUUUGCAGGUUACCGUUAGACUCUAACACGAGAGUUUCAAAAGGCGUUGAGCGUCCGGUGCCCCCUGAAGAGCGUCCGGUGACCCCGUAUUUCGUCCAGUGAAAGAGCCUACGGCUCUAUUUGUUUGAGGGGCUUAUAAAUACUUGUUGGCCGGCUUAGGACACAUACUCUUGGCAUUCUAACAUACUUGACAUCCUUGUGGGCCUAAGCAAACAUCUCCCACUCAUCUCCUUCAUAGAUUAUUCAUCUUUGUGAGAUUGGGAGUGAUUCCAAGUGCAUUUGCUUGAGUGAUUGCAUCUAGUGGCACUUGGGGAUCGAUUUGGCUGCGGUUUUCUUGUUACUCUUGGUGGUUGCUGUUGACGGUCCUUAAGUACCAAAUAUAAUCAUCAAAUAAAUAAAGGAAAGGAUCCAAAUGCAACCAACACCUAGACUUAGGGUUUUAUUUGACAGAAUUCCAUGAGUUUUGGUGUUUGUCUAUUUCUGCAGGGGGUUAUAUGGAAAUAUUGAGGAAAGGCCCACACGUCGGGUUUACAUAGAGAUAUUAAUGUGCCGCGCAAUUUUCUAUCAUCUAGAAGACUCCAGAAGCCACGGGAACGAACGGGAGGCCGAGCGGGCCCGGGGGCAGGGCGCCCGCCCUCCCCCCUUGGGCGCCCACCUUGCUAGGGAGACCAAUCAGGUCCCGUCUCGCGGAUUAUGCUCCAUCGACCUAAAGGAUCAAGCAGAACCAUUCAAUCAAUGUCGGUUUGAUCCGACAGCCCAGAUUCACUUGAGGGGACUAUAUAAGCAGACCCCCUGGCCCCUGGAGGAGGAAAACCCUCAUUAUUCAUUAGCAUAUUUUCUAGAGAGGAUUCAGAGAGAGAGGUUCCUUAGGGUUCCACCUCAUAGGGCUUAGCAUCCAAUGUGAGAGUAGAACUAGUUCUACUAGAUUGAUAGAGAUAGAGUGCAGGUGUAGAUCGGAGGAAGCCCGGCCUGUCAGUGUGUACUCCGAGGUUGUACCUGCAGGAUCAAGUCUCCUAACCCGAGGCUUGCUCCUUGUUGACGGUCCUUAAUACACACAUUCAACCGUCAAUUAAUCAUGGAAAAGGAUCCAAAUGCAACCAACACCCAGACCUAGGGUUUUAUCUGACAAAAUUCCACGAGUUUUGGUGUUUGUCUAUUUCUACAGGGGGUUAUCAGGAAAUAUGGAGAAAAGGCCCACAUGUUGGGUUUACAUAGAGAUAUUAACGUACCGUGCAAUUUUCUAUCAUCUAGAAGACUGCAGAAGCCACAGAAACGAAGCGGAGGCAGAACGGGGCCUGGCCCAGGGCGCCCGCCCUAGAGUUCUGCCCAAUCACGUCCAAACUCGCGGAUCGUGCUCCACCGACCUAAAGGAUCAAGGAUAACCGUUCAAUCAAUGUCGGUUUGAUCCGACGGCCCAAAUUCAUCUGAAAAGACUAUAUAAGAAAGGCCCCCUGGCCCCUGGAGAUCAUACCUCUUCUACAGAAUCAAAGUUAGGGUUUCAAUUCUUCAUCCAAGUAGAGAGGAUCCCUCUAGUUCAUCUAGUUCUACCUCUAGUUCAUCUAGUUCUAGUUCUAGUUCUAGUUCUAGUUCCUCUAGUUCUAGUUCUAGUUAGUUCUAGUUGUAAUCUAGAAAAUAGGGAGAGAGAAGAGGAGAGCGAAGCAGGAGGAGCUGGAUCUGUCGGAUCUUCCUCAACAUUGUACUUUUGCAGCAACUGGUUCAUUCUUUAUCGUUCUCCAGGUUCUUCAAUUCAUAAUCCUGAGUUCUUUAAUUACUUUUAUUUACAUUCAAGUUAUUUAUUGGAUUCCCGCUUGCAUCUAGUGCUCUAAUCUUUGCAACAUUAGAGUAGUAAUUAAUAGAUUAGACGUGGUGUUUAGUCUUGCAAUUACCUAGAAUUGCACCCAAUCGUGCGGAUUGUUGUUGUAGCCUUUGGGUAGUGACAGCCCUAACGGUCGACGUAUUCCACCUCGUUCGGAUCGGUGUUUGUAGGACCGUAGUCAGACUUUCCUAGCCCCCUUCUCAUCUCUUUCUGUGGUUAGUGCUCUGAUGUCUCGAAAUAAAUAAUCUUUGAAGUAAUUCUUGAUUCUUGGAUCAACUAGAGAACUCUCAGGAAACUUCCUCUCUUCCCACCAAAAAUAAUUAUAUAGUUAUCCUUGGGCGAUCUUGAAUCUUAAUUAGUACACUCACAUUCCCUGUGGAAAUCGAUACUCUGGAAUACUCCCGGGUGAAAGCUACAUCGGUUUCCGUGCGCUUGCGGAUUUUCUGUUUGCGUUUAAAAUACCCAACAAGCUUUCUGGCGCCGUUGCCGGGGAACGGUAACUGUGCUAGUUUCGAACCAAGUCGUCCGUGUAUCCUUUCCAUUCUUUACCACACUCACAUUACCAUCUUCACCACACCACAUGGAUUUCAUUCCUAUCUAUAAAUUCUUUGCUCCAAAGGGCGAGUUAUUAGAGCCACCACCAUCAUCACAUCCAAUUCUUACGGAUGGCUACGACCUCGGCCCUGAUCUAAUAGCCAUGAUUCAAGAGCAACCCUUCUUUGGGCAAGUAGAUGAAGAUCCAUACACCCACCUUAGAGAAUUUGAGCAGUUGUGCUCUUGCCGAUCUAUUUUCGGCAUGACACAAAAAACCCUUAAAUGGAAAUUAUUUCCGUUCUCCCUUUUGGGAAGACCAAAAAAGUGGUAUGCUCAUUCUGUAGGAGGCAUUAAUGGAAAUUGGGAUGAACUUCGGGACAACUUUUGUCUCGCUUUCUUCCCACUUUUUCGAAUCGCUGACCUUAGAAUCGAAAUUCUUACAUUCAAACAAAGAGAGAAGGAAACUUUAGGAGCAGCUUGGGCUAGGUUCACAAGCCAUACCAAUUCCGGUCCAAACCUUUUAUCGUGGUCUAAUCAAGGAAGCUGCUGUUCACCUCAACAUUGCUUCAGGAGGCUCAUUCACACACAAACUUACAGAUGAGGGGAGAGCUAUCCUAGAGAGAAUCCUUGAGAAUACCCCUUACACAGGCAUUUAUGAUGAGUUUCCUGAAGAAGAAGAAGAAGUCGAGCCUGAUCCUAAACCAAAAGAUGAGCAACUUGCAACCGAGUUAGAAAUUCCACCUGACCCACCUAUUAAUUUGGUUGUAGAGAAACCUCCUGAUAAGGGAAUGCAAAACAACUAAGAGAUGAUGAACCACCACCUUUAGAGCAUCCCUUUGAAUUCGAGGAAGAUCUUUUUGAAGAUUAUGGAAACACCUCGAAUUUUCCUAUCCAAACACGACCUCUAGCAGGGACCACUCAAUCCAUUCUAAGAGUAGAAUCUGUUGACAUAGAACACAUCAAAAGCCUAUCGGCUAUUCUGAGUUAUGAAUGGCUAACUGAAGCAGAGCUGUCUCUUGAGGUAGCUUGGAUCAUCACUCCUUCAACCAUUCUUCUAUGCCAAAUUAGAAGGUCCGCUAGGAAGGUCCACUACAAUCCAUAUGUUGGGAUAAAUGUUAUUUCCAAGGAGUUAGCUGACACUCUUUAUCCCAACGAGUCCAUAACCCUAUCUCAAAAACUUUUACAAAGUCCAUCUGGAUUAAUUCUAGAAAGCCAUGGGGUAUUAAGGGCAGUUCCUGUUAGAAUCAAGGACUCUGGAAUAUGUCUAGAUUUUCACAUUUUUGACAUACCGGAGAUUCCUCUCUUGAUUGGCAGACCAAUCAUGAAACUUCUACAGGAACAACCACAACGAGGUCAUUUAGACUUCAAGGUUGGGAAUUCCACUAUUGUUGUUCCUCUUGCUAGAUCAAUUAACACGAUAGUGGAACCCAAACUUGAACCAGAUCCUAUUGAGGAGAUCUUAAUGCUUACUCAAGAGGAGAUGGCCCAACCAUUCUUUAAUCAUGAACACUUUGUUCAAGAAGAAGAAGAGUUGGUAGAACCCGUUGAGCUAGACAAAAAUGAACAACCUUCACCUCCUUUGAUAGAAUUAAAACCUCUUCCUUCUGGCCUUAGAUAUGUCUUCUUGCACAAUAACUCAAAAACUCCAGUAAUUAUCAGUGACAAGCUUUCCGAUUAUGAAACACAACAACUUGUCACUAUUCUUGAAAGGCAUAGAUCAGCAUUUGGCUACUCUCUCAAAGAUCUCACGGGCAUUAGUCCCAUUCUCUAUACUCAUCGUAUCCUUAUUGAUCCCAAUUCUACACCUUCAAGGGAACCACAACGGAGACUUAACAAUGCUAUGCGAGAGGUUGUUAAGAAAGAGGUCCUCAAACUCUAUCGUGCUGGGAUUAUUUAUCCUGUGCCACGGGUUAGCCCUGUCCAAGUAGUGCCAAAGAAAGGAGGAAUGACGGUUGUUAGGAAUGAGAAAAAUGAACUCAUCCCUCAACGAAUUGUCAUUGGGUGGCGUAUGUGUAUUGACUAUCGAAAACUCAACAAGGCUACAAAGAAAGAUCACUUUCCGUUACCCUUCAUUGAUGAAAUGUUGGAACGGCUUGCAAACCACUCUUUCUUUUGUUUCCUUGAUGGUUAUUCUGGAUAUCACCAAAUCCCAAUCCACCCAGAUGACCAAGAAAAGACUACCUUUACAUGCCCGUAUGGAACUUAUGCAUACUGACGAAUGUCGUUCGGAUUGUGCAAUGCUCUAGCUUCUUUCCAACGGUGCAUGAUGUCUAUUUUCUCGAACAUGAUUGAGAAGAUCAUGGAGGUUUUCAUGGAUGAUUUUACCGUCUAUGGCAAAACCUUCGAUCAUUGUUUGGAGAAUUUAGAUAGAGUCUUGCAGCGAUGUGAAGAAAAGCACUUAAUCCUGAACUGGGAGAAAUGCCAUUUUAUGGUCGAGGAAGGAAUAAUGCUAGGACAUAAAGUGUCCGAACGUGGUAUAGAGGUGGACAAAGCAAAGAUUGAAGUUAUUGAAAAACUUCCACCUCCCACGAAUGUGAAAGGAAUCCGUAGCUUUUUGGGACAUGCAGGGUUCUAUAGACGCUUUAUCAAGAAUUUCUCUCAAAUUUCUAGACCCCUAACUAAUCUCCUAGCUAAGGACGCACCUUUCAUCUUUAGUGAUGAGUGUCAUGAAUCUUUUCAAACUCUUAAGAAAGCACUCAUCUCAGCCCCAAUUAUCCAACCACCUGAUUGGAAUCUUCCUUUUGAGAUCAUGUGUGAUGCUAGCGAUUUUGCGGUUGGUGCCGUUUUAGGACAAACCAAGGAUAAAAAGCUUUAUGCCAUAUCCUACGCUAGCAAAACCUUGUCUGGACCACAACUCAAUUACACUACAACUGAAAAAGAGCUUUUGGCUGUUGUCUUUGCUAUAGACAAUUUUAGAUCUUACUUAGUGGGAGCAAAGAUAAUCAUCUAUUCAGACCAUGCUACUCUCAAGUACCUCCUCAAUAAGAAAGAUGCUAAGCCUCGUCUAAUUCGAUGGAUUCUUCUACUCCAAGACUUUGACAUAGAAAUCCGAGAUAGGAAGGGAGUUGAGAAUUCCGUAGCCGACCACUUGUCUAGGCUUCAAUAUAAGGAAACACAUGAUGAGCUUCCCAUAAAUGACUACCUGAGGGAUGACACCCUGCUUAAGGUAACACAUGCAGAUCCAUGGUACGCAGACAUCGUAAACUUUAUAGUAAAAGGCUAUGUCCCACCUGGUACAAACAAAAGGAAGUUGCUUCACGAUAGUCGUGUCCACCUUUGAGAUAAGCCAUAUCUUUUUCGAGUCUGCGCUGAUGGACUCCUGAGAAGGUGUGUUCCUAUGGCUAAGGCUACUCAAAUUAUGGAAAGAUGCCAUGCCUUGCCAUAUGGAGGACACUAUGGAGCAUUCCGGACACAUGCUAAAAUUUGGAAAGUGGCUUUUUCUGGCCAACGAUGUAUGAAGAUACAAAGGACUUUGUCAGGAGAUGCCACCGAUGUCAAAAACAUGGGAAUAUCAACUCACGAAAUGAAAUGCCUCUCACAAAUAAUCUUCAAGUAGAACUUUUCGAUGUAUGGGGCAUUGAUUUCAUGGGGCCAUUCCCUAUUUCCGGGAAUUGCGAGUAUAUCUUAGUAGCUAUGGACUAGUGUCCAAAUGGGUAGAUGCCCUACCUUGUCGAUCAGCUGAUUCAAAACAUGCCAAGAGAAUGUUCCAUGAAGUAAUCUUUCCUCGCUUCGGUAUACCCCGGAUAGUUAUAAGAGAUGGAGGUUCCCACUUCAACGACAAAAUCUUCCGGAAGUACCUAGCCAAUCAUGGAGUUCGACACAACAUCGCAACACCAUACCAUCCUCAAACUAGCGGUCAAGCCAAAACAUCUAAUAAACAAAUCAAAAAUAUUUUACAAAAGACCGUAAAUGAGAUGGGUAAGGGGUGGAAGGACAAACUUCCUAAUGCACUUUGGGCAUAUAGAACUGCAUUCAAAACACCCAUAGGCAUGUCACCUUAUCAACUUGUAUAUGGAAAAACUUGUCAUUUGCCUGUGGAAGUAGAGUUUAAGGCUCAUUGGGCACUCAAGAAAUGGAACAUGGAUCUCCACCUCGCUAGCGAGAAUCGUCUGAUGGAAUUAUCUGAGCUAGAAGAAUGGAGAGAGAAAGCCUACCACAAUUCAAGGAUCUAUAAAGAGAGAACAAAACGAUGGCAUGAUAAGAGAAUCAAGCACAAGGAGUUUAAGCCUAGAGAUAAGGUUCUAUUAUUCAAUUCAAGAGUUAAGCUCUUUGGGCAUGGUAAGCUACGAAGUAAGUGGGAUGGACCAUACAAGGUUAUUGACACUUCAACUCAUGGAGCCAUUACCAUCCAAGAUGACAUAGGUAACACUUUUAAGGUAAAUGGUCAACGCUUGAAAACCUAUCUCGAGCCACAAAACAACCUGGUAGAGGAACUUGAUGUGAUUGAGUUCAUAGAAUUCUCAUAUUAAGCUCUCAUAAGCUCUAGACAAUUACCUAACCCUUAACAUGCUCCACGAGUUUUGUUGUCUAUUUGGGUUGUGCAGGAUUUUGAGGCUUAAGAAGAGUGAGACCGAACAUGCAGGCCACAAGAGUGAACGACUAUGUCAACAUCAAACUUGGGGGAGGCAUCCCCACGUGUAUCUAGAUAAGUAUUACUUUUCUUUCUUGGUUUUAUUUACUAGUAUUCGGAAAUAAAUAAAAAAAUGGUAUAAUCAUGAAACCACAUAAAGUUUUUCUUUUGAGUAAUAUACAAUAGUUUUGUGUAAUCCUAAGUUUUAAAUAAAAUAAAAAGAAAGUUUGAUCCAAGUCUAGGUAAUUGACAAACAUGAUAUGAGAAGGUCUGAGCUACUAUUUAACUUGUUCCAAGUUUUGCUAGAGUUCUGGAGAUUUUAUCUUUUGAAAAUCUAAAAAAAAUUGAGAUCCUGUUUCACAUAAUACCUAGAGUCUUAUAAGAUAUAAAUAUUAAAACUGUGGGCACUUGCUUUGUUCAAGCCAUUGUUAAUUCUUGUAGUUUUGGUUGAGAGAAUUAUCAUGCUCCAAAGAUCAAGAUAUUUUUGUUUUAAAAUAUAAAAGAUUCACUCUUCCGAAGUAUUAUUGCGUUAGAGGCAUGGGACUAUGCAAAAAUUUGAUUCGAAAAAAAAGAAGUGAGACGAGAGGUAAAAAUGGACAAGUGUCCGAAGUAGAAUUAGGGGUACAAAGAUACCCACCUGAGUGGAAUAAAUGGACACGUGUCCGAUAGUAGAAUUAGGGGUACUUGGUGCCCACUUGAAAAAAAAAGAGAAAGAAAAAAAUGAUAGCCCAUGGUCCAUCUAAUAAGCAAUAUGCCAGUAAGAGAUGACAAACUUUUCAAAAAGGUCAAAGGUCUUGAUCUAGGAGUAUGACAUCCCUCUCCCUUGCUCCGAGCAUUCACAUAGCAAAAUGCAAAGUAAGUAUGCUAAAACUUUUAAAGCUCUACUUAUAUAUCUUUCGAGAAGAAGGCAAAUUCCUCAGUUUUAUUUUACAGACUUAUGAAAAACUCGAGAACAAAGGUAAGACAGAAGAACUUGAGACAUAGUGCUUGACCUGAUCGUUCUGUUUUUCAAUCACUUAAGACCUUAGUGAUAACAUAAAAACCCUGUAAUAAGAGGCAUAAAAGUAACCCCUGUUUUCUUGCUGAUUUUAGCUUUGCUCAGGGACAAGCAAAGGUUAAGUUUGUGGGAGCUUGUUGACGGUCCUUAAUGCUCACAUUUAAUCGUCAACUAAUCAUGGAAAAGGAUCCAAAUGCAACUAACACCUAGACUUAGGGUUUUAUCUGACAGAAUUCCAUGAGUUUUUGUGUUUGUCUAUUUCUGUAGGGGGUUAUCAGGAAAUACAAAAGAAAGACCCACACGUCGGGUUUACAUAGAGAUAUUAACGUACUGCGCAAUUUUCUACCAUCUAGAAGACUCCAGAAACCACGGGAACGAACGGGAAGCCGAGAGGGCUCAGGGACAGGGCGCCCACCCAAGUCCUGAGGGCGCCCGCCCUGGAGUUCUGCCCAAUCAUGUCCAAACUCGCGGAUCAUGCUCAACCGACCUAAACGAUUAAUGAUAACCGUUCAAUCAAUGUCGGUUUGACUCGACGGCCUAGAUUCAUCUGAAAAGACUAUAUAAGCAAGGCCCCCUGGCCCCUGGAGAUCAUACCUCUUCUACAGAAUCAAAGUUAGGGUUUCAAUUCUUCAUCCAAGUAGAGAGGAUCCCUCUAGUUCAUCUAGUUCUACCUCUAGUUCAUCUAGUUCUAGUUCUAGUUCUAGUUCAUCUAGUUCUAUUUCUAGUUCCUCUAGUUCUAUUUCUAGUUAGUUCUAGUUGUAAUCUAGAAAAUAGGGAGACAGAAGAGGAGAGUGGAGGAGGAGGAGCUGGAUCUGUCGGAUCUUCCUCAACAUUGUACUUUUGUAGCAACUAGUUCGUUCUUCAUCGUUCUCCACGUUCUUCAAUUCAUAAUCCUGAGUUCUUUAAUUACUUUUAUUUACAUUCAAGUUAUUUAUUGGAUUCCCGCUUGCUUCAAGUGCUCUAAGCUUUGCAACAUUAGAGUAGUAAUUAAUAGAUUAGACGUGGUGUUUAGUCUUGCAAUUACCUGGAAUUGCACCCAAUCCUGCGAAUUGUGGUGGUAGCCUUAGGGUAGUGAUAGCCCUAAUGGUCGACGUAUUCCACCUCGUUCGGAUCGGUGUUUGUAUGACCGUAGUCAGACCUUCCUAGCCCCCUUCUCAUCUCUUUAUGUGGCUAGUGCUCUGAUGUCCCGAAAUAAAUAAUCUUUGAAGUAAUUCUUGAUUCUUAGAUCAACUAGAGAACUCUCAGGAAACUUCCUCUCUUCCCACCAAAAAUAAUUAUAUAGUUAUCUUUGGGCGAUCUUGAAUCUUAAUUAGUACACUCACGUUCCCUGUGGAAAAUUGAUACUCUAGAAUACUCCUGGGUGAAAGCUACAUCGGUAUCCGUGCGCUUGCGGAUUUUUCUGUUUGCGUUUAAAAUACCCAACAGUAAUCUAGAAAAUAGGGAGAGAGAAGAGGAGAGCAAAGGAGGAGCCGGAUCUGUUGGAUCUUCCUCAACAUCGUACUUUUGCAGCAACUGGUUCGUUCUUCAUUGUUCUCUAGGUUCUUCAAUUCAUAAUUCUUGAGUUCUUUAAUUACUUUUAUUUACAUUCAAGUUAUUUAUUGGAUUCCCGCUUGCAUCAAGUGCUCUAGUCUUUAUAACGCUAGAGUAGUAAUUAAUAGUGGUGUUUAGUCUUGCAAUUACCUGGAAUUGCACCCAAUCUUGCGGAUUGUUGUGGUAGCCAUAGGGUAGUGACAGCCCUAACGGUCGACGUAUUCCACCUCGUUCGGAUCGGUGUUUGUAGGACCGUAGUCAGAGCUUCCUAGCCCCCUUCUCAUCUCUUUCUGUGGUUAGUGUUCUGAUGUCCCAAAAUAAAUAAUCUUUGAAGUAAUUCUUGAUUCUUAGAUCAACUAGAUAACUCUGAGGAAACUUCCUCUAUUCCCAUCAAAAAUAAUUAUAUAGUUAUCCUUAGGCGGUCUUGAAUCUUAAUUAGUACACUCACAUUCUCUGUGGAAAAUGGAUACUCUCGAAUACUCCCGGGUGAAUGCUACAUUGGUAUCCAUGCGCUUGCGUAUUUUUCUAUUUCGUUUAAAAUACCCAACAGUAAUCUAGAAAAUAGGGAUAGAGAAGAGGAGAGCAUCGGAGGAGCCGGAUCUGUUGGAUCUUCCUCAACAUCGUACUUUUGCAGCAACUGGUUCGUUCUUCAUCGUUCUCCUAGUUCUUCAAUUCAUAAUUUCUGAGUUCUUUAAUUACUUUAAUUUACAUUCAAGUUAUUUAUUGGAUUCCUGCUUGCAUCAAGUGCUCUAGUCUUUAUAACGCUAGAGUAGUAAUUAGUAGUGGUGUUUAGUCUUGCAAUUACCUGGAAUUGCACCCAAUCCUGCGGAUUGUUGUGGUAGCCAUAGGGUAGUGAUAGCCCUAACGGUCGACGUAUUCCACAUCGUUCGGAUCGGUGUUUGUAGGACCAUAGUCAGAGCUUCCUAGCGCCUGUCUCAUCUCUUUCUGUGGUUAGUGUUCUGAUGUCCCAAAAUAAAUAAUCUUUGAAGUAAUUCUUGAUUCUUAGAUCAACUAGAGAACUCUCUGGAAACUUUGCCUAUUCCCAUCAAAAAUAAUUAUAUAGUUAUCCUUAGGCGGUCUUGAAUCUUAAUUAGUACACUCACAUUCCCUGUGGAAAAUGGAUACUCUGGAAUACUCCCGGGUGAAAGCUACAUCGGUAUCCGUGCACUUGCGUAUUUUUCUGUUUGCGAUUAAAAUACCCAAAAAGCUUUCUGGCGCCAUUGCCGGGAAAUGGUAGCUGUGCUAGUUUCGAACCAAGUCGUUCGUGUAUCCUUUUUCUUUUCCUUUUUUACCACACUCACCUUACCAUUUUCACCACACCACAUGGAUUUCACUCUAAGCAUUAAUGAGCAUGGAAUUUAUUUCAUAGCCACUUCAUUUACUCCAUGCUCAUAUGCAACAUUGUAACAUCCCUGAUGUUACGGUUACUAAAAAUGGAUCAUGUCAUCAUGAGCAUUGCAAAUCAUAUUGGUUAAAGCACAUUAGUAUGCAUCAACUUAAAAUAAGUUUAUUUUGAAUGCUUGAGCUUAGGGAAGUAGAGUGUGCUUCUGUGAUGUGUUGUUGCUUGUGUGAUUGCUAAAACCCUAGGGUGGAAGUUUUCCGAUAGGCUAAGGGGGGAAAACCCUGAUUUUGAACCCUAGAACUGCCCCCUUUUGUGCAAUUCAAAAACUAAGCAAAAUUUGAGGUUGAGUUCAAAAGCAAAGUUGUAGAUCUUGGCAAGAUGUACAACUUUGGUGUUUUGAGUUUUUGAAGUUUCAAUACAAAAUUCAAAGUAAUUUUGAAAAUGCAGAUUUCCAGAAAGUGUCCCCUUUUCCAACUUAAACCCCCAAUUCAAAAUCCAUUUGGAAUUUUGAAAAGUGGUCAACAUGAAAGUUGUAGAGCACAAAAAGUUGAACAACUUUCAUGUUGGGAGUUUUUCAAGUUGUUAUACAAAAUCAAAAGUAAUUUUGGAAUCUCUGAUUUAUCCCUAAUUCAAAAAUUUGAAUUUCAGCAAUUUGAGUUUGAUUUUCAAACUGUCUGGCCAAAUUGACCUCUUCCCACUUAGAAUCAGCUUGGGUCACCUAAAUAAGUUUUGUAGCUUAUAAAAUUUGGAACAACUUUUGUUUUGACACAAAUUUGGUCUCAGUUCAAAUUUCGGCUGAAUUUUGCAAAAGACAGAGGAGAGGGGAUAGAGGUCGCUACAGUGAUCCGAUAUGGAUCACCGGCGCCCUGUCCAGCGCACCCGCCGUGCGAGCAGCGCCGCGCGCAUGCGUGCGUGCACGCAGCUGCUUGCUGUCAGGGUCGCCAGGCGACGUGGAUGCCGCGGGCUCGCCUUCCUCUCCACUUGCGCACCGACGUGGACGACACCGUGCAUCCCCUCCGUCCUGAGCCAAGGAAACCGACGACCUCUCUCUUCCAAAUUCGUCACAACCACUCCUUCCCGAGCCAAAUUGAGCCACCCAGUGUCUUCGUCACCUUCCUGCGAAUCCAGUGCGCCCCCAAGCUCCCUCUCUAACUCCCUCAAACGCCAACGCUUCUUCUUCUUCCCUGAGUCCGGCCGGCAUCGCCGCCGUGGAACCCUUCGCGUGGGUACAUUGCUCCACUCGGUACCACGCCUUACCAGUGAUCGUUUCGCACUCCUCUUGUUUCCCUGAUGCUCAUGCGCUCACUUUUUCUCACGGGACACGAACAGGAUUGCCGGAACAGCCUUGCCGGAGCCGGAGCACCCGCCCGAUUCCUCGGCCAACGACGCCAGCGCUUCCUACUGCUUCUCCCGCCGUGGUGACGUGAGCACCGUACUCCCUAACCCUCCCUGAAGCUCCCGGUUCCGUCCUUUUGCACUCUACCGGUCUCUAGCGGCCGGCCGAGGGUCGGCCAUGGCGGCCGCCCGCCUCUUGCGUGACCAAGGGGGUAGCGGGAGAGUAGAGCGUGUUCAGAGGGUGUCCGUGGGAUCGCGAAGUUGACGCGGUGCCGGUGCGCACGCGCGCGGGGGCCGGGGAACUCCAUAACAGUCGCCGGAGCGGCGGCAGCGCCGCCGUGAGUGAGCAAGGCGGAGCUGACAAGCGGGUCCCGCCUGUCAGCGUCUCGCAGCGCGUGAAGAGGGGGCGGCGCGCGCGGUCCGCGCGGGAGGACACCGCAGGCCAACUUGGGCCGGAUCCGAGCGGGCCGCCGGUAGCACAGUGCCUUUUUCCUUUUUCCCUUUUGUUUAAACAUGCUGAAAGUUUGAAUUUGUGUAAAAAUUUGUGUGUUGAUCCAAAAAUCAGGGCAAAUUUUGGGUAGACUCCCUGAAAUACUUAGAAACUAGGAAAAAUAUUAGGCUCUAGUUUCUGAUACUUUGUAAGAAUAUAAAAAUUGGCUCCUUUAAUUACUAAAUGAAACUUGUAUGAUUUUUAAUAACUUAAUAGUAUGUCCAAAAAUCACCAAAAUUGGUGGAGAGCCUCUGAAUAUUAUUCCCUGGCCCCCCACAAAUUUUGAUGAUAUUUGGAUGAUGUUUGAUUAAAAUAUUAAUAAACCCCUAAUUAGCACUUAAAUAAUAAUUCCAAAAUAAUUAGGAGGUGAUUAGUUAAAUCAUCAUACUUUGGAUUGAGUGAUUUUGGAAUUUAGUGAUGACCUGAGGUCAUUAACCCUAAUGACCCCUGGCACUUAAUUAUUGUCUGAUUUUAAUACUUAAUUAAUGUCAUUAGUAAUUAAUUAAGAAUUAAUUAAGAUAAAUAGAGUUAAUAAUUAAUUAAUUUAAGAUAAUUGAGAAGUAAGUAAAGUCUUAGUUUACUGUUGUAACCUCUUGAAUAAAGAUGCUAAGGUGUUAAACAACUUUAUUUAUAAUUUAUUCUGUAUUGCACCGAGAAGGCAAACUGUGCUCGAUCUAGUCCUUCUUGCAUAUGUGUCAUACGCAUAUCAUGAGCAUUCAUCAUUUUGCGUAUAGUGUCCGUGACCGAAGGAGCGCCCGUUGAACCAAACCCCGAGGUCGGUGCUCCAUUCGAGGAAGUCGGAUCCGAGACUUGGGAAGUCUCCGAGGGUCCCUCUCUGCCCUGCAACCAAGGCAAGCCCCGGAUGCAUUAACCCCUCCUUGGAUGUUUUAAAUCUUUUAUCACUUAUGAAUUGAAAAUGCUGCAUUAAGUAGUUGAGAAUUGGGUUAACCUACUUGCUGCAUUUACUACCUUGAUAUCUGUUAUCCUGUCCUUGACACCUGUUUUAUUUUAAAAUUGCGUAGCGAUGCUUAGCCCUGCUACUAGAUAGGUUUUCAAACAAGAAAGUUUGAAGGGUUGUUGUGGGAUACACUUAUGAUCAAUGAUGUUUCAACUUGAGACCGGUCGGUGGACUUGCUUUAAGAAUGGAGUCUUAAAGUAGUGUCUCCAACUGUGUCGGUUAAGGACCGGUCCGUUGAUGGCCUGCUGGGUUGAGAAUUUAUAGUACUAGCCACUUGCCACGGGUAAGCCCGGUCUUGUGAUCCCUCGACGCGAACAGCUACUCGCGCACUGGGAGUGGAAAGAUGGCGAGAGUAGUGUGUACCCACCUUACGGAUCUGAGAUGACCGGGAAACGUCUAGAUCGGCUGUAGGAUGGUGGAGUACUGUGCUCUCGGGUGCCGCGAACCUGGUCAAAUUUGGGGAGAGCUUGAUUUGGGUUGAUAUAUGCAAGAUUUGGUUCUACAUAUGUCGGGUGGUUAGGAACUCCAGCUGGAUUGCUAAGCGAUUCGAAUCGUCGUUGCUCCCCGAUUGGGAGACUCAAUUCCUUCGACCCUCAUCGUAGUUAAAUAUGCAACUAAGUGAUAAAAUGAGAAAGGGGAAAAUGUCUCAUGAGGUUCGGAUCCCAAUUCCCGGACUCAUAGCGACAUGAAGCUAUGACCAUCGAUAAAUAAUACUUAAUGAUAGGAUUAGGAACUCACGGAUUCAUCUGUGGGAAACAACUAGUUAGACUAUCCUCGAAUUCGUCUGCCUCUGCGAGGGAGGAAUUCAGGGUAAAACUUGAAAAUAAGGAUGCACUACUAGUAAGCUUUUCCGCAAAACACUUGGCUCCUUGCUCAGCCACCCCUUGUCUACCCUAAACCUGCACCCCUAAAUUCUCCUCUUUUCCCGUCGGAUAAGUCUUGUUGAGUACUCCCGUACUCAGGGUUUCAAUACCCCUGUUGCAGGUGAAGCUCAGGAGCCGACUUGUUUCGGACCCUGUUGUGUGACCGUCGUCGAGGUUGACGACGAAGAAGAGUGAGCGUGACCCAUGGGCAGGGUCUGUAAAUUUGUUUUGUCUGUACUAAAGUUUAAGUUGCUCCGUUGGACCAGGGUUGUAAUAACACUCUGCUAUUUGGAAGAACUCCUUUUGUAAAUUAUGUUUUGUAAUACUUCCGCUGUUUCACUCUGAAAUACUAUUUUGGUCUUGUGUCGAUGAGUUACUGCUUUAUCUUCGCAACGAAUGAUCCUGGAGUUAAGGUGGCCACUUGCUAUCCUGUAAGGGCGAGAAGAAACAGUUCUCGUUGUUUGACCAUUGUGAGUGGUCAGGACGAGUCAGAUUGAUACGCCACAGGUAGCAGUGGAAUGAGCACACAGUAAGGCUCAUCGGACUUCUAAAGUGGGAGGACUCCCGGCAUCACCGUCAGAGGUCCUUAGGACAAUGGCAGGUGCCGGUGGGCCCAAACACUUAGGGGGUUCUGCCACAAACAUCUUCCCAAUCUUUUUUGGUCUCUCCAACAUCACCACAUUCGAGAUCUCCAACCCCAUCAUCCUUUCUAUUUAUAAAAACUUUAAAAGGGCGGUUGUCGAUACAUAUGUCUAUAAUAAAUAUUGCAGAUCUCGUUGAGUUGAUCUUGAUAUAGGUCAGCGUUGGAGGGGAAACCACUUCGUUGACAUAAAUUGAUGGUUUCCCAAGGACAAGCUUAGUGUCCUAAAAUAAGCACUGAUCAGAUCAUAACAUGAGCUUUGAAUUAUUUGCAUCAUUACCUUGUGUUUUGAGCAUAUAAGGAUAGUUGUAAAAAAAAUUCCUUCGGGUAUUCUUGUCGCUAACAUUUCCAGGAUUGGAGCAAGAAGAUCGGAUGAAUGACAAGCACAAGGUAUGUCCAACCAAUCAUCAUACAACAUUGAAUUAAAUUCAUCCAAACUUGAAUUUUGCAAAAUUCAAACUUGGGGGAGUACUUUACAUAAAAACAUUAAUUGCCAUGUUGCUAUGUUGGUUGUCCCUACCUUUGAGACAUGCUCAAUUUGUUAAAUACUAAUCACACUACUUCAUCUCCACUUGAAUAGAUCUCUAUAAAUGCUCUCAUGCUACCUUUAUUUGCUUUAGUAUAUGUCUAGGUUUAGAGUAGUUUCAUUUAUCUCUUAAUUAAGCAUGGUGCUUAGUUUAGGAAUGAUGAUCUUACUUCCAAGGGAUUUUAAAUUAAGCAUGGUGCUUAGGUUAAAAUGCCCUCCUAAAUUGAAUUAGACAUGGUGCCUAGGUUGAUUUUUGAGCCGAGAGUAUGCUAUAGUAGAUAUUGGAUAUUUUGUUGGACUAACCGCUGUAGGAAAACGUUCAAUAUCGACCUGAGAAGUCCUGAGAUAUACUCACAUUGGAGACAAAGAGAGAGACGCAUGAAGGUUAACAAUUUACACAAGGAAGGCAUAGCUCACAAGAGACGAUCCAUGGAGGGUGCCACAAACACGAUGCACGACCGCUAAGAAAGGAAAGCUUCCAUAAGGUGAUUCUGUACCAUCACUCUUCAAGUAAGGUAACAUCUUAAGGUACUUGACUAUCACUUCUAUAAGCUUCUCCUUGGUUCUGGUGUUCACAUGAAUAAAAGAGACAAACAUGUAUGAUUUACAACUCUAGAUUAACCAACCCAAUCGAUUCAACAUGUUUAGUCCUUCCACCUUUGUGAUCCCACACUCCUAAUCUUAUGAGCUAAAAUGUUGCACACUCAAUCUUUGGAAGAUAUAUAUAAAAAAACAUAAGUAUAGAUAGAUUAUCUUUCCAUUAGGUUGAGUGAUCUGAUCUGACAAAUGUUUUAAAUGCUACACUCAUGAUCUUAUUAUCUAUCAACUUUGUCUUGCUCACUAUGCUUGAGGUUAGAGAAGAACAAAUACACUUUUCGUUCUGUUGGUGUUUUCCACCAACAGGGCCCAUGCACUUGAUCUCUGCCUUGUCUCUAUGAGCAGGUACACUUUGAGCAAAAUAUGAAGGACUUUUACAACUCCCAGACUCCACCAAAUGAAGAACCUAGAUCUACGAGCACAAACACACUGGAGAUACUGGACACUCAGGCAAUCACUGCCCUGAGAUGCUUGAGGACAUAACUACUAGAGUAACCCCGUUGUGGAAGUAAUUACUGACCUUCUGCCGGUCAAGAGAGACAAUCCAGGACGCCCCAUCAUCCCGAUCUCCAUCGGCAUGGUGGACUUCCUAGAAGCACUUUGCGACUUUGGCUCCAGCGUCAACAUUAUGCCCAGGGUACUCUAUGAAAAAUUCUUUACACAUCCUUUACUAGAAACAACCAUGUGUUUGUAGCCCGCAGAUCGGACACUAAGUUCCCCAAAGAGAAUAUUGAAGAACCUCUGCGUCCGAGUUGGUACAUUGUACGCCCCAGCAGACUUCGUGGUGAUAGAGACUGGUACUAAUGAGAGGGCACCCAUCAUUCUAGGGAGGCCAUUCCUGAACACCUCGGGAGCUGUCAUCUACGCUAGUGCUGCCAAGAUCAGUUUCUACAUUAAGGGGAGGAAGGAGACAUUUUCCUUCAAGAACAAGACUACACAAAUCUCAGAGCAAUCCCGACUUGAACCAAGGAAGAGGACCAACAGGAGGGACAGGAACAAGCAAAUGUGGACCAAGUCAGCUAAGAUGGUCACUGUAGUUCAAGGAGGUCAAGAUCAUUGAUUUAAGUCACCGUUCCUGACCAAAAAGGACGACCCAGCUCUAGAUGGUAGAUCAGACAUUCCGAAAGGUUAUUGUCAUAGGAGAAGACGAGUACGAUCCACCCAUCAUCCUUGGGAGACCGUUCCUCAGCACCGUUAAAGCAAUCAUCUACAUUAGAACCAGAGAAGUCCACAUGCACUUCCCCUCUGACAAGGUACGCCGCUAUUUUACUGACCCUAACUAUAUAGUUGAAGACUCUAAGCAGGUCAGGACAAGAAGAAGAAGACGCAACCGCAUUCAGAGGAGGCGAAUCAUCAAGGACGGAUGGGUAGACUAUGAAGGAGAAGUUGUAAGGUCUGAAGACAAACAACUUGAAUAGAACUAUCCUGAGGAGACCGUAGCGCCGAGUCAGGUGUGGAGAGAGAAGAUAGUUAUACAUGAAGACCAGGCGCCGCCGGAACCACCGACUACGCCAUCCAGCGAAUCCCAGGACGACUGAGAAAACGGAGAGUCCCGUUCGGAGGACUUAAAAACACCGAACGCCUUGCCAAGACGUAAACUUCGUAGUUAUCUUUUUCCUUUCAACUAUUUAAAAUAGUUUGCUUAGUUAAUCAGGUUCAUAUCAUCAUGAAAAGAAAAUAAAAAUGUUAAAAAUAGUAAGCCCCAUGUGAGUAUACUCAUGGCAUAAAACCCAUAAGUACAUUCAUUGUGGUGGCAUAAAAAUAAAAUAAAUAUAUAUUCCUGUCCUAUAAAAAUGAAAAUAUAAAAAUAAAUUUAUGAUCCUACCAAUGAGGGUAAUAUUUAUUAGAGGAGGCUCAACAUGAUAAAGGCUAGAUAUUUAUGCUAACAUUUAACUAGUUCCACAAAGCUUUGUUGUCUAUUUGAGCUCCGCAGAAUUCAAGGAUCAAAGAAGACUAGCAGACGGAGGACAUCCUAAUCGCUGUCAGGGUGCUGCCGACGUUCAAAUACACCUCCGCCACCUGCUAGUUACAUCAGAAGAAAUUACGUCAAAAUCCAGCUUGGGGGAGAGCACCCCCAUUUAUCCAGCUAAGUGUUCUACUCAUGUUUAUACUUUACUCAAAUAAUAAAAAGAUACAUAAUCAUAAAAACCCAAAUAAAGAUUUUGUACUUAUAUAUCUUUGCUUAGUUUGCUAAAUAAAUAAAUAAAUAAAUAAAUAAAGUUUGCUAUCAACCCUCAUGAUAAGCUCUCACAUGGAAAUGAUGAAUAGUUGCUCUACCAUGACUAGUUCUCAAAAUUGAAAUAUCUCUCAAGUUUAGGCAUGACUGUUAUUAAUUAAGAAUUGCUCUAAAUCUGAACUUGUGGGAAGAGUACUUGAUCUAAAGUCUAAGUUGUUAACGGAUAUGAUAUGGGAAGGUUGAGCUGCUGUUUAUCUAGUCCUAGAGAUGCUAGAAUUUUGGAGAAUUUUAUCUUUGAAAAUCUUUAAAAUAUCACAUGAUGAGUUCUUGUACGAUGAGAGUUUAAAAUCCUACCAUGGCCAUAUAUACAUGCUUAAUAGACUAUGAACCAUACAUUUACUUUACUGCUUAUGAGCAUUGAGUAUGGUCAAGUUGUGUAGACCCUUAGGAGCUUGUCAUGCGGUUAAAAUCAAGAUUCACUUGCACAUUCACUCACACAUGCUGCUUCUACUCCGGAAGUACGCAUCCACAUAUAUCCACCCAUUUCCAUCUCCAGAACCACCCAAAAAUAUUCUACUCCAAAUUCGGGAGAGAAUAGCCAAAAACAUUCUCCUAUUUCUGUUUUCCCCUGUGAAAUAAAUGCUCAAGUUAUUUCAAUUACUACCACUUGCUACAUUAUUUAAAGAGGUGAGUGCUCUAAAAAAAAGAAGAUACGAGGAAAUAAAACGGGGCAAGUCCCCGGAACCUCGAAAGAAAAAAAAAGUGAGACGAGAGGUAAAAAUGGACAAGUGUCCGACAGUAGAAUUAGGGGUACAAGAUACCCACCUGAGAGACAAUGAAAAUAAAAUAUAGAGCAUCUCAUUCUCCUCAAAAAGUUUCAAAAGAGCAAGAAAGGUAUGUAUCCCAUCAAAAGAGCACAAGUAGAAUUAGACUUUCACCAUUAUUAUCACCAUCAUCACCAUACACCAUUCAUUCGCCACACAUGCACAUCUUGAUUUGACUUAUUGACUUGUUCUUCUAGAUCCAUGGUUUGACUAUGCAAUAAAUGUCUUGUAAGUAUGUAUUAGCUGUCUCCCACCUAUGAGCUCCAGAUAUCAAAACCUUAUUAGAGUAGGGUGAGAGAGAAGGCAAUGCCACUAUGCCUCAUACCAAAAAUACCACAUACUUUGAGAGAAGGCAUACACUAUUACUGCCUUGGUAAGGAUCCAGAAAUACCACAAAAGAGAGACUAGAGAGAGUAAUACAAGGAAUCUCUGAGUUUUAUUUGAAAAUUUGCAAAAACUCCAGAACUAUAGUUAAUCGAAGAACAAGAGACAUGGCGCUUGACUAGACCGUUCUAUCUUUUAACUACUCAAGACACAAGUGACGGUUGCAAGCCCCAUGGUGGAAGGUAAAAUGAGUAAGUUUAAAUCUUAACAGUUUACCCUAACCCAGAGAUGAGAUCUUGUUUGAACGCAUGUGUACCUUUAAGGCAUGAAACCACUACAGAAACUCUUGAGUUCAUCUUUGCUCAGGGACGAGCAAAGGUUAAGCUUAGGGGAGCUUGUUGACGGUUCUUAAUGCUCACAUUUAACCAUCAAUUAAUCAUGGAAAAGGAUCCAAAUGCAACCAACACCUAGACUUAGGGUUUUAUCUGACAGAAUUCCACAAGUUUUUGUGUUUGUCUAUUUCUGCAGGGGGUUAUCAGGAAAUAUGGAGAAAAGGCCCACACAUCGGGUUUACAUAGAGAUAUUAACGUACCACGCAAUUUUCUAUCAUCUAGAAGACUCCAGAAGCCACGGAAAUGAAGCGGAGGCAGAACGGGGCCUAGCCCAGGGCGCCCGCCCUAGAGACCAGGGCGCCCGCCCACCUUCUGUGCCCAAUCAGAGUCCUUUUCGGGGAUCAUGCUCCACCGACCUUAAGAUCAAGGAUAGCAAUUCAAUCAAUGUCGGUUUGAUCUGACGGCCCAGAUUCAUCUGAAAAGACUAUAUAAGAAAGGCCCCGUGGCCCCUGGAGAGCAUACCUCUUCUACAAAAUCAAAGAUAGGGUUUCAAUUAUUCAUCCAAGCAGAGAGGAUCCCUCUAGUUCAUCUAGUUCUAAUUCUAGUUCCUCUAGUUCUAGUUCUAGUUAGUUUUAGUUGUAAUCUAGAAAAUAGGGAGAGAGAAGAGGAGAGCGGAGGAGGAGCCGGAUUUGUUGGAUCUUCCUCAACAUCGUACUUUUGCAGCAACUAGUUCGUUCUUCAUCGUUCUCCAGCUUCUUCAAUUCAUAAUUCUUGAGUUCUUUAAUUACUUUUAUUUACAUUCAAGUUAUUUAUUGGAUUCCCGCUUGCAUCAAGUGCUCUAGUCUUUAUAACGCUAGAGUAGUAAUUAAUAGAUUAGACGUGGUGUUUAGUCUUGCAAUUACUUGGAAUUGCACCCAAUCCUACGGAUUGUUGUGGUAGCCCUAGGGUAGUGACAGCCCUAACGGUUGACGUAUUCCACCUUGUUCGGAUCGGUGUUUGUAGGACCGUAGUCAGAGCUUCCUAGCCCCCUUCUCAUCUCUUUCUGUGGUUAGUGUUCUCAUGUUGCUAAAUAAAUAAUCUUUGAAGUAAUUCUUGAUUCUUAGAUCAACUAGAGAACUCUCAGGAAACUUCCUCUCUUCCCAUCAAAAUAAUUAUACAGUUAUCCUUGGGCUGUCUUGAAUCUUAAUUAGUACACUCACGUUCCAUGUGGAAAAUCGAUACUCUAGAAUACUCCCGGGUGAAAGCUACAUCGGUAUCCGUGCGCUUGCGGAUUUUUCUAUUUGCAUUUAAAACACCCAACACUCCUAGGAUUCUUCAGUAUUUCGACUCCUAAAUUCUAGUAAGUUCUUUAUUCUUAUUGUUCUUUGGUUUAUGAGUUUACUUUAAUCUCUUUCGGUAGAGUUUAGAGUAAUCAUUGCUAGCAUAAACGUGGUGUUUGGGCUAGGGUACUCAUAGAUAUCCCCUGUCUAGUCGGACAGUGGUAGUAGUGAGGAACGUGACAUUUCUAAGUUACCUUUGUAGCCCACAUCCCGUUAGCAGGAUCGAUAGGGUUUACAGGUGCGGGUCGAACAUCCUCUGUGGUGUCUAAAUUCCAUAAGCCUCUCCAAUAGAACAGUAGAUCAUCCAUACCAAGGUUAGAACGAGAGUGCGGUUGUAGUCUUCUCUAUACAUCGCUCACAUCGAAUCACAUUGUUUUUAGCCUAAAGGGUAGUAGCAAUAGACCGGGUUAGUCAGAUGCACGCUUUCUCCUAGUGGUAAAAAUAUAAAUACGAUACUCUAGAUAACCUCCUGGGUGAAGUGCUCACCGAUAUUCGUGCGCUUGCGGAUCAUUUCCUGAUGGCGUUAACAAAUAUCAACAGUUGCCGCCACCUAGACGACUUGGAGCAGCGGUGGAGCUUUGGCACAAGUUGGUGAUUGUUCGUGGCCAUCUCUAUUGACGGUCCUUAAUUACUAAAUUUAACCAUCAACUAAACUUAGAAAAGGAUCAAUAUGCACCAAACAUCUAGAAUUUGGGUUUUAUCUGACAGAAUUCCACGAGCUUUGGUGUUUGUCUAUUUCUGGAGGGGGUUAUCAGGAAAUAUGGAGAGAAGGCCCACAUGUCAGGUUUACAAUGAGAUAAUUACGUGCCGCGCAAUUUUCCUUAAUCUAGAAGAGUCUAGAAGCCACGGGAACGAACAGGAGGCUGAACGGGUUCAGGGCAGGUCGCCCGCCCACCUACAGCAGCCAAUCAGGCUUCGUCUCCUGGAUCGUGCUCCACUGCCUUUAAUCUUCAAGAAUAACCAUGUGAUUAAUGUCGGUUUGAUCCGAUGGCCCAAAUUCAUCUGAGGGGGCUAUAUAAGCAAUGCCUCUCCACCCAGGGGAGGAGGAGAAAUCAUUAUCAGAGCAAGUCAUCAAAGUUAGGGUUUUAGAACUUCUCUCCCAUAGAGAAUUAGAACUAGCUACUCCCAAUUCAUUCAAGUUUUAUAGGAUUGAUUAGAUAGAAUUAGAGAAGUAGAGCCUAGCGCUCUAGAUUUCGGAUCUUCAACAAUAAAGAUUGGUAUUAUUUCAUAUCUUUCUCUACUACUUUGUUCUAAUUGCAUUAUGUCUCUAUUUAUUAUGUUCUUAGUUUGCACUAGUUCUAUAUUUGAUAUAGUUAUGAUUGAUAAUGAGUUUAUGUAUAAGUUUGCAAAGCGCUUAGCUCUUAACUCGAGGGAGUUAAGUGGUAGAUCAUAUGUGGGCGUGGUGCUUAGAUAUUAUUUACCUGCAACUGUAUCAUAUUGGCUGGGUCAUGUGGUAGUUCGCGAUGGUGACAGUUUCAUUGAUUCUUAUAUAGUCCACCCUCCGUUGAUAGGACAGGCAGAAUUUGUAUUGCGGAGUAAGUCUUGCUAUGUUCUAAUUUACUUUAGCAAUGUUCCUUAUAUAUGAAUAAAGAGUCUUUUAUGCUAUAUAUGAUCUUGUAGAUAACUAGAGUAGAUUGUGACUUAGUAGAUAGUAGAUACUCAGAAUCCAUUUUCUAGCUAAUCUGACGUCACCUUACAUAUAUGACGAGUAGUAUAUUUCUAAUCGCUGUGUUAUUUACCCAUGAGCUUAUAUUUCAUUAUCUUUAUUAAUAUGGCUUACCCCCUACCAAAGCAAGUGACUGUGUGAUGAGUUCCUCAUUAGUAAUCAUGUUAUUGCAAGUUUAUCUCUAGUCUAUGCCUUGAUAGAUUUUACCCCUGUUUUCACUUUUGCCGUUCUCUUAAGCAAAAUAUAAAUAACGAUACCCAGAAUACUUUUCCUGGUGAAAUGCUACAAUGAGGUAUUUUAUCUGUGCGCUUGUGGAUAGAAUAGAUUAUUUUCUAGAGAGCCUUCAUAUUCAUAAAUACCUUUGUACACUCUGGCACCAUGCUGGGGAUGACAACCUAGUAUUUAAGUGGUGUUAGUAAGUGUCAACAAUCAUUUCUGGCGCCGUUGCCGGGGAACGGUAAGGAAAGUCAGGAAGUCAGUCAAGGUUAUUCACGUGAAAUAUUAGACUAGACUAUGGAGAAAUAAUUGCAUGAACAACUACUAAAUGAGAAAUAAUAACAAGGCACCUCUGCUUUGGCAGGUUCACCCUGUUGUUUUUCUAUGUUUAUAUUUUUUAUACAGGGUAUAUCAGGAUUGACUUUGAUACAUUCAACUCUUCAUCAUCAGAACCAAAGUGAUCAAGAAAGAAAGAAGAAGCUAGCUACCAAUUGCUGAAGCUAUGGCACAAAAGACCUUGCAAGAAUUCUCUCCUCCAAGUCUUGAGAACAUUCCAACUGGUCCAAGAUUUGAAGUAGAACAAGGAGCACCCGAGUUCGAGCUCAAGUCAAGACUCAUCAAUUUGGUGCAAGCAACACAAUUCAGUGGAAAGGCACAUGAAGAUGCUAGUGCACACUAGAAGAAUUUCUUAGAGAUUGGAAGCACAAUCCGCAUCAAUAGAAUCGACAAAAACAUCAUUUUGCUUUGCCUUUUUCCAUUAUCACUAGAAGGGAAGGAAAGGAAGUGGUUCUACACCCAUCAAGAUAACAUCAACUACUGGACAGACUUGUCAGAUGCCUUUCUAUCAAAGUUUUUCCCCAUAGGAAAAACAACUGCCUUAAGAGGAAAUAUUGUCAGUUUCCAACAGCAGAAGACAAAAAGCAUUCUAGAAGCAUGGGAGCGGUUUCAAGGAUACAAAUCAGAUUAUCCUCAUCAUGGAAUGGCCAGAUGGUUACUUAUGCAGACCAACUACCAUGGAUUAACUCAAAAGUCUCAUCAGUGCUUAGAUGUAUCUGCUAAAGGAUCAUUCUUGGAGCUUACAAUUGAAAAAGUAGAGAUACUUUUGGAUAAGAUAUUAGAAAAUCAAAGCUGUUUCCAAGAUAAAGCUCAGCAUUGUCAUCAAACUAAAGAGAUACCAGAAGAAGUAAAUGCACUAUCAUUACCAAGAUGGAAAAUUUGCUCCAUUGGACUGACCAGAGGGCCAAGUUCAAAGAAGAUCAAAGGGCUAUUGAGACAGUAUACAAAUAUCAUCCCACUUCGAGUCAACCCAAUAGCAAAGGUAUGAAUUUAGGUAACACUUUCAAGCAUCUUUCAUUAAAUGAGAUAAUUGCUCAACAAACCAAAACUAAUGAUGAAGUUAAACAAAGGCUAGAUACAAAUGAAUCAUCUCUAAAAGAUAUACACAAUAAAAUGGAUUUUCUAUUAACUACCUUUGAUGAGCAAAACACUCUUAAUAAAAGGGUAGAGCUUAAAUUAAUAAAGCUAGCUGCUGCAUUGCCUGUUGCCACUAACAUCGAGCACGUAAAGAACAUAACUACUAGAGGAGGCAAAGCCACCAGGGAUCCCCCAUACCCAAAAGAAAAACAGAGAACAUCAGCACCAGUGCAACCAGUAGUGAUAGAGGAAGAAAGCCCAGUUGAAGUAGAAGAUCUGCUACAACCACCAAGAGCUAGAGAGAUGAGGAAAGAUUUUUACGACACCAAUUGUUUGCCAUAUCCCAAAAGAAACAGAAGACUGCAGUCGGAUGAGCAGUUUGGUACCCACAUAUGCAAAGUAUAUCAGAGAUAUUCUUAACAAGAAGAGACCACUGCCCACCACUGAGGUUAUCAAGCUGACAGAAGAAUGCAGUGUGGCUAUCCUCAACAAACCACCAAGGAAGAAGAAGGAUCUAGGAUGUCCCACCAUUGAUUGCUCGAUCGGAAACCAACACUUCAACAAUGCACUUUGUGAUCUCGGAGCAAGUGUCAGUGUGAUGCCAGCAUCAGUCUACACGAAGCUUGAGCAUAUGACCCUAGAACCAACAUCAAUGUGCCUGCAACUAGCAGAUCAAUCAAUUCGACACCCGAUGGGCAUCACUGUAAACAUCCUAGUCAAGAUCAGAGAUUUCCUUGUGCCAGUAGACUUCAUGGUACUAGACAUGAGUCCCGACUCAAAAGUGUCCAUCAUCCUUGGAAGGCUAUUUCUGAGCGCUGCCAGUACCCACAUUGAUGUCGGGAAGGGAGAAAUCAAAUUCAACAUAAACGGACAAGAAGAACACUUCACAUUCAAGCCCAGACCAGAGAGAGACUCUAUAGUGAAGGAAGUUCAUGAAGAAGAACCACUAGAAACACCAUCUCUGGAGGAAGGUAAUUCAGAAGAUUGAAAGAUUUGGAGGUCCAGCUUGGGGGACCUAAAAAUCCCAAACCCUCGCCGGGAGGUAAAUCUGUAUUUAUCCACAUCGUUUAAAUUCUUGCAUAAUUAAUUCAUGCAUUAUCCAUAUUUAUUCGUAGCAUUAUCAUAAUAAUGAAAAGCCCCAUAUAAAUAAUAUUUAUGGUGUGUGAACAACCAACACUUAUUAAUUAUUGUGGAGGCACAAAAAUAUUUUUCCAUGAUCAGUUUCAAAUAAGUUUCAAAUUUUCAUAGUUUUUUCUGCAUUAUAUUAUAGCAACCUUCUAGAAGCAUGACCCACACUCCUUGUGUCCCACAUGUCAUACACCACACCUCACACACAUCCCAUCACAUUAUUUGAUCCACCAACAUAUCUCCACUCACCAGACAACUUCCACCGUCCAACCACCACCCAUGGGUCAUCUUUUGGCGUAAAGACUAAGCAAAGGAGGGAGUAGAGAAAGGGCAGCCAUGAUAGCCACCAGAAGUGGGCACCCGCCCACCUGCAGAGGGCACCCGCCCUGUCCCCACUUCCUCCUAUAAAUUGCCACCUCCUGCCUCCAUCUCCAUCACACAAGCAUUCCAGAAAACCCACGCACACUUCAGUUCUCGGUUUCUAGAGGAGGAGCUCUAGAAGUGAAGUGAGAAUGAGAGUAUAGGGGAAGAGUAGAGUGGAAGAGAGGUUGGUAGUUUUUGAGUAAAAGAGCAAGGUUCAUUAUUAAGUAGAGACCCUGCUGUCCAAAGCAAAAUUAAAAAGUUGUUUACGGGGAAGUACCACCAAAAUUAUAACUUGUUUCGGAUGACUAACCCCUAAACGACUGAUAUUUCAAACAGUUGGCUUUAACAAUCUCCACUAGUUCUGUUUGUGUCAACUUUUGUCUACAAGAUGUUCAAGAAGGUAAAGAACGCGGGCAAGACCCGCCAGAGUAUAGGUACAAUGAGUUCAUCCCGAUACUCCUCACACCAGUCAGAGACAAGCGUCGACACGACGCCUCCGCAAGCUCCGUCAUCAUCGACAGGUACACGAGUCAAGGUCCUCCUCAAGACAGGAGAUCUUGGACUAGAGACCCACAGGGAGAAGGAAGUUUUCCAGCAGCUGAAGAACAAGGAUUUCAUUCACACCCCCACUCUUGACCCUAUCCUGCUACAAGAAACAGGUAUGGAUACUGAAUUUGACUUAAUUUUCCAGAUGGUGGGAUGGACAAACUUUUGGGACAUAACUGAGCUAGGUGUUUUCUUGGAGAGAAUUGAGCGACCAUCUCAGUUUCUCUCCAAGAUGCAUCCUGGACAUUAACUCCGAUUUGCCAAAUUUUGAAAGGCACCAGUUCUGGAGAGAGAUAUCCAGAGAUGAUUUUUAUAGUCAAGCCCGAACCAGCGACAUGGAACACCCCACUCUUAGGAUGUUCCACAAAUGGCUCGGGUACAAUCUUUUCCAUCGUGAUGAUAUUAGAAAAGUAAGAGUAGGAGACUUACAACUUCUUUAUGCUACUAUAAAUAAGAUACCCAGUUCACCUGUUACUCUUUUGGUUUUUCAUUGGCUUAGUAUACCUAGUCUUCAGGGACCUAUCGGUUUUACUUCACUCAUCACUUGUCUAGCCUCUAGUCUUAAUUUGCUACAAAACUCGUCAUUGAAAUUCAUUGACGAGUUACGAAUUUAUCGUGGCUAUGACACAUUUAGGCAAGCUCGGAUGCUGAAAAAAGAGGGGAACGUAAUGUAUGUGUUAUACAAUAAUAAAGGAAAGAUUCGGUUAUCUAACCCAAACCUUGGCCUCUAUGUCGUUCAAAAUUAUUUGAUUGAGAUUGCAGUGACACCGGUAAACCACAGAGCUCCACAGCGAGUGGCAUCCGAAAGGAUGACCACCCAUCAAGAACGCACCUGGUAUGGAGCUGAUCCCGGACCAAAAUAAGCAGCGCACCUGCAUUACCACGACUACAAUCCCCGAGUCCUUCGGGACCCAUGGGUUCAACAUGCUCAGCCACAGGAGCCGACACAGGAGACAUGGCCGGAGGGCCAAGAUCACCAGUGGACAAACCCGCCUUUUAGUACGGGCAGAAUACGCAAGUGCAACAUGGACGACUCCGGGAACAGCAACAAAAGUGGAACCAUGACCACACCGCUGCAGUACAAGGACUGAGACAAGACACUACUUCAAUGAGCAACAACAUCACCACCAUGAUGCGAUUCUGGAACAUUGGGUAAGACCGACAACCACAUCCAGCUUGGGGGAGUUCCUCCCCGUUUUAUAAAGUAAGUUUUUAUUUGCUCCUCUUAUUUAUUCUUUUUUUUCUUAGUGUUUCAUUAGUUCUCUACUAAAAAAGCCCAAUAAAUAUUUUCUUGCUUGAAUUUAAUGCAUUCUAUAAACAUGAAAAAAAUAAAAAGAGUAUGUAGAUAAGUGUGCUUUGUUUAUCUGCCAAGUGUUAAUCUCUAGGAAAAUAAAAAAGAUUAAAAAAGGUGCAUGAUGGAAAUGAUGAACAGUUGCUCUGUUUGCUUACUUUCAAGUACCUAGCUUUUAUAUUAAAGUUCUUCCACGAAUUACUAAAACUAAAAUUUACUAUCUAUGGGAAGCAUGAACCUAAAACCAAAGUCUAGGUAAGUGAAGGACAUGAUAUAAAGUUUGAGCUACUGUUUAUCUUGUUCCUACUACACUAAGUUCUGGAGAUUUAUUUUGAAAACUUGCAAAUCACAUGAUGAGUUCCUAGCAUGACAAAAUUCCUACCACAACCAUACUUGCUAUAAUUUCUACAUCUUUUGCUACUUAUAUUCAUAUUGACUUUGAUCGAGCUAUGUAGACCCUUAGGAGCUUCUUCAUGUGGUUAAAUUAAGAUAUUCACUUGCACACAUCUACUACACCAUCCACCACCAUUCAUUAAAAUUGCUAAAAAUAUUAUCACUCACAAUCCCAAGUGUUGUUAUUCUCUCUCUCUGAAAAGAUUCGAUGCAGAAGAGGCAUGGGUUAUGCAAAAAUAUGCGAGGAAAUAAAAAGGGGCAAGUGCCCGGAACCUCGAAAAAGAAAGAAAAAGAGUGAGACGAGAGGUAAAAAUGGACAAGUGUCCGGAGUAGAAUUAGGGGUACAAAGAUGCCCAUCUGAGCGGGAAAAAAUGGACAAGUGUCCGACAGUAGAAUUAGGGGUAUUCGUUACCCACCUGAAAAAAAAGAGAGAGAAAAGAAGGAAAAGAUAGCCCAUGUUCUCCCAAAGCAAAGAUCAAAGAGGAGGAGAGAUAGCAAUAUGAGGAGCAAUGAGAAGUAAGUUUUAUCAUUACUUAUAUUUUCACCAUUACUAUCAUUUACUCCACCACACAUGCACAUCUUGAUUUAAUUACAUGUUGAGUUCCUUCGGAUCCAUGGCUCGAUUAGACAACGUAUGUAUGAGCUAUUUUUCACACCUAUGAGCUCCAUAUAAAUAUACCCUUAGUUAUAGGUAAGUGACAUUUUUGGUAAGGAUCCACAAAUACCAUAUAUAGAGAGAUUUGAGAGUAUCAUAGCUGGGAACUCUGAGUUUUAUUUUUGAAAACUUAUGCAAAACUCUAGAACAAAUGUGAAGUAUAAACAGGAGGAAUAGUGCUUGACUUAAUUAUUUUGUCUUUCGAUUACUUAAGACUUAAGUGCAGAUACUAAGCUCCAUGACACUUCACUCUAAUGUGAGAGAAUUUUUAUGUAAAAGCAUGUGUGCCUGUCAGGAAAGAAAAAAUUGAAGCAACUCCUGAUCCAUCUGAGUUUAGCUGUUUGCUCAGGGACGAGCAAAGGCUAAGCUUGGGGGAGUUUGUUGACGGUCCUUAAGUACUAAAUUUAACCAUCAACUAAACUUGGAAAAGGAUCAAUAUGCACCAAACAUCUAGAAUUAGGGUUUUAUCUGAUAGAAUUCCACGAGCUUUGGUGUUUGUCUAUUUUUUAGGGGGUUAUCAGGAAAUAUGGAGAGAAGGCCCACAUGACAGGUUUACAACAAGAUAAUUACGUGCCGUGCAAUUUUCCUUAAUCUAGAAGAGUCCAGAAGCCACGGGAAUGAACGGGAGGUCGAACGGGUCCGGGGGCAGGGCGCCCGCCCACCUGCAGCAGCCAAUUAGGCUCCGUCUCCUGGAUCAUGCACCACCGCCUUUAAUCUUCAAGAAUAACCGUGCGAUUAAUCUCGGUUUGAUCUGACGGCCCAAAAUCAUCUGAGGGGGCUAUAUAAGCAAGGCCUCUCCACCCCAGGUGAGGAGGAGAAAUCAUUAUCAGAGGAAGCCAUCAAAGUUUGGGUUUUAGAACUUCUCUCCCGCAGAGAAUUAGAACUAGCUACUCCCAAUUCCUUCAAGUUUUAUAGGAUUGAUUAGAUAGAAUUAGAGAAGUGGAGCCUAGCGCUCUAGAAUUAGAGACAUGAUGUUGAUCCCCACAACAGGAUUAUAAAGAGCAUUAAAUCGAUCAGAAUUAUAAGCACAGCGUAUAGUUAUAGAGGGUGUGUCCAAACGGAUCACAUUAGAGGAAAGCUCUGAUUCCUCCAACCAUUCGCUACUCAUUACUGAGAUAAGCUCUCUCAAUUGAUAUUCACUUGGCAAAUAAAUGCUAAACUGGCUGUUUUGGGGUUUGUCAAUAGAAUGGUAGUUUGAAAUAUUUCCAAAAUCAGCAAAAAGAUCAGAUUCUAUAUCCAGCAUGAAGUCCGGUGGUGGAAUUUCUUCCUCUUGUGGCUCAGAACUUGGGAUAGCUAAAGUAGAUGAAGAAUUUGGCAGAGUGUCUACUUCGGCUUCGUAGGUUUCAUCAUGAAGGGUAUUAUCCAUCUCAGCUUUUAGGAUUCUAUCUAGGAUCACUCUAGCUUCAUCAGUAGGGAUUCGAAAGAAAGAACCUCUAGACAUUGUGUGUAGCAUUUGUUUGUGAUUUUUCUGAAGACCUCGAAAAAAGUGGGUUAAAAGAACAGGGUCUUGAAGAUUAAGGUUUGGACCAGAUUCUAAAAGAUCAGAAAAACGUUUCUAGGAUUUUCCCAAAGUUUCAUUAUCUUUUUGUUUAAAAGAUAGGACUUUGAGUCUAAGGUCGGCUAUACAGUCAAGGGAAUAGAAAUCUAGACAAAAGUUGGCUCGUAAAACUCCUCAUUCACCUUGUUGUUGACUUACCUUCUGACUGUACCAUUGUCUAGCUUCUCCCCUUAAAGAAAAAGGAAAAAGCUUCCAACGUAAAGUUUUAUCAGAAAUGCCUUCAAUGCGAAGACAAUCACAUGUUUGCUCAAAAUCUCUAAUAUGAAGGUAAGGGUUUUCGUCUUCCCUUCUCGAAAAAGAUAGGUUUUGAAUCAUGGCAAUCAACCUAGAACUUAACUUAUACUGGGAUGUGUGGAUUGGCUGUGAUGAUUCCCAUGGUAAAAGGUCAGUUACUGAAGGGAUUGCAAAUUCAUGGAUCGAUUUAGAAUUUUGGUUUUCCAUAAGGUAAGAGUAAAGAAAAUAAAUAAAGAAUAUAAAAGAUAACAAAAGAUAAAAGUAUAGAUACAAGCUAGUAGUAAGACUCAAGGUUAUCUCAGCAACCGUCUUUGUCCCCGGCAACGGCGCCAGAAAUGCUAGUUGAUAUUUGGGAACGCAAUAAGGAAUUGAUCCGCAAGCGCACGGAUAUCGGUGAGCACUUCACCCGGGAAAUUAUCCAGAGUAUCGUAUUUAUUUUUUUACCACUAGGAGAAAGAGUGCAUCUGACUAACCGGUCUAUUACUACUAACCCUUUAGGCACAAAGAAUGUCUUUCGAUGUGAGUGAUAAAUAGAGAAGACUGCAACCGUAGUCUCCUUCUAACCUUGGUAAGGAUGAUCUACUGUUCUAUUGGGGAGGCUAACAUAAUCUAGACACCACAAAGGAUGUUCAACCCGCACAUAUAAACCCUAUCCUUCCUGCUAACGAGAUAUGGUCUGCAAUGGUAACUCGGAAUUGUCACGUUCCUCACUACUACCACGGUCCAGCUAGUCAGGGAAUAUCUAUGAGUACCCCAGCCUAAACAUCACAUUUAUGCUAGCAAUGAUUACUCUAAACUCUACGCGAAGAGAUUAAAGUAAACUCAUAAACCAGAAGAACAAUAAAACAAGAACUUACUAGAAUUUAGAAGUCGAAAUACUGAAGAAUCCUAGGAGCAAGCUUCGGGUUAGGAGAACUUGAUCCCGCAGGUACAAGCAUGGAGUAGACACCGACAGGCCGGGCUUCCUCCAAUCUACACCUCCACUCUAUCUCUCUCAAUCUAGUAGAAACUAGAAGAUCUAUUUCUACUUUACAUUGGUUGCUAAGCCUAAAAAGAAAUAUUAAUUAGAGAAGAGGUUUUCCUUUGAGGGCACCCCUCAAUCUCUAUGAUAAUUUCUUCAUGUCUUCUCCAGGGGCUAGGGGGGUCUCCUUAUAUAGUCCUCCUCCUCUAUGCGUUUUUGGGUUGGUAGGCGAGGUGGUACUAUGUUUUCCUUGAUCCAAUAGGUCGGUGGAAUAUCCCGUGCGAAGAGAGUCCUGAAUGCAAUCCAGCAGGGGGCGGGCGCCCUGGGCCUGGCCCCUUUCGGCCUCUGUUUUCUUCCCGUGGCUUCUAGAGUCUUCUAGAUGGUAGAAAAUCGUGUGGUGCGUUGAUAUCUCUAUGUAAUCCCGACAUGUGGGCCUUUCUUCCUUAUUUCCUGAUAACCCCCUGCAGAAACAGAUAAACAACAAAAGUCGUAGAAUUCUGUCACAUCAAACCCUAAUUCUAGGUGUUGGUUGCAUAUUGGUCCUUUCUCUUGUUUAUUUGAUAAUUAAAAUUGAUACUUAAGAACCAUCAACAAAGUGUGGACAAGAUUAGAAGAAACAUAUGAGGGCACUACAACAGUAAAAAGUGCCAAGUUGUACAUGCUCAAGGACAAGCUAUCCAACUUGAAGAUGAAGGAUCAUGAGUCAAUCCCGGAGAUGUUCUAUAGGCUCCAAGUCAUCAUCAAUAAUCCCAAGGGCCUUGGUGAAAAAGUAAAGGAUGAGUACUUCAUUCAUAAGUUCUUGAUGUGCUUGCCCAAGAGGUUAAAGACAUUGAGAACCAUCAUAUUUAGAGGAGGAUUGAUGGGUGUAUCUCCCAAUGAGGUACUUGGAGAUGUCAUGACCGAAGACCAAUACAAUGAUAAUGAUGAUGAUGAGGUCAUGAAGAAAGAUGAUGAUGAUAAGAAGAAGAAUAGCAUAGCAUUCAAAGCUAGCUCUUCAUCCAAGAGCAAGAACAAGGGCAAGGCCAAGAAGGAAGAAUCAAGUGAUGAGGAGUGCUCCAAUGAUGAUAGUGAUGAUGAAGCACUAGCACUCUUUGUCCGUAAGUUUGGCAAGAUGAUGAAGAAGAAGGGCUACCAUACAAGAAAUAGAAGGGACAACUCCAAGAACAAAGAGUAUGUGAGGCUAUGCUACAAGUGCGAGAGCCCCGAUCAUAUUGUGGCGGAUUGUCCAUACAAUAGUGAUCAUGAUGAGCAUGACAAGAAGAACAAGAAGGAGAAGAAAGAAAAGAAGGACAAAAAAAUGAUCUUCAAGAAGAAGAAGAAGAAGAAGGGUGGAUCCUAUGUUGUUGUUGGGCAUUCUUAACGUCACUACCAAAAGUAGACUUAGUUUUCUAAUUCUGAUAACGGCGCCAAAAAUGCCAAACCUAUUCCUCAUGCACUUAAGCCAAGUUGUCAUCCCCAGCAUGAUAUGAGAGACGCAGUAUUGAAAUAUGCAAUUGCUCUUCUAAAUAAAUAAUAAAUGUGAUCUGCAAGCGCACAGAUUAAUACCGAUGUAGCAUUUUAACCGAGAAGUAUUCCAGGUAUCGUUAUUUAUAUUUUUACCACUGGGAAGGGAUUUCUAGUCAUCAAUGUUGAUUAUGGAAUAGAAUAUAGAAUUGAGUAUCUAUCAUUGCAUGUAUAAUUGAGAGCAUUUAUCUAUCUCUUUCAUACAGGGAUAAGUGUCACAAUAAAGAUAGAUAAAGUAUGAAUGGUGACAAAGAUAAUUAAUCUGAUCAGCAUAAUUUAGCCACAUAUAAAUAUGAUAAGCACCUCAAUAGAUAUUCUAGCAAGUCAUUAGCAUGGAAUUAGGAUGAACUACAAGAAUAUUUCCUAAGUUAUUCUUAACUAUAAAGUCUAGCAUAUCAUAGUUAGUGCAAUUAUACUUGGCAAUCAUUGCGAGACACGACUACACCCAUGCAUAGUGAUAUUAUCAAGGAAGAUGAGAAACAUAGCAAUCACUCCCCUGUAAUAAUGUUGCUCUCCCAGCCCUAUACACGAGAGGGGGGCUAUAUAAGAAUCAGUGGAGCUGUCACUACUGUUCACUGUCCUUAAGUAUCAAAUAUAAUCAGCAAAUAAACAAAGAAAAGGAUCCAAAUGCAACCGACAUCCAGACUUAGGGUUUUAUGUGACAGAAUUCCAUGAGUUUUGGUGUUUGUCUAUUUCUGUAGGGGGUUAUCAGGAAUUAUGGAAGAAAGGCCCACACAUCAUGUUUACAUAGAGAUAUUAACGUGCCGCGUAAUUUUCUAACAUCUAGAAGAGUCCAGAAGCCACGAGAACGAACGGGAGGUUUGGCAUUUUUGCCAAGUCUACUUUUGGUAGUGACAUUAAGAAUGCCCAACAAGCAUUUUUGGCGCCGUUGCCGGGGAAGGUUGAUUACUAAUCAGGAAUGAAUAUGGAAUUUUGAGUCAUCAUUCGCAUCACUAAUAUGAUUGAGAUUCUCAAUUCUGUCAUUGCAGUUUUACCCCGGUAUUUUUCUAUUUUACAUUAUACAGGGUAAUGUAUGAAUAGAAGACAUCUUCCAAGAAAUUUUGUUGACAAUCCCGAAGCACUAUUUAGAAAAACAAGAGCCAAGCUCAAGAAGAGAUCAUUUUCUUUGUUUACCCAUAGGGAGGAGUGGUAUCUUCUAGACUCUCGUUCGUUCAAAAAUGCCAAACCUCCCGUUCGUUCCCGUAGCUUCAGGACUCUUCUAGAUAUUAGAUAAUUGCGUGGCACAUUAAUAUCUCUAUGUAAACCCGACGUGUGGGCCUUUCUUCCAUAAUUCCUGAUAACCCCCUGCAAAAAUAGACAAACACCAAAACUCGUAGAAUUCUGUCAGAUAAAACCCUAAGUCUGGAUGUCGGUUGCAUUUGGAUACUUUUCUUUGUUUAUUUGCUGAUUAUAUUUGAUACUUAAGGACCGUCAACAGUAGUGACAGCUCCAUUGAUUCUUAUAUAGUCCCCCUCUCGUGUAUAGGGCUGGUAGAGCAACAUUAUUACAGGGGAGCGAUUGCUAUGUUUCUCAUCUUCCUUGAUAAUAUCACUAUGCAUGGGCGUAGUCCUGUCUCGCAAUGAUUGCCAGGUAUAAUUGCACUAACUAUAAUAUCCUAGACUUUAUAGUUAAGAAUAAUUUAGGAAAUAUUCUUGUAGUUCGUCCUAAUUCCAUGCUAAUGACUUGCUAGAAUAUCUAUUGAGGUGCUUAUCAUAUUUAUAUGUGGCUAAGUUAUUCUAAUCAGAUUAAUUAUCUUUGUGACGAUUCAUACUUUAUCUAUCUUUUAUGUGACAUUUAUCCCUAUAUGAAAGAGAUAGAUAAAUGCUCUCAAUUAUACUUGCAAUGAUAUAAACUCAAUUCUAUAUUCCAUUCCAUAAUCAACAUUGAUGUUUAGCAAUCCCUUCCUAGUGGUAAAAAUAUAAAUAAUGAUACCUGGAAUACUUCCUGGUUAAAAUGCUACAUUGGUAUUAAUCUAUGCGCUUGCAGAUCUCAUUUAUUAUUUAUUUAGAAGAGCAAUUGCAUAUUUCAAUACCGCGUCUCUCAUGUCAUGCUGGGGAUGACAACUUGGCUUAAGUGGCAUGAGGGAUAGGUUUGGCUUUUUUGGCGCCGUUAUCAAAAUUAGAAAACUAAGUCUACUUUUGGUAGUGACGUUAAGAAUGCCCAACAACUACCACGAACUACCCCACAAUCCGGCAUAUAGGGUACAAUCGCAGAUAAAUAAGGUAUAGGCACCACGCCUACACAACACUUACCAUUUACCCACUAUACAAAUGGAUAAAUGCUAUACGAUCCUAAACAUGUAUAUAAUUCCAAUCUAACUAAGCCAAGAAUAUAACUAUGAUAAACUAAGAACAAUAUAAUUGCAAAUAUAAACAAGUAGAGCAAAGUCAUAAUCAAUAUAUUGAAGUAGAACAAAGUCAUAUUCAUAAUAUUGAAGAACAAAGAUGAACAAUUGAAGAACAAUAGAGGAAUUACCAAGAAUCCUCUUGACAGAUCUGGAAACCAAUCGAAGAUUGCCUUGUAGUUCUAAUCCUAUGUAGCUAUGCUAAACUAGAGAUCUGUUGAUGUGGUGGCUAUAGGGCUUGAUCAGAGGCUUCUUCUCCUAAGAUGGAUAAUGAAUUAGGGUUUCAGAGAGAUAGAGGUCCUCUCCUCCAAGGGCCAGGGGGUCUGCUUAUAUAGUCAUUCCAAAUGAAUAUGGGCCGUCGGAUCUAACCGACAUUAAUCGCACGGCUUUCCUUGAUCCCUUAGGUUGGUGGAGCAUGAUCCGCGAAGUUGAACGUGAUUGGCCCUCAGGCCAGGGCGGGCGCCCAAGGGGGGAGGGCGGGCGCCCUGCCCCCGGGCCCGAUCGGACUCCCGUUCGUUCCUGUGGCUUCUGGACUCUUCUAGAUGUUGGAUAAUUGCACGGUACGUUAAUAUCUCUAUGUAAACCCGACAUGAGGGCCUUUCUUCCAUAAUUCCUGAUAACCCCCUACAGAAAUAGACAAACACCAAAACUCAUGGAAUUCUGUCAGAUAAAACCCUAAGUCUGGGUGUCGGUUGCAUUUGGAUCCUUUUCUUUGUUUAUUUGCUGAUUAUAUUUGAUACUUAAGGACCGUCAACAGUUGUGACAUGGGAUAGUGAUGCUUCUUCGGAUGAUGAUUCUAUUGAUGAUGACAAGUCAUCCAAGAAGAAGGCGCUUGCAAGUAUUGCUAUCAACAAACCAUCACACUUCGACACUCCUUCAUGCUUCAUGGCCAAGGGCCACAAGGUACAAUAUGAUGAGAGUGAAAGUGAAAAUGAAGAUGAACAUGAUAGUGAUAGUGAUGAUGAAAAUGAAUUCACUAAUGAACAACUCGUGGACAUGCUAGAACAAGCCGAUUCACUUAUUCAAUCUAAAAACAAGAAGUGCAAAGAAUUGGCCAAGAAGUUAAAAGCUCUUGAGCAAUCCUUUGAUGAGGUCAAUGCUAAUCAUGAGAGGCUAGUGGAAGCCCAUGAGAAGCUUGGCAAGGCUCACACCAAGCUUGAGAAAGCUCACUCCUUGUUGUUAUAAGAGAACAAAGAAAAGGUUGUUGUAUCAUGUGAUGUGGGCACAACAUGUGACUUAAUUAACGAAUCCCCCAACCCACCUAUUGUUGUUGCCACUAACUCUUCUUGUAGGUCUUCAUCCACCACCACUAACUCUACCUCUACUUCUAGUGUUGGUGUCACUUGUGAUGCUUCACUAAAGGUUGAGAAUGAGACUCUCAAGAGAGAGGUGGAUGAGCUCACUCAUGCCCUAGGCAAGGCCUAUGUGGUGAGGCCCGCUUGCUAAAGUGCUUGGGUAGCCAAAGGUUUUCUCUCAACAGAGAGGGGUUAGUCUAUACCCCCAAGAACGGCAAGAAAGCCUUUGCAACUCACAAGCCUAGCUUUGUGAAGAGCAAUGGUCGGUAUUGCAACAAAUGCAAGCAAGUUGGGCACCUAGAGCUUAAUUGCAAUAAAAUGAACAAGAACAAGAAAAAUGCUAAUGUACCUUACAAUCCAUUUGAUUCUUGUUAUGUGCUUACCAAGAGUGAGAAGGGUGUGCAUGCUAAGUUUGUUGGUACACCAAUUAUGGGUCCAAAGAAGAAGGCCAUUUGGGUACUAAAAAGCUUAGUCACUAACCUCCAAGGACCCAAACAAGUAUGGGUACCUAAGAAACAUUGAUUUGUAUUGUAGGUAAACUAUAAAGCUGGAGGAAGGCAUUAGGUGCUUGAUAGUGGGUGCACACAACACAUGACCGGUGAUUCAAGACUGUUCAAUUCAAUCAAUCCAAAUGAUGACAAUGGUGUUGAUAGUAUCACAUUUGGUGACAAUGGCAAAGGCAAGGUCAAAGGGCUUGGUAAAAUUGCUAUAUCCAAUGACUUGAGCAUUUCCAAUGUGCUACUAGUAGAGAGCUUGAACUUUAACUUGCUAUCCGUAGCUCAACUUUGUGAUCUUGGCUUCAAAUGCAUAUUUGGAGUUGAUGAUGUAGAGAUCAUAAGUGUAGAUGGCUCUAACUUGAUAUUCAAAGGCUUUAGAUAUGAGAAUCUAUACUUGGUUGAUUUCAAUGCUAGUGAAGCUGAAUUAUCAACAUGCUUGCUCACUAAAUCUAGCAUGGGUUGGUUAUGGCAUAGAAGGCUUGGUCAUGUUGGAAUGAAACAAUUAAACAAGUUAGUCAAGCAUGAUCUUGUUAGAGGCUUGAAAGAUGUCACAUUUGAGAAAGACAAGCUUUGUAGUGCAUGUCAAGCCGGAAAGCAAGUUGGCAACACUCAUCCAAAGAAAAGCAUCAUGAGUACAUGCAAGGCAUUUGAGUUGUUGCACAUGGAUCUAUUUGGACCAACCACAUACACAAGCAUUGGUGGAAAUAAAUAUGGAUUUGUGAUAGUGGAUGAUUUCACAAGAUAUACAUGGGUAUUCUUUCUUAGUGACAAGAGCGAUGCUUUUGCAACCUUCAAAUCAUUUGUCAAGAGAAUACACAAUGAGUUUGAAGCAACCAUCAAGAAAGUGAGAAGUGACAAUGGAAGUGAAUUCAAGAAUACAAGAGUUGAUGAGCUUUGUGAUGAAUUUGGCAUUAGGCGUCAAUUCUCGGCCAAGUACACUCCACAAUCAAAUGGUCUUGUAGAGAGGAAGAAUAGAACCUUGAUUGACAUGGCAAGAUCAAUGUUGAGUGAGUACAAUGUGAGUCACUCUUUUUGGGCCGAAACAAUCAACACGGCUUGCUACUAUAGCAACCGACUCUAUUGUCACCUAAUGAUGGAAAAGACACCAUAUGAACUCUUGAGUGGAAGAAAGCCCAACAUUGCAUAUUUUUGGGUUUUUGGUUGCAAAUGCUACAUAUUGAAGAAAGGCACUAGAUUGAGUAAAUUUGAAAAGAAAUGUGAUGAAGGAUUCUUGUUUGGUUACUCCACUACUAGCGAAGCUUAUAGUGUUUGGAAUUUGGCUAGUGGUACUCUUGAAGAGGUGCAUGAUGUUGAAUUUGAUGAAACCAAUGGCUCUCAAGAGGAAGAUGAGAAUCUAGAUGAUGUGAGAGGCACUCAAUUGGCCGAUGCAAUGAAGAACAUGGAUAUUGGUGAUUUAAGGCCUAGAGAGGUGAUUGAUGUUGAAGAUGACAAAGAUCAAGUGCUUCCUACCUCUAAUGUGCAAGCUAGUGGUUCUCAUGAUCAAAAUCAAGCUAGUACAAGUGGUACUCGAGUGCAAGAUCAACAAGCUAGUACAUCGUCUCAUGAUCAACCAAGUGCAAACAAUCAAGUGCAAAUACUCCAACCAACAAAUAUUGGAAGAGAUCAUCCAUUGGAUCAUAUCAUAGGUGACAUUCAAAGAGGAGUGCAAACUAGAUCAAGAUUAGCAUCAUUUUGUGAGCAUUUCUCCUUUGUGUCUCAUAUUGAGCCAAAGAAGAUUGAUGAAACAUUGAGAGAUGUUGAUUGGGUUAAUGCUAUGCAUGAAGAGCUCAACAAUUUCAAGAGAAAUCAAGUAUUGGAAUUAGUUGAGAGGCCUAGUGAUCACAAUGUCAUAGGUACUAGAUGGGUCUUUCGCAACAAGCAAGAUCAAGAUGGGAUAGUUGUAAGGAACCAAGCAAGAUUGGUAGCACAAUGCUAUACUCAAGUUGAAGGUCUUGACUUUGGUGAAACAUAUGCCCUGGUUGCAAGAUUGGAAGCAAUUAGGAUCUUGUUAGCCUAUGCUUGUGCUCAUAACAUCAAGUUAUACCAAAUGGAUGUCAAAAGUGCAUUUCUAAAUGACUAUAUCAAUGGAGAAGUUUAUGUUGAGCAACCACUCGGUUUUGAAGAUGACAAGAAACCCAACCAUGUUUACAAGCUAAGAAAGGCAUUGUAUGGUUUGAAGCAACCACCUAGAGCAUGGUAUGAGAAAUUGAGAGAUUUCUUACUCUCUAAAGGAUUCAAGAUGGGCAAGGUUGACACCUCUCUCUUCACCAAGAAGAUUGCCAAGGACUUCUUUGUGUUGCAAAUCUAUGUUGAUGAUACAUAUUUGGAUCAACCAAUCAAAAAUUUUGCGAGGAGUUUCGAAACAUGAUGGCUAAUGAGUUUAAGAUGUCAAUGAUUGGAGAGCUUAGUUACUUCCUUGGUCUUCAAAUCAAGCAAUUGAAGAAUGGCACAUUUGUGAGUCAAGGCAAGUACAUAAAAUACAUGCUCAAGAAGUAUGGUAUGGAUGAUGCAAAAUCAAUUAGCACACCAAUGGGAACAAAUGGAAGCCUAGAUAGUGAUACAAGUGGAAAUAUGGUGGGUCAAAAGUUGUAUCGGUCUAUGAUUGGAAGCUUACUCUAUGUGACCGCAUCAAGACCGGAUGUCAUGUUUAGUGUAUGCAUGUGUGCAAGAUUCCAAGCCCCACCAAGAGAAAGUCAUUUGAAAGCAACGACGAGAAUAUUGAGGUACUUGAAGCAUACACAAAAUGUUGGUUUGUGGUAUCCCAAAGGUGCAAAGUUUGAACUUGUUGGAUAUUCCGACUCGGACUCACUUGUCUCAUGGUCAUCUAAGAAGCAAAAUAGUGUUGCACUAUCAACCGCCGAAGCGGAGUACAUUGCGGGCGGUAGUUGUUGUGCACAAAUCCUAUGGAUGAAGGCAACUUUGAAAGAUUUUGGAAUGAACAUCAAGCAAGUGCCAUUGCUAUGUGACAAUGAAAGUGCCGUGAAGCUAACCAACAAUCCGGUUCAACACUCAAGAACAAAGCACAUAGAUGUCCGCCAUCACUUCGUAAGAGAUCACCAACAAAAAGGGGACAUUUGCAUUGAGAGUAUGGGCACCGAUGAUCGACUUGCCGAAAAGAGUUUUUGCAAGCUAAGGAAUGAAUUGAACAUACUUGACUUCUCAAAUAUGUGUUGAUGCACCCCCACUAUAUGACAUGCCUCUCCCUCGAGCAAAGCAAGGUGAAAUUGUUUGACAUGUCAUCCAUCUUUGCUAAGGACUUGUUUAGUGCAUCUAGUCAUUCCUAACAUGUCUUAUGAUCAUUCAUGAAAAUCAAAUGAAUUUGAUGCUUGUAUGGUACCACUAUUGCUUUUAUGCUUGAUUUGAUCUAGUGGUAGCAUAUGACAUGUUUGUGGGCUUGCAAUCCUAGUGUUUAAUCUAGAAUAUGAGCUAUAAGUGUUUAACUCAACAUGGUACAAGAUAACCCUUAUUUGGAGGUGUGAAGAAGCUUGUCCUUGGAUCAAACCGAGUUAAAUAUCUUAGGCAAGUAAUCUAGAUUGGACCAAUUUGGGAAAAUGAUCUCACUUCACAUGGUUUCACACUAAGCUAUCUAAAAUUUGAGCUCACCUUUUGUGGUCUUUGAUGACAAAGGGGGAGAAAAUUUCCUAAAGAUUUAAGAUAGGGGAGUAACAUAAUAAAAGAAGGGGAUUAAUCAAAAUUUUGAGGCACACAAGUAGGGAGAGCAAGCUCAUAAACUUGUAUAUUGCAUUUGAAUGUGCAUCACAUAUGUUUGCUUGCAUUAGCAUUAGCUUUAGAAGCUUUCUCUCCGAUACCUUGCUUGUGUGGUGUAUGCUAGUUAUAGGUUUGAUUGAUGAAAUGAAGAACUAGCAUGCAUAGGUAGUAUAACUAGAAUUUUAGUUAUUUCACAAGUAGUACUAGAACCUUGUUUAUAAUGUUGAUCUCACGGGGUGUUCUAGUUUUGUGAAAGUCUAGUUACUAAUGGUGCUAAGGAUGGUGUAUAUUGGCAACUCCGAUUGGUAUCACGCUUCAAAGGUCCAUUCUUUACACCUUAGCAUCAUUUGGAAGAAAUUGACUCCUAUAUUUCCUAUUCAAGCAUAUGUGCAAAGCUUUCAAAUCCAAACUCUUAGCACAUAUGUAGGGGGAGCAAUUGCUACCAAUUUGGGUUUAUGAAACUUAUCCAUAAUAUUUGCACAUGGUAAAAUGCUUGGGCAAGCAACAUGAAUCCAAGAAAAUUUUAUUGAAAAUGUUUGUAAAAAGGGUUGUCAUUAAUUACCAAAAAGGGGGAGAUUGAAAGCCCUAGUUUGGUUUUGGAUAAUUGAUGAAACCCUAGUACUAACCUCUAUACUAAGUGUGUGUAUACUUAAUGAGGUUGGUACAUGCCAAGUGAUGGAGCAAGUGAUGAUCAUGGUGAUGAUGGCGAUGACCACAAGAUGAUGAAGUGCUCAACUUGGAAAAGAAGAAAGAGAAAAACAAAACCCUAUGGAGAUCAAGGCAAAGGUAUUGCUUAGGGUUUUGGUUUUGGUGAUCAAGACACCAUAGAGGGUGUGAUCGCAUUUAGGAUAGAUAGCCGUACUAUAAAGAGGGGAAUUCUUUGGCUAAGUGGUUAUCAAGUGCCACUAGGUGCCAUUGUUCAUGUGCAUGCAUUAAAACCUAGUGAGCUAACUUAACUCCUUCAAAGAAAAUGAUUGUGAAAAUGCUAACACACGUGCACACUUGUUGGUACACACUUUGUGGUGUUGGCACACUUUGAGAAGGAGGUGGAGUUUGAAGGGUAGAGAGAGGAUGGGUUCUCAGUGAGAAAAUGAAGUCACGGGAGAAAAUGAAGUGCAUAUCUUCUAUUGCGCCGGUGGGAAAAUUUGGAGAAGUCACAGGAGUGUUUCUCGCUGAGAAACACUCACCGGACGCUAGCCACUGAGGCACCGGACGCUGAGUGUGUGCGUCCGGUGUAGUCAGUGCCUGGCCCAGCUAGGGUAAGGCACCAGACGACAGGCACCGACAUAGGCUUGAGUGUCCGGUGGUACGUGUCCGUUUUGAGGUCCAUUUGUAGACCUCCCUAGAUUUUAGUCUGGUGAGCACCAGACGGUCCGGUGCUCAGCGUCUGAUGCCCUGCGUGUUUGCAGUCCUCCCUGAGUUUAGGACCGGUGUGCACCGGACGCGUCCGGUGCCAACUUAGGAGCGUCUGGUGCUCUGCAGGUUACCAUUAGACUCUGACACGAGAGUUUCAAAAGGUGACACGUGGCUGACAUUGGAGCACCGGACGCAUGUGUUGAGCAUCUGGUGCCCCUGAAGAGCGUCUGGUGACCCCGUAUUUCGCCCAGUGAAAGAGCCGACGACUCUAUUUGUUUGAGGGGCUUAUAAUUACUUAUUGGCCGGCUUAGGACACAUACUCUUGGCAUUCUAACAUACUUGACAUCCUUGUGAGCCUAAGCAAACACCUCCCACUCAUCUCCUUCAUAUGUUAUUCAUCUUUGUGAGAUUGGGAGUGAUUCCAAGUGUAUUUGCUUGAGUGAUUGCAUCUAGUGGCACUUGGGGAUUGACUUGGCUGCGGUUUUCUUGUUACUCUUGGUGGUUGCCACCACCUAGACGGCUUGGAGCAGUAGAGGAGCUUUGGCACGAGUUGGUGAUUGUUCGUGGCCAUCUCCCGGUGGUUGUGAGGGGCCUUGUACCUUCCCCGGCGGAGAGCCAAAAGGUAACUCUAGUGGAUUGCUCAUGUCAUUGAGUUACCUCACUUGUGGGUUAGUUCUUGCAGUGUCCUAGUGCGGACGAAGUUCGUGCUACACCUCUUAGCCGCCGAACCACCAAGUGUUGGUCGACACAACGGGGAUGUAGCGUGCCGGCAAGCACGUGAACCUCGGAGAAAAUUGUGUAUCUCCAUUGUGAUUGUUCAUUGGAUUUCUCUCGGUGUUUGGACUCAUAUUAUUGAUUGGUUCAUCCCCUCUAUGCGGCGGUAUAAAGAUCAAACCAUCUCUUUUACAUUCCUGCAAACUAGAGUAGCUUACUUGUAUAGAAACUUUAGGUAGCUUUCUAGUGUAAGUAGUGACAUAGCUCUUGUGUGCCUAGUGAUUAUAUCAACUAGAAUUGUGGGAUAGGUGGCUUGCAAACACCCCUUUAGAGCUAGAGCAAAAAGCUUCACUUUGUUAUUUACUAACCUCAUGCUCUAGUGAGUUUGUAGAAUUUUUAAAUAGACUAUUCACCCCCCUCUAGCCAUAUUAGGACCUUCCACUCAGCCAAAAGGAAGUAUCGUAGAGGGCUAUGGGAUAGAGGAGGUCAUUGAGUUCUGUGUUGAAUUCAUUCCUGAACUUGACCCAAUUGGUGUUCCUAAAUCGCGACACGAGGGGAGACUGAGUGGAAAGGGAACACUAGGAAAGAAAACAAACAUCGGUAUGGGGGACGAUUCUUUCAAUAAUGCACACUACACAGUUCUUCAAAACUCAUCCGUGGUGGAGCCGUAUGUCACGAAACACAAGGACUUCCUACGAUCCCAAUUCCCAGAGAAUAAUGAAGCUUGGUUUAUGCGUCAGCACAUGGACACUUUCAGUGAUUGGUUACCAAAAGAAUGUGUGGGUAAUGACCAGAUUGAUGAGCAACUGUAUUUGUUGGCUAGGCAACCAUCAUGGCACAUCCUCAUGUACAAAGGGUACGAGAUAAAUGGAAAUACAUUUUACACCCUAGGCCAAGAUACAAGAAGCACGAACCAAAAUAGUGGGGUUCGCGUAUAUGCCAUAGACCCGAAUGGAAAUAGACAAACAUAUUAUGGCCGUAUAGAGGAGAUUUGGAAACUAGACUACGCACCUAAUUUUAAAGUCCCUUUGUUCCGGUGCCAAUGGGUGAAGGUUACCGGAGGCGGGGUGACAGUUGACAAAGACUAUGGAAUGACAACACUGGACCUCAACAAUGUUGGUUACAAAGAUGAACCAUUCAUCCUUGCUACUGAUGUGAAUCAGGUGUUCUAUGUGAAAGACAUGUCUACAAAACAGAAGAAAGGGAAAAAUGACAACAAAUCAACAAAUGAGCCAAAACGCCAUAUAGUUCUCUCAAGGAAAAGAAAUAUUGUGGGAAUUAAGGACAAGUCAGAUAUUUCAGAAGAUUAUGAAACAGAUGACCAAAUCACGCCUUUCAAUGUGACCAAAGAUCCGAGCAUACUGAUAAAUGCUGAGGACACUCCAUGGUUACGUCAAGAUCAUGACCAAGGAACAUGCGUCAAAAAGAAGAUCACUAUUGUGCUCGCCUAAUAAAUAGAUUGCAUUAGAGUAUGUGUAUGUGACAAUUGUAACUUAAGAUGUUUAUAUUACUUUUUCUUAUUUUAUAUCAUUUCAAAUAAUGAAAUGACUUGUGGGAAAUGACAUUUAAGUUUGCUAUUAUAAGAGAUGUGUCAAUUGUGGAUUUUCAACUACACCUUCCCAACACUUUGUCAAAUGCAAAAUUAGUCAAACUUGGUCAAAUGACAAACUAAAUUACUUAAAAUGAAAAAAAUUUGAAUACCAAGUUGUUAGAUAUCAUGAAGAUCUAAAAUUUUUAUACAGACAAUUUUUCCAUUUGAGAAAGUUUAAGUUCACAAUAGCCACCAAAUCUUGAAUCUCACACAAACUAUAUGAAACUAUAUGUGUCAAUUGUGCAUUUUCAACUACACCUUCCCAACACUUUGUCAAAUGCAAACAUGGUCUAUAUAUUAAAUGUAGAUUUUGAUGAGUGGAACAAUAUUGGUAUUCAUGACUUUUCCAUUCGAGACCAUCUAGUGUUCUGAAAACCGAUGCGUGGCUAUGAAUUCUUUCAAAAUUCAAAAUUGAUUGGUUCAAACUUUUCCAAAAGAAAAGUUGACCAUUAGGCCAAAUGUAGAACAUGAUGAGUGUAACAAACUUUGUAUUCAUUACUUUUCCAUUUGGGACCAUAUAGGGUUCGGUCAAAGUGUGUGUUUCUAAAAACCAAUGCUUUGACUUUGGUCAAACUUGGUCAAAUGACCCAUUUGAUGUCUUGAAAUGAAAAAAAUUUGAAUACAAAGUUGGUAGAGAUCACAAAGAUCUACAUUUGAUGUAUUGUCUACUUUUCCAUUUGGAUAAAUUUAAGCCAAUCCUAAGCACAUUUGUUCAAAAUCCAAUAUGGGUUUUGGUCAAACUUGGUCAAAUGACAAACUAAAUUACUUAAAAUGAAAAAAUUUUGAAUACCAAGUUGUUAGAUAUCGUGAAGAUCUAAACUUUUUAUAUAGACAAUUUUUCCAUUUGAGAAAGUUUAAGUUCACAAUACCCACCAAAUUUUGAAUCUCACACAAACUAUAUGAAACUAUAUGUGGAAAUUGUGGAUUUUCAACUACACCUUCCCAACACUUUGUCAAAUGCUAACAUGGUCUAUAUAUUAAAUGUAGAUUUUGAUGAGUGGAACAAUAUUAGUAUUCAUGACUUUUUCAUCCGAGACCAUCUAGGGUUUUGAAAACCAAUGCGUGGCUAUGAAUUCUUUCAUAAUUCAAAAUUGAGUGGUUCAAACUUUUCCAAAAGAAAAGUUGACCAUUAGACCAAAUAUAGAACUUGAUGAGUGUAACAAACUUUGUAUUCAUUACUUUUCUAUUUGGGACCAUCUAGGGUUCGGUCAAAGUGUGUGUUUCUAAAAACGAAUGCUUUGACUUUGGUCAAACUUGGUCAAAUGACCCAUUUGAUGACUUGAAAUGGAAAAAAAAUUGAAUACAAAGUUGGUAGAGAUCAUCAAGAUGUAAUGGUGAAUAUUGUUGUAAGUAUAAAUAAAUAAGAAAUAGAGAAGAAAUCUUUAAAAAAUAAUCCGAUAUAAUGGUGAAUAUCACGUAUAUCACGAUUUUGGAGAUAAAUGAUGAUAAAUGAAUAAAAUUUACGUUUAAAUAAUGCACAAACAAAUUUUCUAUCAAAAACACCUACUUUAAGAUAUUGAAAUUAAAUAAUACUUUUUUGCAUUAACAAAAUACGAAUUAUUUUUCAUAUUUAAGUUUGCUAAUCUAAGAGAUUGAAAGAUUUUAUGUUUCCAAAUUAUUAUGUAAGCAAUUAGACAAAAAAAUGGAACUAUUAUUUUUUAACAAAUUAAUACCUAUUAUUCUAUUUACUAUGCAAUUAAGAAAAUUAAUCUAAUUAAUGUAAGCAUAAAUAAAUAAGAAACGUUAAAAAUACUUUUAAGCCCGGUUCCUGGAUGGAACCGGGACUAAAGGUUGCCUUUAGUCCCGGUUCCAGACUGGAACCGGGAUUAAAUGUUGCACCUUUAGUCCCGGUGCGUAUCACCAACCGGGACUAAAGACCUUUUAGUCCCGGUUGGUGAUACACACCGGGACUAAAGGUCCCCGCGUAUAUUUAAGCGCACAGUCAUGUUCCUCCUCGAUCUUCCCAGCCGUCGUUGCCCUAAUUUCCUCCGCCGCGAGCCGCUCCUCCCGGCCGUCGCCUCGCGCCCUCGUCCCCGAACAGCACCUCUGACAGCUCGUCCCCGAGAGCGCCGCGAGCCCAGGGAGCGAUGCCGCCACCGCCGCCGCCAACCAUCGUUCUCGGCACCGUCUUCUUCUCCAGCACCGUACGGGGCGCCGCGUUCUCCUUCUCCGGCAGCGACGAAAGCUCGUCCCCCGCCACUCGUCCCCGACCCUCGUCCCCGGCCGCCGAGCACCGUACGGAGCCAGGCCUAAAUAUUUUCUAAUUUAGAUUAAACCUAAUAUAUUUGUUGUUUUAAAUUAUCUAAUACUUCAAUUUAUCUACUUAUUUAUGUAUGAUUUUAUUAUUAUUUAUAGUUUCAUUAUAGAUAUUAUUGAUUAAUAGAUACUAUUUAUAGUUUCAUUAUUUAUAGUUUCAUUAUAGAUAUUAUUCAAUUUAUCUUGGAGCUUCUUGAAAGAGCAUCUAGGCCCCUAAUGGAUUUCGGUGAUUAAUGACAAUGUUGAUUGCUGUGACUAACAUGUGUUUUGCAUAGGCAAAGUCAUUAGUAUUAGGUCAUGGUAACUGGUACUCGAUGAACAUGGACAUAUAUGCCUACUUAAUAGUGGAAAUCGUUUCGGUUUUCAAAGGAUGGAUGGACAUCGUCAAGACUAGACUAGGUCUAAGUGCCAUAUGGUGAAGAAGGGCACUUAGAGUAGUUUAGGACUUUGUUUUCCUUUGACCGUACUAUUAAGUGGGGCUUUGAUCUAGUAGCUUGACUUAGGUAAGGCUUUAGGUUUAGGUGUGGUGCACACUUGGUAAACCUAGCACUAGGCAGCUCAGAGAUAGUCCUUAGAUCGAGAGGUACAAACUUUGUUUUGGAACGGUCGCGUUUCGACAAAGUUUGGGUGUCUAAGUUGGCACCGGACGCACAGUGAGUGCGUCCGGUGAGGUCAUUUGCAGUCAGAGUGACUGAGUGCCUAGGGUUAGGCACUGGACGCUAGCACCAGACGCGCCGGGUAGUGUCCGGUCCUAAACCCAGGGAGGUCCAAAACGUGACCUAUGUCACCGGACGCUAGCACCGGACUCACCGGGUAGUGUUCGGUCCUAAACUCGGGGAGGAUGUAAAGUUCAUGCUCGCACCGGAUGGUGUCACCGAACGCUGAGAAGUAGAGUCCGGUGCUCUGUCAAACAGAGUAUAGUUAGCCGUUAUGAGGUCACCGGACGCUCGGUGUAGACCGUCCGGUGUAACAUAACCAGCGUCCAGGGACCCUGUUUUCAGUGUAAAAUGGUUGGCUGACCCUUGGACUUCGUGGGGUGUAUUUAUACUCCUCCACCUAGUCCAUGGGAGCUCUCUUGCCCAUUUGAACAGUUGAGAGACACUUUGUGGAGCAAGAGAGAAGCAAGAGCCUAGAGAGGAUUGAGAUUUGUGAGAUUUCUUGUGAGAAUCCUUCUCUAGUGAAAUUCCAAGAGUCAAGUGUGCAUCCACCACUCUCUAGAGCCUUGAUUGGGUCAAGUGAGAGUUCUUUGCUUGUUACUCUUGGUGAUCGCCAUCACCUAGACGGUUCGGUGGUGAUUGGAGGCGCGAAGACCGCCCGAAGUUCUUAUGGGUGGCUCGUGUCAAGCUUGUGAGCGGUUUUGGGCGAUUCACCACGACGGAGUGUCAAAGAAUCAGCCCGUAGAUAGCACUUGGUCCUUGCACGGACCAAGGGGAGCAAAACCCUUGCACGGGUGCUCCAACGAGGACUAGUGGAGAGUGGCGACUCUCCGAUACCUCGGCAAAACAUUGCCGAGAACUUUAUUCCACUACUCCUUUACUUUCUAGCAUUUACUUUGUGCAAUUACUUUGAGUUUUUACAUUCCUAGAAUUGUCAUGCUAGAAUAGGAUUGGAACUAGGUUGCAAAACCUUUAUCCGGUAGCUCUCUAGUCACACUAGGCACAAGGGGUUGAAUUGGAGCUUAUAGGUUGCUUAAAUUUUUAGAGAAGCUCAAUUCACCCCCUCUUGGGCAUCUUGAUCCUUUCAAUUGGUAUCAGAGCCUAGUGCUCAUUAUUUAGGCUUCACCGCCUAGAGAAAGAUGUCUAACGUGGAUGGACCGCCACCUAUGUUCAAUGGGGAUGACUUCCUGUAUUGGAAAAUACGGAUGGAGUCAUACCUUGAGGCAUGCGACACUAAGUGCCUAAAAGCCGCGACUGAAGGGUUUACCCCUGCGGCAAAAGACGCCAUUCUUACUCCACAAGAGCAAUUAAACGAGAAGUGGAAUGCAAAGGCCAAAAACCACAUCUUUAGAGGUCUUUGCAAAGAGGUGUUCAACCGCGUUCGGAACCGCAAAACCGCCCAUGCUCUAUGGAAGGAACUUUGUGCGCUCCAUGAGGGAUCCAAGAGUGAGCGUGAGGAACGCUUUCAUCGUGUGAUGAACAAGCUUAAUACAAUUGAAAUGCUUCCAAAAGAAAAUGCCAAUGAAAUGUAUUCUCGCUUGAAUGUCAUUGUAGAGGAGCUAAAUGGACUUGGGCUCAAUCAAAUGAGUGCGGCGGAUGUGGCAAGAAAGAUACUAUGUGUUCUCCCCAUUGAGAAAUAUGGGCACAUAGUAACCGUGCUUCAUCAAGGUGAUCUCUCCACCGCUACACCAACGUCCAUAUUGGGUAAGAUCAAUGCUCAUGAGAUGUACAUGCACAUGAACCCCCAAGAUGGCUCCUCAUUGGCCGAGAAGGAAAAGAAGGACUUGGCCCUCAAAGCUUCUCACAAGAGCAAAGCCAAGAAGAUUGAAGUUGAGUCAUCAACUUCAAGUGAUGAUGAUGCAUGUUGACGGUCCUUAAGUACUAAAAUUAAUAAUCAAAUAAACAUGGAAAAGGAUCAAUAUGCACCAAACAUCUAGAAUUAGGGUUUUAUCUGACAGAAUUCCACGAGCUUUGGUGUUUAUCCAUUUCUGCAGGGGGUUAUCAGAGAAUACGGAGAGAAGGCCCACAUGUCAUGUUUACAACGAGAUAAUUACAUGCCGUGCAAUUUUUCUCAAUCUAGAAGUGUCUAGAAGCCACGGGAACGAAUGAGAAGAGGAUCGGGCUCGGGGGCAGGGCGCCCGCCCACCCCCCUUGGGCGCCUGCCCUGGCCAGGAGUUGGAUCAGGACUCUGUUUCGGGACUAAACUCCACCGACCUAAAGGAUGAAUCUAAACCAUAUGUCGGUUUGAUCCAACGGCCCAAAUUCACUUGAAAGGACUAUAUAACCAAGGCCUCUCCACCCCUGGAGGAGAGAGGAGAAGAGAAGAAAUCAUUAUUCAGAGGUAGCCAUCAAAGUUAGGGUUUAGAGCUUCUCUCCCAUAGAGAAUUAGAAUUAGCUACUCCCUAAUCCUUCAAGUUUAGAGGUUUGAUUAGAUAGCAAUUAGAGAAGUAGAGCACUACGCUCUGGAUUCGGAUCUUCGGUAAUAAAGAUUGGUAUUAUUCAUAUCUUUCUCUAAUUCUUUGUUCUAAUUGCAUUAUGUCUCUAAUUAUUAUGUUCUUAGUUUGCUCUAGUUCUAUAUUUGAUAUAGUUAUGAUUGAUAAUGAGUUUAUGUAUAAGUUUGCAAAGCGCUUAGCUUUUGACGCGAGGGAGUUAAGUGAUAGAUCACAUGUGAGCGUGGUGCUUAGAUGUUAUUUAUCUGCAAAUGUAUCCUAUUGGCUGGGUCGUGUGGUAGUUCGCGAUAGUGACGCUUCGUUGAUUCUUAUAUAGUCCACCCUCCGUUGAUAGGACAGGCAGAACUGGUAUUGUGGAGUAAGUCUUGCGAUGCUCUGAUUUACUUUAGCAAUGUUCCUUAUACAUGAAUGAAGAGUCUUUUAUGCUAUAUAUGAUCUUGUAGAUAACUAGAGUAGAUCAUGACUUAGUAGAUAGUAGAUAACUUAGAAUCCAUUCUCUAGCUAAUCCGACAUCACCUACAUAUAUGAGCAGUAGUCUAUUUUCUAAUCGAUGUGUUAUUUAUCCCUUGAACUUAUAAUUCAUUAUCAUUAUCUUUAUGGUUUACCCCCUGCUAAAGUAAGUGACUGUGUGACGUGUUUCUCAUUAGUAAUCAUGUUCUUGCAAGUUCAUCUCUAGUCUAUGCCUUGAUAGAUUUUGUCCUUAAUUCAAUUUCAUCCCUUUUGUUCUCUUAAGCAAAAUUAUAAAUAACGAUACCUGGAAUACUUAUCCUGGUGAAAUGCUACAAUGAGGUGUUUUAUCUGUGCACUUGCGGAUAGAAUAGAUUAUUUUCUAGAGAGCCUUUACAUUUAUAAAUACCUUUGUACACUCUGGCACUAUGCUGGGGAUGACAACCUAGUAUCUAAGUGGUGUUAGCUAGUGUCAACAAGAAUUUCUGGCGCCAUUGCCGGGGAACAAAAGGGUAACACAUAGGAACGGUAAGGAAAGUUAGGAAAUCAGUCAAGGUUAUUCAUAUAAAAUAUUAGACUAGACUAUAGAGAAAUAAUUACAUAAAACAGCUACUAAGUGAGAAAUCAUAACAAGGCACCUCUGCUUUGGCAUGUUCACCCUGUUGUUUUUCUAUGUUUAUAUUUUUGUACAGGGUAUAUCAGGAUUGACUUUGGGUACAUUCAACUCUUCAUCAUCAGAACCAAAGCAAUCAAGAGAAGAAGAAGCUUGCUACCAAUUGCUGAAGCAAUGGCACAGAAGACCCUACAAGAAUUCUCUGCUCCAAGCCUUGAGAACAUUCCAACUGGUCCAAGAUUUGCAGUAGAAGAAGGAAUAUCCGAGUUUGAGCUCAAGUCAAGCCUCAUCAAUUUGGUGCAAACUACACAAUUCAGUGGAAAGGCACAUGAAGAUGCUAGUGCGCACUUGCAGAAUUUCUUAGAGAUUGGAAGCACAAUCCACAUCAACGGAGUUGACAAAGAUGCCAUACUGCUUCGCCUUUUUCCAUUCUCACUAGAAGGGAAAGCGAGGAAGUGGUUCUACACUCAUCAAGAUAACAUCAACAACUGGAUGAACUUGUCAGAUGCCUUUCUAUCAAAGUUUUUCCCUAUAGGCAAAACAACUGCCUUAAGAGGAAAUAUUGUCAGUUUCCAACAGUAGAAGACAGAAGCCAUUUCAGAAGCAUGGGAGUGUUUUCAAGGAUACAUAUCAGAUUGUCCUCACCAUGGAAUGGCCACAUGGUUACUUAUGCAGACCUUCUACCAUGGAUUAACCCAGAAGGCUCGUGAGUGCCUAGAUGCAUCUGCUAAAGGAUCAUUCUUGGAGCUUACAACUGGAAAAGCAAAGAUACUUUUGGAUAAGAUAGCAGAAAACCAAAGCUGGUUCCAAGAUAAAGCUCAACAAUGUCAUCAAACUGAAGAAAUACUAGAAGAAGUAAAUGCAUUAUCAACUAAGAUGGAAAAUUUGCUCCAUUGGAUUGACCAGAGGGCCAAGUUCAAAGAAGACCAAAGGGGCAUUGAGACAACAUAUCAACCAACUUGGAGUCAACCCAAUAGCAAAGGUAUGAAUUCAGGUAAUACUUUCAAGCAAGUUUCAUUAAAAGAGAUAAUUGCUCAACAAACCAAAAUUAAUAAUGAAGUUAAACAAAGGCUAGAUACAAAUGAAUCAUCUCUAAAAGAUAUACACAAUAAAAUGGAUUUUCUACUAACUGCCUUUGAUGAGCAAAACACUCUUAAUAAAAGGGUAGAGCUUAAAUUAAUAAAGCUAGCUGCUGCACUGCCUGUUCUACUAACAUUGAGCAGGUAAAGAAUAUAACUACUAGAGGGGGCAAAGCCACCAGAGAUCCCCCAUACCCAAAAGAGAAACAAAGAACAUCAGCACCAGUGGAACCAGCAGUGAUAGAAGAAGAAAGCCCAGUUGAAGCAGAAGAUCUGCUGCAACCACCAAGAACCGGAGAAAUGAAGAAAGAUUUUUACGACACCAACUAUUUUCCAUUUCCCAGAAGAAACAGAGGACUGCAGUCGGAUGAGCAGUUUGGUAAGUUUGUAGAGAUCAUUCAGAAAUUAUAUGUCAACAUACCUCUGCUGGAUGCCAUAUAGGUACCUACAUAUGCAAAGUACAUCAGAGAUAUUCUUAACAAGAAGAGACCACUGCCCACCACUGAGGUUAUCCGCUGACAGAAGAAUGUAGUGCGGCCAUCCUCAAUAAACCACCAAAGAAGAAGAAAGAUCCAGGAUGCCCCACUAUUGACUGCUCAAUCGGAAACCAACACUUCAAUAAUGCACUUUGUGAUCUCGGAGCAAGUGUCAGUGUGAUGCCAGCAUUAGUCUACAAAAAGCUUGAGCAUGCGACCCUAGAACAAACAUCAAUGUGCCUGCAACUAGCGGAUCAAUCAGUUCGACACCUGUUGGGUAUCGCCGAGAACAUUCCAGUCAAGAUCAGAGAUUUCCUGGUGCCAGUAGACUUCGUGGUACUGGACAUGAGUCCUGACUCAAAAGUAUCCAUCAUCCUUGGAAGGCCAUUUCUGAGCACUGCCAAUGCCCACAUUGAUGUCGGGAAAGGAGAAAUCCAGUUCAACAUAAAUGGAAAGGAAGAACACUUCACAUUCAAACCCAGACCAGAGAGAAACCCUACAGUGAAGGAAGUUCAUGAAGAACCACUGGAGACACCAUCUCCGGAGGAAGAUAAUUCAGAAGAUUAAAAGAUUUGGAGGUCCAGAUUGGGGGACCUAAAAAUCCCAAACCCUCACCGAGAGGUAAAUCGGUAUUUAUCCGCAUUAUUAAUUUUCUCAUAUUUAAAUUCUUGCAUAAUUAAUUCUUGCAUUAGUCAUAGCAUCAUUAUUAUAAUAAUAAAAAGCCCCAUAUAAAUAAUAUUUGUGGUGUGUGACAACCCAUAUUUAUUAAUUAUUGUGGAGGCACAAAAAUAUUUUCCAUAACUAUUUUAAUUAAGUUUCAAUUCCCAUAGAUUUUCCUACAUUAUAUUUAAUUAUAUUAAUCUUCUAGAAGCAUGACCCACACUCCUUGGGUCCCACAUGUCAUACACCACACCUCACAUACAUCCCAUCACAUUAUUUCAUCCACCAACAUAUCUCCACUAACAACACUUUUCCACCGGCCAACCACCACCCAUGAUACAUUUUCUUGCGUGAGAAUUAAGCAGAGAAGGGAGUGGAGAAAGGGCAGCCAGGAUGGGCACCACAAGUGGGCGCCCGCCCACCUACCAAGGGCGCCCGCCCUGCCCCCUCUUCCUCCUAUAAAUGGCCACCUUCUAUCUCCAUCUUCUUCACACAAACACUCCAGAAAACCGCACAAGUUUCAGUUCCAGAAGGAGCUCUUGUAGUGAAGUAAAGAGAGAGUAGAGAGGAAGAGAAGAGUGGGAAAGAAGUUGGUAGUUUUUGUGAGAGAGUGAGUAUCACCUAGUAAGUAGUGAUCCCGCUGUCUAAGCGGAAGUAAAAGUUGUUUAGGGGAGGUUCUGCCAAAAUAGAAACUUGAACGACUAACCCUUGGACUACUGACAUUCCGGACAACUGACCACUAACAUUUUCUCUCACAUUUUCCACUAGUUGUGUUUUUGCCAACUUUUGUUUACAGGAUGUUUAAGAAGGUGAAGAACGCAGGAAAGGCUCUCAAGAACAUUGGUACAAGGAGUUCAUCCCGACACUCCUCACACCCAUCAGAGAUGAGCGUCGACCCAACACAUACACAAGCUCUGUCAUCUUCCUCUAAUCAGCAAGUCAAGGUCCUUCUCAAGAUAGGAGACCUAGGACUGAAGACCCGAAGGGAGAAGGAAGUAUAUCAGCAAUUGAAGAACAAAGAUUUCAUUCACACCCCUACUCUUGAUCCAAUCUUACUACAAGAAACAGGUAUGGACACUGAAUUUGACUUAAUUUUCCAGAUGAUAGGUUGGACAAAUUUUUGGAAUAUAACUGAGCUGGGUUCUCGUCUUCUCACCCUCGAAUUUUUGUGCACUUUACAAUAUUAUGAGGGGGGAGUUGUUUUUCGGAUGUUCAAACAGGAGAUUAUGUUGUCUUGGAGAGAACUAAGCGACCAUCUUGGUUUCUCUUCAAGAUGCAUCCUGAACAUUGACUCCGACCUACCUAACUUUGAGAGACACCAGUUUUGGAGAGAAAUAUCUAGAGAUAAUUUUUAUAGUCAAGCCCGAACCAGUGACAUGGAACACCCCACUCUUAGGAUGUUCCACAAAUGGCUUGGGUACAAUCUUUUCUAUCGUGAUGAUAUUAGGAAAGUAAGAGUAGGAGAUUUACAACUUUUAUAUGCUACUAUUACUAAAGUACCCACUUCACCUAUUACACUUUUAGUUUCUCAUUGGCAUAGCGUACCUAGUCUUCAGGGACCAGUAGGAUGUACUUCACUUAUCACUCGUCUAGCCUCUAAUCUUCAUUUACUCAAAAACUCGUCAUUGGACUUCAUAGAUGAGUUAAGAAUUUAUCAUGGCUAUGACACAUUUAGACAAGCUUGGAUGUUAAAGAAAGAGGGGAAUAUAAUGUAUAUGCUAUAUGAUGACAAAGGCAAGAUUUGGUUACCUAACUCGAACCUUGGCCUCUACGUUGUUCAAAAUUUUUUGAUUGAGAUUGCAGCAACACCGGUGAAUCAGAGAGCUCCACAGCGAGUUGCAUCUGAAAGGAUGACCACCCAUCGAGAACGCACCUGGUAUGGAGUUGAUCCGGGACCAGAAGAAGCAGCGCACCUGCAUUAUUGCGACUACAACCCCCGAGUCCUUCGAGACCAGUGGGUUCGACAUGCGCAACCACAAGAGCCAACAAAGGAGACAUGGCCGGAGAGCCAAGAUCACCAGUGGACAAACCCGCCUUUUCAUACGGGCAGGUACUCCACUGAUCCAUAUGGAGAUUCAGGAUCCAGACCUCCACCCUAAUUUGAUGCAGGACGAUACUCCGACGCCUCCUACGCUUUCACGAAUGACUACUACCAAGAGGCCGGUGCUUUCUUCACCCGUACCGACAACACCCUCCUCGACAUCCAGAACACGCAAGGAGAACAUGGACGACUCCUGGAAGAGCAACAAAAAUGGAACUAGGACCACGCCACUGCAGUACAAGAGCUGAGACAAGAUACAACAACAAUGAACGACAACAUCACAACCAUGAUGUUGUUCUGGAAUAUCGGGUAAGACCGACAGCAACAUCCAGCUUGGGGGAGUUCCUCCCCAAUUUAUCAAGUAAGUUUUUAUUUGCUCUUCUUAUUUAUUCUUUUCUAUUUUAGUAUUUUAUCUUAAGAGAAAAACUUAGAAAACCCAAUAAAUAUUUUCUUGCUUUAAUUCUAUAAACAUGAAAACAAAAUAAAAAGAGUGUGUAGAUAAGUGUGCUUUAUUUUCCUGCUAAGUUUAAUCUCUAGAAAAACAAAAGACCAAAAAGAUGCAUGAUGGAAAUGAUGAACAGUUGCUCUGUUUGCUUACUUUCAAAUACCUAGCUUUUAUAUUAGAGUUCUUCCAGGAAUUACUAAAACUGAAAUUAUUAUUUAUGGGAAGCAUAAAACUAAAGUCUAGGUAGGAUAAAAACAUAAUAUAAAGUUUGAGCUGCUGUUUAUCUUGUUCCUACUACACUAAGUUCUGGAGAUUUAUUUUGAAAACUUACAAAUCACAUGAUGAGUUCCUAGCAUAACAAACUACCUACCACAGCCAUACUUGCUAUAAUAUCUUUUACUUAUAUUCACAUUGAGUUUGAUCGAGCUAUGUAGACCCUUAGGAGCUUUUCAUGUGGAUAAAUUAAGAUAUUCACUUGCACACAUCUACUACACCAUCCACCACCAUUCAUUAAAAUUGCUAAAAAUAUUAUCACUCACUGUCCCAAGUGUUGUUAUUCUCUUUCUCUAAAAAAAAAUUUCAAUGCAGAAGAGGCAUGGGUUAUGCAAAAAUAUGCGAGGAAAUAAAAAGGGGUAAGUGCCCGGAACCACGGAAAAAAGAAAAAGAGUGAGACGAGAGGUAAAAAUAGACAAGUGUCCGGAGUAGAAUUAGGGGUACAAAGAUGGCCACUUGAGCGGAAAAAAAUGGACAAGUGUCCGAUAGUAGAAUUAGGGGUAUCUACUACCCACCUGAAAAAAAGAGAAAAGAAAGAGAUAGCCCAUGUUCUCUCAAAGCAAAGAUUAAAGAAGAGUUGAGGUAGCAAUAUGAGGAGCAAUGAGAAGUAAGUUUUAUCAUUACUUAUAUUUUCACCAUCACUAUCAUUUACUCCACCACACAUGCACAUCUUGAUUUAAUUAUAUGCCGAGUUCCUUUGGAUCCAUGGCUCAAUUAGACAACAUAUGUAUGAGUUGUUUUUCACUCCUAUGAGCUCCACUUAAAUAUUCCAGUAGCUAUAGGUAAGUGACAUUUUGGUAAGGAUCCACAAAUACCACAUAUAGAGAGACUUGAGAGAUCAUUGCUGGGAACUCUGAGUUUUAUUUUGAAAACUUAUGAAAAACUCUAGAACAAAGGUGAAGUAUACACAGGAGGAAUAGUGCUCAACUUAAUUAUUUUGUCUUUUGAUUACUUAAGACUCCAGUGCAGGCACUAAGCUCCAUAACACUUCACUCUAAUCUAGAAGAAUUUUUUUUAUGUAAAAGCAUGUGUGCCUGUCAGGAAAGAAAACAUCGAAGCAAUUCCUAAUCGGUUUGAGUUUAGCUGUUUGCUCAGGGACGAGCAAAGGGUAAGCUUGGGGGAGUUUGUUGACGGUCCUUAAGUACUAAAAUUAAUAAUCAAAUAAACAUGGAAAAGGAUCAAUAUGCACCAAACAUCUAGAAUUAGGGUUUUAUCUGACAGAAUUCCACGAGCUUUGGUGUUUAUCUAUUUCUGCAGGGGGUUAUUAGAGAAUAUGGAGAGAAGGCCCACAUGUCAUGUUUACAACGAGAUAAUUACGUGCCGCACAAUUUUUCCCAAUCUAGAAGAGUCUAGAAGCCACGGGAACGAACAAGAAUUGGAUCGGGCUCGGGGGCAGGGCGCCCGCCCACCCCCCUUGGGCGCCCGCCCUGGCCAGGAGUUGGAUCAGGACUCUGUUUCGGGACUAAACUCCACCGACCUAAAGGAUGAAUCUAAACCAUACAAUCAAUAUCGGUUUGAUCCAACGGCCCAAAUUCACUUGAAAGGACUAUAUAACCAAGGCCUCUCCACCCCUGGAGGAGAGAGGAGAAGAGAAGAAAUCAUUAUUCAGAGGUAGCCAUCAAAUAGAGCUUCUCUCCACAGAGAAUUAGAAUUAGCUACUCCCUAAUCCUUCAAGUUUAGAGGUUUGAUUAGAUAGCAAUUAGAGAAGUAGAGCACUACGCUCUAGAUUUGGAUCUUCGGUAAUAAGGAUUGGUAUUAUUCAUAUCUUUCUCUAAUUCUUUGUUCUAAUUGCAUUAUGUCUCUAAUUAUUAUGUUCUUAGUUUGCUCUAGUUCUAUAUUUGAUAUAGUUAUGAUUGAUAAUGAGUUUAUGUAUAAGUUUGCAAAGCGCUUAGCUUUUGACGCGAGGGAGUUAAGUGAUAGAUCACAUGUGAGCGUGGUGCUUAGAUGUUAUUUAUCUGCAAAUGUAUCCUAUUGGCUGGGUCGUGUGGUAGUUCGUGAUAGUGACACCUUUGUUGAUUCUUAUAUAGUCCACCCUCCGUUGAUAGGACGGGCAGAACUGGUAUUGUGGAAUAAGUCUUGCGAUGCUCUGAUUUACUUUAGCAAUGUUCCUUAUACAUGAAUGAAGAGUCAUUUAUGCUAUAUAUGAUCUUGUAGAUAACUAGAGUAGAUUAUGACUUAGUAGAUAGUAGAUAACUUAGAAUCCAUUCUCUAGCUAAUCCGACAUCACCUACAUAUAUGAGGAGUAGUCUAUUUUCUAAUCGCUGUGUUAUUUAUCCCUUGAACUUAUAAUUCAUUAUCAUUAUCUUUAUGGUUUACCCCUACUAAAGUAAGUGACUGUGUGACGAGUUUCUCAUUAGUAAUCAUGUUCUUGCAAGUUUAUCUCUAGUCUAUGCCUUGAUAGAUUUUGUCCUUAAUUUAAUUUCAUCCCUUUUGUUCUCUUAAGCAAAAUUACAAAUAAGGAUACCUGGAAUACUUAUCCUGGUGAAAUGCUACAAUGAGGUGUUUUAUCUGUGCGCUUGCGGAUAGAAUAGAUUAUUUUCUAGAGAGCCUUUACAUUUACAAAUACUUUUUACACUCUGGCACCAUGAUGGGGAUGACAACCUAGUAUCUAAGUGGUGUUAGCUAGUGUCAACAAUGCAUCCAUUGCCCUCUUGGUGAGAAGAACCACCAAGAUGUUGAAGAAGCUCAACAAGAAUGGAGUCAACUUUGACUCCAAGAAGAAGAUGUUCUUCACAAGUAGCAAGAGAAAUCCCAUCUCUGAGGUGGAUUGCUACAAUUGUGGUGAUCUUGGUCAUCUUGUUCACCAAUGUCCAAAGCCCAAGAAGGACAAAUACAAGAAGAUGAACAAAGAGCAUGAUGACUCAAGUGAUGAAGAGAAGAAUGACAAGAAGCAAUAUAAGAAGAAAGGUGGCAAGAAGAAGGAGUACCACAAGAAGAAGAAUGGCAAGGCUUACAUUGUUGGUGAUUGGCUCACCAACAUUGAAAGCAAAAGUGGUGACUCCUCUAACAAUGAAAGUGAUGAUGAAAAGGUUGCCGCCAUUGCCAUUGAUGCUUCAUCACCAUCAUCUUCACCACCAUCUACAUCCUCUACACACCUAUGCCUCAUGGCCAAGGGUGACCGGAAGAUACAAAGUGAGGAUGAGAGUAGUGAGAGUGAUAGUGAAUAUGAAUCACCAUCUUAUGACGAACUUGUAAAAUUGCUAAACAAAUACACUAAGGUCAUAAGAAAAACUAGAAGUGAAAAUGAGAAACUUGAACUUGAAAAUGAAUCACUUCUAGCAAAGCUUAAAUCUAUUGAUGAGCUUAGAGAUCAAAAUGAGAUCAUGACCACUAAGCUCAAGGAGCUCAAACUCUCAUUAAAAGAGCUCAAAGAAAAACAUGAUAAACUUGAGAGUGUGCAUGAUGAGCUUAUCACUAGACAUAGAGGUUUCAAGGAAGAGCUAACAACUCUAAAAGCAAACUAUGACAACCUUGAGAUAGCUUAUGAUCUUACAAUCAAUGAAACACAUGUUGCUAAGCUUGAUGUAGCCACAUCUUGUGAUGACUUACUUGUGGAGAGCACAAGCAAAUGUGUUGGUUGCAAGGGCAAGAAAGUGGUAGUAGCCGAGAGCUAUGAGGACACUAUCAAACUCAAGGAAGAAAAUGUCAUGCUCAAGAAAGAGUUGCAAGAGCGAGCCAAGCACAACACAAUAGUGAUUGAGUCACUUGAUCAAGAUAAGAAGCUUGCAUAUGAGAACAAGUUGCUCAAAGAAGAGAAUCAAUAUCUCAAGCUUGGUUAGAUGUAUGACAAGCAAGAAGAAGAUGAGUCAUUCAUCUUAGAAGAGUUGGCAAGCAACAAUGACCCAAUCAUCAAGAAGCUAACUCAAGAGAAUAGCAGGCUCAGGAAAGAGAAGGAACACCUAACCAAGGCGUUAGCAAAGUUCACAAAAGGAAAGGACCUUCAAAGUGAGCUAUUCAUGAACACCGUCAUGAAAAUGGACAAGAGUGGGAUUGGCUACAAGGCUCAUCAAACAAAGCUCAUGAAAUCACUAGGCACUCAUGAACAUUCAAGCAAGCCAAAGCCAAAGAGGUGCUUUGAGUGUGGACAAGAAGGACACUUUGCUCAUGAGUGUGAGGCACCACUACCACCACCCUUGCCCAAGCAUGCUAGACCAUUUGCCUUCAAUGCUCACUACAUUGUAAGGAAAGACAAGAGUGGCAAGGUCAAGGUUAGCUUCAUGGGGCCGCCCAACAAGCAAAGACUAAAGAAGAUUUGGGUGCCAAAGCAACUAGUAGAGAAGGUCAAGGGCCCUAAGCAAAUGUGGGUCCCUAAAUCUCAAGCUUGAUCUCUUGUGUGUAGGUGAACUACAAGACCGAUGGAUCACAUUGGGUAAUUGAUAGUUGUUGCACUCAACAUAUGAUCGGAGAUCCCCGGAUGUUCACCUCACUUGGUGAAGAUGUUGACAACCAAGAGAAGAUCACAUUUGGUGACAAUUCAAAAGGCAAGGUCAAGGGUCUAGGAAAGGUUGCUAUAUCAAAUGACAACUCCAUCACCAACGUGCUCUAUGUGCAAUCACUAAGUUUCAACUUGCUCUCGGUUGGACAACUUUGUGAUCUUGGUUUUGAAUGCUUAUUCAAGAAGAAGGAAGUAAUAGUGACCAAGGAGGAUGACAAUGAAAUGGUAUUCAAAGGCUUCCGACACAACUACUUGUAUGUAGUUGAUUUCUCAUCCGAUGAAGUUGAUGUCAAGACUUGCUUAUCCACCAAGACCUCACUUGGGUGGUUGUGGCAUAGAAGGUUAGCACAUGUUGGAAUGGCACACUCAAGAAGUUGAUGAAGAAAGAAUUGAUUAGAGGCUUGAAGGAUGUGACCUUUGAAAAGGAUAAGCUUUGUAGUGCAUGUCAAGCCGACAAGCAAGUUGCAAACACCCAUCCAACCAAGGCCUAUCUCUCUAAUUCAAGAGUGCUUGAGCUACUCCACAUGGAUUUAUUUGGACCAACCACAUAUGCUAGUAUUGGAGGCAACAAAUAUUGCUUGGUCAUAGUUGAUGAUUACUCCCGGUACACUUGGACAUUAUUCUUGCAAGACAAGGCUGAAGUUGCAUCGAUAUUCUAGAAGUUUGCAAAGAAUGCCCAAAAUCAAUUUGAUGUAAAGAUCAAGAAGAUUAGAAGUGAUAAUGGCAAAGAGUUUGACAACACCAACAUUGAAGAGUAUUGUGAUGAAGUGUGAAUCAAACAUGAGUUCUCCUCAACAUACACAUCACAACAAAAUGGGGUUGUAGAAAGAAAGAACAAGACAUUGAUAACCUUGGGAAGAACAAUGCUUGAUGAGUACAACACUUCGGAGAAGAUGUGGGCCAAGGCAAUCAACACCGCAUGCUAUGCAUCAAACCGGCUCUUUCCUCACAAGUUCCUAGAGAAGACUCCAUAUGAGUUGCUCAAUGGGAAGAAGCCCGAUGUCUCAUUCUUUAGAGUGUUUUGGUGCAAAUGCUAUAUCUACAAGAAGCACCAACACUUGGGCAAGUUCCAAAGGAGAUGUGACAUUGGCUACUUGGUUGGCUAUUCAUCAAAGUCUAAGGCAUACAGAGUCUUUAACCAUGCCACAAACAUGGUUGGAAAAACAUUUGAUGUUGAAUUUGAUGAAACUAAUGCCUCCCAAGGAGCAAGUGAUAAUCUUGAUGAUGUAGGUGGUGAACCAUUGAGGGAUGCCAUGAAGAACAUGCCGGUGGGGGACAUCAAGCCAAAAGAAGAUGAUGAUGUGCAAAUCAUUGAGCCACCAUCCACCUCACAUGUACCACAAGAUGAAGAUAAGGAUGUGAGAGAUGCCCAUGAAGAUACUCAAGUCACUCAUGAGCAAGCGGUGGCACAAGCACAAGAUGUUGAUGCUCCCCAAGCAACCCCUCAAGUGGCACCAAUAAGAUCAUCACACCUUCUUCAAGAUCACUCUCAAGAUCUCAUCAUCGGGAGUCCAUCACAUGGUGUAACUACACGCUCUAGACAUGCUUUAUUUAUUGAACAUCACGCUUUUGUGUCUCUUGAAGAUGAACCAAAUACUAUAGAGGAAGCUCUUCGUGAUGCGGAUUGGAUCAUUGCCAUGCAAGAGGAGAUGAACAACUUCUCUCGCAACCAAGUGUGGACACUUGAAGAGCGACCUAAAGAUGCAAGAGUGAUUGGAACAAAGUGGGUCUCCUAGAACAAGAAGGAUGAUGAAGGCAAAGUGGUGCGCAACAAGGCAAGGCUCGUGGCAAAAAGGCUUUUCACAAGUGGAAGGUCUUGACUUCGGUGAAACCUUUGCACCGGUGGCAAGACAUGAAGCAAUCCGUAUCCUACAUGCAUAUGCAUCAAGUCAUGAUAUCAAGUUGUUUCAAAUGGAUGUAAAAAGUGCUUUUUAAAAUUGUUAUAUUAAUGAGCUUGUAUAUGUUGAGCAACCCCCAGGUUUUGAAGACCCUUGGUACCCCAAGCAUGUCUACCGGUUGUCCAAGGCUCUCUAUGGUCUCAAGCAAGCUCCUAGAGCUUAGUAUGAGAGGAUUAGGGACUUCCUCAAUGAGAAGGGCUUCAAGAUUGGGAAAGUUGACACAACACUCUUCACCAAGAAGAUGAAUGGGGAAAUCUUUAUUUGCCAAGUUUAUGUUGAUGAUAUUAUUUUUGGCUCAACUAAUGAAGAUUUUUGCAAGGAAUUUGGUGAUUUGAUGUCCAAGGAGUUUGAGAUGUCCAUUAUUGGUGAGCUAUCCUACUUCCUAGGAUUUUCAAGUCAAGCAAAUGUAGGGUCUUCAUCUCUCAAGAGAAGUACACACAAGAUCUUCUCAAGAGGUUCAAGAUGAUGGAUUGCAAGAAAAUCAAGACUCCCAUGGCAUCAAAUGGGCAUCUCGACUUGGAUGAGGGAGGUAACACAAUUGACAAGACUCUCUAUCGUUCCAUGAUAGGAAGUCUACUCUACCUCACCGCAUCUAGGCCCGAUAUCAUGUUUAGUGUGUGUAUGUGUGCUAGAUAUCAAGCAAUGCCUAUGGAAUCUCACUUGAUUGCCGUCAAGAGAAUUCUUAGGUAUCUAAAAUACACACCUUGCCUAGGCUUGUGGUAUCCCAAAGGUGCAAGAUUCCAAUUCGUAGGCUAUUCCAAUUCGGAUUAUGCUGGAUGUCGCAUUGAUAGAAAAAGCACAUCUAGAGGGUGCCACUUCCUAUGUAGAUCACUUGUCUCUUGGAUGUCAAAGAAACAAAAUAGUGUUGCUUUGUCAACGGCCGAGGCGGAAUACAUUGCCGCCGGUGCUUGUUGUGCACAAAUACUUUACAUGAAACAAACUUCGCUAGACUAUGAAGUAGUACUAGACAAAGUACCUUUGUUGUGUGACAAUGAAAGUGCCGUAAAACUUGCAAACAACCCGGUUCAACACACCCGCACAAAACACAUUGACAUCCGCCAUCACUUCCUUAGGGAUCAUGUUGUUAAAGGUGAUAUAUCCCUAGAGAAUGUGGGAACGGAAAAUCAAUUCGCGGAUAUCUUCACAAAACCCCUAGAUGAAGCUAGGUUUUGUAUGUUGAGAAAUGAACUAAAUGUGCUUGAUCUCUCUAACUUCACUAAAAAAUGAAGUUGUGUGUUGAUCUUGUAAAUAGAUUUUGUUUUGCAUAUCAUGCAUACCCAAAAUAAAAAUACAAAAAGGAUUGUGAGUAGGGCUUGUCUAACAUGGUUAUGAUAACCCCCAUGUGUGUGUGAAAAAGCUUAACCUUGGAUCAAACUUGACAAGCAUUAGUUUACUUUCAAGUAUUGCAUUGCACUUCAUAUCAUAUGCAUGCUUGUUGGUUUACCGUUUCUUUUUUGUUAUGUUUUUGAGCAUCCGCUGUGUUUGUCCAUUGGUAGGGGGAGUAUUCAAAGCUCAUUAUGAUUUAAACCCCUAGCUUUAUGGCCACACGAUGCUCCUUGGUGCUUUCACUUGACUAUUUUCAUAAAAACUACUAUGCCUAAGGCUAAAUAUUUGUGAAAUUUUGAGGGUUUGAGAGAGGUCAUUCAUACCAGUUCCAAUUUGUGUUUACUUGAGUCUUCUUGAAGUUCGAACUUGGUUGGGUAAAGUCGCGUGAAGUUCCAAGUUGAAAUCAGGCCAGAGGAGCACCGGACGAUGCACCAGACGCUCCUGCAAUGUGUCCGGUGUGGUGAGUCUGCUGGACAGCACUCAUCGGAUGCUGGAACAGUGUCUCCAUAGCGUCCGAUGAGGUGCGUCCGGUGGUCUACCAGGCGUGCCCUAAGGCACCGGACGCUCCUGCAAUGUGUCCGGUGUGGUGAGUCUGCUGGACAGCACUCAUCGGACGCUGGAACAGUGUCUCCAUAGCGUCCGAUGAGGUGCGUCCGGUGGUCUACCAAGCGUGCCCUAAGGCACCGGGGUGGCCAUCGUCCGGUGGUCGGGAAAAUUACGGAGCUAUCUGUGUUUUGGUCCAGUAGUCACCGGAUGCGUCCGGUGCCCCUUUAAGGGCGUUCGGUGACCCCGUGGAAGGCGCAUUUAACCCGCACUCUAGGCUUUCGCUCAGCCAGUCUUCUUUCCCCAAACUCGACUAACCGCCGAGCCGCCCGCACCCUGUGCCCUAUCCUUCGAGUCGCCAUGACCUGUGCCGCCGCCGGUGAAGAGCUUUUCCCCGUGGAUCUUCUUCCCCACGACAGAUCUUCUCCAGGGCCUCUCCUCCAUGCCCUCCUCGCGUAGGGGCCUUCUUCUCGCGAGGUUGCUAGGGUUUGAGGUGAGAUUGAACUCCCCUACCCUCUAGAUGUUUCAUACAAUGUCUAAACGGAAUUGAAUGUUGUUUUUGACAAUAUUCUCAUUCGUCUAUCCUUCAUAGCACCUUGAGGAGUUGAUUUGCACUCUCCGGCAGAUUUCAAUCAAGAUCUUUCAUCCGGAACGCGUCUCGACAUCGGAUUGUAAGCAGUUCAUGUCAAAUCUCAUCCAAUCUUGCGUUCUAUAGGGCCUUCUUGUCUCAAGAUAAUAUGUGUGCUUAUGUAUACCCUAUCAUAUUCUAUCUCUUGCAGCACGUGGUCUCAGUUUGGCAGUGUCAGUGAACUCGGGGUCAAGCCCGUGAGUACCGAUUGAGGCCAAGUCUCUAGAGUGUCAGAUUGUCAGCUUUCGGCAGUUUUUUAGGUUCAGGUUCUUGCAAUGGCAUGUUGCAAGAACGUCAGUGGUCCCACAGCUAGCAGUGGUGGCUCUCCAGGAGGUGAUGGUGGAGGUGAUCCUCCCCGUCGCUUUUCAGCUGCAGAGAAGGGCAAAGGCAAGAAGCUGGCCACCAAUAAGAGGAAGGCCAGUGAUAGAGAGGCCGAGGUGGCUGAGGCAGUGGUAGCAGCAGCUGAGGCAACAGAGAAGGGUGGUCGCUCCGGUGCACUGAGGAUUGGAGCGGACCUCUCGACAGCUCAGAGGCAGGCAGUUCUUGAGGUUGAGGCACGACACGAGACUCCACCUAGCACCAUCAUGCUAGGGGGUCAGCGUGUCCGGAUUGAUGUGACUGAGUCCGCACAGGAGGAGCCAGAGGUAGAGGCCCAGGCAGAGGGCCCGGCAUAGGUUCAGCAAGAGGAGCAGCCGCUUCGGAGGUCGACUCGCGCAUGUACCCAGGCCGCCUCCAGGACUGGUACGCAGGGUCAGUCCACCUCGUCGGCUUGCUCCACUCCAGCACGUGGUACUCCAGCACCACGUCCAGCUCCAGCCAGAAUACAUAAGGAUUAUACCCAGGCCCCUAAUCGAGAGAUCUAGGAGUUGAGGUUUGCUCCUUUUCCCACCUGGUUUCCAGCAGCCCGGGAUUAGAGGGCUAGUGCCAGAUUCUACACAGUUGUUCAGGAGGACAUGUAUGAGACUUUUGUCCAUUCAGAGACCUAGUUCAGGGAGCAAGGGUGCUAGACCUUGAGGUGUUAGGAAAUGUGGUAGGUGCAGAUAUCAGACAGUACUUCACCUAUGUGACAAGAUUCCUAGACUUGCUCGCUCUGCUAGGUACCUAUGUUGAGGAGUGGGUAUGAGAGUUCUAUGCCUCAGUGUGGAUUGCUCUAGACUAUAUCUACAUCCACUACGCACUGGCAGGUACAGAUUAAAGGGUGACAGCUCAGAGGGCUAGAGAGGUGUUGGGGCUCACAGCGUCUGCUAACAGUAUCCAUGAGCUAUGCUAUGGGAACUUUGAGCCCCCUCGACGACCACAUAGUGGUGCUCUUCCACCGGUUGACUUUGUGGCUCCGUGUUUCCGUCCGCCUUUUGGUGAGGGGUCCAGCAGGACAGUGGGUGAUCUGACAUGCCCAGCUAGGAUCCUCGACUUCAUGAUGAGGAAGACACUUCUCCCCAAGACAGGGUACAGAGAUGGAUUCACUAGGAUUCAGCAGUGGCUCAUAGCUCACCUGAUCGCAUAGAGGCCAUUUGACUUGUGGGACUUGAUAGUGUUAGAGAUUGAGGACACCAUAGCAGAGGGCUUCAGGGGUUGCCGUCAGAUGCCUUAUGCACAUUCGAUUACCUUGCUUAUUUUCUGUGCUAGGCCUAGGGAUGAAAACGGAUCGGAUCGGUGCGGAUAAUGCCUUUUCCAUAUCCUAAUCCGCUUUUGUUUGUCAGAUUCGGUGCGGAGCGGAUAAUACACGGAUGCAAAUGUGGAUAUGUUUUUUUAUCAGUAGUCGGAAUUGGUACGGAUAUGGAGCGGAAACGGAUCGGAGACGGAUUUUAAUAGUCGAGUAACAUGUGCAUACAUAGAGAAUUAUAUGCUUGUCAAGAAUUUAUUUAGUACAGAACAAGAAUAGACAAUAGAUAAUAAUCUUGCAUUGCAUUCCAUAUUGCUGCUCUCACACUAAUAAUUAACACUUAACAUGAUAUCUUCAAUAAAAAUAAUAAGUUAUUAGCCAAUAAAUAAUAGCAUCUAGCAAAUUUCUUAAUUUAAAAAUUAGAACAUUAAACAACCACAUCAUAAAAUAAAAUUCCUUAGCUAACAAUUUUUUUAAAAUCCUAAAUUCUUUAGUAUUGGAAGAGAAACCUUCGGAUAUCCUAUUUUAAACAUUGGAUAAUCCGCAUAAAAUUUAUGGAUAAUCCAUAUCCACCGGAUUUUACCUGUUCCAUAUCCUACCCCAUAUCCGUAGACAAUCGGAUUUGGAUUAUCUGUAUCUGCACGGAUGUUAAAAGUUCUUCUCCAUAUCCUCAAAAUUCGGAUUUGAAUCGGAUCGGUUCGGAGAAUUAUCCACACCACUUUCACCCCUAGCUAGGCCAGAUCCCUUCCAGCUCACCUUCAGAUAGAGCUGUCAGAUGCAGACACAGUUUUCUCGCACUAUGACCCCCAUCAGAUGCUGAGAGUGCACCAUGACCUUAGAGCCCCACCUCCUCCUCCAGCACAACGUGGCCAGGUGCCACCACCUUCACUUAGGGCUACCCGCAGUUCAGGGGCAGUCCCAGAGACAAAGGAGGAGCAGGACAUUGCUAUUGGGGCAUUUGCAGAUGCUGAGGCCGAGGAGGAGUUUGAGUUUGCUUCAGACAGUUCAGACGAUAAUUAUCGUCUUCCUGUGCCAGAUCUUCCUCCGAGGCAGCACGACCACGAGGCAGGAGGUUCUUCUAGUGCCACAGAUCUAGCUCUGCUUGCGAUACUUCAGGGGAUGAGGGCCGAUCAACAGAGGGCAGCUGAGGAGCAAGCUAGGAGGGACAGGGACCAGGCUGCCAUCAAUGCAGCCAUGCACGCUAGGCAGGACGAGCUUCAGAGAUAUCUCUUGACCUUCUAGGAGCAGCAGCUAGCCUUCCAGGCCCAGUUGACUGCCAUGAUGGCCGCUCUUAUGGCUGCUUCAGGGAUUCAGCUACCGUAGAUCCAGCUUCCAGGCACCUCUUUAGUUAGACCUCACACUCCUGUGCCAUAGCCUAGCAGAUUUCAGAGUCAGUCUCAGCCGCCGCUUCAGCUCCCUGCUCAGAGUCAGCCAUUCUCGACUCCUCAGCACCAGGUCUCUCAGGGUGCUAUCUCUUCUGGCUUUGACCAGGUGCCCCAGUUUACUCCUUUGCGUUCUGGUUUCACUCCUCAGUCAGCUACAGCGUCAUAGCUUGUGUUGGAUUCGUCGACAGGGCAGCACAUUUCCUUUUCAUAUAGUGCUAUGACUGGUGACCCUAUGCCUUCACCUCUGUAGGCUCCUGCAGCUUUUACGCUCCUAGUCACCACUAUCAAGCGCCUGUCGUCGUUAGUGGCCUCGUCCGAGUAGCUUGCACCUUCUUCUAUAGUGCCAGAGACGUCAACUACAGCUACUGAGUCUGUGCUAGCUUCUUCAGCAGGACUUGAGCCGUCAGCGCAGCCAGUGAUAGCUACAGAGCCCACCGAGCAGACCCGACCGCUUCUCCAGCUCCAGCAGUUUCCGAGGGUCACUCUACUUCCUCCGAGUCGACGGCCGAUGGAUCAGACGAUGCAGCUCAGUUUCAGGCCGUGCCGUGGGACUCCUCUCCUCCACCUCCACCUCAUUCAUCUUAGGUUUUUGGCGCUUGAUGCCAAAGGGGGAGAGAGUUGAGAGAGUAUGAUAGUUAGGGGGUGCUAGAGCUAGUGAGGGCUUUUGAUAUUUUGUGUGCUACUUCAUGCAUCAUGUUUACCUUUAUGCAUUUGUGUGAGAUACUUUUUUAGUUGUGAGACAUGACAUCAUGCUUCGUUGUGAUAUCUCUAUGUCAUGUGUUUGGCUCAUAUUACCUUGCUUCCGCAUUUUUACUCCGAUGUACUAUGAGCCAUAUGCUAUUAUAUCCUAUUGUAUACAUCUCACAUAUUUGGAUGCAGGAUGGUAGACUUGGUUGAUAUAAGCAUGACUAAUCCCUUUGUGUUCAUAUUGUCUCAUGCUUAUAGAAACCAAGUCAUUUGAAAACCUCAUUUCCACCUCGAGGUUAUUGUCAUCAAUCACCAAAAAGGGGGAGAUUGAAAGAGCAUCUAGGCCCCUAAUGGAUUUCGGUGAUUUAUGAAAAUGUUGAUUACUGUGACUAACGUGUGUUUUGCAGAGGCAAUGUCAUUAGUGUUAGGUCAUGAUAAUAGGUACUCGAUUAACAGGGAUGUCAUGCCUACUUAAUAGUGGAAAUCAUUUCGGUUUUCAAAGGAUGGAUGGACAUCGUCUAGACUAGACUAGGUCUAAGUGCCAUAUGGUGAAGAAGGGCACCUAGAGUAGUUUAGGACUUUGUUUUCCUUUGACUGUACUAUUAAGAGGGGCUUUGAUCUAGUAGCUUGACUUAGGCAAUGCUUUAGGUUUAGGUGUGGUGCACACUUGGUAAACCUAGCACUAGGUAGCUCAGAGAUAGUCCUUAGAUCGAGAGGUACAAACUUCGUUUUGGACGGUCGCGUUUCGACGAAGUUUGGGUGUCUAAGUUGGCAUCGAACGCUGCACCGGACGCUCUAUGAGUGCGUCCGGUGAUGUCGUUUGCAGUCAGAGUGACUGAGUGCCUAGGGUUAGGCAACGGACGCUAGCACCGGACGCACCGGGUAGCGUCCGGUCCUAAACCCAAGGAGGUCCAAAACGUGAAUGAGGUCACCUGACGCUAGCACCGGACUCACCGGGUAGUGUCCGGUCCUCAACUCAGCGAGGAUGUAAGGUUCAUCCUUGCACCGGACGGUGUCACCGGACGCUGAGAAGUAGCAUCCGGUGCUCGGUCAGACACAGUAUAGUUAGCCGUUAUAAGGUCACCGGACGCUCGGUGCAGAGCGUCCGGUGACCCCAUUUUCAGUGUAAAACGGUUGGCUGACCCUUGGACUUCGUGGGGUGUAUUUAUACUCCUCCACCUCGUCCAUGGGAGCUCUCUUGCCCAUUUGAACAGUUGAGAAACACUUUGUGGAGCAAGAGAGAAGCAAGAGCCUAGAGAGGAUUGAGAUUUGAGAGAUUUCUUGUGAGAAUCCUUCUCUAGUGGAAUUCCAAGAGUCAAGUGUGCAUCCACCACUCUCUAGAGCCUUGAUUGGGUCAAGUGAGAGUUCUUUUCUUGUUACUCUUGGUGAUCGCCAUCACCUAGACGGUUCGGUGGUGAUUGGAGGCACGAAGACCGCCCGGAGUUCUUGUGGGUGGCUUGUGUCAAGCUUGUGAGCGGUUUUGGGUGAUUCGCCGCGACGGAGUGUCGUAGAGAGCACUUGGUCCUUGCGCGGACCAUGGGGGAGCAAGACCCUUGCACGGGUGCUCGAAUGAGGACUAGUGGAGAGUGGUGACUGGUGGGUAUUUUAAACGCAAAUAGAAAAAUCCGCAAGCACACGGAUACCGAUGUAGCUUUCACCCGGGAGUAUUCCAUAGUAUCAAUUUUCCACAGGGAACGUGAGUGUACUAAUUAAGAUUCAAGAUCGCCCAAGGAUAACUAUAUAAUUAUUUUUGGUGGGAAGAGAAGAAGUUUCCUCAGAGUUCUCUAGUUGAUCUAAGAAUCAAGAAUUACUUCAAAGAUUAUUUAUUUCGGGACAUCAGAACACUAACCACAGAAAGAGAUGAGAAGGGGGCUAGGAAGCUCUGACUACGGUCCUACAAACACCGAUCCAAACGAGGUGGAAUAUGUCGACCGUUAGGGCUAUCACUACCCUAAGGCUACCACAACAAUCCGUAGGAUUGGGUGCAAUUCUAGGUAAUUGCAAGACUAAACACCACGUCUAAUCUAUUAAUUACUACUCUAGCGUUUCAAAGACUAGAGCACUUGAUGCAAGUGGGAAUCCAAUAAAUAACUUGAAUGUAAAUAAAAGUAAUGAAAGAACUCAGGAAUUAUGAAUUGAAGAACUUGGAGAACGAUGAAGAACGAACCAGUUGCUGCAAAAGUACAAUGUUGAGGAAGAUCCGACAGAUCCGGCUCCUCCUCUGCUCUCCUCUUCUCUCUCCCUAUUUUCUAGAUUACAACUAGAACUAACUAGAACUAGAACUAGAACUAGAUGAACUAGAGGGAUCCUCUCUACUUGGAUGAAUAAUUGAAACCCUAGCUUUGAUUCUGUAGAAGAGAUAUAUUCUCCAGGGGCCAGGGGGCCUGCUUAUAUAGACCCUCCAAAUGAAUGUGGGCCGUUGGAUCAAACCGACCUUAAUCGCACGGUUUUCUUUGAUCCUCAAAGGUGGUGGAGCACGACCCGCGAGACCUGCCUUGAUUGGUCACCAGGGCAGGGCAGGCGUCCAAGGGGGGAGGGCGGGCGCCCUGCCCCCGGGUCCGCUCGGCCUCCCGUUCAUUCCCGUGGCUUCUGGAGCCUUCUAGAUGAUAGAAAAUUGGCGCACACGUUAAUAUCUCUAUGUAAACCCGACGUGUCGGCCUUUCCUCCAUAUUUCCUGAUAACCCCCUGUAGAAAUAGACAAACACCAAAACUCGUGGAAUUCUAUUAGAUAAAACCCUAAGUCUAGGUGUUGGUUGCAUUUGGAUCCAUUUCUAUGAUUAGUUGACGGUUAAAUGUGAGCAUUAAGGACCAUCAAUAAGCUCCCCCAAGCUUAACCUUUGCUCGUCCCUAAGCAAGGAUGGACUCAAGAGUUUCUGCAGUAGUUUCAUGCCUUAAAGGUACACAUGUGUUCAAACAAGAUCUCAUCUUUGGGUUAGGGUAAACUGUUAAGAUUUAAACUUACUCAUUUUUCCUUCCACCUUGGGGCUUGCAAACGUCACUUGUGGCUUGAGCAGUUAAAAUAUAGAACGGUCUAGUCAAGCGACAUGUCUCUUGUUCUUUGAUUAAUUAUAGCUUUGGAGAUUUUGCAUAUUUUCAAAUAAAACUCAGAGUUUCCUUGUAUGACUAUCUCUAGUCUCUCUUUUGUGGUAUUUCUGGAUCCUUAGCAAGACAGUAAUGGUGUAUGCCUUCUCUCAAAGUAUGUGGUAUUUUUGGUAUGGGGCAUAGUGACAUUGCCUUCUCUCUCACCCUACUCUAAUAAGGUUUUGAUAUCUGGAGCUCAUAGGUGGGAGACAGCUAAUACAUACGUACAAGACAUUUAUUGCAUAGUCAAACCAUGGAUCUAGAAGAACAAGUCAAUAAGUCAAAUCAACAUGUGCAUGUGUGGCGAAUGAAUGGUGAUAAUGGUGAAAAUAAUGGUGAAAGUCUAAUUCUACUUUUGCUCUUUUGAGCGGGCACAUACCUUCCUUGCACUUGAGGCUUUUGAGGGGAAUGAGAUUGUUGGGUAUUCUUAAAAUCAUUGCUAAAAGUAGACUAAGUUCUAAAUCUAGCAACGGUGCCAAAAAUGCCAAACCUAUCCCUCACACCACUUAAGCCAAGUUGUCAUCCCCAGCAUGAUAUAAGAGACGCGGUAUUGAAAUAUGCAAUUGCUCUUCUAAAUAAAUAAUGAAUUGGAUCUGCAAGCGCACAGAUUAAUACCGAUGUAGCAUUUUAACCGGGAAGUAUUCCAGGUAUCGUUAUUUAUAUUUUUACCACUGGGAAGGGAUUAGCAAUCAUCACUAAUGAUUACAGAAUAGAAUAUGAGAUUGAGUAUCUAUCAUAGCAUGUAUAAUUGAGAACAUUAUAUCUAACUCUUCAUACAGGGAUAAGUGUCACAUAAAAGAUAUAUGAAAUAAUAAUAGUGACAAGGAUAACUAAUCUAAUCUAGCCACAUAAUAAAUAUGAUAAGCACCUCAAUUAGAUACUCUAGAAAGUCAUUAGCAUGGUAUUAGAACGAACUACAAGAAUAUUCCCUAAGUUAUUCUCAACUAUAUAGUCUAGCAUAUCAUAGUUAGUGCAAGCAUACUUAGCAAUCAUUGCGAGACAAGACUACGCCCAUGCAUAGUGAUAUUAGCAAGGAAUAUGAGAAACAUAGCAAUCACUCCCCUGUAAUAAUGUUGCUCUGCCAGCCCAAUACACGAGAGGGGGACUAUAUAAGAAUCAAUGAAGCUGUCACUAUCACGAACCACCCCACGAUCUGGCAUAUUGGGUUCAAUCGCAGAUAAAUACGGUAUAAGCACCACGCCUACACAAUAUCUAUCAUUUACCCAUGGAUCCGAUGGAUAAACGCUAUACGAUCCUAAGCAUGUAUAUAGAUCCAAUCUAACUAAGCCAAGUACAUAACUAUGAUAAACUAAGAACAAUAUAAUCUUGAAUAUAAGCAAGUAGAGCAAAGUCAUAAGCAAUAUAUUGAAGUAGAACAAAGUCAUAUUCAUAAUAUUGAAGAACAAAGAUAAUUAGAAAGCAAUUAGAAGCACAAUUAGAGAAUUACCAAGAAUCCUCUUGACAGAUCCGGAAACCAAUCGAAGAUUGACUCCUUCUAGUUCUAAUCCUAUGUAGCUAUGCUAAUCUAGAUAUCUAAUUGAUGUGGUGGCUCUAAUCUUGAUCAGAGGCUUCUUCUCCCUUGAUGGAACAAUGAAUUAGGGUUGAGAGGCUCUCUCCUCCAGGGGCCAGGGGGUCUGGUUUUAUAGUCCCUUCAAGUGAAUAUGGGCCCUUGGAUCAAACCGACAUAGAUUGUAUGGUUUAGAUUCAUCCUUUAGGUCGGUGGAGAUCUCCCGCAAAGCAGAGUCCUGAUUGGACUCAGGAGGUGGGCGGGCGCCCUGACCAACUGGGCGGCUGCCCAGGGUUUGGCCCCGUUUCGCCUCCGCUUCGGUCUCGUGGCUUCUGGAGUCUUCUAGAUGUAAGAUAAUUGCGCAGCACGUUAAUAUCUUUACGUAAUCCUGACAUGUGGGCCUUUCUUCCAUAUUUCCUGAUAACCCCCUGUAGAAAUAGACAAACACCAAAACUCGUGGAAUUCUGUCAGAUAAAACCCUAAGUCUAGAUCUUGAAUUCAUUUGGAUCCUUUUCUUUAUUUAUUUGAUAAUUAAAAUUGAUACUUAAGGACCGUCAACAAACUCCCCCAAGCUUACCUCUUGCUCAUCCCUGAGCAAGGAUAGACUUAGCUAUGGAUCAUAAGUUGUUGCUAUAUUUUAAAAAUUUGACGGUACACAUGCUUUUAAAUAAGAUCUCAUCUCUGAGUUAGAGUAAACUGUCAAGACUUAAAACUUACUUACUUUACCUAUACCAUGGGACUUGUAACCGUCACUUCUGUCUUGAGUGGUUAAAAGAUAGAACAGUCUAGCCAAGUGCCAUGUCUCUUAUUCUUGAUCAGCUAUAACUCUGGGGUUUUUGCAGAUUUUCAAAUAAAACUCAGAGAUUCCUUGUAUGAUUCUCUCAGAUCUCUCUUUUGUGGUAUUUUUGGAUCCUUACCAAGGCAUUGAUGGUAUAUGCCUUCUCUCAAGAUAUGUAGUAUUUGUGGUAUAAGGCAUAGUGACAUUGCCUUCUCUCUCACCCUACUCUAAUAAGGCUUUAAUAUCUGGAGCUCAUAGGUGGGAGAUAAAGUAUACAUACUUACAAGACAUUUAUUGCAUAGUCAAACCAUGGAUCCAAAGUAACAAGUCAAUAAGCCAAAUUAAGAUGUGCAUGUGUGGCGAAUGAAUGUUGUAUGGUGAUGAUGGUGAUAACAAUGGUGAAAACAAUGGUGGUGGAAGUCUAAUUCUACUUUGCUCUUUUGAGGGGAUACAUACCUUCCUUGCUUUUGAAACUUUAUGAGGAGAAUGAGAUGCUCUUCUUUUUCUUUUCUCUCAGGUGGGUAUCCUGUACCCCUAAUUCUACUGUCGGACACUUGUCCAUUUUUACCUCUCGUCUCACUCUUUCUUUUCUUUCGAGGUUCCGAGCACUUGCUCCUUUUUAUUUCCUCGUAUAUUUUUUUAGAGCACUCAUCUCUUGAGAUAAUAUAGCAAGUGGUAGUAACAAGAUAACUUGAGCAUUUAUUUCACAAGGGGAAACAGAAAUAUUUUUGGUUAUUCUCUCCCGGAUUAGGAGCAGAAUAUUUUUGGGUGAUUCUGGAGAUGGAAAUGGUUGGAUAUAUGUGGAUGGUACUUCCGGAGUAGAAGUAGCAUAUAUGAGUGAACGUGCAAGUGAAAUCUUGAUUUAACCACAUGACAAGCUCCUAAGGGUCUACACAGCUUGACCACACUCAAUGCUCAUAAGCAGUAAAUAAUAAAUGUGUGGCUCAAAGUCUAGCAAGCAUGUAUAUAUGGCUGUGGUAGGAAUUUAAGCUCUCAUCAUACAGGAACUCAUCAUGCAACAUUUUAAAGAUUUUCAAAGAUAAAAUUCUCCAGAAUUCUAGCAUCUCUAGGAACAGAUAAACAGCAGCUCAACCUUCCCAUAUCGUAUCCGUUAACAACUUAGACUUCAGAUCAAGUUUUCAUCCCACAAGUUUAGGUCUAGGGCAAGCUUUAAAUUAUAACAGUUAUAUCUAAACUUGAGAGAGAACUUAGAAUGUGCAAAUUAGGCAGAGCAACUAUUCAUCAUAUCCAUGCUUAAGUUUUUGUUUAGAUACAGGUUAGCAUAGCCACUUUAUUUAUUUAUUAAACACACUAAGCAAAAGACAUAUAUAAGCAUAAAAUCUUUAUUUGGUUUUCCCAUAGUUUAUGUGUAUUUUAAUAUUCUAAAAUAAUAUAAGUAUAAAAAUAGAUAGAAAUACUUAUUGAGGUAAAUGGGGGUGCUCUCCCCCAAGCUGAAUUUUGACGUAAUUUCUCUUGAUGUAGCUAGCAGGUGGCAGAGGUGUAUUUGAAAGUCAGCAGCAUUCUGACAGCGAUUAGAAUGUCCUCUGUCUGCGAGUCUUCUUGAUUCUUAAAUUCUGUGGAGCUCAAAUAGACAACAUAGCUUGUGGAACUGAUUAAGUGUUAGCAUAAAUAUCUAGCCUUUAUUAUCUUGAGACUCCUCAAUAAAUAUUACUCCCUGUUUUUAUAUUUUUUUAUUUUAUAAAGCAGAAAUGAAAUAUUUAUUUUAUUUUUAUGCCACCACAGUGAAUGUAUUUAUGGGUUUUAUGCCACUCGUCUACUCAUAUGGGGCUUACUGUUUUUUACUUUUUUAUUUUCUUUUUAGGAUAGCACGAACAUAAUUAACUAAACUAUUUGAAAUAAUUGAAAUAAUUGAAAGGGAAAGGGUAACUACCAAGAUUACCUCUUGGCAAGGCGUUCGGUGUUUUUAAGUCCUCCGAACAGGACUAUCCAUUUUCUUAAUCGUCCUGAGGUUCGUUGGGUGGCGUCGUCGGUACUUCCGGUAGUGCCUCCUUUUCUUGUAUAGUUAUCUUCAUUUUCCAUACCUGACUCAGUGCUUCAAUCUCCUCUGGAUAAUUCUGUUUAAACUCCACGUCUUCUGACCUUACAACUUCUCCUUCAUAGUCUGCCCAUCCGUCCUUGAUGAUCUUCCUCCUCUGGUUGCGGUUGCGUCUCUUUCUGACCUGCUUAGAUUCUUCAAUGAUAUAGUUAGGGUCAGUAAAAUAACGGCGUACCUUCUCUGAGGGGAAGUGCAUAUGGACUUCUCUGGUUCCAAUGUAGAUAAUUGCUUUAACGGUGCUGAGGAACGGUCUUCCAAGGAUGAUGGGUGGAUCAUACUCGUCUUCUCCCAUGUCAACAACUUGAAAGUCUGUGUAGACAAGGUGAUCGUCUAUUUUGACUGGGACAUCAGAUACUAUUCCUUGAACUUCUCGAAAUGUCUGAUCUGCCAUCUGGAGCUGAAUGUAUGUUGGUCUUAGUGGCAUGGUCCCGAACAAGAGCCGAUAAGUGACUGCAGCCAUUAUGUUGACGCCCGAUCCGGUGUCGCAAAUCGUCUUGUAGAAGUUAUAUCCAUUUAUGGAGCAGUAGAUGCUUGACAUUCCUAGGUCGUCCUUCUUGGUCAAAAAUGGUGACUUAAGUUGGUGAUCUUGGCCUCCAUGGACUACAGUGACCAUCUUAGUUGACUCGGUCCACACUUGCUUGUUCCUGUUUCUCCUGUUGGUCCUCUUCCUUGAUUCACGUCUGGAUUGAUCUGGAAUUUGUGUAGUCUUGUUCUUGAAGAAAAAUGUCUCCUUCUUCCCUUUGACGUAGAAACUGAUCUUGGCAGCACUGGCGUAGAUGAUAGCUCCCGUGGUGUUCAAAAAUGGCCUUCCUAGGAUGAUAGGUGCUCUCUCAUCAUUUCCGGUCUCUACCACUACGAAGUCUGCUGGGGCAUACAAGGUACCAACUCGGACACAAAGGUUCCUCACUAUUCCUUUUGGAAAAGUUAUCGUCUGAUCUGCAAACUGCAAACACAUGGUUGUUUCUAAUAAAGGAUAUGUAAAGAAUUUCUCAUAGAGUACCCUGGGUAUAAUGUUGACGCUAGAGCCAAAGUCACAGAGUGCUUCUGGAACGUCCACCAUGCCGAUGGAGAUAGGGAUGACGGGGCGUCCUGGAUCGCCUCUCUUGACCGGCAGACGGUCAGUAGAAAAUUCAGUGACGGGGUUACUCCAAUUACCUGCAUCAAACAUGUCUACAAGAUUUGCAGAUUCUAAUCCUUCCGGUUGUGAUGGUAUACCGGGGUUAGUAGUAGGAACAGCAGCAGCUAUUUGAUUUAACUGGGAUUCAAUCAUUUUAUUAAAGCUAAUUUGAUUCUUGAUGGCAGUAGAGAAAUUAUCCAUUCUAUUAUUUAUAUUUUCUAGCAUUUUAUCAUUAGACGCCAAUUUCUUAGAUAGAUUAUCCAUUAGCUUUCCUUGAUUAGACACUAACUCUCUCAAAGGUGGAAAAUUAUUAUUAUUGUUGUAAGAAUUGUUACCUUGAUAAUUACAUGAGUAGUUAGGCCUCUGUUGAUUCCAACCUUGAUUUUGUUGAGGACGGUUGUAGUAGUAGUUGUUGUUGUUGUUGAUGUAGUUCACAUCCUCAAGCAUCUCAGGGCAGUGGUGGCCUGAGUGUCCAGUGUCUCCACACUCCUCACAAGUCAUGUGAGAGUCGUAGAUGUGCAUAACUUCUUUCUUGUCUCCAGCUCUAUCGUCGAGCUUCUUCAUGAGCAGGUCUAGCUUUGCAGACAGCAUGUCUACCUCCUUCAGCUGAUGCAUACCUCCACCUCUCUUGCGUGUCUGGGUCCUCUCUUCAUUCCAGCUUUGGUUGGACGCCAUCUUCUCCACAAGAGCUGUGGCUUGUGGUAUAGUAAGUGAUAAGAAUGCUCCUCCAGCUGUAGCAUCCAUGGUCUCUCGGGCACUGUUGCUGAGCCCAUGAUAGAAUGUCUGCAUCAGUAGCCAACUCUCCAUUCCAUGAUGGGGACAUUCUAGGAUGUAGUCUUGAAAGCGCUCCCAUGCUUCUGGAACAGAUUCAUCAUUUUGUUGCUGAAAACUUGUAAUCUUCCCACGGAGAGCAUUGGUCUUGCCCAUGGGAAAGAACUUAGCCAGGAAGUUUGUUGAGCAGAGUGCCCACGUAGUAUUCUUCUCCUUUGUAGCGUAGAACCACUGCUUCGCUCUUCCUAACAGUGAGAAUGGGAAGAGGCGAAGUAGUAUAGCGUCUUUGGAAACUCCUGCUAUGGUGAAUGUGUUGCAAAUCUCCAGGAAGUGUUGUAAAUGAGCACUAGCGUCUUCGUGUGCCUUCCCACAGAACUGGUUGGAUUGCACCAUGUUGAUAAGUCCAGGCUUGAGCUCAAAGUUGCCAUCGAUCUCUGCAGCAGGUCCAGUGCGGAUGUUGUCCGUAGUGGGAGCUGAGAACUCGCGGAUUGAUUUGUUCGCCAUGGCCUCGAACUCUGAAGACAAGUUCCGGUGAUCUUCUUGAUUGGAUGAAGCUUCUUGCUGAAGUGUUGAUGAUUUCUUUGGCUUGGCUCUCGUCUUCUUGAAUAAUGCUUCGGGAUUGUCAACAAAAUUUCCUGGAAGAUGUCUUCUAUUCAUACAUUCCCCUACAUAAGAUAAAAUAGAAAAAUAUCAGGGUAAAACUGUAUGAGAGAAUAGAUAAGCUCAAUCAUAUUAGUGAUGCGAAUGAUAACUCAAAAUCUUUUUAUUCCAUUCCUGAUUAGUAAUCAACCUUCCCCGACAACGGCGCCAAAAAUGCUUGAUGGGUAUUCUUAACAUCAUUGCUAAAAGUAGACUAAGUUCUAAAUCUAGCAACGGUGCCAAAAAUGCCAAACCUAUCCCUCACACCACUUAAGCCAAGUUGUCAUCCCCAGCAUGAUAUAAGAGACGCGGUAUUGAAAUAUGCAAUUGCUCUUCUAAAUAAAUAAUGAAUUGGAUCUGCAAGCGCACAGAUUAAUACCGAUGUAGCAUUUUAACCGGGAAGUAUUCCAGGUAUCGUUAUUUAUAUUUUUACCACUGGGAAGGGAUUAGCAAUCAUCACUAAUGAUUACAGAAUAGAAUAUGAGAUUGAGUAUCUGUUGAUGCAAAACUGAUCUGCAAACACAAAGGGCUAAUACCCGAUUCAAACGUUAAGGCGUGCCAGCCGAUUUGACCUUGCUAUCGGCAAAGGUGAUAACUCGAAUACUUUAGUCCUGACAACAGCGAUGCGCCCGGAUGUCACGGCUAAGAGGUACUCACGCGGAACUUGAGAACACGCCGAGCUUAAGUAGAUGAAUUCCUAAGAACUCGUAACAAAAGGAAAAAGUAUGACGAAGUCGUCGAAAAGUAAAUGCUGGAAUAUGAGUAAAAACGUGUGUUUGAUUCAUUGAUUGAUUUUUUAUUACAAGGCCCUAGGGUCUAUAUUUAUACCCUGCUCAAAGAGCUACAACCAGACACGAUUAGAAUUCGAAUUCCAAAUUACACUGAAUCCGUAUACAAAACGAUGCAAAUAAUUAAGGAAAUAACAAAACUAUCCCUCGUGACAAACCGAAACUCCUCCACAUAACGACCGGCAGCUUCCGGACUCCCUCUUUGCAUCAUCGGCAGACCCUUUGCCAUAGUCAUCGGCAGACUUUCUUAUCUAGCCAUCGGCACCAUAUUACUGCCUGUGGACUUAGUCACGUUCAACUUCUCCCUCAUCGGCAACCAUCCUCAUCGGCAACCCACUUUGUAAACAUCGUACUGCCACCUUAUCCUGCCAUCCUAGACACGUGCCCAAAAACGGUGUCAACACAUGCCCCCCAGUUUCGGAGUAUAAAACUAUUAAUGCUCCGAAACUCUCUGCAGUAAUGAUGCCUUUUCCCGCAAUUAAUGCUCCUAAUCUGGUAACCGACAACCUCAACCUGAACAACUCUAAUCCUAUUCCUCCGCAGAUUUCUCGAAAUCCCCAACUUCCUAAACGGGCAUUUUUCUCAAUAUUACCUCCAUCGGCAGCUUACCCUUGUAUUUUUUUUGCAGGUUGACAAUUUUCCUCCAUUGGUUAGCAGGAGUGGCAGGCCGAUCGACUUGUUUCCAUCAGGCCCGAUUUCCUCAAUCGGCCACAAUGCUCCCACUCUAGCUUCCAUCGUGCAUCGGGGUGUACGCCUCAGGAAAGUCACCACCAGAAGAACCCAGACAUCACCAACGGUAGCUGCUCCCACUCUUGCGUGGGCUUUUAAGGCAAUUUGUCAAAUCUUUUCCUUUAUGCUGACUACCUUUAUAUCGGCUAUAUUUAUGCUUAUAAACUCUUGUUCAUUAUUGCAGCAAACCGGCGCAUCGGCGAAAGCCAGGUGUGAGAGUACCGAUGCCCCCCAGUCUAGCCAACCCAAGAGAAAGGGCACCACGGGUGCUAAGACUGGAACAAAGCGCCAGAAGGUAGCAACUCCCCCUCCUCCUCUGGUAUCUCCAAUUCCGGUGGAGUCUUCUCCUUCUUCUCCAGAAGCCCAGCCACAGCAAGCACCAUCUCCCCCACCUAUGCAGGAAGCACCACAAAUAGAAGAACCCCAACAGGAAGGAUCUCAAACAGAAGAUACAUCAGCUGACAUGGGUGAACAAACAACUGGCCCGGUGGGUCCAGUUAUACCAUCGGCAGUUCUCCCGGUUCAGACAACCGUUGUCCCUCCUCCAGGUAACAUACUUUAACAAUAUCGCUACCGAUGAACUUAUUCUUAUUUAGUCUCAUAACUCCUUUUGUCUUCUUUCAGUUGAUAUCGUUCCAUCGGCAAUCUCAGCCGAUCAACCUGUAGCUCCAUCGACAUCUUUGGCCGAUCAGCCUGCAGCUCCGUCAGCACUUCUCAGUCAAAGACAAGAGAUCGCUUUGAAGCAAGUAAGUCACCGUUUACCGUUAGCACUAUUUGCCAAUUCCCUGAGUAUGAGCUAAUUUUGCUUUCCCUCCCAGGGACAAGAUUCUCCCGAUAGCCUGUUCUCCUUCGCCAUCGAUCUCUCUGAAGAAGAAGGUGAAGAAGCAAGCUCUUCUCAGACGGUCGGCAUCACAUCGGCAGAGAUCAGGGUCAGGCUGGAAGAAUUGUCAGCUCUCCUUCACCAGGUCACAGCGCAAUUGGUUGAUGAUUCUGACCCUACCAAGACCCUGUUCAGAACUCUCAGAGGCCAAAUCCCAGCCGAUGUUGAAGAAAUCCUGUUCCAAGCCGCUCAUCUGGAGAGUCGCCAGCUGCAGUACCAGAGAGCUUCUCGGCGUCUUGCCGAUAGAGCCGCUCCGACUCAACUCUCCGAUGAAAUGAGGAAAGAGAAGCUUUUGACCGAUGAGAAGCACAAGAACAUCGGUAUCCUGAGAUCUUCUGGAGACGCGCUGAAGCAGAAGAUAUCCGAUCUAUCGGCAAGAAAAGAAUCCCUGUUGGCGGAGCUCAAGGAAGUAGAGAACGCUCUGUCCCAAGCCCAACAGGAAAAGAGCCAAUUGCCAGAGACCAUCAGGCUUCUUGAGCACGAGCGAAAUGCUCAUGGUCGCAAGGCACUUCAACUGAAGAAGAAGCUGAAGCCGAUAGAAGGUUCUGCCGAUGAUGACAUCAAGGAGAUAGAAGCAGCCAACCAAAUUCGGCUACGCGCUAUAUCGGCAUUCCAGACGCUGCUUAACACAUAGAGUUUCCAUCGGCAUUAUAUCUGCGCUUUCCUGCUUCCUCAGCUUUUAGUCUAGCCGAUAGGACUGUUAUCGGCACCUAAACUUUUGAAACACCAAGUCUUGUCCCCAAGCAUUUGGAUCCAGCCGAUAGGAGUGUUAUCGGCACCUAAACUUCUAUGCAUCGACCCAUAUACUGGGGUAGUACUUCUUUAAAUAUUUGCCGUUUAAUGCUCUAGGAAAUUCAAUUCCUUCGAGGGUUUCUAGAAUGUAGGCAUUACCAGGAGCCGAUCGACUUAUCCGAUAAGGACCCUCCCAAUUAGGAGACCACUUUCCAAACUUCGAACUUUUGGUCCCAAUUGGUAAAAUUAAUUUCCAUACCAAAUCCCCAUCGGCAAACUCUUUAGCCUUCACUUUCUUAUCAUACCAUCUAGCAACUCUCUUCUUAUUUUCUUCUAUACUCAUUAAAGCUUUUAACCGAUGCCCUGCUAGAUCGUCCAAUUCAUCGGUCAUCAAAGUGGCAUAACCAUCGGAAGUUAAUUGAUCUUGAAAAGAUAAUCGCCUAGAUCCAGCCUUAAUUUCCCAAGGCAACACUGCAUCAUGUCCAUACACCAAUUGAUAGGGUGAUACUUUGGUCGAUCCAUGACAAGCCAUCCGAUAAGACCACAAUGCUUCAUUUAAUAAUGUAUGCCACCGCUUAGGAUUUUCUUCAAUCUUUCGUUUAAUAAGCUUGAUAAUUCCUUUGUUAGACACUUCGGCCUGCCCAUUGGCUUGAGCAUAAUAAGGAGAAGAAUUCAACACUUUAAUUCCCAUACCGAUUGCGAAUUCAUCGAACUCCCCCGAUGUGAACAUGGUGCCCUGAUCGGUAGUAAUCGUUUGGGGAAUCCCAAAUCGGUAAAUAAUAUGCUCCUUCACAAAAUCAAUCAUAUUGGUCGAUGUGACUUUCUUCAAAGGAAUAGCUUCAACCCACUUAGUGAAAUAGUCAGUGGCAACUAGAAUGAACUUAUGCCCUUUGCUAGAUGGUGGAUAAAUCUGGCCGAUCAGAUCGAUGGCGCAUCCCCGGAAUGGCCAAGGCUUUAUUAUAGGAUUCAUAGCCGAUGCGGGUGCUCUCUGGAUAUUACCAAACUUUUGACAACCUUGACAUCCCUUGAAAUAUUUAAAACAAUCUUCAAGUAUGGUUGGCCAAAAAUAUCCAUUCCUUCGAAUCAUCCACUUCAUCUUAAAAGCUGACUGAUGCGCUCCACACACUCCUUCAUGGAUUUCCCCCAUCAAACUUCUAGCUUCAUCAUCACCCAAGCAUCGGAGAAGAAUUCCGUCGAUAGUUCGAUAAUACAAUUCAUUUUCAUGGAGCACAUACUUGGUUGCUUGAAAUCGAACCCGUCUUUCAACUUUUUUGGAUGGAUCUUUUAGAUAAUCAAUAAUUUCUUUCCUCCAAUCACCGGCACCGACUGCCGAUGUCGCAUUAAUCAUUGGCUGAUAUCCUGAGGCAUGCUGAGCUAACCGAUUAGCGUCUUCAUUAUGCAAUUGGGGAACAUGCUCCAAUCGGAAAUCCUUGAAUUCCUUUAACAGUUGCAUACUUCUCUCGAAAUAAGUUAUGAGAACUUCACUUCGGCAUUCAUAGCUUUCGGCCAAUUGAUUUAUAACCAACAUAGAAUCCCCGAAUAUUUCAACAGCAUCAGCACGAACUUCUCUUAACAACUCCAAUCCCUUGAUCAGAGCCUGAUAUUCAGCCUGAUUAUUUGUUGAUCUGGCAACAAUCGGCAAGGAAAACUCAUACUUCCUCCCCUUAGGGGAAACUAAUACAAUGCCGAUUCCUGCCCCCCGGUCACAGGUAGAUCCAUCAAAGAAGAGCGUCUAGGGUACAAUUUCCAAGGUUUCCACUAGACCGCAAUGCUGAGUCACAAAAUCGGCCAUAAUCUGCCCUUUGACUGCCUUAGCCGAUUCGUAACGCAAAUCGAACUCCGACAGCGCUAAAAUCCAUUUACCGAUCCUACCACUCAUAAUCGGCAUAGAUAGCAUGUAUCGGACCACGUCAUCUUUGCAAACAACAGUGCAUUCGGCCGAUAACAGGUAAUGUCUCAGCUUGAUACAUGAAAAAUAUAAACAUAAGCAUAGUUUCUCAAUGGCUGAAUACCUGGUUUCAGCAUCAAUCAACCUCCUACUCAAAUAAUAAAUUACCCUUUCUUUCCCUUCAAAUUCUUGAACUAAAGCUGAACCGAUAACCGAUCCAUCGGUAGAUAAAUACAAUCUGAAGGGCUUCCCUUGUUGAGGUGGAACUAGAACUGGAGGAUUUACUAGAUACUUCUUGAUUUCAUCCAGAGCCAACUGCUGUUCUUCUCCCCAAAUAAACUCUUGAUCGGCUUUCAAUUUAAGAAGGGGACUGAAAGCACGAAUCCUACCAGACAAAUUCGAUAUAAAUCUCCUGAUAAAAUUUACCUUGCCGAUCAAGGAUUGGAGCUCGGUUUUGUUGGUAGGGGCCACUAUUUUAUUGAUGGCAUCAAUAGAUCUUCGACUAAUUUCAAUACCCCUCUGAUGUACCAUGAAACCAAGAAACUGCCCUGCCGAUACACCAAAUGCACACUUGUUGGGAUUCAUCUUCAAUCCAUGCUUCCUUGUGCACUCUAACACUUUUUGUAAAUCGGCAAGAUGCUUUGAGAAAUCUCCAGACUUAACCACCACAUCAUCAAUAUAAAUCUCCACGAGCUUGCCGAUGAACUCAUGAAAUAUAAAAUUCAUAGCCCUUUGAUAAGUAGCACCAGCAUUCUUCAACUCAAAAGUCAUGACUAUCCAUUCAAAUAGCCCAACAUGACCAGGACACCUGAAUGCGGUUUUUGGAAUAUCCUCCUCCGCCAUGAAUAUUUGAUUGUAACCUGCAUUACCAUCCAUGAAGCUGAUGACCUGAUGACCAGCCGCAGCAUCAACCAGUAGAUCGGCGAUAGGCAUUGGGUAUCCAUCCAUCGGCGUAGCUUUAUUGAGAUUCCUGAAAUCAAUGCACACCCGAAGCUUCCCGUUCUUCUUGUAAACCGGAACAACAUUGGAAAUCCACUCGGCAUACCGACACUGCCGAAUAAACUUAGCUUCAAUAAGUUUGGUGAUUUCGGCCUUAAUAUCAGGUAGAAUGUUAGGAUUACAUCGGCGGGCUGGUUACUGAUGUGGCCGAAACCCAGACUUGAUGGGUAACCGAUGUUCAACAAUUGAUCGGUCUAAACUAGACAUCUCGGUAAAAUCCCAAGCAAAGCAAUCUUUAUAUUCCUUUAACAAACUAGUCAAUUGUUGCUUACUCUCAGGAUCUAAUUUAGCACUAAUAAAAGUAGGCCUAGGCUUAUCACCACUACCUAUAUCUACUUCUACCAAAUCAUCGGCCGAUGUGAAUCCCUGGCCUAACUUUCCAUCAUCGGCGAAUCUAUCCAUUAAAAACCGUCGUCAGAACCGACUGUUUGGAUCGGUGGAAUCUCAUAAUCGGCAACUUUGAGAAAAUCUUUCUCCCAAACUUCUCCUGAAAUGCACCUGGUCCUUUCGUAAGUAUCCGCUUCUGCCGAUGCGAUAACAUAAGAAGAAUCUCCUGGGACAAUCUCAAUCUUGUCACCUACCCACUGAACCAAGCAUUGAUGCAUUGUAGAUGGGAUAGAACAAUUGGCAUGAAUCCAAUCUCUUCCCAAUAAUAAGUUGUAAGCACCUUUUCCGCUGAUCACGAAAAAAGUUGUCGGCAAGGUUUUGCUGCCGAUGGUCAACUCUGCACAUAUCGCCCCCUUGACUGGAGACACGUUUCCUUCAAAGUCUUUGAGCAUCAUAUCGGUCUUGGUCAAAUCUUGAUCCCCUUUCCCAAGCUUCCGAUAUACUGCAUACGGCAUAAUAUUAAUAGCAGCUCCACCAUCAACUAGGAUCUUGGUCAUUGGCUGCCCAUCAACCCUUCCUUUGAGGAACAGAGCUUUAAGAUGCUACCUCUCGUCAUCGGCAGGUUUCUCAAAGAUAGCCGUCAUCGGAUCCAGAGCCAACUGAGCUAUCUGAUCAGAAAAUUCCAACUCAUCAUCACUGGCUGGUGCAAGAAACUCCAUCGGCAACAUGAAGACCAUGUUGACGCCUGCCGAUGGACCUUCCCUCUUAGUGUCUGACGGCUGCCGACUUCCAGAGUUCUCUCCCUUGUUUAGCUCUUCUUGCCUUUCAUGUUGCAAUCUCCUUUUCUGUGUCUUGGUUAAUCCUCCAGGGCACCAUGGAGGAAGUGGCCUUUGCCUUGCCGUCGGGCGUCGGUUCUCCCUUGACUCCAUACGAUGCGUGUUAGCAUCCCUGCAAAAUAUGAAUUCAUCGGGAACCCGCGCAUCAGCCAUUUCCUCGAGCUCUUCUUGGUUCCUGGGAAAAUACUGGACACGGUCACUAAGUCUGUCGUGCCCACUAAAUCUGCCCCCCAGCCGGUCAUGAACUGACACCCUUCCUCUGAUCGGCCCAUUAAAUCGCCGUUCAUCAUCAUGAUAAUGCCGAUCGAUCCUAUCGUACCGAUCAUAACCGUUGCACUCAGGGCAGUCUCUGACAGUAGGAAGCUUGAUAUUUUCCUCCCAACAAUGGAUGAAGAAUGGACAAUUCCAAUGAUCCCUGUGCCGAUUCCACUCCUGUCGGCGUCUUUCUUCUUCCCGUCGAUAAUCUUCCUCCUGGCGCCGAUACCGAUCUUCCCGUUGUUGCCAAUUUUCUCGAGGCCUUCUAUGAGUUAUGACGAUACCAGAUCGAGGAGGCCUUCCUGAGCUAGUUCCUUCCUGGACCAAGCCCUUACUUCUUGCAUCGGCAGUAGUAACUUGAUGCUGAGGAUCUACCGAUGCACUCUUCUCAGCUGUCUCCGAUGUUAAGACCUUAGCCUUCUCCUUAGCAUCCAACAUGUUUGUCGGGAAAGGAUGUUGGUCUAUCUUCAUCGGCUUCUGGGCUUUGGAACUGUCAAACUUGAUUCUCCCUGACUCUAUAGCCGAUUGCAGCUGCUGUCUGAAUACUUUGCACUCGUUGGUGUCAUGGGAAGUUGCAUUAUGCCACUUGCAAUAUCUCAUCCUCUUCAACUCUUCUGCCGAUGGGAUCACAUGGUUAGGUGACAGUUUGAUCUGACCUUCCUGAAGUAGAAAGUCAAAUAUCCUAUCAGCCUUAGCGGUGUCAAAAGCAAACUUCUCUGGUUCCUUCUGCCCAAAAGGACAAGACAUCGGCUUCUUGUUUUUUACCCACUCUGCCAAGCCGAUUACUGGUUCUUCAUCAGAAUCUGAGCUUGUUGCUUCAUCGACAAAUGACACUUUCCUAUUCCAUGCUCUUUUAGGCUCGAAAGGCUUGAUGUCUUGAUCAGAAAUCCUCUGCACCAAAUGACUUAAACUUUCGAACUCCUGAGAGGCAUACUUAUCCCUGAUAUGUGGCAACAAACCCUGGAAAGCCAAAUCGGCUAGCUGCCGAUCAUCCAGAACCAAGCUAUAGCAUUUAUUCUUGACCUCUCGUAUCCUCUGCACAAAACCCUCAACCGACUCAUCAUUACGUUGCCUCAACUUGACCAAGUCGGUGAUCUUCUUCUCAUGAACCCCCGAGAAGAAGUAUUUGUGGAAUUGCUUCUCUAGAUCGGCCCAAGUAAUUACUGAGUUGGGAGGUAAUGAUAUGAACCAAGUAAAGGCCGAUCCAGACAAUGAUGAUGAAAAUAGACGAACCCUCAAUUCGUCCCUGUUACCAGCCUCUCCACAUUGAAUGAUGAACCUGUUGACAUGCUCCAUGGUUGACGUGUCGUCCUGCCUGGAAAACUUUGUAAAAUCCGGUACCUUGUACCGAUGUGGAAGCGGGAUCAAAUCAUACGCGGGAGGAUACGGUGUCCGAUAAGAGUAAGUGUUGACUUUGGGUUUUAUCCCAAAUUGUUCCCUCAUUACUUCAGCAAUCUUAUCGGCCCAAUAUGCAUCUGCAUCUUGCCAGUGAGGCGGCUGCGGAUCUGGCACUUGGUGGCGAACCUCCACGUGUCUGUUUGGGACGUGAUCUGCACGGAACAUUGUAUUGAUCACCUGUCCUCCAAUCUGCGGACCACCAAACUGCUGUCCACCGAUUGGCUGUCCUCCGAGUUGCUGUCCAAAAUUCAUUGGCUGGUUGGGAAUCCCCUGACCUUGGAACCCGGGAUAGACCUGCCCUUGCUGGAACCCUGUAGUCUGGUAACUCUGCUGGGGUGAUUGUGGAAAGGCUUGCUGUCCAAGCCAUCCAUUAUUAGUGUUCAUUGGCAUAGGUGCUGCCGAUGAUUGGUAAUUGGGUACCGUCGUUGAAUUGACAUACCCCGACUGGGCCAUAGACCUCUGUUGCAUCAGCAUUGACUCUGCCGAUGCGUUGGGCAUCUGGAACAUUGAAUCUUGAGGAUUUCCAGUGUGAGGCCUUGCAGUAGUAGUUGUGGUAUACCGAGGACUCUGGUUCACCGGCGCAUUGGGAGGUGCCGAUGUCAUAGGAGUUUUGCCCCUCAUGUCAGUUAUUUGUGAUGUUCCCGGUGUCAACUCUGGCGGCAUACCGUAACCCCACCAGUUGGGAGGAAGAGUCAACCCUGACAUUGCCGAUGCCAACAUAUCUGUUGUCAGUUUAUGCUGCCCAACUGAAAUUUGUGGGUUGGUUGUCAUCGGCAUAGAUAGUGCACCAGUAGUCCCCGAUGUACUUGGAGGGACGGCAGAUUGUGCACUUGCAGUCGUCAAGGCAGCCGAUGGAGCCGUGACCUCUGGUGCCGUUGGCUGAUGAUGGGAGGGGCCCACAUAAUCUGGUGGGAUUUGUCCUUCCUUGAAAGUUCUUGCCACGGCAUUGAAAACCGUAUUAGACAGUACACCAGCUUGGUUAAUCAACGCUCGAUUGAUGGCAUUGUCAACCAUAUCUUGAAGCUUGCCAGGAUUGGCGUCAAAGGUAACCUGCCGUGGUGCCGGCAGUGCAUCUUUCUGGACCACUUCGCCGCUCCUGUUUAUGCUGAAAGACCUCAGGCAUUGCUGCUUGAACUCCUCCAUGGCUUGGGCAAUAGCUUGCUUCUGCUCAUCCUUGAGGUUGGCCUCCGUCACGGGGAUGACGUUCUCUUGAUCGAGGUCAGAGAUCGACAUGUUGAUCUUGAUCUUGAAUCCUGUCCCACCGGGCGUGCCAAAAGAUGUGUUGAUGCAAAACUGAUCUGCAAACACAAAGGGCUAAUACCCGAUUCAAACGUUAAGGCGUGCCAGCCGAUUUGACCUUGCUAUCGGCAAAGGUGAUAACACGAAUACUUUAGUCCUGACAACAGCGAUGCGCCCGGAUGUCACGGCUAAGAGGUACUCACGCGGAACUUGAGAACACGCCGAGCUUAAGUCGACGAAUUCCAAAGAACUCAUAACAAAAGGAAAAAGUAUGACGAAGUCGUCGAAAAGUAAAUGCUGGAAUAUGAGUAAAAACGUGUAUUUGAUUCAUUGAUUGAUUUUUUAUUACAAGGCCCUAGGGUCUAUAUUUAUACCCUGCUCAAAGAGCUACAACCAGACACGAUUAGAAUUCGAAUUCCAAAUUACACGGAAUCCGUAUACAAAACGAUGCAAAUAAUUAAGGAAAUAACAAAACUAUCCCUCGUGACAAACCGAAACUCCUCCACAUAACGACCGGCACCUUCCGGACUCCCUCUUUGCAUCAUCGGCAGACCCUUUGCCAUAGUCAUCGGCAGACUUUCUUAUCUAGCCAUCGGCAGCAUAUUACUGCCUGUGGACUUAGUCACGUUCAACUUCUCCCUCAUCGGCAACCAUCCUCAUCGGCAACCCACUUUGUAAACAUCGUACUGCCACCUUAUCCUGCCAUCCUAGACACGUGCCCAAAAACGGUGUCAACAGUAUCUAUCAUAGCAUGUAUAAUUGAGAACAUUAUAUCUAACUCUUCAUACAGGGAUAAGUGUCACAUAAAAGAUAUAUGAAAUAAUAAUAGUGACAAGAAUAACUAAUCUGAUCUAGCCACAUAAUAAAUAUGAUAAGCACCUCAAUUAGAUACUCUAGAAAGUCAUUAGCAUGGUAUUAGAACGAACUACAAGAAUAUUCCCUAAGUUAUUCUCAACUAUAUAGUCUAGCAUAUCAUAGUUAGUGCAAGCAUACUUAGCAAUCAUUGUGAGACAAGACUACGCCCAUGCAUAGUGAUAUUAGCAAGGUAAAUAAGAAACAUAGCAAUCACUCCCCUAUAAUAAUGUACUCUGCCAGCCCAAUACACGAGAGGGGGACUAUAUAAGAAUCAAUAAAGUUGUCACUAUCACGAACUACCCCACGAUCUGGCAUAUUGGGUACAAUCGCAGAUAAAUACGGUAUAAGCACCACGCCUACACAAUAUCUAUCAUUUACCCAUGGAUCCGAUGGAUAAACGCUAUACGAUCCUAAGCAUGUAUAUAGAUCCAAUCUAACUAAGCCAAGUACAUAACUAUGAUAAACUAAGAACAAUAUAAUCUUGAAUAUAAAUAAGUAGAGCAAAGUCAUAAGCAAUAUAUUGAAGUAGAACAAAGUCAUAUUCAUAAUAUUGAAGAACAAAGAUGAACAAUUAGAAGAACAAUUAGAGAAUUACCAAGAAUCCUCUUGACAGAUCCAGAAACCAAUCGAAGAUUGACACCUUCUAGUUCUAAUCCUAUGUAGCUAUGCUAAUCUAGAUGUCUAAUUGAUGUGGUGGCUCUAGGCUUGAUCAGAGGCUUCUUCUCCCUUGAAGAAUAAUGAAUUAGGGUUGAGAGGCUCUCUCCUCCAGGGGCCAUGGGGUCUGGUUUUAUAGUCCCUCCAAGUGAAUAUGGGCCGUUGGAUCAAACCGACAUUGAUUGAACGGUUAUCCUUGAUCCUUUAAGUCGGUGGAGCUUAAUCCCAAAAGAGAGUCCUGAUUGAACUCUGUAGGGGGGCGGGCGCCCUGGUCUCCUGGGCGGGCGCCCAGGGCCAGGCCCCGUUCGGCCUCUGCUUCGUUCUCCACUAGUACACAUAACCACUAUACAGGCGGUUCCCAACCCCUUUUCACAGGCGGAUUGGAGAACCGCCUGCGCUGGGUGCCUGUGGAAAUCAAGAGUUUUCACAGGCGGGUAACUCAGAACCGUCUGUAGAAAUAGAUUUCUACAGGCGGUUCAGUUAUGCCACCCGCCUGUAGAAAUGAACUUUCUACAGGCGGUUCAUCUAUGCAACCCUCCUGUAGAAAUGAACUUUCUACAGGCGGUUCUCAUUAUUUAACCGCUUGUGUUAAAAAUUUUAAAUCUCCCGCCCAAUUCCAAAUUUUCCCACCAGACCCUUUUUUUCAUUUUAUAUUUUAAUAUGUACAUACAACAUACAUAUAUAUAUAUACACGUAAUAUUCAAACUGCUGAAGCCUAGAGAUCAUGUCAGACAUUGCAACAUGCAAUUCAUUUAUAUAUAUACAGUUACUUUAUACAUAAGGUUACAUUAAUAACAAACAUGAUCACACAUCAAGUUUUUUUUGUUACAUGCAUUAGAGGUUUCACCUCUGAAACCUCUGCUCUAAUAACUGGAUCGAGUUAGCUUUAGCCUACUAAUCUCCCUUAGCGCUCCGUAUUCAGGCUUUGCUAGGGCGCUGGUCCGAUCGUGAUAUUUCCCUUCGCUGGGAAUGACUUCUCGCAACAUGAAUUUGCAGAGGUCCUCAACUAUGUUGUAUAAAGUGGCUUCACUCAUGCUCUUCGCCUCUUCAAAGUCUUUUUGCUGCAUAGGAAGUUAGAAAACAUCAUAUAUUUAAUGUUCAUAAUACAUAAUUAACAACCUUAAUUACUUAGAGCAUUAAUUACCUUAUAAGGGUUAGUCAUAUAUCUUCUGCCCUCUCUCAUGAACUCACAUACGUAGAAUCCACAGUGGACCGAUCCUAGUGGUUGCUUGUGACACUAUAUAAAGAAAAAGAGCAUAUUUGUGAGUUGCAACAUGAUACAUAUUCUAUGUAUAUAGCUAGCGAGAAUAACUUGGUAAACUUCCAUACGUACCGGCCACUUAUGAAAGAACCUCAAAGGCUGCCCCUGUAUUCCUGACUCGCACUUUCCCCUUUAAUCUUAUAAUACCUAUAGGCCCUAUGAUAUCAAAAACAUUUUGCAAGUUAUUGUCAAACUCUUAUAAAAAUUUGUAUGCAUAUUUUACUUAGCUUACCGUUCUAAGAGAGAAAUGAAUGGUGCAUAAGUUGUUGGUUCAUAGUCUGCGGAGUCUAGGACAUGCACACGUCCAUGCUUGGGAUUAAUCAUUAAGCAGAUCCAGUGGUCCCUGAGAGAAUGAACUUUGUGAUCAAAGUGCGCAUUUUAACUAUUAAUACGAUCCAUGCAAACUGACACUUACCUAAAGUGAUAUGGUGCGAAUAUUAAUUCCUUGUCUUGAAACUCUAGCAUUGUCAUGGCUAGGUAGAGGCCGUAACUAGCUAUUUGUUUCUUUUCUCUUUUCUUUAUUUCGUCCUCCUACUCUUUUGGAUCCAAAACUUUUAAGUAGUCAUGAUCUUUUCUGAUCCUGAAAGUGUGCUCGUCCUCACAUAUCCUCAUUGGGCUCAUAUAUGUGACCCUUUUAUUCACAUUAGUGCUUGGAUUCGGACCGUACCGCAUCUGUUGCUGUUCAUAUUGCAUUCUGCAACGUGCACUUGUAUGUUAGUAUUAAAAUUUAAUGUAACUCACAAAUAAUAACUCACAAAUUUAAAGCAUUGUAUGAGUGACACUUACAAUGUAAACACAGUUAUGAGCUGCACGUCGAGUCUUUGUAGGUUCAUCAUUAACCACAUGUCCUAGAAGGUCACAAUUGCUCUUGUAUGAUCACUAUUAAAUGCCUCUGCUGGUAUAUCUACACUGAUCGUGUCAAUGCCAACAGAAGAUGCUCUCAUAUACCAGUCUUGGAACCUUUUUACACCAGCUAGGACCUUUUUAAGUUUAUCCCAAGUGAGUAGAGGCCCACCCAACUCAUAUUUCUUAGAGACAUAUUUAUAAUCAUCUUUAGUGGGUGCCCUAAUAUUUACAAAAGCUCGUUCAGACUUCUUCGCUGCCUUCUCGUGCUCAGCCAAGUCAACUAAUUUUGUCGUGCGGCUCAUUGCAAUUCCUGACAAAAAUAGUGCAGUACCAGCAGACUUCCUCUUCUUUGGCUCGAACGGAGAAAUCAAUUUGGGCACCGAAAAUUUUAACUUUUUUGGUGGCGGUGGUGUCGUCUCGUCAUCUUUGGUUGGUUGUGGUGGUGUCUCGGCAUUUUUGGGUGGUGGUGGUGUGGAAGAUUCUGGUGGUGCUGGUGAAGGUUGUGGUUUAGGUGAUGGUGGUGGGGAUGGUGGGUGAAGCAUUAUAGGUGAGGAUGGUGGAGCGAAGAUCGGAGAGGGUGGUGGACUCGGAAGAGAUAUGUUACCACCGACAUCUGGAAGGGACGACUCCUGAGUUAGUGGUAAUUCUUGGGAUGAAGGUUGUGGUAGCUCAGACAACAGAACGUCUCGUCGAGGCCGAAGAAUGAAAUUCUUGAUAGCUUGUCCCAGCUUCUCAAUACCCUCAGGACCAGGAAUGUCUAGCAUGUCAUCCUCAUAUCCUUGGACAACUGUCAGCACUUCCACCCUACAGUAGUCCUCUGGAAUUUCGCUACCAUGAAACUAGCACCCCGGGAUUGCAAGUCUUGUGGCUACUUCCCUUGUACGAUUAUUGUUAAGACCGUACCUUAUGACUAGGGAGCAACGAACAGGACUUUCAAUCUCAUCAACUGGAUAGCGGUCCUUGUUUCCAGUAGACGCGACACUACUUGGGACAACUGGAGCCUGUUGUGAUGUUGUCGGGGCGACCACUAGUUGCAUCUGGCGAGGGUGACCACUUAAUUGGUUAGACAUUGCAGACGCCAGUCGCUGCAUCAACUCAAGAGGAGGAUCGGAGAGCAUUUUAUUCAUCACCUGUUCGACUUGUUUAUUAGCCUCCUCCUUAAAAAAAUUAGACAAUUAUUCCUUGUAGCGAUCGCGUUUUCUAUACAUUCCUUCCCACUCUGGUCCGAAUCCUUCUUUCCAUCCUUCCUUGGAUGAGAUACCUCGUACACGACCAUGAUGCUCUGGGUUACCCAGAGCAAUAGUAAGAACAUCCUUCUCUCUUUGUGGCUUAAAUUCGCCUGCUUUCUGCUUAGCUUCCACCUUGAAAAUAUUCUUCGCAGCCUCUUCGAACAUUGGGUCAGGAAAUGACAAGCCAGAAUUGGCUUUCUUUGUCGGUACCCGAGCACGAACCCACCACGCGCCCCUGCGACCAAGUUGGUUAGGGAGCGCCGGCAAACCCUGAGAGCUCUGCGCUUCAUCCUCUUGCUCCCAUUGGGCAAGCUUGCGCUGGUAACCACCUGUGCCUAGGUGGUGGUGGUACUUGUUGAUAUUUGGGAACGCAAUAAGGAAUUGAUCCGCAAGCGCACGGAUAUCAGUGAGCACUUCACCCGAGAAAUUAUCCAGAGUAUCGUAUUUAUUUUUUUACCACUAGGAGAACGAGUGCAUCUGACUAACCGGUCUAUUACUACUAACCUUUAGGCACAAAGAAUGUCUUUCGAUGUGAGUAAUAAAUAGAGAAGACUGCAACCGUAGUCUCCUUCUAACCUUGGUAAGGAUGAUCUACUGUUCUAAUGGGGAGGCUAACGGAAUCUAGACACCACAGAGGAUGUUCAACCCACACCUAUAAACCCUAUCCUUCCUGCUAACAAGAUGUGAUCUACAAAGGUAGCUCGGAAUUGUCACGUUCCUCACUACUACCACGGUCCAGCUAGUCAGGGAAUAUCUAUGAGUACCCCAGCCUAAACACCACGUUUACGCCAGCAAUGAUUACUCUAAACUCUACGCGAAGAGAUUAAAGUAAACUCAUAAACCAUAAGAACAAUAAAACAAUAACUUACUAGAAUUUAGAAGUCGAAAUACUGAAGAAUCCUAGGAGCAAGCUUCGGAUUAGGAGAACUUGAUCCCGCAGGUACAAGCUUGGAGUAGACACCGACAGGCCGGGCUUCCUCCACUCUAUCUCUCUCAAUCUAGUAGAAACUAGAAGAUCUAUUUCUACCUUACAUUGGUUGCUAAGCCUAAAAAGAAAUAUUAAUUAGAGAAGAGGUUUUCCUUCGAGGGCACCCCUCAGUCUCUAUGAUAAUUUCUUCAUGUCUUCUCCAGGGGCCAGGGGGCCUUGCUUAUAUAGUCCUCCCCUUCUAUGCGUUUUUGGGUCGAUAGGCGAGGUGGUACUAUGUUUUUCUUGAUCCAAUAGGUCGGUGGAAUAUCCCGAGCGAAAGAGUCCUGAUUUGGCUCCAGCAGGGGGGCGGGCGCCCAGGCUUCCAAGGCGGGCGCCCUGGGCCUGGCCCAGUUUUGCCUCCGCUUCGGUCUCGUGGCUUCUGGAGUCUUCUAAAUGAAGUAAAAUUGCACGGUGCGUUGAUAUCUCUAUGUAAUCCCGACAUGUGGGCCUUUCUUCCUUAUUUCCUGAUAACCCCCUGCAGAAAUAGAUAAACAACAAAACUCGUGGAAUUCUGUCAGAUCAAACCCUAAUUUUAGGUGAUGGUUGCAUAUUGGUCCAUUCUCUUGUUUAUUUGAUAAUUAAAAUUCAUACUUAAGAACCGUCAACAAAUACCCCCAUACUUAGGCUUUUACUCGUCCUCGAGAAAAGGAUGGUUAAGAACAAUAUCUGGGGUAAACAUUUUAAAGCAUUCUCUUUAUAUAAUUGCAGGGUGUUAAAAUUCCACUGUGUACCAUAGUCAGGGAAGUUUAUGAUUAAGAGUAAAGAUCCUUUCUUCUCGAUCCUGUCACUUGGAGUUUUUGUAUAUUUUUGAAAGAAACUUAGCAUACCUUUUGAUCCUCAUAGGUUCUCUCAGAUCACUCAUUAUCUUUUAUAUAUCUCACUGAGGCUGUUUUAUUUUGCAAAAAUUCUCAAGCAUACUUACUUUGCAUUUAUUGCCUGAUCAAAACGGGAUCCGAGGAGGGGAAUGUCAUACUCUUAGAUCAAAGACUUUGAAAAUUAAAAACUUUGUCAACUCUUGCUGGCAUAUUGCUUAUUAGAGGGACCAUGGGCUAUCAUUUUUUUAAGUGGAUACGGAGGUACCCCUAAUUCUACUGCCGGACACUUGUCUAUUUUUUUCUGCGAGGUUGUCGAGCACUUGCUCCUUUUUAUUUCCUCGAAAUAUUUUUAUUUUUGCAUAGCCCAUGCCUCUAAUGCAAUAAUACUUCGGAAGAGUGAAUCUUACUGAAAUUUGAUCUUGGGAGCAUGAUAAAUCUCUCAACAAGGGUCUAACUCAUUUUGAACAAACUCAAUACAGAGUAGAUAGCUUUUAUAAUCAUAAUUAAUAUUUUUAGUACAAAAGACUGAUAACAAACUGAUAGCAAACUAAUAAUAAUAGCAAACUUAAACCGAAUUUAAAGAUAGAUGACUAAGAUGCAUUGCCUCAAGGUCUAAUCUAGAUAACUUAGCGGCGCUCUAAUUCCUUGAUCUUCUUGUUGGCACUGGCAAGAUCCUGCCUAAGGCCUAGUAUAAUGGUGUUGUGGUUAGAGAGCUGCCUAGUGAGGGAAUUAAUUGAGGACUGGAGGUCUAUGAUAAUUUUAUCUAGCCUGCGAACUUCCUCAUCAAUAUCCAUUAUAGCCUUGCGACGCUUGGGAUGUGUCUCAAAAGCAUUGAGAGAAUGCUUCGGGGCUGCCUUUGGAGGGAUGAAACGGACUUUGGCUGCUCUAAUCCCUUCAAAGUAAGGCCUUUCCUCCUCUGAAGUGUAGCGUACGCUGCUGAUCUCGCCGCUUCGGUUGGUCUUGACUCCAACGACCCUCUCAUUGGGUCUAGGUGGAAGGAUCCUUGUGCCGAUUGGCACCUUGAUAGUGGUCUUCGUCUUCGAUGAUGGUCCUUUGAGGAGUAGGGGUUGUGGUGGUGCGGUGAGAACUGGUUGAGCAUGGUAAGAUUGGGCGGAGCUGCGUUGGCGUAAUGGCAUGGCUUCUAGCUGACGCUCUGUUUUGGCCGGGACGAGAGCACGGGCAUCGGGGUCUUCCACUGGCUCCAUGUUGAGGUUGAAGGGGACGACUUCCCAAUCGUCGUGGUACUUGUCGGCCAUUGGAGUAGCAAGGAACUAAUAAAAUUUUAAUUGAAGUAGAGCUAAUUAAGCUCUAAUUAAAGGAGAGCUAAUCAAGCUCUAGUUGAAGGAGAGAAAGCUUGGUGGCUUGGUGUUUGAAAACUGAGGUGAGGGGUCUGUUUAUAUAGGGGUUAAAAGGAUGCCUCUAUGGGUUGUUCGGGUUGCUCCCGUCGAUGUGCGUGCGAAACUUUCCAUCCGAGGGAUUAUUCGGAUCACCCUAUGUGCAUUUUCCAUAACAGAGAAAGUCGGGACCGAGGGGGAACAGGGGCUGGGCGCCCGCCCACUUGACCUGGGCGCCCACCCUCUCUGUGGCUCCUCUGUGGGCCCACUUCUCCGAGCGCGUUUCUAGAUGCGAAAUUAUUUAGAAAAAUAUAUAUAUAACCCAAAACCAUCAGACCAAAAGUGUCGGGCUCUAAUUCUCCAUGGGAAGGUAAAAAUGGACUACGUCUAUUUCUUCAAAUUCCUCAUUGGGCUCUAAAAAUAAUUUAAGAUGUUGACCAUUUACCUUGAAUAACGUACCUUCGCUGUUUUGAAGUGUGAUAGCUCCGUGGGAUGAUGAAUUGAUUACCUUGAAUGGUCCUUCCCAUUUGCUCCGGGGUUUUCCAUGCCCGAAAAGCUUCACCCUAGAAUUAAAAAGUAAUACCUUAUCUCCGGGUGUGAACUCCUUCUUCUUGAUUCUCUUGUCAUGCCACCUCUUUGACUCUUUCUUUGUAGAUCUUUGAAUUGUGAUAUGCCUUCUCUCGCCAUUCUUCCAAUUCUGAUAAUUGCAUUCUUCUAUAAUCUCCAGCAACAUCUAGGUCCAUAUUCCAUCUCUUUAUGGCCCAGUGUGCUUUGAAUUCUAGUUCAACAGGUAGAUGGCAAGUCUUCCCGUACACCAAUUGGUAUGGAGACAUUCCAAUUGGGGUCUUGUAUGCUGUCCGGUAUGCCCAGAGUGCAUCGGGUAACUUGUCUUUCCACGCCGUUCCCAUUUCAUUUACUGUCUUCUGAAGAAUAUUCUUGAUUUGUUUGUUGGAAGUCUCUGCUUGGCCACUUGUCUGAGGAUGAUAAGGGGUAGCGACGUUGUGACGGAUUCAUUGUCUUGAUAGAUAUUGCUUGAAGCGUUUGUCGAUGAAGUGUGCUCCUCCAUCACUUAUCACUACUCUGGGGACUCCAAAUCUUGGAAAUAUAAUUUCUUCAAACAUCCUCUUUGAACUGACGUUCUCGGCAUGCUUGCAAGGUAAUGCUUCUACCCACUUGGAGACAUAGUCAACCGCCACCAAGGUGUACUAACACUUCUUUGAUGGAGGAAAUGGACCCAUGUAGUCUAUUCCCCAGACAUCAAAGAGCUCAAUCUGAAGGUUGUUGGUGAGUGGCAUUGCAUCCCUUGUAUUUAUGUUUCCGUGCCUUUGACAUGGCCCACAUCUUCUGAUAUAUUGCUUCGUGUCUUCAUACAUUGUAGGCCAAUAGAAUCCACACUGCCAGAUCUUUGAAUGUGUACGGAAUGCUCCAUAGUGACCUCCAUAUGGUGAUGAAUGACAUCUGUCGAUGAUCUUCCAUCCUUCCUCAGUGGUCACACAUCUCCUGAGUAAGCCAUCAGAGCAUACUCGGAAGAGGUAUGGCUCGUCCCAUAUAUGUGAACCACUUUCUUGAAUAAGCUUCUUCAUGUUUGCUCCUGGUGGUACAUACCCUGAAACCAUAAAAUUAACAAUAUCUGCAUACCAGGGGUCAGACCUGUUAAUCCCGUAGAGCAUGUCGUCCCGGAGUGAAUCAUUGAUGGGGGUUUCCUGUGGACUCUUAAAAUACAUUCUAGACAAGUGAUCAGCAACAGAAUUUUCUACUCCUUUUUUAUCUUUUAUUUCUAAGUCAAAUUCUUGGAGUAAUAAAAUCCAUCUAAUCAGGCGAGGUUUAGCAUCUUUUUUAGUGAGCAAAUAUUUUAAUGCAGCAUGAUCAGUGUAAACAAUUAUUUUAGCUCCAACUAAAUAACAUCUAAAUUUAUCAAUGGCAAAGACAACAGCCAGGAGCUCUUUUUCAGUGGUUGCAUAGUUAAGUUGAGCUCCUGUCAAAGUUUUACUGGCAUAAGCAAUUGCAUGAUGCUUCUUAUCUUUAGUUUGUCCCAAUACUGCCCCCACAGCAUAAUCACUAGCAUCACACAUAAUUUCAAAAGGUAACGACCAAUCAGGGGGUUGAAUGAUUGGUGCAGAGAGGAGUGCUUUCUUUAAUAAAUUGAAAGAUGUUAGACAUGCAUCAUCAAAUUCGAAAGGAGCAUCCUUGGCUAGCAAAAGAGUAAGUGGUCUAGCAAUAAAUGAAAAAUCUUUUAUGAAUCUACGAUAAAAACCAGCAUGGCCAAGAAAGCUUCGAAUUCCUUUUAUAUUCACAGGUGGAGGUAGUUGUUCAAUUACUUCAAUUUUAGCUUUGUCUUCCUCAAUCCCCCUUUCAGACACUAAGUGUCCUAGCACUAUUCCUUCCCUAACCAUAAAAUGACAUUUUUCCCAAUUAAGGAUUAAGUGCUUUUCUUCACAUCUUUGCAAAACCUUGUCUAAGUUUUCAAGACAACUAUCAAAGGUUUUUCCAUAAACAGAGAAAUCAUCCAUGAAAACUUCCAUAAUCUCUUCAAUCAUAUCAGAAAAUAUAGACAUCAUGCAUCUUUGAAAAGAAGCCGGUGCAUUACAUAACCCAAAAGACAUUCUACGGUAAGCAUAAGUUCCAUAAGGGCAUGUAAAAGUGGUUUUGCUUUGAUCAUUAGGAUGGAUCGGGAUUUGAUGAUACCCUGAAUAUCCAUCUAAGAAACAGAAGAAUGAAUGAUUUGCUAACCGCUCUAGCAUCUCAUCUAUAAAAGGUAAAGGAAAGUGAUCUUUUCUCGUGGCUUUGUUUAGUUUUCUAUAGUCUAUGCACAUCCGCCAUCCUGUGACGGUGCGUUGCGGAAUUAGCUCGUUCUUUUCAUUCAUAAUAACUGUCAUGCCUCCCUUUUUGGGCACAACUUGGACUGGGCUCACCCACUCACUGUGCGGCACAGGAUAUAUAAUCCCUGCAUGCAGCAACUUUAUAACUUCCUUUUUAACUACCUCUCUCAUAGUGUUGUUAAGUCUACGUUGGGGUUCUCGAGAGGGUGUAACAGAAGGAUCUGUUGGAAUACGAUGGGUACAAAUCAUAGGACUGAUUCCUGUAAGAUCUUGAAGUGAGUAGCCGAAUACUGAGUGAUGUUUCUCAAGAAUGGUCAUUAAUCGCAGAGUUUGAUCCUGAGUGAGUUUAUCGCUAAUGAUCACAGGGAACUCUGGAUUAUUGUUUAGGAAAGCAUAGGUAAGACCGGGUGGUAAAGUUUUAAGUUCUAUGGGGGGUCUAGGUGUUUCUGCAAACUCGUCUAAGGGUUCAUGCUCAGAAGGUUCGUCUUCUUCUUCUGUGAAGAAAGGAGUUUCGUCUUCUAAGUCUGAUUCAUCUAAAAGCUCUAGAGAUGCAGCCUUUACUUCCUCCAUAGGAUCAGGCAAAAGAUAUGACUCGGCCUUAUUAUUUAAGGAGUGUGAAAUUAUCAUUGGGAAUUGAAAAGUUUUUCCAAAAGAAAUGUGUAGCUUUCCAGUAUGACCUUCAUAAAGGAGUCUUCUAAAAGGUUGUCCUAUUAACAGGUCGAAGUCCCAUGUAUCAAAGAUAUAGAAGUUCAAAUGAACCAUGGAGCCUUCUACCGUAAGAGGUAGGACAUUAAUAAUUCCAAGACUGGGGAUUAAUCGUCCCGAAGAUUCCUUUAUGAUCUUUGUUGUGGGGGUUAAGACAAGAUUUUUAAAUAGUUUAAGUGCAAAAGAUUCAGACAUGAUGUCGAUCCCCACAACAGGAUUAUAAAGAGCAUUAAAUCGAUCAGAAUUAUAAGCACAACGUAUAGUUAUACAGGGUGUGUCCAAACGGAUCACAUCAGAGGAAAGCUCUGAUUCCUCCAACCAUUCGCUACUCAUUACUGAGAUAAGCUCUCUCAAUUGAUAUUCACUUGGUAAAUAAAUGCUAAACUGGCCGUUUUGGGGUUUGUCAAUAGAAUGGUAGUUUGAAAUAUUUCCAAAAUCAGCAAAAAGAUCGGAUUCUAUAUCCAGCAUGAAGUCCGGUAGUGGAAUUUCUUCCUCUUGUGGCUCAAAACUUGGGAUAGCUAAAGUAGAUGAAGAAUUUGGCAGAGUGUCUACUUCGGCUUCGUAGGUUUCAUCAUGAAGGGUAUUAUCCAUCUCAGCUUCUAGGAUUCUAUCUAGGAUCACUCUAGCUUCAUCAGCAGGGAUGCGAAAGAAAGAACCUCUAGACAUUGUGUGUAGCAUUUGUUUGUGAUUUUUAUGAAGACCUCGAAAAUAGUGAAAUAAAAGAACAGGGUCUUCAAGAUUAAGGUUUGGACCAGAUUCUAAAAGAUCAGAAAAACGUUUCCAGGAUUUUCCCAAAGUUUCAUUAUCUUUUUGUUUAAAAGAUAGGACUUCGAGUCUAAGGUCGGCUAUACGGUCAAGGGAAUAGAAAUCUAGACAAAAGUUGGCUCGUAAAACUCCCCAUUCACCUUGUUGUUGACUUACCUUCUGACUGUACCAUUGUCUAGCUUCUCCCCUUAAGGAAAAAGGAAAAAGCUUCCAACGUAAAGUCUUAUCAGAAAUGCCUUGAAUGCGAAGACAAUCACAUGUUUGCUCAAAAUCUCUAAUAUGAAGGUAAGGGUUUUCGUCGUCCUUUCCCGAAAAAGAUAGGUUUUGAAUCAUGGCAAUCAACCUAGAACUUAACUUAUACUGGGAUGUUUGGAUAGGCUGUGAUGAUUCCCAUGGUAAAAGGUCAGUUGCUAAAGGGAUUGCAGACUCAUGGAUCGAUUUAGAAUUUUGGUUUUCCAUAGGGUAAGAGUAAAGAAAAUAAAUAAAGGAUAUAAAAGAUAAGAAAAGAUAAAAGUAUAGACACAAGCUAAUAGCAAGACACAGGUUAUCUCAGCAACCGUCUUUCUCCCCGGCAACGGCGCCAGAAAUGCUUGUUGAUAUUUGGGAACGCAAUAAGGAAUUGAUCCGCAAGCGCACGGAUAUCGGUGAGCACUUCACCCAGGAAAUUAUCCAGAGUAUCGUAUUUAUUUUUUUACCACUAGGAGAAAGAGUGCAUCUGACUAACCGGUCUAUUACUACUAACCUUUAGGCACAAAGAAUGUCUUUCGAUGUGAGUGAUAAAUAGAGAAGACUGCAACCAUAGUCUCCUUCUAACCAUGGUAAGGAUGAUCUACUGUUCUAAUGGGGAGGCUAACGGAAUCUAGACACCACAGAGGAUGUUCAACCCGCACCUAUAAACCCUAUCCUUCCUGCUAACGAGAUGUGAUCUACAAAGGUAGCUCGGAAUUGUCACGUUCCUCACUACUACCACGGUCCAGCUAGUCAGGGAAUAUCUAUGAGUAGCCCAGCCUAAACACCACGUUUACGCCAGCAAUGAUUACUCUAAACUCUACGCGAAGAGAUUAAAGUAAACUCAUAAACCAUAAGAACAAUAAAACAAGAACUUACUAGAAUUUAGAAGUCGAAAUACUGAAGAAUCCUAGGAGCAAGCUUCGGGUUAGGAGAACUUGAUCCUGCAGGUACAAGCUUGGAGUAGACACCGACAGGCCGGGCUUCCUCCACUCUAUCUCUCUCAAUCUAGUAGAAACUAGAAGAUCUAUUUCUACCUUACAUUGGUUGCUAAGCCUAAAAAGAAAUAUUAAUUAGAGAAGAGGUUUUCCUUCGAGGGCACCCCUCAGUCUCUAUGAUAAUUUCUUCAUGUCUUCUCCAGGGGCCAGGGGGCCUUGCUUAUAUAGUCCUCCCCUUCUAUGCGUUUUUGGGUCGAUAGGCGAGGUGGUACUAUGUUUUUCUUGAUCCAAUAGGUCGGUGGAAUAUCCCGAGCGAAAGAGUCCUGAUUUGGCUCCAGCAGGGGGGCGGGCGCCCAGGUUUCCAGGGCGGGCGCCCUGGGCCUGGCCCCGUUUUGCCUCCGCUUCGGUCUCGUGGCUUCUGGAGUCUUCUAGAUGAAGUAAAAUUGCGCGGUGCGUUGAUAUCUCUAUGUAAUCCCGACAUGUGGGCCUUUCUUCCUUAUUUCCUGAUAACCCCCUGCAGAAAUAGAUAAACAACAAAACUCGUGGAAUUCUGUCAGAUCAAACCCUAAUUCUAGGUGAUGGUUGCAUAUUGGUCCAUUCUCUUGUUUAUUUGAUAAUUAAAAUUGAUACUUAAGAACCGUCAACAGUACUUGUUCCUUUUUGCGAGUUCAGAUUUGGAUUCGCUCAAAGCUUUGAAGUCAUCAAAACUCCUCUGCUCUAGAAACACUGCCCACUGACCAGCCGUGAUUUUAUACCUCUUUGCGGGGUCCAACCCUUUCUUUGCCCACUUUGAAUUCAACUCAGCCUUGUAAUUCCUAAACAUAAUCGCCCAUUGCUUCAAUGUGUGCUGUUUUACGAGGUGUUCUGAACCCUGAGGUAAAACAAACCUCGUAAGCAGCCUGUUCCACAUUCUUGUGAUCUCAUUUUUGUCCACAUUUUCCCACUCCCUGACUGUGACGUCAAGAUAGUCCCUAACUAAGAAACCGAGUGUGUUACGCCACUUAGGUAAGGUCUCCUCUAGAGCUAAGGGCUGUCCUGUCGCACUGACUUCUGUAACUCUAUAGGUUACUUUGGGAACUGAUUCAAUCCUCUUUCGCCUCGUUUCCUUUUGUUCCCGGUCUCAGUGGUCGUCUCCGUCGUCUCCUCAGGUGCACUUUCAUGUGCAACUUCUUCUUGGGAUAGGAUUUCCUCCAUUUUUUUCAAUUGAGAUAGCACCUCCUAUUCAUAUAAAGACAUGUAUUAUUCUUCACAUAUACCGAGGCGCAUAAAAGUAUAGAAACAUAUAAUUAUGAAUGAGUAAUUCACCUCUUCUAUCUCUGGGUUGUAAUCGGGGUCACGUGCGUACUCACGACGGGCGUUCCUCUCUAUGCGAGGAUCAGGAAUGUCGCUUACCGAGGUCUCGUAUGAAGGAGUUGACUCACGUGACCCUUCUGCCUGCUCCGUGUUGUGGGACCCUUGUUCCUUCUUUGCGUGCUCGAGCCUUUUUUCUUGCUCCGUGCGGUUGGACCCUUUUUCUUGCACGGUGGGGCUAGACCCUGGUGCCUUCUCGGUGCAGUCUGACCCUUUUUCUUGCACCGUGGGGCCGGACCCUGGUGCUUGCUCCAUAGGGCCGGACCCUUGUGCCUGCUCCGUGUUUUCACUUAGAGAAGUCGUCAUUGCAAGAUUCUAAAGCAUAUAUGUUAUCAGAAAUAUUUAUUAAAAGUCUAAGUGCUAAACCCUAAAUGACAUCAUGUAUAUACAUAGACAUAAAACUUAGCCAACUUUACCGCAAGAUAGAUUAGUAAGUUGAAUUAAAGAGCAUAUACCAAACGUGCACAAUAAAUUCUACAAAAAUUACAGUAGCUUCUACAUACUAUCCAUAGUCUACUGCAGAAAUUUCAUUGCAUUUGAAUAAACAUAGCAAUCUCUAUGAAAAAGAGAAAUUAACAUUGCAAUUAAUCAUGUGAGAGCAAGAUAAAUGCACAAAUCAUAUUUUCUUCAUAUACAUGACCAUAUUAUAUAUAAAACUGAUACAACAAUAUCAUAGAAUUGUACUAGAACAAUAGUUUCCAUUUUUACAUUUUUAUUUAUAAUUAUAAACCAUUUAUCAAGCCCUAUGCAAGUUAAAUCCAUAACUCAUUUAUACUGCAACCAAACAUUUUGCAAAUUUUACCAUACAACAAACAUCACAUGAGUAGUAGGCCACAGAUAUUUCACUUCAUUUGGAGCUCUAUAGCAGAAGAUAUGAAAAAGACAUACUCAACUAACAUUAAAAACCUAGCUGUAUAAAUCUAUUUUUACAGCUAAAACUUUAAAUUAAAACAUGGAAUACUAUACAUCCACUGCAUAGAGAAUUUCAUAAGGUUUCCAAAAAGUCUAUAUUUACCAUUUUACGAUUUUUUUAUAAAUUACUAUGCAUUUUCAAAGUUUCUGCAAAACAAUUACAAACAGAUCCAACCGGCACUAUUCAUAUGAGUCUAAUAUAGUGCAGAAAACCCCUUCCCUUCUGUCGAAUUUGAAGGCAAGGUCCUUGGUCGCGAUUUUCAGCAACGAGCUCGCUGGAUUUUGCCGUUUUCGGCCAGGGAGACCUCGCCGCAGUAGGGGAAAGUUGCGGGGAGGCUCCAGGGAGUCUACGCGCACAUGCUGGUGGUCGCGGAUGGCCGGGACACGAGCCAUGGCACCCUGGCCACGCUAGCAGGCGGCGGCGGCGGGUGUUUCCAGCCUAUGACGAUGCAAGGGGCCGGAAAAGGGACGCAUCGAGGGCAGCACGACGAGAGAAAGAUGAUGGAGGAGCGGGGAGGGAGGGAGAAGGGGAGGUGGUGGGUGGCCGGCGGCAACAGCGGGGAGGCCGUGGCAGGCGGCCGGCGACGCUCCGUUUCACACAGCACGAGGAGAAGAGAGGGGGUGGGCAUACCUGGUGGGCUCAGGGUCGAGCGUGGAGGUAGAACGACGGCGGAGACCGGUGGCGGAGCAGCGGUGUGACCGGCGGCGGCGGUGGCGGAAAAUCGCGGCAGCCUCCUAGCGUGAGUUUGAACGAGAUGGCGCCUUCGGACUUAGAAAUUUUCGGAGGGUUUGGCGUGCAAUAUAUAUGGGCGCUAUUUCUACAGGCGGUUGGCAUUGAGAACCGCCUGUAGAAAUGAUUUCUACAGCGGUUCUCAAUACCAACCGCCUGUAGAAAUCCUUUUGUACAGGCGGGUGGCAUUGACCACCGCCUGUAGAAAUGCUUUUCUACAGGCGGUGGUCAAUGUCACCCUCCUGUACAAAAUAAUUUCUGUUAUAUUCUUUUUUAUUUUUAGUGUUAUAUAUUAUUUGUAUAUUAUAUUGUUUCUACAUUAUUUGUAACAUAAUGUAAAAUAAUUUGUAUAUUAUAUUGUUUAUACAUUAUUUUUAAUGUAAAAUAUAUUUGUAUCAUAUAUUUAAUGUAUAUUAUAAUAUGAUUAUAUUGUUUCUAUAUUAUUUGUAACAUAAUUUUUCUAUAUUCUUUAUUUGUAAAAUAAUUAUGUUGUUUAUAUAUAUUAUUUAUGUAUUGAUAUUAUAAUAUGAUUAUAUUGUUUCUAAAUUUCUUUUUUAAUUUUAGUGUUAUAUAUUGUUUGUAUAUUGAUAUUAUAAUAUGAUUAUAUUGUUUCUAAAUUUCUUUUUAAUUUUUAGUGUUAUAUAUUAUUUGUAACAUAAUGUAAAACAAUUUGUAUAUUAUAUUGUUUCUACAUUAUUUUUAAUGUAAAAUAUAUUUGUAUCAUAUAUUUAAUGUAUAUUAUAAUAUGAUUAUAUUGUUUCUAUAUUAUUUGUAACAUAAUUUUUCUAUAUUCUUUAUUUGUAAAAUAAUUAUAUUGUUUAUAUAUAUUAUUUAUGUAUUGAUAUUAUAAUAUGAUUAUAUUGUUUCUAAAUUUCUUUUUUAAUUUUAGUGUUAUAUAUUGUUUCUAUAUUGAUAUUAUAAUAUGAUUAUAUUGUUUCUAAAUUUCUUUUUAAUUUUUAGUGUUAUAUAUUAUUUGUAACAUAAUGUAAAAUAAUUUGUAUAUUAUAUUGUUUCUACAUUAUUUUUAAUGUAAAAUAUAUUUGUAUCAUAUAUUUAAUGUAUAUUAUAAUAUGAUUAUAUUGUUUCUACAUUAUUUGUAACAUAAUUUUUCUAUAUUUGUAACAUUAUUUGACAAAGCGUUACGAAAGUGUAGUUCUAAAUCGAAAGGUCUCACAUAUAGUUUCAUAAAUUUGAGUGAGAUUACAUGAUGACUAGAGUUUACAUGAUGAAUGACAAAUACAAUCUAGGCAGUUACUAUUCUUCCUUGUCCAUCAGCGCGUACCCAAGGCAAAGAACUUUGUGAGAUGCUUCGCUCAACAUUUCUUAUCUUAGCAGGAUAGUCAUCCACAAAGAGGGACAUGUCGCUGAACUGGUUAAAAUCCUCCAGAUCCGCUACACCAUCAACUCCUAUUGCUUGUUGCUUUCCUAGAAAAACUACAUGCUUCAGCUUGGAUCUGUUCAGCAUAGAACACCUGUGCAGCACGGUUACCAAGGAUCCACGGGUCAUCUUUGUAUCCCACUUUACUUAGAUGAAGAACUCUGACCCCACGGGUCAUCUUUGUAUCCCACUUUACUUAGAUGAAGGACUCUGACCCCAUAAUUAUCCACUGUGACAUGUUUAUCUUCUACCCAUUGACAUCGAAACACGGGGAUCUGAAAUGUACCAUAGUCUAGGUCCCAUAUGUCCUCGAUGAAGCCAAAGUAUGUAAUAAUAUCACCAGUUUCGUCGUCUAUGGCCUCGCAUCGAACACCACUAUUUUGUGUCAUGCUCUUUUUAUCCUUGGAUUUGGUAUGAAAUGUGAGUCCACUUAUGUCAUAGGUUUGCCAUGUUGUCACUUGGCGUGAUGGUCCAGAUGCCAAAGCCUUGAUGGUUUGUUCCUCAAUUGUUUCCCCAGAUGGAAUAUCCUGCUCCCUUAGCCAUGUGUACAAUUGUUUCUUGUGUUCCUUCAUUAUCCAAUCAUUCGUUUGCCCAGGAUUAUGUUCACGAAGCUCAUUCAAGUAUUGACCGAGCAAACGCUCCAUUAUCGUGAGCUGAUGUAAGAUGCUGUGAUGUGCCUCAAGGAUUGUAUUGUAAUCUGGCGGGAUGAAUGAUUUCCGUCCAAUCCUCCCACUUCCAUGCAGCCUACCCUCAUGCCUUGAUGGAGGCAAACCUAUUACGACCUGGUCUUUUAGGACACUAUUGCAGAAUGGUCCUCCGGACUCAAUUGCCUCUUCAGUACAGUACCCCUCUAUCAUGGAUGCCUCAGGACGAGCACGAGUUGAUACAUAGCCAUUUAGUAUUGCCAUAAAACGCUCGUACGUUCGCAUUUCAUGCAGGUACAUGGGACCCAAUGCUUGUAUUUGAGGAACCAAGUGCACCACAAGGUGCACCAUGAUAUCAAAGAAUGAUGGGGGAAAACACAUCUCAAACUGUGACACUGUCUCCACUGCGAAUUCCUAAAGGGAUUCUAACUCAUCACGGUCAAUUACCUUUUGUGUGACCUUAUUCAAAAAAUAGCACAAUCGUGUGACUGCCAUCUUCAAGAACACUGGAUUUAUAGCCCUUGUUGCAAUAGGGAGGAAAGUAGUCAGCAUUACAUGACAAUCAUGUGAGUUGUAGUUGGUGAGUGUAAGGUCUUUCAUUGACACAAUACUUCGUAUACUAGAGCAGAAUCCAGAGGGGACUUUCAAAUUCUUCAACCACUCACACAUCACAAGUUUCUCAUCUAUGCUGAGGUUGUAGCUUGCUGCUGGGAGAUGGUACUUUCCAUUUUCUUGAAGAACAGGAUGAAGCUCUUUUUUUAUACCUAACUGUACCAUGUCGAAGCGUGAAUUGAGUCCUUCCUUUGUCUUCGUCUUGAUAUCUAGCAAUGUGCCAAUUAGGCUUUCGAACACGUUCUUCUGGACAUGCAUACCAUCGAUCGCGUGUCGUAUGUCCAAUUCUUUCCAGUAUGGCAAAUACUCGAAGAAAAUGGACUUCUUCUUGAAUGUUGCCCCUGGAGUUGGUUUGACAUCCUUUCUUGGUUUUCCAUCCUUUGUCUUCUUUCCGAACACAAAGUUGAUGUUGCUCACUAUUUUGAAAACUCUCUGGCCUUUGCUAUUACCUGAUGGUGCAUCUGAGUUCCUUUCAUCAUUAUUGUCGAAGUACUUAUCCAUCUUUUUUAGGUGGUACUUGUGCCCUUUUGAUAAGAAGCGUCUAUGCCUCAUGUACACUAUUUUCUUAGUUGCAUUAAGGGACACAUAAUGGGUUCCAUCUAUGCACACCACACAACCAACCUUUCCCUUGAAUUGCCCUGACAAUGUGAAGAGAGCAGGGUAAUCAUUGAUCGUAACAAAAAUAAUUGCUCUUAGUGUGAAUGAAUCUUUGUGAUACUCGUCCAUCAUUUCAACACCUUGUAUCCAUAACAUUUUCAUCUCCUCCAUUAAGGGCUCCAAGAAAACAUCCAUGUCAACUCCAGGUUGGACUGGUCCAGAGAUAAGUAUGGUUAGCAAAAGGUAUUUUCGCUUCUGCAUCAACCAUGGAGGAAGGUUGUAGAUGGUGAGAAUCACCGACCAUGUGCUGUGCUUGCUGAUCCUCUCAGCAAAUGGAUUCAUUCCGUCGGUACUCAGUGCAAACCUAACAUUUCUUGGUUCGCUGGCAAAGUCUUGAUGGUUCUCAUUAAAAUCUUGCCACUGCUUUCCAUCGGCUGGAUGGUGAAGCUUGCCAUCAUUUUUGUGCUCAUCCGAAGCAUGCCAACACAUAAGUUUUGCAUCGUCAGGGUUAGCAAACAAACUCCUCAGUCGAUCUACCACUGGAAGGUACCACAUCACUAAAGCAGGAAUCUUUUUUCUGCGCAUAAUAAUCAACCUCUUCUUUAUCUUUGCUGGUGGGUUUUGAACUCUGCUGGGUCUUCUUUUUGGUCUUCUUUCGCUUCUUCCCUGCUUUACACAUGGAGGCAGCACAAUCCUCAUGUCGAUAGUCUUUAUUUGUCGUAUACCGACUUGCACCACACUUUGGACACUUAUCCAAGUCCUUGUAUUCAUCAACGCAAUAUAGGAUACAAUGAUUCCUGCAUGCAUGGAUCUUCUCGACACCCAUAGUGAGCGGACUGAUAAGCUUCUUUGCAUGGUACGUGUUAGCAGGCAAUUUGUUCUCUUGGGAAGCAUGUCUCCGAUAAUACUUAAGAACGUAUCGAAUCCAACAUCAGACAGACAGUACCUGGCUUUUGCCAUCAGUAGUUUUAGCACAGAUCUCAGCGUCGUGAACUCUUUGGUACAACCCUUGGACUCAUCAUACAGAGGCUCUUCAGCCGCCUUCUUCAAGGCCUCCAUCCCUUUCAUUAAUAACAUUGAUGGUUCAGUAUGACGAUGCAACAUUGCCUCUAAGAAUUCAAAAUCUUCCGCGGCUGUAUCAUUUGGUAAGACAUGAGUUCUGUCAUCAGCAUUUCUCCCAGCAAAACCACCAGCAGUAACAUUUGGCACAACAUGUUCACUUUGGUGUGUGUCGUGCAAAAACUGAAAUCCUUCAUCAGGCAUGCCUAGACCGUCGACGUCAAUAUUCGCAGGGUCCCCAAUUGUAUAAGGUGCCGAGCUACCCUCUCCAUGCUUUGUCCAAAUCAAGUAAUCCUUCAUAAAUCCUCGGCAUACCAGAUGAGAAAUGAUUGCUUCAGUAUCUUCAUAAAUAUUAAUAUUUCUGCAGUCAAUGUAUGGACAAUAUAUGUGCUUCGUCUUUGUUCUCAAAGCAUGGUUCUUAGCAGCAUCAACAAACCUAUGGACCUCAAGUAUGUAUGAUGGAUCUAGUCUUGAUAAGUUAUACAUCCAGAAGGACCGCUCCAUCAUGAGCUGUGCAAAAAUUAGUAAAUUAAUUGAUCUCAAUGCAAAACAAGUAGUUAACAACUAAAUCAAAUUGACAAAACCCUAAGUAAUAAUAAAAAAACUAACAACUAAAUCAAAUUGACAAGGUAGAAAAACACCAUUGAUGGAAUCAACUAAACAUAUACCUUGAUUCACUAUAAUAAAUUUGAUAAGGAAACAUGGAAAUGGUCAGAGGAGAGGCAUCAUCUUAAGCAACCUCAUACAUGAAAAAUACAUAUUGCAUAAUGAAAUCAAAUUUACAUAAAAAUGAACAUCCUAAACAAUAGAAAACUUAUCUUUCUCUUUCUUCCCAAGCAUGGAAACACCAUUCAUGGAAAGCACUACAUAUAUAUUUCUUGGAUUCACUAAUUAGAGAAGAAAACAUAGAAAAAAAGAGAGGAGAGACUUCAUCUAACCAUCUUAAGCAACCUCAUUUGAGCAAAUAUAGUCCAUACCUAGCUAUUCUACUCUCUCUCUCAUGGUGAAACCCUAGAUCCAAAAAGAAGCUCUAAUUGAGCAAGAGGGCACAAAAAGAGCCUUUAGAGGCAUCAACUAACCUUUCUUAGCCACCUCCUUCCAAGAAAUGAAGAUCAAAACCUCCCCCCUUGUAUUUUGGAAAAACUGGACCUCCAAGAUGUGCUCCAAUGGAAUGUGGCUACUACCUACAGUUCUGCCCGAGGAGGAAGAAGGGGUUCUGGGGUAUUUAUAAAAAGAAUACCACAGGCAGUUUGCUUAGGAAACUGCCUGUGUAAAUCCUUUAACACAGGCGGUUCACAUAAGAAAACUGCUUGUGUUAAUGCUCCAUUUACACAGGCGGUUUCCUUAUGUGAACCGCUUGUGCAAAUCCAUUAACACAGGCGGUGCACAUAAAGAAACCGCCUGUGUAAAUAGAGCAUUAACACAGGCGGUUUUCUUAUAUGAACCGCCUGUAAAGACCUGUUUACACAGGCGGUUUUUAAAUCUUGCCGUACAAAUUUACACCACAGGCGUGUUACAACUAUAACCGCCUGUGAAAAUUUUUUGCCCCCGCCAGCUUAGAGCAUCUGUGUACUAGUGCUCGUGGCUUUUGGAGUCUUCUAGAUGUAAGAUAAUUGCACGGCACGUUGAUAUCUCUAUGUAAUCCCGACGUGUGGGCCUUUCUUCCGUAUUUCCUGUUAACCCCCUGCAGAAAUAGACAAACACCAAAACUCGUGGAAUUCUAUAAGAUAAAACCCUAAGUCUAGAUGUUGAUUUCAUUUGGAUCCUUUUUCUUUGUUUAUUUGAUAAUUAAAUUUGAUACUUAAGGACCGUGAACACAUGUAUGAGUGAACGUGCAAGUGAAUCUUGAUUUUAACCGCAUGACAAGCUCCUAAGGGUUCUACACAGCUUGACCAUACUCAAUGCUCAUAAGCAGUAAAAAGUAAAUGUAUGGUUCAUAGUCUAAUAAGCCUGUAUAUAUGGCUGUGGUAGGAUUUUAAACUCUCAUCAUACAGGAACUCAUCAUGCAACAUUUUAAAGAUUUUCAAAGAUAAAAUUCUCUAGAAUUCUAGCAUCUCUAGGAACAGAUAAACAGCAGCUCAACCUUCCCAUAUUGUAUCCGUUAGCGACUUAGACUUUAGAUCAAGUACUCUUCCCACAAGUUUAGGUUUAGAGCAAAUCUUAAUUAAUAACAGUCAUGCCUAAACUUGAGAGAUAUUUCAAUUUUAAGAACUAGUCAUGGAGGAGCAACUAUUCAUCAUUUCCAUGUGAGAGCUUAUCAUGAGGGUUCAUAGCAAACUUUAUUUAUUUAUUUAUUUAUUUAGCAAACUAAGCAAAGAUAUAUAUAUGAGCACAAAAUCUUUAUUUGGGUUUUUAUGAUUAUGCAUCAUUUUAUUAUUUGAGUAAAGCAUAAACUUGAGUAGAACACUUAGCUUGAUAAUUGGGGUGCUCUCCUCCAAGCUGGAUUUUGACAUAAUUUUUUUCUGAUGUAGCUAGCAGGUGGCGGAGGUGUAUUUGAAUGUCGGCAGCACCCUGACAGCGAUUAGGAUGUCCUCCGUCUGCUUAGUCUUCUUUGAUCGUUGAAUUCUGUGGAGCUCAAAUAGACAACAAAGCUUUGUGGAACUAGUUAAGUGUUAGCAUAAAUAUCUAGCCUUAUCAUGUUGAGCUCCUCAAUAAAUGUUACUCUCUUUAGUAGAUCAUAAUCUUAUUUUUAUAUUUUCAUUUUUAUAGGACAGAAAUAUAUUUAUUUUAUUUUUACGCCACCACAGUGAAUGUACUUAUGGGUUUUAUGCCAUGAGCAUACUCACAUGGGGCUUACUAUUUUUAACAUUUUCAUUUUCUUUUCAAGAUAGCAUGAUUAACUAACAAGCCAUUUAAUGAAAGUAAAUAAUUUAAGAGAAAAGGAAAUGCUGAAAGGAUAAAUAUGGAUAACUACCGAGUUUACCUUUCGGCGAGGGUUCAAUGUUUUAAGUCUUCUCACCGUGUUCAUUCUUUAGGUGCGUCACUUGAUUCAGGUGUGGACCUUGACGUCUGCACCUCUUGAUACGGUGUCACCCAUGUUCUUCCUUUGCCCAACAGUUCGAAGUGUGGCGUUGGCAACAUCCUGGUGGAGUCUGGGAGUUGUAAAACUCCUCCAUAUUUUGCUCGAAGUGUACCUAGUCAUAGAGACAAGGCAGAGACCAAGUGCAUGGGCCCUGUUGGUGGAAAACACCAACAAAACCAAAAGUGUAUUUGUUCUUCUCCAACCUUGAGCAUAGUGAGCAAGACAAAGUUGAUGGAUAAUAAGAUCAUGAGUGUAGCAUUUAAAACAUUUGUCACAUCAGAUCGCUCAACCUGAUGGAAAGAUAAUCUAUCUAUACUUAUGUUUUUUUAUAUCGUCCAAAGAUUGCGUGUGCAACAUUUUAGCUCAUAUGAUUAGGAGUGUGGGAUCAUGGAAGGACUAAACAUAUUGAAUCGAUUGGGUUGGUUAAUCUAGAGUUGUAAAUCAUAUAUGUUUGUCUCUUUUAUUCAUGUGAACGCCAGAACUAAGGAGAAGCUUAUAAAAGUGAUAGUCAAGUACCUUAAUAUGUUACCUUACUUGAAGAGUGAUGGUACAGAAUCACCUUGUGGAAGCUUUCCUUUCUUAGCGAUUGUGCAUCGUGUUUGUGACACCCUCCAUGCAUCAUCUCUUGUGAGCUAUGCCUUCCUUGUGUAAAUUGUUAACCUUCAUGUGUCUCUCUCUUUGUCUCCAAUGUGAGUUUAUCUCAGGACUUCCCAGGUCGAUAUUGAAAGUUUUCCUACAGGGGUUAGUCCAACAAAAUAUCCCAUAUCUACUAUAGCAUACUAUUAGCUCAAAAAUCAACCUAGACACCAUGUCUAAUUUGAUAUAGGAGAGCAUUUUAACCUAAGCACCAUGCUUAAUUUAAAAUCCCUUGGAAGUAAGAUCAUCAUUCCUAAACUAAGCACCAUGCUUAAUUAAGAGAUAAAUGAAACUACUCCAAACCUAAACAUAUACUAAAGCAAAUAGAGGUAGCAUGAGAGCAUUUAUAGAGAUCUACUCAAAUGGAGAUGAAGUAGUGUGAUUAGUAUUUAACAAAUUGAGCAUGUCUAAAAGGUAGGGACAACCAACAUAGCAACAUGGCAAAGGAUGUUUUUAUGUAAAGUACUCCCCCAAGCUUGAAUUUUGCAAAAUUCAAGUUUGGAUGAAUUUAAUUCAAUGUUGUAUGAUGAUUCGUUGGACAUACCUUGUGCUUGUCAUUCAUCCGAUCUGCUUGCUCCAAGCCUAGAAAGGUUAGUGAUAAGAAUACCCGAAGGAAUUUUUUUACAAUUAUCCCUAUAUGCUCAAAACACAAGGUAAUGUUGCAAAUAAUUAAAAGCUCAUGUUACGAUCUGAUCAGUGCUUAUUUUAGGACACUAAGCUUGUCCUUAGGAAACCAUCAAUUUAUGUUGGUGAAGUGGUUUCCCCUCCAACGCUAACCUAUAUCAACUCAACAAGAUUUGCAAAAUUUAUUAUAGACAUAUGCAUCGACAACCGCGCUUUUAAAGUUUUUAUAAAUAGAAAGGAAGAGGGGUUGGAGAUCUCGAAUGUGGUGAUGUUGGAGAGACCACUAGAUUGGGAAGAUGUUGCAUAUGAGCAUAGAGUAAACAAAGUGUCUAUGAAAUAAAUUCCAUUCUCAUUAAUGUUUGGAGUGAAAUCCAUGUGGUAAAAAAGAAAAUAAAAAGGAUACACGGAUGACUUGGUUCGAAACUAGCACAGCUACCGUUCCCCGGCAACGGUGCCAGAAAGCUUGUUGGGUAUUUUAAAUGCAAACAGAAAAAUCCACAAGUGCACGGAUACCGAUGUAGCUUUCACCCAGGAGUAUUCCAGAGUAUCGAUUUUCCACAGGGAACGUGAGUGUACUAAUUAAGAUUCAAGAUCGCCUAAGGAUAACUAUAUAAUUAUUUUUGGUGGGAAGAGAGAAAGUUUCUUGAGAGUUCUCUAGUUGAUCUAAGAAUCAAGAAUUACUUCAAAAAUUAUUUAUUUUGGGACAUCAGAACGCUAACCACAGAAAGAGAUGAGAAGGGGGCUAGGAAGCUCUGACUACGGUCCUACAAACACCGAUGCAAACGGGGUGGAAUACGUCGACCGUUAGGGCUGUCACUACCCUAGGGCUACCACAACAAUCCGCAGGAUUGGGUGCAAUUCCAGGUAAUUGUAAGACUAAACACCGCGUCUAAUCUAUUAAUUACUACUCUAGCGUUUCAAAGACUAGAGCACUUGAUGCAAGCAGGAAUCCAAUAAAUAACUUGAAUGUAAAUAAAAGUAAUUAAAGAACUCAGGAAUUAUGAAUUGAAGAACUUGGAGAACGAUGAAGAACGAACCAGUUGCUGCAAAAGUACAAUGUUGAGGAAGAUCCGACAGAUCCGGCUCCUCCUCCGCUCUCCUCUUCUCUCUCCCUAUUUUCUAGAUUACAACUAGAACUAACUAGAACUAGAACUAGAUAAACUAGAACUAGAUGAACUAGAAGAACAAGCACAAGGUAUGUCCAACCAAUCAUCAUACAACAUUGUAUUAAAUUCAUCCAAACUUGAAUUUUGCAAAAUUCAAGCUUGGGGGAGUACUUUACAUAAAAACAUCCUUUGCCAUGUUGCUAUAUUGGUUGUCCCUACCUUUGAGACAUGCUCAAUUUGUUAAAUACUAAUCACACUACUUCAUCUCCACUUGACAGAUCUCUAUAAAUGCUCUCAUGGUACCUUUAUUUGCUUUAGUAUAUGUCUAGGUUGGAGUAGUUUCAUUUAUCUCUUAAUUAAGCAUGGUGCUUAGUUUAGGAAUGAUGAUCUUACUUCCAAAGGAUUUUAAAUUAAGCAUGAUGCUUAGGUUAAAAUUCUCUCCAAAAUCAAAUUAGACAUGGUGUCUAGGUUGAUCUUUGAGCCGAUAGUAUGCUAUAGUAGAUAUUGGAUAUUUUGUUGGACUAACCCCUGCAGGAAAACUUUCAAUAUCGACCUGGGAAGUCCUGAGAUAAACUCACAUUGGAGACAAAGAGAGAGACACAUGAAGUUUAACAAUUUACACAAGGAAGACAUAGCUCACAAGAGAUGAUACAUGGAGGGUGCCACAAACACGAUGCACAACCGCUAAGAAAGGAAAGCUUCCACAAGGUGAUACUGUACCAUCACUCUUCAAGUAAGGUAACAUCUUAAGGUACUUGACUAACAAUUUUAUAAGCUUCUCCUUGGUUUUGGCGUUCACAUAAAUAAAAGAGACAAACAUGUAUGAUUUACUACUCUAGAUUAACCAACCCAAUCGAUUCAAUAUGUUUAGUCCUUCCACCUUUGUGAUCCCACACUCCUAAUCAUAUGAACUAAAAUGUUGCACAUUCAAUCUUUGGAAGAUAUAUAAACAUAAGUAUAGAUAAAUUAUCUUUCCAUUAGGUUGAGCGAUCUGAUGUGACAAAUGUUUUAAAUGCUACACUCAUGAUCUUAUUAUCCAUCAACUUUGUCUUGCUCACUAUGCUUAAGGUCAGAGAAGAAUAAAUACACUAUUGGUUCUGUUGGUGUUUUCCACCAACAGGGCCCUUGCACUUGAUCUCUGCCUUGUCUCUAUGAGCAGGUACACUUCGAGCAAAAUAUGAAAGAGUUUUACAACUCCCAGACUCCACCAAGUGAAGAACCUAGAUCAACGAGUACACACACUAGAGAUACUGGACACUCAGGCAAUCACUGCCCUGAGAUGCUGGAGGACGUAAUUAUUGGAGUAACCCCGUUGUGGAAGUUACUACUGACCUUCUGCCAGUCAAGAGAAGCGAUCCAAGACGCCCUAUCAUCCCGAUCUUCAUCGGCAUGGUGAACUUCCCAGAAGCACUCUGUGACUUUGGCUCCAACGUCAACAUUAUGCCCAGGCUUGCAGAUCAGACACUAAGUUUCCCAAAGGGAAUAUUGAAGAACUUCUGCGUCCAAGGAGGCCAUUCGUGAACACCUCAGGAGCUGUCAUUUACGCUAGUGCUGCCAAGAUCAGUUUCUACAUCAAGGGGAGGAAGGAGACGUUUUCCUUCAAGAACAAGACUACACAAAUCUCAGAGCAAUCCCGACAUGAACCAAGGAAGAGGACCAACAGGAGGAACAAGAACAGGCAAAUGUAGACCGAGUCAGCUAAGAUGGUUACUGCAGUUCAAGGAGGUCAAGACCGUCGACUUAAGUCACCGUUCCUGACCAAAAAGGACGACCCAGUCACCUAUCAGCUCCUAUUCGGAAUCAUGCCCUUAAAACCAACAUACAUUCAGCUCCAGAUGAUUUAAAGGUUAUUGACAUGGGAGAAGACGAACACGAUCCACCCAUCAUCCUUGGAAGACCGUUCCUCAACACUGUUAAAGCAAUCAUCUAGAUUGGAACCAGAGAAGUCCACAUGCACUUCCCCUCUAAUAAGGUACGCCGCUAUUUUACUGACCUUAAUUAUAUAGUUGAAGACUCUAAGCAGGUCAGGACAAGAAGAAGACGACGCAACCGUAACCAGAGAAGGCAAAAUCAUCAAGGACGGAUGGGUAGACUAUGAAGGAGAAGUUGUAAGGUCUGAAGACAUACAACUUGAACAGAACUGUCCUGAGGAGACCGUAGCACCGAGUCAGGUGUGGAGAGAGAAGAUAGUUAUACAUGAAGAGGAGGCGCCGCCGGAACCACCCACUACGUCAUCCAGCGAAUCCCAGGACGAAUGAGAAAACGGAGAGUCCCGUUCGGAGGACGUAAAAACACCGAACGCCUUGCCAAAAGGUAAACUUGGUAGUUAUCUUUUCCCUUUCAAUUAUUUAAAAUAGUUUGGUUAGUUAAUCAGGUUCAUAUCAUCUUGAAAAUAAAAUAAAAAUGUUAAAAAUAGUAAGCCCCAUGUGAGUAUGCUCAUGGCAUAAAACCCAUAAGUACAUUCACUGUGGUGGCAUAAAAAUAAAAUAAAUAUAUUCCUGUCCUAUAAAAAUAAAAUUAUAAAAAUAAAUUUAUGAUCCUACUAAAGAGUGUAACAUUUAUUAAGGAGGCUCAACAUGAUAAAGGCUAAAUAUUUAUGCUAACACUUAACCAGUUCCACAAAGCUUUGUUGUCUAUUUGAGCUCCACAAAAUUCAAGGAUCAAAGAAGAAUAACAGACGGAGGACAUCCUAAUCGCUGUCAGAGUGCUGCCGACAUUCAAAUACACCUCCGCCACCUGCUAGCUACAUCAGAAGAAAUUACGUCAAAAUCCAGCUUGGGGGAGAGCACUCCCAUUUAUCUAGCUAAGUAUCCUACUCACGUUUAUACUUUACUCUAAUAAUAAAAAGAUGCAUAAUCAUAUAAACCCAAAUAACGAUUUUGUGCUUACAUAUAUAUCUUUGCUUAGUUUGCUAAAUAAAUAAAUAAAUAAAUAAAGUUUGCUAUGAACCCUCAUGAUAAGCUCUCACAUGGAGCUUGUUGACGGUCCUUAAAGCUCACAUUUAACCAUCAACUAAUCAUAGAAAAGGAUCCAAUUGCAACCAACACCUAGACUUAGGGUUUUAUCUCACAGAAUUCCACGAGUUUUGGUGUUUGUCUAUUUCUGCAGGGGGUUAUCAGGAAAUAUGAAAGAAAGGCCCACACGUCGGGUUUACAUAGAGAUAUUAACGUGCCGCGCAAUUUUCUACCAUCUAGAAGACUCCAGAAGCCACGGGAACGAACGGGAGGCCGAUCGGGCCCGGGGGCAGGGCGCCCGCCCAAGUCCCUUGGGUGCCCGCCCUGCGACAGUAACCAAUCAGCUUCAACUUCGCGGAUCGUGCUCCACCGACCUAAGGGACCAAGGAAAACCGUGCGAUUAAUGUCGGUUUGAUCCGACGGCCCAGAUUCAUCUGAAAAGACUAUAUAAGCAAGGCCCCCUGGCCCCUGGAGAGCAUACCUCUUCUACAGAAUCAAAGUUAGGGUUUCAAUUCUUCAUCCAAGUAGAGAGGAUCCCUCUAGUUCUUCUAGUUCUACCUCUAGUUCAUCUAGAUCUUGUUCUAGUUCAUCUAGUUCUAGUUCUAGUUCUUCUAGUUCUAGUUCCAGUUAGUUCUAGUUGUAACCUAGAAAAUAGGGAGAGAGAAGAGGAGAGCGGAGGAGAUCCGGAUCUGUCGGAUCUUCCUCAACAUUAUACUUUUGCAGCAUCUGGUUCGUUCUUCAUCGUUCUCCAGGUUCUUCAAUUCAUAAUCCUGAGUUCUCUAAUUACUUUUAUUUACAUUCAAGUUAUUUAUUGGAUUCCCGCUUGCAUCAAGUGCUCUAGUCUUUAUAACGCUAGAGUAGUAAUUAAUAGAUUAGACGUGGUGUUUAGUCUUGCAAUUACCUGGAAUGACACCCAAUCCUGCGGAUUGUUGUGGUAGCCUUAGGGUAGUGACAGCCCUAACGGUCGCCGUAUUCCACCUCGUUCGGAUCGGUGUUUGUAGGAUCGUAGUCGGAGCUUCCUAGCCCUCUUCUCAUCUCUUUCUGUGGUUAGUGUUCUGAUGUCCCGAAAUAGAUAAUCUUGAAGUAAUUCUUGAUUCUUAGAUCAACUAGAGAACUCUCAGGAAACUUCCUCUCUUCCCACCAAAAAAAACAAUUAUAUAGUUAUCCUUGGGCGAUCUUGGAUCUUAAUUAGUACACUCACGUUCUCUGUGGAAAAUUGAUACUCUGGAUUACUCCCGGGUGAAGGCUACAUCGGUAUCCGUGCGCUUGUGGAUUUUUCUGUUUGCGUUUAAAAUACCCAACAGUGACUUAUACAUAACUUAUGGCAGUAGCUAGAGCUAAGUGUUUUCAGGCCGAUUGAGUAAUAACUAGCAAAUAUAUCCAUUCGUUACAGCCAGAGAAAAAUAAUUCUUACACACAUAAUGGACAAAGACUAUUACAGUUGAAUUUGUUGACUUUUCUAUACCUUCAUUGAACAAAAUAAAAGGCACUAUAUUUCUCAUAACACCUUAUUGGGGGUCAACUUGCCGUAAAUUACUAGAGCAUUUUCACGUGUCUAUGAGCACUCGAGCACACUAACGCAUGGUAUCAGGGCCCUACUUCUUUUCGUGACGCAUAGCAGGACAUAAGCAUACGUCCCGUAUCCUAGUCCCUUGCUACGCGGUACGUCCUAUGGGUUAAGGGAUCUACGGCCGCCUAGAGUGCAAGAAUGGUGAGUCCUGGUGUCAAAGCUCUCGAGUUUCGACUGUCAAAACCACGACGUGUAGGCUUGAGGCGCGUGACGAUGACUCCAUUUUGCUAUGUGUGAUGUCGUUUUAAGCAGACACCCAUGGCCACUCCAUGAGGCCCGCGACAUGUAGCAUGGUGAACGGGCGGUGUGACUGGCCGAACGGCUUGGCCAUGGUGGCUUAAAGCCAAUCAAACGCAUCUAACUGAUAUAUCAUAUUUCAUAGGAAUCCUAAUCUAAAUAAAAAAAGCCUCUUAAAGCCACUCAAAAGCUAUCUUUAUCUUUAUGAUAAAAAUCCCAAAAUGUGUGGAUAAAAUUUUUAAUACAUAUAAAUAUUUUGCCCUCUAUGCAGUAUAGCUAAUUUUAUCUAAUUUUUAGCUAACUAGUAAUUAGUUAUUGUAUCCAAAUAUUGUAUAAGUUUAGCCUAUCCAAAUAAUUUUGCGUUGGACAUGUUAAGUACGCGAUUUGACAAAUAACUUUUAACACUUGAUUAAAUUUGUAGAAAUGGCCAAUCCAAAUGACAACAUGGAUGAUGCAAUGAUGGACCUAAUCAACAGCGACGCCAAUCCAGAUCCCCGAGGCGAAGAUGGUGGGAGUCAGUACCUUACUGAUUAUGAAGAACUUGUGGGAGAAAAUCCUGAUGAGGUCUAUCUAUAAUCUAGUAUAUAUGUAUAUAUAUAAAAUUAAAAUAAAUGGCAUUUGUAUUAAUAUAUUUAUAAUUGUUUGUGUAGCCCUCUAAAUCAGCGACAACUUCUGAGAAGAGUAGAAAAGUGCGCGGCCCAAAGAAGUCGUUGGAGGGUCGGUAUAUUCUAUCAGAAUUCGAUGAGGGUACUGGACAAGCACUUGGGGCCAAUUCUAAAAAAUUUGUUGCACACUGUGGCUACCUUAUAAGGGACAAGCUCCCGGUCAGUGCUCACGAAUGGAGGCAAUGGAAACAUAACUCUAAUAUUAGUUUUGUCUCAGAUCGUGGCAAAGAAUUGAUUUGGCUAGAUAUCCUUCAACAUUUCACGCUCGAUACACAAGAUGAAGCUUUGAAGGAGAAGGUUAAAAUCUGGGCUAUGCAGAAGAUGGCCAAACAAUUUCAAGCUUGGAAGAAGACAUUAUACAGGACUUUUGUUGCACAUGGCCGGACACCGGAUUUCACCAACAAGGCCUACGUCAAGUUGAGGCCUUUUUGGGAUGAGUUUGUAGAGUUUAAUAACUCAGAAGAGGGUCAGGCAUGAAUGAUCAAGAAUCAUGAAAAUGCUAAACAAAAGCAAUACCACCAUCACUUGGGUCAGGUGGCUACAGGACUGCUAUUCCUAAGUGGCAAAAGCUGGAGCAGGAGAUUCUUGAGAGAGGGAUCGAACCAGAAUCACUGCUGUCGCCUGAGCGUGCCAAGUAUUGGUUCUUCAGUCACAGGGGAACCAUAGACCUAGAGACCGGAAAGGUAGUGUACGGCGAAAAGCUCUAGAGAGUAGGACAGAGAAUGGCCUAUGCUAGAUGAUUAGUUGAAAGUGGCACCUGGCAGCCAAAUAGAGAGAAGGAUGAGCUGACAUACGCCCUAGAGACUGCUGAACACAGUGGGUGAACAAGAGGCUAUGGGGAGGUAUCGUGGGUGCAUGGCUUCCCUAAAGAUAGAACAUAUUAUAGAAGCCACCAAAGAAAGAAGGAAGAGGAAGCAGAGCGGUUGCGUAGGUUGGAGGCAAUGGUGAUGGAGUCACGCGAAGCGGCUCGUGAAGCGAUAGCGUGAGAGAGAGCGCUUGAAGAGAGAAUGAACAAGGAGAUCAAAAGACAAGUGCAGAUGGCAGUAAGUUCUAUACAAAGGCAAACUGCAUCAGAGCCUGGAGUCAACAUUAGCCCCCCUGAAGGGUCGAGAUGGCGGACUAGAGGGGGGUGAAUAGUCCUUUCUAAAACUUUAACACGCUGGCUAACCGAAACAAGUGCGGAAUUAAAACUAUCAGUCUAGCCAAGACUAUACCCCUCUAUCUAAGUUCUCUAGCACCUUGAAAAGAUCCUAAACAAGCAAGCAAGGUGCUACCUUAGCAAGAGCUCACCUAACCAAAUCUAGAAGCAAGGUCACACAAACCUAUGCAACUAGUAUUUUGCAAACCGAGGGAGCUCCUACACAAACUAGUGAGGCAAAGCACACAAAGCCUAAGCUCACUAGCAAGCUCAAUAACAAGGCAACUAAUGCCAAACUAGAGAGCGCAACUUACUUAGCUACACAAACUAAGCAAUGUGACUAACAAGGUUACACAAACCAAAUUAGUCACGCAAGGGAACUACAUCUAGCUACACAAGCAAGAAGGUAACUAGCAAGCUACACAAGCUAACUAAUUACAUGAGCAACUACACAAGCACAAGUAUAUGAAUGUAAGAACAAGCUUAUGUUAGAGACUUGCAAACCAACAGGAAGAACAAUGUUGACACAAAGAUUUUCUCCCGAGAUUCACUUGGUUGCCACCAAGCUACGUCCCCGUUGAGACAAGCUCCAAGGUUGCCGCUGGUCCUCUUGCUAGUGGUGACCCGCAAGUCACACUCUCCCACAUGGAGUGCUUACCACAAGCUCUAGCACUUGAUCCGGCUGGACCACUUGUCGCUCUUCACGUCUCGCUCAACUAGAGUUGCUCUUUGCGAUCCCCACGGGGUGAGCACCGUACCCCACACAAUCUCUUCUCCGGAGCACCGCACAAUCUCCUUGCUUGCUUCGAUGGAGUCACAAGCCACCAAGCCAUCUAGGAGGUGGCAACCUCCAAGAGUAACAAGCAUCAUCGGCUUGCAACACGAACACCUAUUGCCACUCGAUGCAAUCUCUCAAUGCAACGCACUAGAAUCGCUCACUCACACAAUCGGAUGAUCACUAUCAAGCAUAUGUGAGUUAGAGGCUUUACUAGCACUCCCCAAGCAUGGACACUAAGUCCCAAGGGUGCUCAGCACUAGCCAAGUCUGUCCACCACUUCUAUUUAUAGCCCCAAGGGCUAAACUAGCCAUUGGCCCUUCACUAGGCAAAAGUCGUGAGCACCGGACUCACUGCAGGUAGCACCAGAUGCUGGAACAGUGCAUUCGGUGCUCUAGAAAUAGCCAUGUGUCACUAGCCGUUUGAACUUGACCGUUGCCGUCAACUGCUAGCACAUGCACGCGCAUCUAGAACAGUAGCACCGGACGCUCUGUUGCUUCACACCGGACACGUCUUGUGCGCACCGGACGCAUACGAAGAGAGCAACACAAACUUACAGCAGCACCGGACUCACAGCGUCCUGUGCGUGCAGUUCAACUUGUUAGGUUGCUAACUUCUAACUCCAAACUCCGAAUUUGAUGAUCUUGGACAUUUUGGAAAGCUUACUUAGAGUGCUAUCCAAUCUAUAUGAAUACUCAAUCCAAAUCAGAAUAGAUCAAUGCAGUAUUCCAAUCUAAAAGCCAUCCUAAUGUUCGGAGUACACCGAAAGACUUCUCUCUCUUCUCUAAGUUGAUCAAAAUCAACUCCAACACCUUCUCCUUUGCAAAUGUGCCAACAACACCAAGUGUACACCACCAUGUGCAAGUGUGUUAGCAUUUUUACAAACAAUUUCCCAAAGAAGUUAGCCUCUCAACUUGCCACGCCACUCGAUCCUAACACGUAUGCAAAGUUAGAUCGCUCAAGUGGCACUAGAUGACCGAUAUGCCAACAAGUUUGCCCCUCUUGAUAGUACGGCCAUCUAUCCUAAAUCCAGUCAUAAACUUCUCUACACACCUAUGACCGUUGAAAUGGAAAUGCCCUAGGUUAUACCUUUGCCUUGCGCAUUCCAUUCCAUAUCCUCCAAUUUUGAUGCAACACAUGCACCAACCAAUCACCAAAUGAUAUGAUCCACUUCAUAUCAUCACGUGACCAUAUUGGUUCAUCGAUCUUGACCUCACUUGCUCUUCACCAUUGCCUCGGUCCAUCGGCGCCAAGUCUUGCUCAAGCUUCACCAUCACAUGCGGUCCCUCGCUUCAAAGCCUCCGACUUGCCCUUCACUCUUGGAACCGGUCCAUCGAGCCAAGCCUCAUCUUGAUCUUCUCCACCUUGGUCAUAUGACUCCAUGUCAUGUCUCAUGUGCAAUGAGCUCCUACAUCAUCAUAUCGUCACCUGUGGACUAAUCUCCUGUGUAUCUCACAUAAACACUAUUAGUCCACCUAAGUUGUCACUCAAUUACCAAAACCAAAGAAGGACCUUUCAAUCUCCCCCUUUUUGGUAAUUGAUGACACCUCUACAAAGAUAUGGAAAUUAAGCUUUUUCAAGCUAGCACUUCACACAAGUGUAAAUUGCUAUCUUGAUUUGGAAUUUAUGCUACUUUUCCAACAUUUAAGCUCUAUGUCAAGAUUUGGAUAAGCACCAUAAAACCCUACUAAAUGCUAAGGUGUAUAGAAUAAACCUUUGUAGCCCGAUACCAAAUUCGAUAGCAUUUGAAGCAUUCAACUGUACACCAUCCUUAGCACCAUGUGUAGCUAGACAACAAAAACACUAGAAACCCCGUGAGAUCAACAUUAUAAGCAAGGGUCUAGUUUUUACUUGAAAAGCAUUAGUCUAGUUGCAAACCUAUGCAUGCUAGUUAUCAUAUCAUCAAUCAAGUUCUAUAACUAGCAUACAUCACACAAGCAUGAAUAUUGAAUUUAAACACUUAUGCAAUGCAAGCAAGCACAUGAAUAUGCACAUAUCAAAUGCAAACAAUCAAUGUUCAUGAGCUUGCUCCCCCUACUUGUGUGCUUCUCUUUUGUCCAAGAAUUUUGAUCCAUCAUCUUUUCUUUUAAUGUUGCUCCCUUAUCCAUGUCCAUCUUUGAUCUCUCCCCUUGAAAUAUAUCUUUUGUUGUCCAACUUAUCCCAUGGUCAUAUCUUUGUUCCAACUUCUCCCCCUUUGUCAUCAAUUUCCAUAAAAGGUAUGUGAUACCAAUUAAAUCAUUUCGUACCAAUUAAAAAAUGUGAAUCUCAUUGUGACAAAGGAUUGCAUUGGGAUAGAUGGUUGAGGCUUGAAUCUUGCAUUUUUUAUGGACAUUACCAUGUGUUGGAAUGACAUUACUUGAAUUGCUCUUGAGAUACCACAUAGGAUCUUUGACCUUGAUACCAUUUGGUGGGGCACUCCCCCUAUGUCAUAUCAUGUGUCAUUCACUUGUCAAUCUUGUUGGUGAGGGAACUUUCUUUGCUUGAUGAUCAUUUAAAGUUGAGGAUCACUUGUAAAACCACCUUCUUGUAUGAUAGAUACCAUGUGAUAUCAUUUGAAAUAUCUUGUCUGAUACCAUAUGGGAUUCUUCUACCAAUUAAGGUCUUCUAGUAUGGAACCACUUGUUUGCUAUCUUGAAUAUUUGCUAUCAUCAUCAUGAGUACCAAUUGUUGGAUACUAAUUGAAGAAACUUUUAAGUCUAGAUACCCACUUGCAUUGUUGUCUUGUUCUUGUACUCUAAUCACUAUGAGCUUCUAAUUUUUGACUUGAACUAAGUUGAUUUGCCUAAGCUUCCAAGUUCGGUUUGAACCAAUGAGAAGCUUUUUCACACCUCAAAUUAAGGGUUAUCUUGCCAAUGUUGUACUUGUCACUUAUUAACAAUCCAAAAUAGAUCAAGUACUUGGGUUCACUAGCUCAUGAGCAAACUCAUAUACAUACCACUAGAUCAAUUAAUGUAGCACCCGGUUUUAAAAACAAAACCUGAUACACACCAUAUGUGAGCCCAGGAUGUCAAAUCUCACAUAUAGCUACAAAUAAGGGUAAUAUCAAUAGACAAUGCUUAUAUAUAACGAACUUAGUAUAAAAGAUAUAACCUUAGAUAUCAAAUAGCGGAAAGACACUCCGUUCUUCAGGCGAAAGCUCCAAAUCCACAAGGACAACUGACUGGUUGAGCACAAGCCUAAACUCUUCUCCAAACUAGCAAUCUGGUACCCAUCCGGAAUUUUUAUCCAAAUAAAAUGUAAAGGCAAGCGUAAGUACAUCUCGUACUCAGCAAGAAUAACAUAGGGUUCAUGAGGCUUAAAGGCUAGACACUAGUUUAACUGCAUGUAGCUUUUAGUUGUCACAAUUUUAGCAUUUGAGUAGCAUCAAGUUGUCGAGUCCCAAAGCAACUCAUGAUCAAAUAAAGUGAAUAAAGAAUAUCAUAAACAACAAAUUAACAACAAUAACUUUAAUAAUUUGUCAUUAGUGAUUAUUUAUUCUGUAUUGGUCCAAGGCCGCUUGUAACCGUGAGCACGGCUGAUAUAUCAGUUUUACACUCUGCAGAAGUUGUACACUUUCAUUGUGAGUCAUGAUUUACCCUUUCGCCCGAGGUAGCUAAUCUCUUAACCCCCUUCCUAGGGAGGCCGACAGGGUUCACUAUGAAGCCUUUCAAAGGUUCGUCUAACAAGUUAGGGCCGCUUGGUUUCAUUAGUCUGUCCAUGUGAUUCACCCGCAGGUAUCCACGGUCUGCUAUUCCCCAUUUGCGCCACAAGGGUAACCACUAACAAGCUAGAAAAGGUCCUCAUACUAAGCUAAAGCCAGAGCCAUGUAGCCCUCACAGUCGUACUUUAUGUCCCACAUGGUCAUAUACAGAUAAGUCCUUAUGGAGAGAAACUAGAGCACAAUAAGAUAGCCCAAUGCUCCAGCCCUCUAUACCAAAGUUGCUAAAAAGUCAUCUUUUAAUGUCUAUUGCAUAUUCCAUUAAUCAAAUUAUAGGAUCAUGGUUUAGUGGAGCACUAGCAUAAGCUACCCAAUGCAAAACCAUAGGUGACAAGGUAUAAGAUCAAUACUAGGAAAUCCUUAGCAAGAAGACACAUGCAUAAUGAAUUGUGUGAUUAAAGAUGUUAGGAAACAAGGAUGAUCCCAUGCUAUACUUGUCUUGAAACUCAGAUCCUUCUUUUAGUUCCAAACCUUCCACAAACUACUUCUUCAUCACCACGUAAAAGCUCACCGUCUAAACUCAGUCAUCGCAUCAACAACAAUCAUCCAGAGGCAAUCAUACAAAGCAAACAAACCUAUAAUUAGAACAAUACACCAACAGUAGAAAAUAAAGAUGAAAAGUUUAUAAAAUGAAUCUACGUUGCACUACGAUCACACAGACAUAAAGAUCACGAAAAUCGGAGAUAUAACGAAAAAGAUAUGAAUUUUCUAUGAUUUUCUUUAGAAAAGUAAUUAAUUAAAUAGGAUAACGAAAAUAAAAAGUUGUAAACUUGUAAAACAGUGAGACUAACAUGUAGAUCUUGUGAUUACAAAUCUAACGCAAUUUGAAUGGAUCAAAUCGGAGUUAAAAUGAAGAUUUUAUGAGCUAAACAAAUCUAGUGGCAAUUUUGUAAUCACUGAAAACGUAUUUUGAUUUAGAAACUAAGAUAAACUAAUUGGAGCAGAGCACACGCCCUGGCGGCCAGCCAUUGGCAGCAGUGAGCUUCUAGCCGGCGAGCAUGAAACUUGAGCCUACGGCCAUGAUUUGAUGCGGGGAAAACAAACUCACUAAUAGAGAUUUCGCAGAUAGGUACGAAGCGGAGAUGGAAAGCAGGGCGACGGGCGGAUCGACACCGGACUGAGGGUGAUCACGUUGUAGAGAAGAAAAUAUAAUUUUAUUUUACUACCUUAGGAAUUCUCAAAUUUGAGGCUUUCCAUAUGAUAGUCUUUGGUGUGCUUUGCCUAAGGGGUGGGUACACAUAUAUAGGGAGAAAAAACUCCCCACCUCCACGUCAACUAGCCAUAUUGUACUAAUUGAUUUGCAACCUUCAUCUUUACUAAUAGGCCUAAUUAAUUAUUAAAGCCCAUUAGUAAAUAAAGACAUGGGCCUUAAGCGUUGGAGAAAAAUGAGAUAUUUAUUAUUUUCGGAAUUAAUUAAUUUCAUGGAUAAAAUAAUUUAAGAAAAAUCCAGAAAUAUUGUUUAAGCCACGAAAAAUACUCCGAAAGCUCCAAAAAUUCGAAGAAAAUUCUCAGAGACAUUAUGGAAUAUGAGGAACCCAAAUAAAGUAUUUGGAGCUCAAGAUGAGAUAAAUUGGAGCACCUAAAAAUUAGAUUAUGCUCACAGACAAGUGGAAACAAAUUUCAGAAAAAGCUAGAAAAAUUCCCAAUAAGAUUGUAGAUAUUGUUUGAUGAACGAGGAACUGAAAUGAGUGAGUUGGAUGACAAAGAAAAGAUUUUAGGAAGCUCCUAAUAAAAAUUUGAGCUCAGGAAAGGAAUUUGGCUGUAGAUAAAGAUAAAGAUGUACCGACCAAGGAAGAUCGUUCUACUUAACGCAAUUUUAAAAACUUUGCUUACUCUCAACACACAAAGGAGCAACAAGCAAACAUUACAUCAAAUCUUAUAUACCAGCAUGUAUGCACAACAAUGUUGCUAAGCCUUACGAUAAAUUUAAUUUAAUAAAAAAUAUUAUUUUUCCUAUAUUUUCAUGGGCACAGAAAUAUAUAAUCAAAUUGUUUUAACUCUAUUUCGAAAGGAGUAAAUUUUAGGGUGCUACAAUUAAUCAUUCAAGCAAUAGUGGUAGGCUAUGAAUUGAAAACUUUUCAUUUGUCAUGCAUGAUCCUAUUAAGCAUGUACUAUAUGCACUAACUGCAUACUAGUAAGGGAUGAAAUGACCAUGCACAUUACAAUGAUACCUUUGCUAUCUUGGAGUAGAGGAUAGUCACAUAGAUUCCAAUUAAUUUCUCCAAUAGCAAUGUGAAGUCCAAUUAUAAGCUUGGUGAAGACAAAUUAUAAAUGCCAAUUGAUAGAUCAAAUCUUCACCCAUAUGAAUUUGAGAACCACUUAGGAUCAAGUGCACUAUCUUGUUGUGGUUGCCUUGCUUCUUCUUUUGACCAUUGCUUGCAUGAGAGAACUACUAAGAAUAUCACUUGAAAUAGCAUGACUAGCUCUCUUUUGGGUUGUUGCUUGCUUUCUUGAUCAAUCCUUUUGAUUGCUUCAACUAAGCAUCUCAAAUGUCCUUUAGAUCACCACUUCCAUGUUAGACUUCCAAGCACCACACUUGGUUUACCCACUCCUCGGGUGGCACGCCCCUCACAUAGGGAGAAGUGACCUCUCUCCAAAGAACCAUUCUUGACACUCACUUGAAUUGCCUUUGAUUGAUUGAUUCAAGUGAUGGACUUAAUAUGAUGAGUAACCAUGAAUCCUUCUUUAAGUCCUUUUCUUUCUACUUGUUUAAGUCCUUUUCUCUCUACUAAAUGAUCUCCAAUAGUCACUAGAACUUAAACUUCGUUUUCAUCUUGAGUUUGAUCUUGAUCUCAAUUUGAGUACUAAAAGUGUACACCAAGUACAUUUCACAACCAAAUGCCCUUGUACUCAUUACUUGUCAUGCUUAUAGAUCAAUUCAAAACCUAACUUAGGUGCCUCAAACACUUGUAAACAUGUUUCCAACUUGAGGACCUUUCAAUUGAAGUGACUCUAGAUCAAUCCAAUAUUUGUCACUUUUCUGACGGUUUCUGUACCCUUUAAAGAAGUAUCCAUAUCUCCCAAUGUACAGAUCCAAAUACCACGAAAUGUGGUGGAGAUGUGAUUCACUAAGUCAUCUAGCAGCUGUAAAAAUUUGAGCUUCAUUUUACUUCUAGAUUGCUACCAGACUUCCACAUGCUGAAAUCUGCUGCACUAUAGCUGAUAAGAUCCACUCUAAAAUUGAAGUAUCCCUUAUCCAAUUCUCAUGAGAUUUUUACAGCAUCUUAUAUGAUACGUGUAUAGCAUGCGUACCAAAUUUCAAGUCAUUCCAAUAAGGUUUGAUCACUCAAACUUAGACUUGAUCACUGCUAGCUCAGAUUUUCAAUAUUUAGACAGAUUUCAAGCAACUGAGCUAUGCUUCUUCAAUUUGAAUCAAACUUGAAAAAGACUUGUUUGAAUACUUUCACAAGACAUAUAACAAUUCAAUCCACUCACUAAAUUCACCUUAUGAACUUAUCCAACUCAAAUCAAUCCAAAUUGAUUACUAAUUAUUUUAUCCAUUCAAUCAUCUUAUAGCAAGCAACAUUGCAUAUAUAUAUCCAAUUCAAUCAACUCAUAUGCACCCAAAUGAAUGUGAUCAACAAAGAUAUACCUUGGUUAGCUCAUGACUGUUGGGUAUUCUUAACAUCAUUACCAAAAGUAGACUAAGUUCUCUAAAUCUAGUAACGGUGCCAAAAAUGCCAAACCUAUCCCUUACACCACUUAAGCCAAGUUGUCAUCCCUAGCAUGAUAUAAGAGGCGCGGUAUUGAAAUAUGCAAUUGCUCUUCUAAAUAAAUAAUGAAUUGGAUCUGCAAGCGCACAGAUUCAUACCGAUGCAGCAUUUUAACCGGGAAGUAUUCCAGGUAUCGUUAUUUAUAUUUUUACCACUGGGAAGGGAUUAGCAAUCAUCACUAAUGAUUACAGAAUAGAAUAUGAGAUUGAGCAUCUAUCAUUGCAUGUAUAAUUGAGAACAUUAUAUCUAACUCUUCAUACAGGGAUAAGUGUCACAUAAAAGAUAUAUGAAAUAAUAAUAGUGACAAGGAUAACUAAUCUGAUCUAGCCACAUAAUAAAUAUGAUAAGUGUUGACGGUCCUUAAGUAUCAAAUUUAACUAUCAAAUAAACAAAGAAAAGGAUCCAAAUGAAAUCAACAUCCAGACUUAGGGAUUUAUCUGACAGAAUUCUACGAGUUUUGGUGUUUGUCUAUUUCUGCAGGGGGUUAUCAGGAAAUAAGGAAGAAAGGCCACACGUCGGGAUUACAUAGAGAUAUCAACGUGCCGCGCAAUUAUCUUACAUCUAGAAGACUCCAGAAGCCACGAGACCGAAGCAGAGGCGAAACGGGGCCAGAGACAGGGCGCCCGCCCUGUCCUACUGGGCGCCCGCCCACCUCCUGUGGCCAAUCAUGCUCAAUCUCGCGGAUUAUGCUCCACCGACCUAAAGGAUCAAGAAUAACCGUUCAAUCAAUGUGGGUUUGAUCCGACGGCCCAGGUUCACUUGAGGGGACUAUAUAACCAGACCCCCUGGCCCCUGGAGGAGGCACCCCUUGAUCAUUAUUCAUUAUUCAUAGACAGAGCAAAAGCUAGGGUUUAGAGAUGAGAGCUCUCCUCUCUUCUCUAAACUAGAGUAGAUCUAGAUAGAAGCGAGAUGGAGAGGGAAGGAGGAUUAGAGGAGAGGCCGGCCUAUUGGUUCUUCCUCCGGUUGUACUUCGCCAUGAUCAAGCUCUAAUCAAGCUUGCUCAUGGGAUGACUCUGGUAAUCUACUUCUAAUUCAUUAUGCAAUUACUAAUCAUGUAUGUUCUGGUUCACAACUCUUUUGAGUACUUCUAAUCUAUAGGACCCUAUAGGUUAGAGUUGUAGUAUAGGUGUAAGCGUGGUGCUUAGACCUAGAUUACUUGUGGAUAUCCCCUGACUAGCUGGAUCGUGUGGUAGGCCGCGUAGGUGACAGUUACGUUGGUCCCCUGUAGUCCACCUCUCGUUAGCGGGACGGGUAGGGUUUAUCGGCCUAUGGAUAAGCAUCCUUUGUGGUGUACUCUUAUCACGUGGUUCAUCCCAGACAUAGACAUACCCCUUUGAAGUAGAGAAACCAUAGUUAUCCUCUCUAUUCUGCUACCAUCGCCCAUAUACUAGAAUUGCUCUACUCUCUAUUCCCAUAUUAUCACUCACUGUUAUCUUACCUUUAAUAUUGUUCUUAUUCGAUUCUGCCAUCUUUUCUAUUCACACCUAUUUACUUAUCUUGGUUAAGUUAGAGCGUAGAUCAGUUCUCCCGUUUCCCUGUGGAUACGAUAAAACCUUUAACCGGGUAAAAGCUUCAACGGUAUCCGUGCGCUUGCGGAUUAUCUGUGUGCGUAUAAAUACCAUAGUACACUCUAGUGCCAUGCUGGGGAUGACAACCUAGUAUUCAAGUGGUGUUAGCAAGUGUCAACAAGCAUUUUUGGCGCCGUUGCCGGGGAAACGGUUGCUGAGUUGACUACGAACUAGUUUAAUCAUUUUAUAAAAAAUAAAUAAAAAAAAAAAUUUUCCUUUUAUCCUUUGCCUCAUCUCUGCUAUUCUUUCUUCUUAUCUAAUCCUUGAUCUCUGGUCUAUUAUGAAUUCAAACAUGUCUAUCUAUGAAUUUCAUAGACCUAAGGGCACACAUCUCGAACCACCAAAAUCUUCAAAGCCUAUCAUAGCAUCUAGUUUUGAGAUAGACCCCGAAUACAUAGAAUUUAUUCAAAAACAACCUUUCUCGGGAAAAGGUGAGGAAAACCCAUACACACACCUAAGAGAGUUUUAUCGAGUCUGUGACCUCCUUCGCAUAGAAGGCAUGUCCGAUGAGACCCUUAAAUGGAAGCUCUUUCCGUUCUCUUUAACGGGAAAAGAUAGACAUUGGUAUAAACUCAAAGUAGGGAGUGUUCAUGGAGAUUGGAAGGAGUUAUAUAGUAGUUUUCUUUCUAAAUAUUUUCCAAUCUCCAAAGUGGUGGAACUUCGGCGUGAGAUUCUUUCUUUUAGACAACUGGAAGAAGAAUCUCUUGGCAAAUCAUGGGACCGCUUUAUUAACCUUACUCUCACUGGCCCAAAACUUUCUAUUCCAGAAGAAGUUCUUCUAAUUCACUUUUUUGAGGGCCUUAGUAGGAAAAAUAAGCAAACCCUUCAUGCGGCCUCUGGAGGAUCUUUCCACCACCUAUCCGCUAGUGAAGCUUGGAAUUUGAUUGAUUUAAUGAGCGGAAAGUCUCCUAGCUUUUAUAUCCCUGAGAAAGAGAAAGAACCAAUUUCUAGACAAGAAGAAGAAGUUUCGAUAGCCAGAUCGCAACCACUUCAAUCCCAAACUUUAGCUAUCGAUCCUAAACCAUCAAUACCCCAAAAUUCUCCAAGGGAGGAAGGAAUUCCGACCUUAAAUCUUUUAGAUGCUGAUGGUUUAGACUUCUGGUUCUAUAAGAGACCUUCAAGCAGGGAUAAUUCAAAUCAUUGCAAUAAUGUUUCUCUUAGAGAAUGUCCUGGUUCCUAUCAUGAAGAAGUCGAGGAUGACAUAUCAAGUGAAGGAGAGCUAAGCCAUAUAGACAAUUCUAUCUACUCCCCUUCCAUGUUCACAAGUUCUAAAUCCAUCCUUGACCUUAGAGAUCCCUCUUAUCCCUCUUCUUUUCAGUCUCAUGAUGAUCCUAGCAAUUCACCAAGACGACCAAACCAUAGGAGUCAUGAAGACCAUAAGGAUGGCAUGUCAAGUAAUGCCAUAGAAGGAGAGCUAAGCCAUAUAGAAAAUUCUAACACCUCCCCUAUUUUGAUCACAAGUUCUAAAUGGCUAGAAUGUAUAGAAUGGAUGGAUAAGGAAGAAGCCUUAAUGAAUUCUGACUUUGGCUCAAUUUCAAAUGGUGAGUUCUUAACUCCCUUUGAAGAUGAGAUUCAUCCAACUACAGAAGAGGACAUAGGUGAGACCAAUCCAGGAGAAACUCCGAACAUUCAGAUUAGAGACGAAGAUAACAUUAAUGAGCAUGGAAUUUAUUUCAUAGCCACUUCGUUUACUCCAUGCUCAUAUGUAACAUCUUCCCAAUCUAUUGGUCUCUCCGACAUCACCACACUUGAGAUCUCCAAGCCCCUCUUCCUUUCUAUUUAUAAAAACUUUAAAAGGGCGGUUGUCGAUGCAUAUGUCUAUAAUAAAUAUUGCAGAUCUCGUUGAGUUGAUCUAGAUAUAGGUUGGCGUCGGAAGGGAAACCACUUCGCCAACAUAAACUGAUGGUUUCCCAAGGACAAGCUUAGUGUCUUAAAAUAAGCAUUGAUCAGAUCGUAACAUGAGCUUUUAAUUAUUUGCAACAUUACCUUGUGUAUUGAGCAUAUAAGGAUAAUUGUAAAAAAAUAUAUUCCUUCGGGUAUUCUUGUCACUAACCUUUCUAAGAUUGGAGCAAGAAGAUCGGAUGAAUGACAAGCACAAGGUAUGUCCAACCAAUCAUCAUACGACAUUGAAUUCAUCCAAACUUGAAUUUUGCAAAAUUCAAGCUUGGGGGAGUACUUUACAUAAAAACAUCCUUUGCGAUGUUGCUAUGCUGGUUGUCCCUACCUUUGAGACAUGCUCAAUUUGUUAAAUACUAAUCACACUGCUUCAUCUCCACUUGAGUAGAUCUCUAUAAACGCUGUCAUGCUACCUUUGUCUAUUUACUAGCAAGUGUUGGUUUGGAAGUACUCGCCAUACUUCCAUUGGCAUUUAAAUUAAGCAUGGUGCUUCGGUUAAAUAGCCUUCCUUAAUCUGAUUAGACAUGGAGUCUAGUUUGGUUAUUGAAAUAAAAAACUGCUUGAGUAGAUAUUGGUAUAUUUUAUCGGACUAACCCCUGCAGAAAAACUUUCAAUAUCGAUUUGGGAAGUCCUGAGAUAAACUCACAUCAAAGACGAAGAGAGUGACACAUGAAGUUUAACAAUUUGCACAAGAAGGACAUAGCUCAUUCAUCAUAGAGAGAUGAUCCAUGGAGGGUGCCACAAACACGACGCACAACCGCUAAGAAAGGAAAGCUUCCAUAAGGUGAUACUGUACCAUCACUCUUCAAGCAAGGUAACAUCUUGAGGUACUUGACUAUCACUAAAAUAAGCUUCUCCUUGGUUCUGGCGUUCAUCUAAAUAAAAGAGACAAACAUGUAUGAUUUACAACUCUAGAUUAACCAACCCAACUGAUUCAACAUGUUUAGUCCUUUAAUCCUUGUUCUUAGUACUACCUCCAUGAUCCCACACUCCUAAUCAUAUGAGCUAAAAUGUUACACAUUCAAUCAUUGAGAGAUAUAAAGAAAAAGACAUAUACAUAGAUAGAUAAUCUUUCCAUAAGGUUGAGCGAUCUGAUCUGACAAAUGUUAUAAGUGCUACACUCAUGAACUUAUCAUCCAUCAACUUGUCUUGCUCACUAUGCUUAAGGUUAAAGAAGAACAAAUACACUUUUGGUUCUGUUGGUGUUUUCCACCAACAGGGCCCAUGCACUUGAUCUCUGCCUUGUCUCAAUGAGCAGGUACACUACGACCAUAAACACACUGAGCAGGAUACUGCCAACGCCGCACUUCGAACUGCUGGGCAAACGAAGAGGUGCAGACGUCAAGGUCCGCACCUGAAUCAAAUGACGCACCUGAAGAAUGAACACGAUGAGAAGUCUUGACAAGAAGACUUAAAACAUUGAACCCUCGCCGAAAGGUAAGAUUGGUAGUUAUCCAUAUUUAUCCUUUCUGCAUUCCCUUUUCCAUUUAAUUAUUUACUUUCCUUAAAUAGAUUAUUAGUUAAUCAUGCUAUCUUGAAAAGAAAAUAAAAAUGUUAAAAAAUACUAAGCCCCAUGUGAGUAUACGAGUGGCAUAAAAUCCAUAAGUACCUUCACUGUGGUGGCAUAAAAAUAAAAUAAAUAUUUCUUUUCUACUUUAUAAAAUAAAAAUAUAAAAACAGAGAGUAAUAUUUAUUGAGGAAGCUCAACGUGAUGAAGGCUAGAUAUUUAUGCUAACACUUAAUUAGUUCCACAAGCUUUGUUGUCUAUUUGAGCUCCACAGAAUUUAAGAAUCAAGAAGACUAGCAGACGGAGGACAUUCUAAUCGCUGUCAGAAUGCUGCUGACUUUCAAAUACACCUCUGCCACCUGCUAGCUACGUUAAGAGAAAUUACGUCAAAAUUCAGCUUGGGGGAGAGCACCCCUAUUUAUCUCGCUAAGUAUUUCUACCUAUCUUUAUACUUAUAUUAUAUUAGAAUAUUAAAAUACAUAAACUAUGAAAAAACCAAAUAAAGAUUUUAUGCUUAUAUAUAUAUAUAUCUUUUCUUAGUUUGCUAAAUAAAUAAAUAAAUAAAUAAAGUUUGCUAUGAAUCUUAAUAAUAAAACUCUAGCAUGGAUAUAAUGAAUAGUUGCUCUGCCUAAUUUGCAAAUUUAAAGUUCUCUCUCAAGUUUAGACAUAACUGUUAUAAUUUAAAGCUUGCUCUAGAUCUAAACUUGUGGGAUAAAAACUUGAUCUGAAAUCUAAGUUGUUAACGGAUAUGAUAUGGGAAGGUUGAGCUGCUGUUUAUCUAUUCCUAGAGAUGCUAGAAUUCUGGAGAAUUUUAUCUUUGAAAAUCUUUAAAAUAUUGCAUGAUGAGUUCCUGUAUGAUGAAAGUUUAAAUUCCUACCACAGCCAUAUAUACAUGCUUGCUAGACGUUGAGCCACACAUUUAUUAUUUACUGCUUAUGAGCAUUGAGUGUGGUCAAGCUGUGUAGACCCUUAGGAGCUUGUCAUGUGGUUAAAUCAAGAUUCACUUGCACGUUCACUCAUAUAUAUGCUACUUCUACUCUGGAAGUACCAUCCACAUAUAUCCAUCCAUUUCCAUCUUCAGAAUCACCUAAAAAUAUUCUACUUCUAAUUCGGGAGAGAAUAGCCAAAAACAUCCCUGUUAUUCCCUGUGAAAUAAAUGCUCCAGUUAUUUUGGUUACUACCACUUGCUACAUUAUUUCAGGAGAUGAGUGCUCUGAAAAAAAAGAAAAAAAAAAGAGAAAAUGAAAAAAAAAUAAUAAACGAGGAAAUAAAAAGGGGCAAGUGCCCGGAACCUCGAAAGAAAAGAAAAAGAGUGAGACGAGAGGUAAAAAUGGACAAGUGUCCGACAGUAGAAUUAGGGGUACAGGAUACCCAUCUGAGAGAAAAGAAAAAUAAGAGCAUCUCAUUCUCCUCAUAAAGUUUCAAAAAGCAAGGAAGGUAUGUAUCCCCCCAAAAGAGCAAAAGUAGAAUUAGACUUUCACCAUUGUUAUCACCAUCAUCACCAUACACUAUUCAUUCGCCACACAUGCACAUCUUGAUUUGGCUUAUUGAUUUGUUUCUUUGGAUCCAUGGUUUGACUAUACAAUAAAUGUCUUGUAAGUAUGUAUACUUUAUCUCCCACCUAUGAGCUCCAGAUAUUAAAGCCUUAUUAGAGUAGGGUGAGAGAGAAGGCAAUGUCACUAUGCCUUAUACCACAAAUAC